RNAcentral lists this long non-coding RNA (182368 nucleotides) under Citrus maxima (pomelo). Its description in RNAcentral is "long non-coding RNA (CMAX_LNC001757)". The record is from RNAcentral. Lineage: Eukaryota; Viridiplantae; Streptophyta; Magnoliopsida; Sapindales; Rutaceae.
GUGUUUCCAAUAAAAUUGAGUAGGGGGAUUCUUAAAUACCUUUUCCUUUUUUCCAAGGGCCGUGCCAAAUUGCUCUAAGUGAUUAUCAAUGAAUAAUGAAAUAAAUUUUUAUUAAAGCAAUUUUUCCUUAAAUGGUGACUAAUAUUACCCCUUUUUUUGGAAAAGAAAGUCAAAACAUGCCCAAAGAGAAUCAUUUACUUUACUCUAAUGUAGUUUCUAAUUUGUUUUGAGCCUUGAAUGUCCGUUUUGGUGCGUAUUCUCAUUCCAUCUCGAAUCUUAUCCACAUGGACAACCCCAAUUACAAAAUAGUCUAAUGGAUCUAUUGAAGUUCAUAUGAGGUUUGUGCUUUAGAUUUAGACCUCUCUCUCUCUCCCCCCCCCUCUCCCAACCACUUACCUGUCUUUCACUUACCUGUUUGCAUGCCUUCCCAUGCACACACUUUUCAAGAUAAUACACGGUCACUCGUACUUGUGUUUUGGUUGAGCUACUGGCUGCUAACCCUCAUUAAUUCAGUUUGAAACUUGCCACCCUUAGUGCUUCACUCAAAUGGUUGGUUAGGGUGAGAUCUGUAUCGUUUUCCUGGUCUCUUUCCAAGGUUAUCUAAAGGGAUUUGGCAGUCUGAUUCUUUAGGGAAUAUCAUUGCAUAAGAUAUCUAUUGUUUGUCAAUGAAUAAUUUCUAUUAAUUAGUUAUCUAUAUAAAUUGGUAAAUUUUAACUGCAUAAUUUGCAUGCAAUAAGAUUUUAUAAGAAUCUUGUUUUCAACUCAUGACUUAGACUAAUGUGAUAUGUUGAGCAUUAAGCUACAAUAUCUGCACAUCAAAGUGCUUCACGAUGUUAAGGAGAAAGCAUAUUUUUCUGCUUCUUCAUGUGAUUUAAAGUUUCCAAGGUACUUAUCCUAUAAAAUAUCUUUCAAGACUUCGGAAAUGCUUUUAUGUAUGACUGAGGGAAACUUGUUGGGUUGGUUUUUAGCAACGGACGGAGUUAUGGACUUUGUGUUGACUUGUUAUUGAUUAAGGCAGUACAUCGGCUGAUCUAUUGGCAUCAAGCAGCAGAUGCAGAAAUUAUGGGUGGCAUAUCAUUGUAUCCAAAUAACGUACUACAUUGAUUUUUCUGACUUUCUGUUGGUCUCCGAGUGAAAUGCAGGCAUUUGCAGAUGAACUGGGGAUUCCUUUCCUGGAGACGAGUGCCAAAGAUGCAAUCAAUGUGGAGCAGGCUUUCUUGACCAUGGCUGGCGAGAUUAAGAAAAAGUAAAAUCACUUAACUCUUUCCUUCUUGCCUUAUGAUUGAUUCUGUGAUCCAUUGCCUAUUUGCAAAUGCUGACUGUUCUUAUUCAACAAUCACCAUUAUUGCUGGUUAUAUGCAUUGUGAUGAAAAUUCUGCAAUGAGUAACUUUUUACCUAAUGUUUUCUGUUGGAAUAAAUUACUCUGGUAGAAAAGCCCUACAGGGUUUUAGAAAUCCCAUGAUGUGAUGAUUGUGAGCAUUUUAGACACCGUGUAUGGGUUUAUUUUUUUACUAUAAAAUGUUAAGAUUGUUUCUAGUUUUGGUUUGUAGUGCAUAAAAGGAUUCAGAAUUUGACAUCUGUCUAAAUCAGAUUAAUAACAUGAUAAUGUACAUAUGCAAGAUGUGAGGAAUUGUUUUAUCUCACCCCUAAACUUUAAGAAAUUGAAACAUUAUCAUUCAAACUAUUUAACAUUUCCAGAAUUAAUAGUUGUCUAUUUGAGCAGUGACUGGUGGUUAUCAUGAACUGAUGUGUGGUUGUGGUGUCAAAUCUUGGUGAAACCUGUUGUCAUCAGCCGGUUAACAUAGCUAGUCUCUGAAAUAAUUUCUUGAUUCACUAAUUAUGAGUUCAAAUUUGAUGCAGAAUGGGCAACCAGCCUACUGCAAACAAAUCUUCUGGAACAGUUCAGAUGAAGGGACAGCCAAUCCAGCAAAACAGCAACUGCUGUGGUUAGCCGAGCAUCUUAUUUUACUUCUACAUGUUAGCUGACUGAUUGUAGACAGUUUUAACUAUGUUGACUGCAUUAUCUUAUGAAUCUUUUAAUAUGUCAAAUAUUAAUUUCCUGCUUUAAGUUCUUUCCGUUUAUAACAAAUUUAAUUUCUUGGUUCAUUGCAUUCCAAAUUCCUGUAAAUUUACAAGGGAAAAAGAAAAGAGACGAAAUCGGAGAAAAUGGUCGAAUUUGUUAGGGGGAGAGAGCUGUUCAAGUAGUUUCUGUUCUUGUUUAUUGUCGUGACCCUCUUGUAGCUUGUCUAUGACCUGGAAGUCCGGUCAUAUCGGAUGGGUAAAGUUACCAAAACGGCAUCAUUUUGGGUGAAAUAUCAUAUUUAUGUAACACUUCUGAUAAUAUUUUUAUGCAACAACAAAAUGUUCGCGGGGACCCUUUUCACAUUGUGAAGCGCAUGAUCGGAUGAUAGCAGUCUGGAUUCUGGCAUCACAAGCUAAUGCUUUGAUUUGCUUAGUUUGUUUUUUGUUUCUGAUAUUUUCUUGGCAGUGGGUGGGAUGUUGUUUCUCUUUUGAGUUUCCCCUUUUGUUUUUUGUUAUGGAAUUUAGAGAUAGUAUACAUGUAUGAAGAUGACGUGAUAAAGUUGUUUUGAUAAAUUCCCCUGGUCAGUUUACUUCACUAACCAUUAAUGCGCAAAACCUCCUAAUGACCCUAAAAAAACUCGUAUAUAAUUAAAGAAUUUCAAUUUUAUAUGUACAAAAAUGAAUAACUCUCAAAUAUAUUAUUUGAUAAUCUCAAAAAAAAAAAUUUCACUCUAAUAAAUCUCGUAGCAAGUACAUGGUUUAUAUUGCAAAUCUUUUCGAAACUAAUUCAAAGAGAAAAUAGGACAUAUAAUUGACUUUUACCUGUCAUAAAGAACUCUAAAUAAACUCAUAUAUGCAUCGCAGCUAAUUACAGCCUUGAUACUUCAUUUGGUUUUUGUUAAUUUUUUGUACAGUUAUGCUGUGCGUAAAAGUUUUGUUAAAUGAAAUCGAUAGGUGAAGAGAAUUUUUAGAAGCAGUCAUCAAAGUAAUGAUCAAUAUAAAUAUUGAUUGUCUCAAGUUAGAUUAUACAAAGAUGAAAUAAUGCUAAUAUAGUAAAUUCAAUCAUAAUAAUUUGACUUCCAUUAUAUUAAUUAUGUCCAAUCGUGCUACUUUAAUAAAGAACCCUCGAGCAUUUAUAUGUAUACAACAAACAAAAUUAAUUAUAGAACGAUCUUUUACAAAGUUUGACCGGUCAACUAUCCAUCAAAUUCUGUAAUGUGUUACUGUUGAACUCUCAUGUCAAAUAUGGAUAGGCAGCGCUUUGGCUAACAGUGAGAUAUAUGCGAGCAUAAGAGCUCUGUUCUCUGUUUUAAUGGCGUUUCUCUUUGUGAUUGUUGGACAAACUGUAAUGUGAAUUUCUAUCUAAUGGGUGUCCUAAUGCUUUUAGUUAGUGUGGGAUUGUUGAUUUAUAUAUGACCUUCAGUAUCCAAAAUUUAGAUGAUGAUAACCUUUAGUACUUUUAUCAUAUUUCCUUUCGUGUUGGUGUUAGUAUCUUAAUUUUGUGCCCAAUGGUAAUUACAAUAUAUACCUAAUUUGAAACUUCUAUAAUUUUACAUAUAUAGAUGCAAAUUCAUUUUUAAGAGUGCAUUUAAUCAAGCAGUCCAGGCGUUUAUACUGAGUAAUUGGUUCAAUAUUAAUACAAAACUAUUUUAAGUAACAUGUGGCAUAUUCUAAUUCCAGUGAGCUUCCAACUCAUAUUCCCAAUUCAAAAGAAAAGUUUUCAAUUUUCUCCAGAACGUUCUACAAAACGUUUCUUCUAGUCUCUACACUGUGCUAGAAUUUUCUCUAAGUUUCUUUUGCAAAGACUUUUAAAGAACUAUCCAGAUACCGAGCUAUAAUCCAGUCUAAGCGUAUAUCUCUCUCACUAUUUCACCUCCUUCAAUUUCACCAUAUCAACAAACACUUAGCCUCGAAACAAACACUCUCAAAAAGCUAGCUUAGCUACCCAGAUGGUGAAAUCAAGAAUUCUUGCAAUUACAAUGUCGUUUCUUGUUAUGGCAACAACAUUGAUGAUCAUGGCAUCACAAGCAAACGCUCUGAUGCCGUACACACGAUCACCUUUCUUUGACAUGAUGUCUGCAAUUACAGAAGAUCCUUUCAGGGUUCUUGAACAAACCCCUCACAAUCCCCAAAAGGAGCUGAUCAUCAUCAAACUCUAGCCCUGGCGAGAGCAAACUGGAUGGAGCACCAACAGCACACGUGAUCGCGCUCGACAUUCCAGUGAUGAAGAAAGAUGAAGUGAAGAUUGAAGUUGAAGAGAACAGGGUACUGAGAAUGAGUGGGGAGAGGAAGAGUGAUGAUUAUUAUAAGGAGGGAGUUGAAGGAGAGAAAUGGCACAGAGCUGAGAGAACAUUUGGCAAGUUUUGGAGGCAGUUCAAGAUGCCUAUGAGUGCUGACUUGGAACAUGUUAAGGCUCAUUUGGAAAAUGGUGCUCUGAGGAUCAAAGUGCCAGAGCUUGCUGAGGAGAAGAGGAGGCAGCCUAAGGUUAUUAGCAUCAAUGAAGAGCCUGCAGGUAAUUCUUCCGGUGAAACUAUUAAGGCCACCAAGGCCCAAAUGUGAUUAUUAAAGAAAGAAGUGCUUGCUUCGCUUGAUAUGCUAUUUGUUUAUGAUUUUUUCUUAGUUUUGUUGUGGGAUGUUUCUAUCUGGACGUUCUGUUUAUUGUAUUUUGAUGGGUUUUUUAAGAUGGCUUGUAUGUAUUAACAACAAUAAAGUGUUUUUUUAUAAAUCUGGGUCUUAAAUUUGUAAAAGAAAUUAAUACGCUUGGUUUAUUGUUAUAAAAAUAAAAAAAGAAAAAGCUUUUUUCUUUGGCAUAUAUUAUGCAUUUUAAGGAAAAAAAAUUCACACUCCAAUUCAUAAAGAUAUUCCUCUUCUGUCAUAUUAAUAUACUACUUUAUAUUGUACAACACCAUUAAAAGAACAUUAUAACACUGUUGCUAAUGAGGCAGCUGGUAAUUCUUCUGGUGAAGAUAUUAAGUCUGUUAAAGCUGAAAUGUAAUCAGAGAAAUAUAAUGUAUUCCCUUAGUUUGCUUUUUGUUUUUGAUAUUUGUUUGGCAAAUGCUUUGCUUAGAUUGCUUUUUGUUUUUUGAGAUUUUAUUGGCUUAGUCGUGGGGUAUUGUUUUCUCUUCUAAUUUUUUAUUUUUGUCGUUAUGGGAUUUGAUGAUGGUGUACAUAUACGAAAUUUAUGUAAUAAAGUACUUUCAAUAAAUCAUGGCCGGUUUACUAUUAAUUAAUCAAAUUUAAUUUACUCAAAUUAUUCUUGUACACGAUUAAAAUAAUUUCAAUUCCAGGAUAUAUAUAUACACGCACGCACACACAAAUAAAAUGUAAUUAACUUUCAAAUAUAAAAUAUUUAAAAUAAUCACCGUACUAACAUAAAUAGACGAAAUAAUGCUAAUCUAGCGAAUCCAGUCAUAAUAAUUUGAUUUUAAUUUAUAUUAAUUAUAUCGAACCAUGCUAUAUUAAUAAAGAGCACUUGAGAAUAUAUAUAUAUAUAUAUAUAUAUAGAACAAAUAGAAAAUCAUUGGGUACAGACUCAAUAUUUUCUACUUUAAUAUCAUCACCAUCAAUAUCAGGACUAGAUUCAUUGUCUGAAUUAUCCUGUAAUUGCUUUUGUAAAAGAAGUUGAAUAAUAUCAGAAUCACUUUUUUGUUUUUCUUUUAAAUCUCUGAUUUCACUUUUGAUUUCUUUUAUCUCUUUCUGAAGAUCUUGGAUAUUAGGAAUCAUCUUUUUUGUUUUCUUCUUAUCCAAAAUUUGAGUAAGAUCAUAAGAAUUCUUUUUAACAAUUGGGACUCUAGAAGUCUCGGCUUUAUUAAAAUCCAAUGUUUUCAAAAGUUUAUCAAGGUAUUCCUUUUGAAGAUUUGGAUCAGAAAUAUGCUUUACAAGUUCAAGAAAAGUUUCUUGGUCUUUAGUCAAAACAUUGAUUUUCUUUAAAAAUGAAUCAGAUUCAGAUUCACUACUGCUAGAUGCAGAGUCAUCUGAGUCAAAAAGCUCAUCAACUUGGUAAGGGUCACUGUUAAAUUCAAACAUUUCUUUCUUGAUAAAACCCAUUCUGAACCGGCCUAUUCCACGGCCACAAUUCUAAAAGUUUUGAGCCCAAACCAGUGGGGCGACCUACUCCACAAUUUCAAAACCUUUCCUCUAAACUUUGAAACCCGUUUACCACAUUGUCGGACUUUCUCCUACUGGGAUUACCAACAAGCAUGGUAUAACACCUUUUUUAUCCAAAACCCAAAAAAAUCCCAUUCUUGGUUAUUUUUCUUUAACCCUAAAAUAACCGUCCAAAGCCUUCCAAACUGGUUCCAUCAUUGGUGGAAUUUCUUUGGCCCAAUACCUCAAAUCCUCACUCCAAAUGCCAUAAAUUGCCUAAACCUCUUUAAAGCCCACUAUAUGCCCUCUGACUCAGAGAAAAGAUUUCCCCCCUUUCUCUGUUUUUGUACAAACUUCUUCCUACCAUGGGUCUGGAUGUGGAACCUCCGUUUUCAUACUCAAGAUUCCCAGGUCAUCCUUCAAAGAACCUUUAAAGACAAAUGGUGGUCAAAAUUUGAUGAACAGUCCAAACUGACUGUUAACAUGAUCAAAGAUUGGCUCUCCUCUAAAAACCUUCUCCAACCAACCCUAGAAGCCUCUAAAGCCCAACAGACCUUCUUAACCCAAAAAUCCAAAGCCCAGUCUCUUUUGGCAAGUGCCAAGACAGAAGAAGAAUACUUCAAAGCAAUGGAACAGCUCCUCGCCUCCCGUUCAAAGUCAUCAGUAGCUGACACCUCUGAAGACGAAGACUUAAUUUUAUCUGGUAAAUAUAUUAAAGUAUAUAGGCUGGAAACCCGAACGUGCGGACUAUUGAUCUGUUCUAAGUCAGAUCUGGGUCCAAAGGCAGAUUAACUUCUGCGAUCGAUCUGGUCUAACAACGCCACGUACUUUAAAUAUUUUAAAAAUUUGACCAACCGCGUUCAAAUUUGUUUGAUCAUUGUAUGCUCCAAAACAAAUCUACUUAAUCUAAAGCUGGUAAUCUUAUUUAAAAUUGGAACAACCGCGAUCCAAUUAUUUUAUUAAAGCAAUCAAUAAAGAAGCAUUUUGAAAACACACCCAUCCUUCGAUCCUAUUUCCUUCUGGUAUCAGAGCCAAGGGGAGGAUUGUGUAAAGCAGUUUAGAGUUUUGUGUUAUGAAAACUUGUGUUUUAUUUUGAAGUUUUGUUUUUGUGGUGAAUUUUUACUGGUAGUAAGUCCCGUCCAAGGAUAAGUUUUCCGUUUAGGGCUAUAAAACCAUACCUGUAGCCAUUCUUUCAAAACCACUAAUAGAUCAUAGGUUUUUACCCAUGAAUCCUCUACACUGUAGAACAUCGUCCUUUUCUAGCUCUUCUUCUGGGAAGACUAGUGAUUCAAAGCAUGUUGUGAGUUCAGAAGAAUUCGUUAUUGAGAACUUUGAUAAAGCAAUUGAUUGUUGGGAACUUCCAAAAAUUUCCAAAGAAAAGAUUUACAAAACAAAAAUGCUUGAUCUUUUAAAACAUGAUUAUAUUAUAAAAACUGAAGAAAGAGACAUAACAGACGAUGAUGAUGAUGAAGAGCCCUUCAUUUCUCUUGGAGACGAAAAUGAAGAUGAUUGUUUCGGCAUUUUUUCUCCUAUAAAGCAUUGUAAAUAAUUAUUUAGUUAUUUACUUAAAAAAAAAAAAAAAAAAAAAAAGUAAUUUUCUUUCGGGUGGUCCCUUGGACACAAGUGAGAGCGCACAUGUCUCUUCACCCGUGUUGUAUUUCAUUAUGUAUUUCAAUUUUUGUACAAAGUAGUCUACUGUUCAAAGCUACGGUCAGCCUACUAUUCAAAGCUACGAUCCAAAGUUUACUGUGCACUUAAAGCUCCACUACAGUGAACAGUGCAAAGUUCCAAAGAUUACUGUGCACUCAAAGCUCCGCUACAGUGAACAGUUUACAAAGUUUUGUAUAUAAACCAAGAGGAAGACUCAGACUCCUCAGGUUUUUCAUUUUUCUCUUCUUCUCCUCCUUCUCUCUAGAUCUCUCUCUCUCUCUCUCUUUUGGGAAGUCUGGAUCAAGGCAUCAAGGAAAUCUUUCCUGUCUUGUAAUCUUCCCGUCUUUCAAUCUUCCCUUCUGGAAAGAUUUGAAAAAUUGUAAAGACCAAGACUAUCAAAGCAAAGAUGUAUGUUUAAAUUUCAGUUAUUUAAAUUCGAUGUAAUUUAAAUUUUCGCAAUUUACUUUAAAGCAAUUUACUUUUCUGCAAUUUAAUUUCAUGCACAUUUACAUUAACGCAAUUUAUUUUUAAAGCAAUUUUCUUUUCAAAGCAUGCAAAGCAGACUGGUCUUUAUCAGAUCUGCCAUAAAAUUUGUACGUUCCUCUGAGGCAAAGAGACCGGAUCUCGAUCCUCAGUAAUUGCUUUAAACGUGGUUGUUUCUUUUUAUUGGGCUAAUUCCAGAUUUAAAUUAGAUUCUUUAAGGGGCUUGGGUACAUACACAGUACCAGAUCCGGAUCCCGGAAAUGGUGCUCUGAAGGAAUGGAGGAAGAAGAGAAGAUUUACAACUGAGGAUCGAGAUCCGGUCUCUUUGCCUCAGAGGAACGUACAAAUUUUAUGGCAGAUCUGAUAAAGACCAGUCUGCUUUGCAUGCUUUGAAAAGAAAAUUGCUUUAAAAAUAAAUUGCGUUAAUGUAAAUGUGCAUGAAAUUAAAUUGCAGAAAAGUAAAUUGCUUUAAAGUAAAUUGCGAAAAUUUAAAUUACAUCGAAUUUAAAUAACUGAAAUUUAAACAUACAUCUUUGCUUUGAUAGUCUAGGUUUUUUAUUUUUCUCUUCUUCUCCUCCUUCUCUCUAGAUCUCUCUCUCUCUCUCUCUCUUGGGAAGUCUGGAUCAAGGCAUCAAGGAAAUCUUUCCUGUCUUGUAAUCUUCCCGUCUUUCAAUCUUCCCUUCUGGAAAGAUUUGAAAAAUUGUAAAGACCAAGACUAUCAAAGCAAAGAUGUAUGUUUAAAUUUCAGUUAUUUAAAUUCGAUGUAAUUUAUUUUGAGUGUUUUUUAUUUUGAUAUAGAAUUCAUUAAAGGUGAUAAAAAUUCUGUUCCUGAUUUUCUAACCAGAGAAUUUCUUCAAAACAGAUAAUGCCGCUAAGGAAAGACAAAGGUAAAGCUGUUCACAAAAGUACCGGAUCUCAAGAACCUUCCAAAGAACCCCAGUCAACCCCUUCUAAAGAAAAAUUACUUUCUUCUGCAUGAAAUUAGUACCGGAUCCCGGAAAUGGUGCUCUGAAGGAAUGGAGGAAGAAGAGAAGAUUUACAACUGAGGAUCGAGAUCCGGUCUCUUUGCCUCAGAAAAGAAGGAAUGGAGGAAGAAGAGAAGAUUUACACAAUCCUCCCCUUGGCUCUGAUAAAGACCAGUCUGAUACCAAAUGCUUCUUUAAAAUAUUUUUGUCUUUAAGAGAAAUUGUUAUAUUUGGAUAACAAUCAAAAGAUAUGGGACCUUUACAUAGACUAGAUUCGAUACUACUUAGUAAAGAAUCAUCAAAAGAGAUGAAUCGCCCAUCUCUAAGAACAGCAAGGAUAGAGGUAUCCAAAAUCUGCCUUUGGACCCAGAUCUGACUUAGAACAGAUCAAUAGUCCGCACGUUCGGGUUUCCAGCCUAUAUACUUUAAUAUAUUUACCAGAUAAAAUUAAGUUGCUUUAAACGUGGUUGUUUCUUUUUAUUGGGCUAAUUCCAGAUUUAAAUUAGAUUCUUUAAGGGGCUUGGGUACAUACACAGUACCAGAUCCGGAUCCCGGAAAUGGUGCUCUGAAGGAAUGGAGGAAGAAGAGAAGAUUUACAACUGAGGAUCGAGAUCCGGUCUCUUUGCCUCAGAGGAACGUACAAAUUUUAUGGCAGAUCUGAUAAAGACCAGUCUGCUUUGCAUGUUUAUUUCCUUCUGGUAUCAGAGCCAAGGGGAGGAUUGUGUAAAGCAGUUUAGAGUUUUGUGUUAUGAAAACUUGUGUUUUAUUUUGAAGUUUUGUUUUUGUGGUGAAUUUUUACUGGUAGUAAGUCCCGUCCAAGGAUAAGUUUUCCGUUUAGGGCUAUAAAACCAUACCUGUAGCCAUUCUUUCAAAACCACUAAUAGAUCAUAGGUUUUUACCCAUGAAUCCUCUACACUGUAGAACAUCGUCCUUUUCUAGCUCUUCUUCUGGGAAGACUAGUGAUUCAAAGCAUGUUGUGAGUUCAGAAGAAUUCGUUAUUGAGAACUUUGAUAAAGCAAUUGAUUGUUGGGAACUUCCAAAAAUUUCCAAAGAAAAGAUUUACAAAACAAAAAUGCUUGAUCUUUUAAAACAUGAUUAUAUUAUAAAAACUGAAGAAAGAGACAUAACUCUUUCGGAGCCUUUUGAAACAAUUUAUUUGUUUUCAGAAAAAUCUUUAAAGAAAUUAAAAGAAAAGAAUUUCAAAUAUAUUCACAUUGGUUUAAUCCAAGUAGGAAUAAAACCUUUGACCAAAGAAGGCUUGGAUACCUCUAUCCUUGCUGUUCUUAGAGAUGGGCGAUUCAUCUCUUUUGAUGAUUCUUUACUAAGUAGUAUCGAAUCUAGUCUAUGUAAAGGUCCCAUAUCUUCUGAUUGUUAUCCAAAUAUAACAAUUUCUCUUAAAGACAAAAAUAUUUUAAAGAGCAUGAUUUUACAAAUCCAAACCCAUAAUUAUCACAUGAUUAAGGGAUCCAUCCCAGUUGCAUUAAUUUUUAAAAUUUCCUAUAAAGCCAUGAUUUCUGCAUUUAGCACACAGCAUAAAUACCAGUCGAAGAGAGAUGAGACCCUUCUCUUGCAGACUGAUUUGUCUAAAGCCAACAUGAUCAUUCCAAAAUCGAUCCAAUGGAAAGAUAUCCAUCUUCCAGAUGAAUGGAUCCUUGAAGGAGCCGCCCCACCGGCAAUUCCGAAACAACUUGAGCCAAAUACAGAGUUACAAAAUGUGACCCAGUAUUCCGAUGGUAAAGUCAAACUAUCAUUCAGAAGGUCUACCUCACAUAGAUUUUCUGAUAAAGAAUCGAGCUCAAACAUUCCUUCACUAGAAAGGAAGUUUACAAAAGUACCUUCUGUUAUAAAUCUCCCAUAUCAGAGUCAACCUAGGUUUUCCACUUCGGAUAUACCUAGCUCCUCCAUCCGUUCCGUUGACUAUGCCACAAGUGUUCCUCAUCCUAUAUACACUAGUAGUCAACAUGUGCAAAGACAGGAAGAGAAGGAACCUUCUCCUCCAACAUCUCCUACGUUUUCUGCUGUCACAGAAAAUGUCAUUAAUGUCAUUGAAAAAGAAUUUGAAUUAGAUAAAGCCUUUCUGCAUAACGAUUUUUAUUCAGAAAUAAAUAAAGAAAAAAGAACUUGGUUUUUUAAACAUUUUUUAAACCAAAGAAAAGAAAUCCAACAAACUUAUUAUGAAUUUGUGAAUUUUCAUAAAGUUCAUAUAUUGUUUUUUGAUUGGUUCGAAAUAUAUUCUUCUGAGAACAAUAUUGAUUAUCCUUUUAAAGAGUCAAACCCUAUAACUAUUAGAAAGAAAAUUCCUGAAUGGAAACUUUCUGAUAAUGAUAGGAUCAUAGAGUCUGAUCAUCCACCUCUUAGGAGUAUAACCAUAGAUCAUGGUGAACCUCCUAUUGAGAUUAAAGCAUCCCCUUACAAAAUCCCAAGACCAAAUGAUUCUGAUGCGAAUUUAAGUAGUAUUAUACAACAGAAUAAUUUCUGUAAUACUAACCUAAAUACAAUUGGAAAGCAAUUGGCUCGUAUAGAAAACCAAUUUCAAAAAUCUACUAUAUCUGUUUCUCCUAUUCCAAUGUCUAUUCCUUCAAAAUCGGAUUCUGACAAAAAGCUUAAGGAACCUAUUUUCAAACCUUUUCAGGUUUCGAAAACUAGCCAAAGGCUUGUUCAAGAGUCAAAAUCAGAUUUUGCUAAAGCCAUUAGAGAACAACUAGAUAGUAUAGAAGCUGCUUCUUCCUCGUCUAGCAAACUCCAGAUAGCCCCCGAUACCCCCCAAUCUAGCAAGAUUGGAGUAUUGGAUCUUGAUGACCAAAGUUCUAUAGCCUCUUCUGACUUAGAAGCUUUCAAAGAAGAACCUUCUACUCCUAAAGCCAACAAAAUCCACUGGGAAUUAGCCCUUCCCACUGUCAAGACCCCACCAGAUCUAGCAAUAGAUAAUAGACCUAGUGCAUUAAAUCAAUCCCGAUAUAAUGCAUCUUCAGUCUAUGAGUGGAAUAUUGACGGCAUGUCUGAGUACAAUAUCCUUGGAUUGUUGCAACAAAUGACAAUGGCAGCUAAUGCUUAUAAAACCCAAGCAGGAACUUCUGAUCGUGCCAUAUCGGAAAUCCUAAUUGCUGGUUUUACUGGUCAACUAAAAGGUUGGUGGGAUCAUCUUCUCACUAAUCAGCAACAAUUUGACAUUCUAAAUUCCGUCCAAAAAGAUGAAAAUGGAGCCUCUAUUCUUGAUGAGUUCAACAACCCUAUCCAGGAUGCUGUUGCUACUCUUAUUCUAACCAUUUCCCUCCAUUUCAUCGGUGACCCUUCUCACCUUCGUGAUAAAAACGCUGAGUUACUACAUAAUUUGAGAUGUAGAAAACUUAGUGAAUUUCAGAGUUACAAAACCUCUUUCCUUACCAGACUAUUUCUAAGGGAUGAUGCAAAUCAUAUUACUUGGAAAGAAAAAUUUCUUGCUGGAUUACCUACCCUUUUAGGUGAAAAGGUAAGAAAUUCCAUCAAAGCCCUUUACGAUAACCGUAUUCCUUAUGACGAGCUCACCUAUGGUGAACUAGUCAGUUUUGUCAACAAAGAAGGUUUAAAGAUUUGUCAAGAUUUGAAAUUACAGAAACGUCUUAAGUGGGAACUUAAGAAGUCUAAACAGGAAUUAGGCGGUUUCUGUAAGCAAUUCAAUUAUGACCCCUUUAAAACUUCCUUUUCCAAAGAUUGUAAUGGAGAAUGUUCUACAAAACCUCGUAAGAAACAUUACAAAUCUAAACAUUUUAGAAAACCCUUUCGUGAUUUUAGAAAAUUUCCUUAUAAGAAACCUUCGAAGCCUUAUAAGAGACAUAGUUUCUCUAAAAAGAAAGAUUUCAAAGCCAAACCUAAUACUCCAUUCAACUUCAAGGAGGCCACAUGUUUCAAAUGUGGUAUGAAAGGUCAUACUGCAAAAUUUUGCAGAAUGAACAAAAGACUCCAAGAACUUGACCUCAAUGAGGACAUCCUUUCUAAAAUAGCCCCUCUUCUUGUCGAAUCUUCUGAUUCUGAGUCUUCCAUGUCGGGAGACAGUGACCCUUACCAAGUUGAUGAGCUUUUUGACUCAGAUGACUCUGCAUCUAGCAGUAGUGAAUCUGAAUCUGAUUCAUUUUUAAAGAAAAUCAAUGUUUUGACUAAAGACCAAGAAACUUUUCUUGAACUUGUAAAGCAUAUUUCUGAUCCAAAUCUUCAAAAGGAAUACCUUGAUAAACUUUUGAAAACAUUGGAUUUUAAUAAAGCCGAGACUUCUAGAGUCCCAAUUGUUAAAAAGAAUUCUUAUGAUCUUACUCAAAUUUUGGAUAAGAAGAAAACAAAAAAGAUGAUUCCUAAUAUCCAAGAUCUUCAGAAAGAGAUAAAAGAAAUCAAAAGUGAAAUCAGAGAUUUAAAAGAAAAACAAAAAAGUGAUUCUGAUAUUAUUCAACUUCUUUUACAAAAGCAAUUACAGGAUAAUUCAGACAAUGAAUCUAGUCCUGAUAUUGAUGGUGAUGAUAUUAAAGUAGAAAAUAUUGAGUCUGUACCCAAUGAUUUUCUAUUUGUUCUAAAACAAAUCACCACAAGAAAGUAUUUGAUUAAAGUCACUUUAAUCUUUUCUGAUGAUUUUGCAAUGGACGCUAUUGCCCUUUUUGAUACAGGCGCCGAUUUAAAUUGCAUUAGAGAAGAUAUCGUCCCCAAAAGAUUUCAUGAAAAAACAAAAGAAAGGCUUUCUGCUGCCAAUAAUUCAAAAUUGAAUGUCAGUUCCAAGGUUGAAGCCUCAAUCUAUAAUGAUGGUUUUGAUUUUAGAACUUCCUUUGUUCUCACAAAUGAUAUUCAUCAUGCCAUUAUUUUGGGAACUCCUUUUAUAAAUCUCAUAACUCCAUAUACUGUCAAUUAUGAUAGUAUAUCUUUCAAAGCAAAAAACAAGAAACUUGUUUUCCCUUUUAUUGAAAAGCCUAAAACAAGAAAUUUGAAUAUUGUUAAAGCCUGUUCUAUUUAUCAAAAUAGAAUAAACAAUUUACUUAAAUCAAAACAGUGUGAUCUAAUGUUUUUACAAAAAGAUUUGAACUUACAAAGAGUUGAAAGCCAAUUACAAAGUGAUUUCAUUAAAAGAAAAAUUUCUGAUUUCAAGACUCUUAUUGAAGAAGAAAUUUGUGCUGAUCUACCUUCUGCUUUUUGGAAUAGAAAGCAACAUUUGGUAGAUUUGCCUUACGAAAAUUCUUUUGAUGAAAAACAGAUUCCGACCAAAGCUCGUCCAAUUCAAAUGAAUAUGGAUUUAGAAAAACAUUGUAAAAAUGAAAUCAAAGAUUUGGAGUCUAAAGGACUCAUCGUAAAAUCCAGGUCUCCUUGGUCUUGUGCUGCUUUUUAUGUUAACAAAAACUCCGAAAUUGAAAGAGGUACCCCAAGACUAGUUAUAAACUACAAACCUUUGAAUAAAGCUUUAAAAUGGAUUAGGUAUCCUAUACCUAAUAAAAAAGAUUUACUCCAAAAACUCUGUUCUGCCUUUAUUUUUUCAAAAUUUGACAUGAAAUCGGGUUUUUGGCAAAUUCAAAUUCAUCCAAACGACCGUUACAAAACCGCUUUCACUGUUCCAUUUGGACAAUACGAAUGGACUGUUAUGCCCUUUGGUUUAAAGAAUGCACCCUCAGAAUUUCAAAGAAUUAUGAAUGAUAUUUAUAAUCCUUAUUCUGAUUUUUGCAUUGUUUAUAUUGAUGAUGUUUUGAUAUUUUCAAAUUCAAUCGAUCAACAUUUCAAACAUUUAAAGACUUUUUAUUUUGCUACAAAAAAGGCUGGACUAGCCCUUUCUAGUUCAAAGAUUUCAUUAUUUCAAACGAAAAUCAGAUUUCUUGGUCACUAUAUUUCAAAAGGAACAAUCACCCCUAUUGAAAGAUCACUUUUAUUUGCUGAUAAAUUCCCUGAUAAAAUUCUUGACAAAACUCAAUUACAAAGAUUUCUUGGUAGCCUAAAUUAUGUUCUUGAUUUCUGUCCCAAUAUCAAUAGGUUGUCUAAACCUUUGCAUGAUCGUUUAAAGAAAAAACCUGCUCCAUGGACAGAUGAACAUACUAAAGCUGUUAAAUUAAUAAAGAGUUCUGUUAAAAGCAUCCCAUGUCUAUAUCUUGCAAAUCCUGCAUUUCCUAAAAUUGUUGAAACUGAUGCAUCUGACUUAGGAUAUGGAGGUAUAUUAAAACAAAAAGAAAAUGAUAGAGAACAGAUAGUACAAUAUGUUUCUGCACAUUGGAAUGAUUGUCAGAAGAAUUAUUCUACUAUUAAAAAAGAAAUUCUUUCCAUUGUUUUAUGCAUUACAAAAUUUCAAAGUGAUUUAUUAAAUCAAAAAUUUUUACUUAGAAUUGAUUGCAAAGCUGCAAAACAUGUUUUAGAAAAGGAUGUUGAAAACAUUGCAUCAAAACAUAUUUUUGCACGUUGGCAAGCUAUUUUGAGUGUUUUUGAUUUUGAUAUAGAAUUCAUUAAAAGUGAUAAAAAUUCUGUUCCUGAUUUUCUAACCAGAGAAUUUCUUCAAAACAGAUAAUGCCGCUAAGGAAAGACAAAGGUAAAGCUGUUCACAAAAGUACCGGAUCUCAAGAACCUUCCAAAGAACCCCAGUCAACCCCUUCUAAAGAAAAAUUACUUUCUUCUGCCCUACCCAUCAAAUCAUGGAUUGAAUUGGUUGAAGAACAUGAAACCCAAUACAAACCCAUCUCUUCUGAUGAUCAAGUAAAGCAUUGGAUGAGUUCCAUUACAAAAUCUCCCGAGCUCAUGCUCGCUCUACAAAACCUUUCCCAGAGCCAAAACUCUCCUAAAAAAGAGAUUGAGAGCAUAUCCAUAUCUAAAGAAAUUACAAAACCCUCCUCUCAAAAUGUUGUUGUCUCUGCUGAAAGCUCCUCUUCCCAAAUUAUGCUUUCUCAGCCAACACCUUCAAAGAAAACCUCCGAUUGGUUUGAUAAAACCCAUUUUCAAAAUAUUCUUUCUAUGGAAGAUGGAUUUUACCAUACUGAUCCUUUUCAAAGCAUUUCAAAGUUUUUUCCCAAAGGCUGGUUUUUCAAACCAUGGGAUUUGACAAAACCCCAGUCUUAUUAUCAAAGCAUUUUAGAAAUAACUGAAUCAGUUAAAUUCAAACAUUUCUUUCUUGAUAAAACCCAUUCUGAACCGGCCUAUUCCACGGCCACAAUUCUAAAAGUUUUGAGCCCAAACCAGUGGGGCGACCUACUCCACAAUUUCAAAACCUUUCCUUUAAACUUUGAAACCCGUUUACCACAUUGUCGGACUUUCUCCUACUGGGAUUACCAACAAGCAUGGUAUAACACCUUUUUUAUCCAAAACCCAAAAAAAUCUCAUUCUUGGUUAUUUUUCUUUAACCCUAAAAUAACCGUCCAAAGCCUUCCAAACUGGUUCCAUCAUUGGUGGAAUUUCUUUGGCCCAAUACCUCAAAUCCUCACUCCAAAUGCCAUAAAUUGCCUAAACCUCUUUAAAGCCCACUAUAUGCCCUCUGACUCAGAGAAAAGAUUUCCCCCCUUUCUCUGUUUUUGUACAAACUUCUUCCUACCAUGGGUCUGGAUGUGGAACCUCCGUUUUCAUACUCAAGAUUCCCAGGUCAUCCUUCAAAGAACCUUUAAAGUCAAAUGGUGGUCAAAAUUUGAUGAACAGUCCAAACUGACUGUUAACAUGAUCAAAGAUUGGCUCUCCUCUAAAAACCUUCUCCAACCAACCCUAGAAGCCUCUAAAGCCCAACAGACCUUCUUAACCCAAAAAUCCAAAGCCCAGUCUCUUUUGGCAAGUGCCAAGACAGAAGAAGAAUACUUCAAAGCAAUGGAACAGCUCCUCGCCUCCCGUUCAAAGUCAUCAGUAGCUGACACCUCUGAAGACGAAGACGAUGAUGAUGAUGAAGAGCCCUUCAUUUCUCUUGGAGACGAAAAUGAAGAUGAUUGUUUCGGCAUUUUUUCUCCUAUAAAGCAUUGUAAAUAAUUAUUUAGUUAUUUACUUAAAAAAAAAAAAAAAAAAAAAAAGUAAUUUUCUAUCGGGUGGUCCCUUGGACACAAGUGAGAGCGCACAUGUCUCUUCACCCGUGUUGUAUUUCAUUAUGUAUUUCAAUUUUUGUACAAAGUAGUCUACUGUUCAAAGCUACGGUCAGCCUACUAUUCAAAGCUACGAUCCAAAGUUUACUGUGCACUCAAAGCUCCGCUACAGUGAACAGUGCAAAGUUCCAAAGAUUACUGUGCACUCAAAGCUCCGCUACAGUGAACAGUUUACAAAGUUUUGUAUAUAAACCAAGAGGAAGACUCAGACUCCUCAGGUUUUUCAUUUUUCUCUUCUUCUCCUCCUUCUCUCUAGAUCUCUCUCUCUCUCUCUCUCUCUUGGGAAGUCUGGAUCAAGGCAUCAAGGAAAUCUUUCCUGUCUUGUAAUCUUCCCGUCUUUCAAUCUUCCCUUCUGGAAAGAUUUGAAAAAUUGUAAAGACCAAGACUAUCAAAGCAAAGAUGUAUGUUUAAAUUUCAGUUAUUUAAAUUCGAUGUAAUUUAAAUUUUCGCAAUUUACUUUAAAGCAAUUUACUUUUCUGCAAUUUAAUUUCAUGCACAUUUACAUUAACGCAAUUUAUUUUUAAAGCAAUUUUCUUUUCAAAGCAUGCAAAGCAGACUGGUCUUUAUCAGAUCUGCCAUAAAAUUUGUACGUUCCUCUGAGGCAAAGAGACCGGAUCUCGAUCCUCAGUUGUAAAUCUUCUCUUCUUCCUCCAUUCCUUCAGAGCACCAUUUCCGGGAUCCGGAUCUGGUACUGUGUAUGUACCCAAGCCCCUUAAAGAAUCUAAUUUAAAUCUGGAAUUAGCCCAAUAAAAAGAAACAACCACGUUUAAAGCAACUUAAUUUUAUCUGGUAAAUAUAUUAAAGUAUAUAGGCUGGAAACCCGAACGUGCGGACUAUUGAUCUGUUCUAAGUCAGAUCUGGGUCCAAAGGCAGAUUAACUUCUGCGAUCGAUCUGGUCUAACAACGCCACGUACUUUAAAUAUUUUAAAAAUUUGACCAACCGCGUUCAAAUUUGUUUGAUCAUUGUAUGCUCCAAAACAAAUCUACUUAAUCUAAAGCUGGUAAUCUUAUUUAAAAUUGGAACAACCGCGAUCCAAUUAUUUUAUUAAAGCAAUCAAUAAAGAAGCAUUUUGAAAACACACCCAUCCUUCGAUCCUAUUUCCUUCUGGUAUAUAUAUAUAUAUAUAUCCAACAAGUAAAAUUUCAAAACAAUAUUUGCCAAAGUCUGAUAAUGAGAAUAUAUACACACACAUUUGUAACCGUACAACAGAAGGAUAAAUAAAAGAAAAUGAAGUUUCAACAGCUGAAUAAUGCAAACUCAUUUUUUUAAAAGUAUUUUAUUGUUUAAUUAAAAAAUUCGAAAACCCAUUAUAUACAUGAUAAAGACUCACCGACGCCGAACCAUAUUAAUUUAAAUUAAUUUUCAACUGAGAUUUGAAUUUUGAAAUUACAUACACAAACACGCCCAAUUUUUUUAAAAAAGUACUAACAAUAAAAUAUUUCAACCGUCCUCUGUUUAGCCGCCAAAAACCGAUUUACCAUUUAUUACAACAAAAGGUGUACAUAGACGGAUAAAUAAUCCAAUCAUAAUAAUUUGAUUAUCAAUAUAUUAAUUAACCAUGUCCAAUCAUAAUAUUUAAUAAUCACCAAACUAACAAUUCGCAAGUUAGAUUAUACGUAUGAGAAUCUAGCAAGUCCAAUGAUAAUAAUUUGAUUUUUAUUAUAUUAACCGUGUCCAAUCAUGCUAUUUUAAUAAAGAUCACUCGAAUAUUUGUUUGUCCAACGGGUAAAAUUUCAAAACAAAUUUUGCCAAAGUCCUCCUCGGCUAAUUAAUUCAUACAUUAAUACAGUCCUCUUCUGCUGAAUAAUGCAAACCCGUUACGUUAUUCCACCAUUUCUUAAAUUUAAAGCAUUCCACCAUUUAAUAAAAAAAUUCGAAAACCCAUUAUAUACAAUACAAAAUGCCCACCGACACCAAACCAUAUUAAUUUAAAAUAAUUUUCAAUUGAGAUUUGAAUUUUAAAAUUACAUACACAAACACACCCGAUUUAAAAAAAAUAAUAAUAAUGCUAACAAUAAACCAAUUUAUAAUCUAUUUCAACAGAAGGUAUAUGGGUCAACAAGUCCCAAUAUUGUCCUCCAUCCUUUCUGCACUUCUCUGCUAUCAACGGACAUCCCACGAUCUGUAAUAGCAAAAGUGAGGAAGGCAGGCCCUUCUCCGGAAAGUAUUUGAGCUUGGGACAAUUCACGAGAACCAAUUCAGUGAGGUUUUGAAGAUCAACAAUUGAAGAAGAUAGGCGUUCCAGAUUUGGAAAAUUGUAAAUCGCCAGAGAUGUUAGAGAGGCAGUAAGAGGAAGCGCGGUCCCUAAUCUUUUGUCCUCUAGUGGAAAUGACACCAUCACCGUGUCGUCAUCACAUCCUUGGAUUUGUAGACGUCGCAGAGAGGAGAAUCUGUGAAAUCCCCGGCCCCGCUCAAUCAUUGACUUCCAAAUCUCCAUAUUACCCCAAAUACCAAGUGACUGAAGGUUGGUGGGAAGGCCAUCAUCUUCUUCAAGGCUUGGAAGCGCACCUCCUAUUGUUAAUUCUUGAAGAGAGGUCAGUUUGUGCAAUCCCUUGGGUAAGGCCUCUAGUCUCUUACAAUCAUGUAUCUCCAGCGUCGUGAGUUUCGCACAAGGCAAUCCCCCUUCGGGAAAGGACACCAGAUUUCCACAACUCUGUAUAGUAAUCCCUCGAAGCUGCCGGAGAUUAUGUAAACCACUCGGUAAAAUUUUGAGAUUUUCACAAUAAGAAAUGUAGACAUCUUCAAGAGAUGUGUUGUUGUCCAACCUUUCUGCUAUUGACUCCAGCUUUGAACAUCCACAAACAUGAAGGGACUUAAGAGACGGAGGUAGAUUGCCAACUUCAAGGGACUCAAGCGUGGCAGGUAACUCGUUUUUUGAAAAUAUACAUGUCAAUGAUGGACAUUCCCAAAUAACUAAGUGCUCAAGAAGAGAUGAGGUGUACCUUCUGCCACUGCUACACUGGAUGCCCUCUUCCACUGUCAAAGUCCUUAUAUUAUCGCAACGCCAGAUCGUCAACUCCUUAAGGCUUGAUGGUAGCUGGACAGCAGCAAUAUAUGUCAACGAACGGCAACCCUCAAUAUACAAGAUCUCCAGAGACGAAUUGGUGUCGCACAUCCAUGCCUCUGGUAACGAUUUCACUGCAUCACAAUGCCUAAUCUGAAUUUUCUUCAACUUGGAAGGCAGAGCAACCUCAGGAAAGGAAACAAGGGAACUGCACUUGUAGAUUUCUAUCUCUCUCAAGGAACUCAGGCUGAGCGAUGAUUGUGGCAGCUUCACAAGGCCUUCGCAUUCGCUCAAUCUUAGAUAUUCGAGUCUGCAUGACAACUCGCAGAGCUGCUGUUGUUGGUCUUUCUCUUCCUCCGCCACCAAGGAUUGAAGUUUGGGACAGCUUGUAAUCGUCAGACUUUUGAGAGAGCAAAUGUCCUGCAGUAAUUCGUUAUGGCUCUUCCAUAUACAUGUUUCAUUUUUAAUAUUAUUUAUCUCCAAUUCUUCCAGUUUUGGUAUUCGCGGCUUCAAUGGCCCUGCGAGAAACACUUGAUUUGAUGUAUCUCUACAAACCACUGAAUUCUGUGAGCCGAGAUGAUCAGUUGCACUUCUCCACACAACCUUUUUACAUCCACCAAUUUGCAAGUUACAAAGAGCUGGAAGACUCGUAACUGAAACUGACAAUUCCUCACAUCCUCCAAUAACAAGCAUCUCCAAUGCAGGAAGGCAUUCUGGCAAUGUUCCUCGCAGUUUAGAACAUCUUAAAAUGCGAAGCUCUCUCAAUUUAGGAAACCCUUCAACUCCCUGACUAGAUCUAAGAGGAAUCCAGUCUUCCCAUUCUUGCAUGUUUUCAAAACGAAGAGUCUCCAAGCAUGGAAAAGGAAUCGGGGAAUCAUUCCCAUAGAACUCUGAACCCAAACUCUUUACUCUACUCAUUCCUCGCACUUCAAGAUGCUUUAGAGAGGGUAGUUGCCCGACUGACGGCAGGGUAGUACACACGCCGCAAUCUUCAAAAGUUAAGGUCGCUAAAUUUGAGAAUGAGGAAUCUCCCAACCAAGUUGGAAAUGCUUUACCUCCAUAGCCACAGAUACCAAAUUGUUCCAGAUUUUUAUGGGGUUUGAGCAUGUCAAGCACACCCAUUUCAGUUUCUGCCUCCCUUGAAGAUGAACCAUCGGUACUGCGUGUCCAUCGAAGCAAUAAUUCUCUAAGAUUCUCCUUUACAUCCAAUUGAGCCUCCUUCGCAUUACCAACGUCUUUUACGUUCUCCAAUUUUGAAAUUUCAAGUGUCCCACGAAGAUGCGUCAACAACUUUAGCUCUGGUAACCUCGAACCGCUGUCUUUUCCCACAACAAAAUUAGACAGCGUCUGAAGACAAGUCAACUUGCCAAUUCCUAGUGGAAUCUCCUCCAAUGAAUCUGUAUUUGAAUUAUUGAGAUGAUGCAAUUUGAUGAGAUUUCCCAUGUCUGCACACAACUUCUUCAGUCGCCGACAGCCCUCCAACAAAAGGGUGUGCAAAUUGUAAAGCGUGUUGACUGAUUCAGGCAGAGUUCUAAUCUCAGUUCCAGAUAGGUUGAGGUACCUUAAAUACCUCAAAUCACCAAUUGAAUCCGGUAGCUCAGAGAUGCUAUAUCCACGCAAAGAGAAGACCCUCAACCGUUGGAGUUUGAACAACUUAGGAAGAAUGCUAUGGGCCAAGUAUCCGGGCCCGCUACCUAACAACGUUACUGGUAAAAGAGUUCCCAAAUGUUGCAUAUCGUACAACUCCUCAAACCUUUUAACACCAUCGUAAUCUCCACGAAUGUACGACAGAUGACGAAGAUUUCUUGGAAAACUUUGUUGCUUGUCAACCUCUGAGGUAUACUCCAUUAUGAAGUACAUUUCCCCAGCAGCCCAUUGAGCAAGGUCAUUGACGAGAUCGUGCAUCACAAAUCGUGAUAUACUGUUGCUUGAUUGUUGGAAGAAAGAUCUUGAACGUAGCUCUUGAAAGAACUUUCGACCUAGAUCUUCACUGGGAUUCUCACUCUCUCCGUGAUCCAAGAAACCCGAAGCACACCAUAAUAAAAUUAUCUCCUCCUCUUCAAAUUCAUAAUCCUUUGGAAACAAUGAGCAGUAUGCAAAGCAUUGUUUCAAAGGUGCCGAAAGAUAAUAGUAGCUCACUCUAAGCGCCGGUAUAAUGUCACAUCUCUCUUCUGGUAAAUCCCAUAUCUUGCAACUGAGCACACCUUCCCAAUCACUCCGGUCAAGUUUACCACGUAAGAGACCACCAAGAGUUUUCGCAGCUAAGGGCAAGCCGUUGCAUUUGAUCACUAUCUUCUUGCCAAUUUCCUCCAAUGACUUGUUUGAACUGAAAUCUCUUGUCCCCAAAGAGUGUUGAGCGAACACAGACAGACAAUCAUCAUUUGACAACUUUUUCAAUUGAUAAGCCGGAGCAGUCCCCAUGAUGGCUGCAACCUCUUGAUUACGAGUUGUGACAAUAAUCUUACUUCCUGGUGCGCCAGCUUCAAACGGACGGCUCAUGUCAACCCAGUCAUUGUAAUUCUCAUUCCAAACGUCGUCUAAAACAAGCAAAAAUUUCUUUUGAGAUAACUUCUUCUUCAGCUCCUCUUGAAGCAAAUUUAAAUCACUGUCAUCAAUAGCCUGCUUGGUAACGGAUCUUAGAAUUGUUUUUGUUAGCCCCUUAACGUCGAAAUCCUCAGAGACACAAGUCCAUGCCUUGAGAUCAAAAUGACCCUGCACUCGAGCAUCAUUAUAGACAAGCUGAGCGAGAGUGGUUUUACCCAGCCCGCCCAUGCCUAUGAUAGGAAUAACAGAGAAUUCACCAUCAUUUCUCAAAUCAUCCCUCAACAACAAUUCAACAAUUUCCUUCUUUUCUGUUUCCCUGCCAUAUACCUUGGCUUCAUUCACCAAAGAGGUUGUGGGUAGUCUUUGCCUGUCUUUUUUGGAUCUCCCAGCUGAACUUUCUUUCAAACAAAGCGAGUCUUUCUGUGUUACAAUAUCUUGAAAUCUGUCGUUGAUCUCUUUGAUUUUGGACAUUAUGGCGUAAUCGAACUGAAUCGAUUGUGGAGUAAAAGUGGUGCAGCAAUUAGGAAUGAGCUUCCGAAACUUAUUUGUUCUUGUACGACUGCUACUGGAUUGAUCAUGAGCCGCAGCUGGAUCUCCAUUUCCAAGCAGCAACUUCCUCCGGGAAGCCUCAGUUUGAAACUCAUCCAACAAGUCUUCAACAUCAAAAGCCAAGUUCUGAAGCUCGCCAAGCCACAACUUCACAGACUGAGCAGUCUUCUUCUCCUCAGCAUCAGCAAGCACCGCCUUGAUCAUCACCAACAUAUUCUUCCACUUCUUUAGGUCGGCUUGGAUUUGCUCUUGGCGUGCAAACAGCCGAAUCCCCUCUGAAGCUAACUUAUUGACCAGCAAAUCAACGGACGCCGUAAGGAUUGCCUCUCCGAUGAUUGACAUUUUUUUUUGUUUCUCAAAGAAAGAAACAGAAUUUUGAGUUUUGAAAAGCAAAAUGAGAAAAUUGAACAAUAAGUGUGGAGGGUCAAGCAAAAUGCGCGUAACAAGUCUUCCGCUUGUUGUUUAUUCCACUAAAGUGAAAAUAAAAACAGAGCCCACCACCCAUUAAUAAUUGAGCAAUUCACCAAUCACCAGUCACCACCACUCGUUACCAUGAAUAUAAUAAAUUGCACCUUGAUAUUUGCAGGGUCCAGCAACAUUGACCCAGUGUCCGGGUAAGUGCUGAAUAACGAGGAAAAUGGAAUGUAUCCGCUACGAACCUUCGCUUUGCAAGUCUUCAAACUCAUAAACCAAGAUAAAUCAAAACGUUUCUCUCUCUCUCUUUUUGCCAUAUAAUUACUUUAUUUAUUGAAUUAAUUUCCAUGCUAAAAGGAAGACUUAAAACUGCACUACAAUUUUUUAUAAUCACAAUGAUAAUUUCUACUAUCAUGUUAUUUUAAUGUCGUGUUAAAAUAAAUUAUUACAAAGUUUUUUUUAUGAACACUCUUUUCAUUUAUAAAUUUUUUAAUUUGUAAUAUUUUUCUCACUCUUUUAGUCUUAAUAUUUGUAUUUCUCUCUUCAAACUUUCUUUAUUAUUUAAUUUUUAAAAAAAAAUUUAAAAAAAAAAUAUUAUACUUAAAAAAUAAUGAAUAUUUUAUGAAUCUAAUACAAGCCUGUAUUAUUUUUGACAAUGAAAGAGCACGCGAAAAAUCUCACUCAUAGAAAAUUUAGUGAAAGGCAUUUGAAUGUGCGGCCACAUUUUCCGAACGAAACGAUAAGGCUUUAGCCUUAUAAUUGCAAUUAGUUUGUCUUGUAACUAAAUUAUUGCCGACAAACACCAUCAUGCUGACAAACCGUGCAUGCACGUCCACAAUUACCCACGUCCUCUACUUGUGUGAACCGUGAUUCUCAAAGACUUUGACAUUUGGCUCACUGAUUAUGUGUGCAAUAUUCCCGUAUUUCCCAUUACUUCCCGUACUUUAUGCUUUAUUGUUUUGUAUGUCUUUUGGUGUUUGCGGUGUGGUUAGGGAUGGUAGCGGGUUGGGUCUGGUACGGGUUUGACAUCACUAAACCCGCAUCUACAAAAAAAUUUAAUUACGUAAUUCAAAUUAUAAGUUUAUAACCGUUGUCUAAAAAAACCACAUAAAAUACUUAAUUCUACAUUUUAUCAAUAUAAAUGAGAAAUGAAAAUAUCAACAUUAAAACAAAUACACAAAAUAUAUCAAUUUAACACCAAUUCUCAUAUUCAAUUACCAAAUAAAUAAGUCUAUCACAAGUCGAAGUGCUUUCAAUUUAAUAAGAAAAAAGAGAAAGAGAAAAAAACAAAGAACAACAAAUCAAAGUAGCACCCAGACCUAUUUCAUAGGCUCAUUCAACACUAAGAUCUUAGAAUUAAGAUCUUCAAUUCAUUCAUUACCACUAGCACCCAUUCAACGUGGUUUUUCUAAGCAAAAUAUAAAGUACAAAAUUACAAUAAGCAUAUGAUACUCCAUGCUUUAAGUUAAAGGUCCUUAUAUAAUUUUAUGAAUAAUGUUUUAGUGAAAUUUUAUGAUUAAAGUUAAAAAUACACAAAUAUUAAAAUAAGAAUUUUGGACACUUGCGCAACUAUUUGCCAAAAUUUUUCUCUAUGAAAAUCCACCUGCAACUUGCAGCAGGUUUAAGUUUAUAAUAUCAAACUUGAUUGUAGCUCGCAAAAUUUUUGGAUUUGAGAUAAUUUUGACACCCUAAGUGUAGUUAGUAUUGUAUAUCGUGUGUUUCCAAUUGGCUCUUAUAAAAAGCCUAGAAGUUGUUUGAAUAAUGAGGGAGACAAAUAUUUCCCAAAGAUAUUCUCUUUUUCAAAUUUUUUUCUUUUCUCUAUUAUUGUAACUUCAAAUCCUUAAAAAUUACAUAUUAUAGACAUGAACACAAUAUUUUGAUAUAGUGGCUUUUGGCUUGUCCAGAGAAAUUUAUGAUAGAUUUUGAUGUACUAAGGUUAUGUUUACUAUUGAGAUUUUGGAACUUUUGAGCCACACUUGAAAUUUGUUUAAUUCUAAUAGAGUUGUAGCCUUCGAUAUGUGCUUGGUAUUAAUCAAGUGUUAUGUUUACAGCAGUUAAAGGCAUAUUGAAUCAAAGUCCACUUUUGAUUGAGAUUUUAAAGUAGGUUUUUAAUUUGAUAGCCACUCAAGUUCAAAUAUUGGAACUACAGUGCACCUUUCACUUGCUAGGCUUUAACCAAACAGACGACGUUAUACAAACUUCUAUCCAAUAAGGCAAUGCAAACAAAAGCAAGUGAAUUAAAAAUAAAUAAUUUCUCAUUAAUUUGCAACAAGUAUUAAUAAAGUGCAUGAGAAAAUAUGUCUUUUUUUAAAUGAAAAUAAAUGUGUUAAUUAGUCAAUUUAAAUGGUACGAUGUUUUGAAAUGAUAGAAGCGAUCUGGAGUUUAAAUCUUACUCUUGACGUAAUAUUUAAUAACGAAUUUGAAGAACAAUUAAAAAUUAAAAGAAAAGAAAAAAAUGCUUUCUUUUUUAACGAUGGUAAUUUGUUCAGAUGAUGAAAAUUCUUAGAGUGGUAUAAUAAGUAUUUUUGAGUGUUGCCAUCGCCAAUAAUAUUUAGUUUCCUUUAUAUAGUUAUAUCUCAAGUAACAUUUAAACAGAAGCAAGUUGGAAAUUAAAAAAAAAAAUGAACCAUUGAGAGAAUGAAAAACAAACAAAAAAAAAGUUAAAAAAUUGUAUCUCAAUAAAUUUACUUGAGAGCUACUCUACUGAUAUGUGAAGAGAAAACACAAAGAAUAAUGAUGUAUCUCAAUUAAUAGGACAAUUUUUGUAUUUUUCGUUUAUUCAAGAAUCACGAAACUUCAUUUAAACUUGUUAUUUCAUUGAUAAUAUAUUAACAUUGAACAAUGUAGGGGACAUUCCUUUCCAAUUAUGCCCAUAUAUUAACUAAAGGCCACCAAAAAGUUCAGGGAUACUAUAGUAAUUUAAGUCAACAAUUACUAUGCUUGAAAUCAGCCAAUCAAACUCACUUUAGAAUAAACUGAGAAAUCAAAAUCACAUUCUCCAAUUCUACGAUUUCAAUUCAUCUUCUUUCUUCAACUAAAGAAUUGGUUGUAUCUCGUUUAGAUAAAUAUAAAAUAUAAAUGACGAGGAGACUAGAAAAGUAAAAUCAAAAGAAGAGCACGAGUUUUGUUGAAAAUGACUCUUUUUCAUCAUUGUGCCGGAGUGAAUGUAUCUACAUAUAAACUAAAGAAGCACAUUUGUUUGUAUUAGCUUUUUUAUUGUAUUUUUAAUAAUAAGUCAUUUUUCAAUGAACUUAUAUCAAUUUUUAUGAAAAUAAUAGGUGUUAGUUAGUUGAUUCAAAUGGCAAAACCUCUUGGGAUAGAGCUUGUAAUUUAUUGGCUCAUGAAUUGUCUAAAUUGACACUACCGAAGCCAAAUUAUUGUAUUUGGUUAAAAAAGCUCCUGCUCAGCUUCAACUUUAUUAUUCUAUGAUGUUUGUUAAUAAAUAACAAUUUUAUUGAAAAAAAACAAGACCCCUUGAACUUAUACAAAAGAUUUGGGAUCUGAAUCUGACUCGAAUUUAGCUUGAGGUUGACAUUGUUAGCAUAAUAAUUGAAGAUAGAUUUUUUUAAAUUAAAAAUCAAAAGAUAUUUUUUUUUUUUUGGGUUCACACUAGUUAGUUUUAACUCAUUGUGAGAUUUAAACAAAAGCGGAAUAAUAAAUCUUAACAUCCUGACUCAUGGAUAACAUCUACAUAAGAUAGUAAAAUCUAUUAUAUCUAAAAUAAGAGGUAUGAAGUUUGAAUUUCGCUUACAUAGGUAGUAAGAGAAUCAAAUUAUUGUUAGAUUAAAGUAAUUAAAAAAAUUAUCUGAUAUCCAAAACAGCAUAUCAACAAAAUUGAAAUAAAAGAAAAUUGAAGAGAAAAACCAUUGGGAGAACGAAAAAUUAACACAAGAAAAUUUCGAUAACUAAUUGUAUCAGUGUGCGCCAACUUCACUUAUUAAAACUUGGUUAUUUCAUUUUCAUUGAUAAUCAUUUUGACAACGAUUUUUCUUUCCAGCUAUGCCCAUGAACUAAUAAGAGAACUGCCGAAAAGGUUCGGGGAUAAUAUAGUAAUUUAAAUUAAAAUUUUCUGUGCUUCAAAUCAUCAAAUCAAACUCACACUUCACAACAACAGAGAAAUCAAACUCACAGUUUCUCUCAUUUUUAAUUUGCUAUAUAAAGAUAAAUAUAUAAAUUUAAAUGGCGAGAAGACCGGACGAGGAAUACGAUUACUUGUUCAAAAUGGUAUUAAUCUAAAAAUAAUAAUAUUAAAUAAAACACCUGUAACUUUAAGACAUACAUAUUCUCAAAGCACAAGUGGAGCCGAGAGGCUGGGAGUCGUAAUGGAAAGAAGAAUAAAAUAUAUGAAACUUAUAAUGUUAUUUUUACUAUAUUAUAUUGAUACUUUGUUUUGUUAAUCAUAUAAGUCAAUCAAUAAUUAUUUAAUCAUUGGAAUUAAAACUAAUGUAUUAAUUAAAAUUCAAAAUCUAUUAUAAAAAUAGUAAAUAUUAAUACAAAGAGAUGGACAUAUUACAAAAUACAUUCACUAAAAGUUCUAUUAUACUUAAAAUUUUCAUUCACAAAAAAAAAAUAAUAGUUGAAUACAUGUACAAAAAAAGGGGAUAAAUAAAAAAUAAUAAUAAUAAAUAAUAAAAGGAUAGUUUACAUAAUAGAAAAUAAAUUUAUUGAAUAGGGAUGUUAAUAAUAAAGAAUAAUAACCGAUCAAACUCACUUUAGAAUAAAUUGAGAAAUUAAAAUCACAUUCUCCAAUUCUACGAUUGACUCUUUUUCAUCAUUUUGCUGGAGUGAAUGUAUCUAUAUAUAUUGGGGACCAUAAUAGAAACGGGUAGAACCUAAACGAACGAUAUCUCUUUUUCAUCAGAACAACGAACGAUAUCUCAAGGUCGCCGAAACGUAAAUAAUUAAUCUUAUCUUUCAAUUGAUUUUUUGUGGAGACAGAGACAAUUAAACCCGAGCAGCAAAUAGCCAUAAAUGAUAGGACAAUUAAAUUGGAACUCUCCGCAGACCCACGAUUUAAUAUCUUUAGAUUGUAACGGUUUAACCAAAAAAAAAAAAUCUUGUAAAAUAUUUCUUAAAGAAAUGAAAAAAAAAAAUGUUGAAAAGAAGAACAAAAUUGUGGUCCACGUGUCAUUUCAAAAUAGGUUGCUGGCAUAAACAACCGGCCCCAUCUCGGACAGAUGUUAUUUGAGUGGCUAGUGCGUGUUUCCACUUUUUUGUUUUAGAUGCAACAACUCAUGCACUAUAUAUAUAUAUUAAGAUACAUCUCUUUCGUAUGAAUAAUAUAUAUGUGUGGAAUUCACGCACUGUUCAUAUGAGAGGAAUGUAUCUUACAUGUAUGUAAGAUGAAAGGAUCCAUAAAUUUAAUGUUAUUAGUUUAAAUAAUGGGUGCAACUCAUGUUUUUGAAACAUUAAGAUCUUUAGCCAUUCUGUUACUAUCCCGUAGUUAUUUAAGUUACAAGAGACAGUAAAAAAACAACGUCAUAUUUUAAUUACUUACACUAAAUAAAUUACUCACACUAAUGCCACGACUGCUGCUUGCUUUUUUUCUUUUUUUCGCCCUUUUGCUUUUACUUUUUGACUUUUGCUUUUGGUUUAUAAUAAUAAUAAUAAUAACAACUUUUUAAUUUAAUAUAAUAUUAAAUAAUAUUUUUAUUUUUAAUUUUAUAUUAUAAUUAUUAAUAUAUAACUUAUUAUUCAAUAUUAUUAUAUUAUGUUUUUUAUUUUUACAUUAUAAUUUAUUAAUAAAUUUAUAAUUUAUUAUAACUAAUAAUAAAUAUUUAAAUAUGAAUAAAUUUGAAUAAUAUUAAUUUAAAAUUAAUAAUAAUAUAAAAUAUUAAUACAAUUUAAAUAUAAUAUAAUAUUUAAUUUAAAUUAAUCACAAAAAAUUAAUAUAGUACAAUGUAGCACCAAAUAUUAUACAUUAUUAUUAUAAUACAGUGCUAAUGCAACGCAAUAUAAUAUAAUACAUCAGUAUUAAAAUAAUACAAUCCAACAUAAUAUAAUACAAUGUGUGAAAUGCACCGAAAUGGUAUUACUUUGUUUGUCUUGUUAUUUACCAUUAUUUAAUCUGUAGACCCACUCAUGCUCCUUCUAUGUAACAUAGAUACAAUUUGAGGAAGAUUAUCAGUUUUUUCGAAUAAAAAAUAAUACAUACCACUUACCCUUUAUUGUUUUUAUAAUGUUCAACAAUCCCCUUGAGAUAAAAAAAAAAAAAAAAAGAAGGAAUAAAUAGAUGAUUUACUUGAUAUUGUAUCUUAGAAAUAUAAAAUAUAUAUAUUUAUUAUUAAAAAUAUUUAAAAAUAAUAAAGAGUACAUAAAAAAAUAUCUUAUCCUCAACAACAAGAUCAGACGACGUCAAUUCAGCAAAAUGACUUGAACAAUUUGAAAGUCCAGCAACGGUCACCUCUUGGCACACAUAUGGCAACGUGUGUAGCUUUGGCAAGAGGUCUCCCAAAAGGACUAUUAAGGAAAGAUUGCAAGACAGAACAUGAAAAUAGUAGUACUGAGUCCAUCACAGUCAACUCUUAGAAAUCACAUCCCUGUAUUAAUUUCCAGAAAUAUGUUUGUUCCAUAUUUGCCGUACACGUAUAUAUUCUAUAUCAAUUAAAACUUAACUUAUGUAUGAGUUUUUUUUUUUUUUUUUAAAAGAAAGUAAACCUUUCAUAAAUCACAACACAUCAAAUACAACUUGAAUCUCAGCUUGGAUAGUUCCUUAGAUAGAAGAAGAGUUUCUCCCCAAAGCUAACUUAGAUAGGGCAUGGGCAUAAGCAUUACAUUGUCUUGGAGUAUGAUGGACUGCCACUUUCUGAAAAUCCUUCAACUGAUUUUGGAUCUCCAGAAUUAUCCAAAAAAUUUCUGUUCUAUUGUCCUUAGUGUUGUUUACUAACUGGACCACCUGUAAGCAAUCUGACUCAAUGAUCAAGGAGGCUAAAUUUGCUUCUCUCGCCACCUGAAUUCCCCAUAACAUAGCCUUGGCCUCUGCAACAUUGACCGUUCCCUUUAGAGAAGACUAAUUGAUGCCAGCUGCAAUUACCUUGCCGUUUGUUCCUCUGAUGACUGCUCCCACUCCUGUAGACUGAUCCUUGGCAUUAAUGGCAGCGUCCACAUUGACUUUGAAGACAUUUUUAGGGGGAGGAAUCCACUUCUGCAGCUUCUCUCCACUGGGGUAGGCAAUAUGAGAGGGGUCUGUCCUCCUGACUCUUUGAAAUGCAUCCAAAACAGACUCUGCCUUUGCAGCUGAGAUAUUGGGGGCUAUCUUCUUGCCUUCGAAAAUAAAUUUAUUUCUAGAAAACCAUACAACCCAGCACAAAGCUACCAUUAACUCCAAAUCAACUUUCCUCAACUCAUUGGCCAUUCCUUGCAAAAUGCUAAAAAUGUACUGAGAGUGGUCUUUAAAGCUUGGAACCAUAAAGGGAGAUUGCAGCCAAAUCGAUUUUGCUGCCUUACACUCCAAUAAGGCGUGGCUUAUGGAUUCUAUGCUCUUUCUACACCUUUGACAAUUUGGCUCUUGGAGGACUUUCUUUUUCCACAGAUUUUCUACUGAUGGGAGCAGAUUGUUGGAUGCCCUCCACAUAAAUAUUUUUAUUUUUUCAGGUAGCUUCAGGGACCAAAGGGCAGUCCAAUACUGAGGCUUGCUCUCUGAGUUACUAGGAGCAUCUGGAAAUUUCAUUCUUAAGGCCAGCUGGUACCCACUCUUGACCGAGUAUUCUCCCUUUUUAUCAUAAUGCCGUAAAACUUCAUCACCCAAAUGCUCUUUUGGGAGAGGGAUCUUAAGAAUCAUUGCUGCAUCUACUUCCAAAAAGUGUUGGUUCAGCUUGUCUUCAUCCCAAUGGUUAUCUUCCUUGAUUAGGUCUGCCACCACUGUGUCUGCUGGCAAAGUAGGGGGGAGAUUGGCUUGAACGUAUCCGGCCUUGGCAACCAAUUAUCCUUGUAAACAGAUAUGUUCUUGCCAUUGCCCACCCGCCACCUAAAGCCUUUCUUGAUUACCUCUCUACCCCAAAGAAUGCUUUUCCAGAUGAAUGAAGCAUUGGACCCUACUGAUGCACUUAGAAAGCUGAAGUUCUUGUAAUAUCUUGCUUGAAGGACUCUUGAGAUCAGAGAAUUUGGGUACUGCAGAAGCCUGCAAGCUUGCUUUGCCCCUAAGGCUUGGUUAAAGCUAGUAUGAACAUGUAUGUGUGGGAUUCACGCACUGUUUAUGUGAGAGAGAUAUAUUUUACGUACAUGUAAUAUAUGAAGAUCCAUGAAUCUAAUGUUAUUAGUUUAAAUAAUGGGUGCAACUCAUGUUUUUGAAACAUUAAGAUCUUUAGCCAUUCUCUUACUAUCCCGUGGUUAUUUAAGUUACAAGAGACAGUAAAAAAACAACAUCAUAUUUUAAUUACUUACACUAAAUAAAUUACUCACACUGAUGCCGUGACUGCCGCUUGCUUUUUUUUUUUUUUUUGGCCCUUUUGAUUUUGACUUUUGCUUUUGGUUUAUAAUAAUAAUAAUAAUAAUAAUAAUAAUAACUACUUUUUAAUUUAAUAUAAUGUUAAAUAAUAUUUUUAUUAUUAAUUUUACAUUAUAAUUAUUAAUAUAUAAUUUAUUAUUCAAUAUUAUUAUAUUAUGUUUUUUAUUUUUACAUUAUAAUUUAUUAUAACUAAUAAUAAAUAUUUAAAUAUGAAUAAAUUUGAAUAAUAUUAAUUUAAAAUUAAUAAUAAUAUAAAAUAUUAAUACAAUUUAAAUAUAAUAUAAUAUUUAAUUUAAAUUAAUCACAAAAAAUUAAUACAGUACAGUGUAGCACCAAAUAUUGUACAUUAUUAUUAUAAUACAGUACUAAUACAACGCAACAUAAUACAAUACACAAACAUUAAAAUAAUACAAUCUAGUAUAAUACAAUACAGUGUGCGAAAUGCACCGACAUGGUAUUACUUUGUCUUGUUAUUUACAAUUAUUUAAUCUGUAGACCCACUCAUGCUCCUUCUAUGUGACAUAGAUACAAUUUGAGGAAGAUUAUCAAUUUUUUCUGAUUAAAAAUAAUAUAUACCACUUAUUUUUUAUUGUUUUUAUAAUGUUCAACAAUCCGCUUGAGAUCAAAAAAUUAAAUGAAAAGAAGGAGUAAAUAGAUAAUUUACUUGAUGUUGUAUCUUAGAAAUAUAAAAUAUAUAUAUUUAUUAUUAAAAAUAUUUAAAAAUAAUAAAGAGUACAUAAAAAGUAUCUUAUCCUCAACAACAAGAUCAGACGACGUCAAUUCAGCAAAAUGACUUGAAUAACUUGAAAGUCCAGCAACGGUCACCUCUUGGCGCACACAUGGCAACGUGCGUAGCUUUGGCAAGAGGUCUCCCAAAAGGACGAUUAAGAAAAGAUUGCAGGACAAAUCAUGAAAAUAGUAGUACAGAUAUGCAAUGGCUAAAUUUCCUCGAUUAAGUCCAUCACAAUCAAGUCUUAGAAAUCACACCCCUGUAUUAAUUUCCAGAAAUAUGUUUGUUCCAUAUUUAUCGUGCACGUAUAUAUUGUAUGUAUUGGGAAUAGAAAGAGUGUAUGUAAAAAAUUCUUCAUUCAUCGAUUAAAACUUAAUUUAUGUACGAGGGUUAAGUGUAGUGUUUUUAAAUUUAAAAAGGACAAGUGUCAAUCCACUGAGGCUUGCCUCAAUGGUUAGGGCCACACUCCCUCACAAAGUGGUUUGAUCUCCCGUAGAUGCAUUAUAGAGGUUUAAUUUAAAUUUUUUUUCUCAAACUUUGAGUGAAGACAAUCUUUCUCUCAAAAAUAAAAUUUUUUUAGGAGUUUGACGUCCAUCGAAUAUUUGAGAUGAUUAAAAUUUGAGCGGUGCUAUAUAAAAUAUAAUGUAAACUAAUCUAAAUAAUUAUAUAAUUAUAAAUAUAAUGAACAAUAGUCUCAUACAAAAAAAUGACAAGUGUAGUAAGCCCAUUUAAAUUAACUUAUAUUUGAGGGGAAAAUCUCUGUAUAUCAUAGUAUAUAUUAUAUAUCCAGUCGUGGGACCCAUGCAUGGUUCCAUGUAAUUCGCACAGUUGAACUGGAGACACUGAUUAGUUCGUUGUCUAUUUACCAACUUAUGUACAACUAAGUAAUUGCAUGCACCAUUUGCGACUUAUUUGUCCACCCUGCUUGCAUUGCAUUAACUACGUACCCUGUCACCCACGUCCGCUACUUUUGUGAAUGUGUAUAUAAAUAUAUAUAUAUAUAUAACCAGAAUCAGAAGCAACUUAAGUUUUGAUUACGGUUCACCAGAAGUCACAGCUAGCAAGUGAUCCUUGCAUCAUUUUACUAAACAUACAAUGAAAUUAACCUUGUAAUUUCGGCCUUUGCCAUAGUCGUUUUGUUCAUUAGGUUUAUGUUUAUCAACAUGAUAUAUUGUCAACCAUAAUCACAAUCAAGUUGUUAAUUAUUUUUUAAAUAAUGCGAAGGUACAAGAUUUUGGUCUUUGAGUGUGGAGUUAAAAAUAUCUCACCUCAAUAAACGGUGUUGUGCUCUCAUCAUCGUAACAUUAUUUGUUAAAAAUUAUGUCAAAUAGGAAAGCAGAUUCAAACAUUACUUCAAUUUUCUUUAAGAGCAUAAAAAAAUCGUUAAUAGGCUACUGUUAUUUGUUAGUACGAUUUCACAAAAGGAAGCUAGAGGAAGAUGAAGCUCUCAAGUCAUGUAUGCAUCAAAGUAAGAAACAGAGCUAACGAGAGAUGGACAAGUAUUAACCAUUGUUAUCAGAAAUUAAAUAUAUCAGCAUUUUGUUAGUUCUGGCCAUAUUUUGAAAGAUUGAAACUAUUAGCACCCUAAUUUUCUUUUGAAGCUCCUUUUCUGUCUAAACCUAUUUUAAUUUCCAAAAUAUCUUUUUCCAUUUUUUUAGUUUCUUUCUGAUUCAAAAAAAAAAUCAGUUUCUUAAACAACUCCAACUACAAAUAUUUUUUUACAAAUUUUUGAAUUAUUAAAUCAUAUGUGUGUGUAUAAAUUGAAUAGAAUUAAAAGUGGACUCAAAUGGCUAUUAUGUAAUUUUUUUUAUAAUUAAAGAAAAGUUUAGAAUGCAAAAGUGUGUGUGAGAAAACAAAAAAUAUAAAUCGCCUUUGAUGUAGUUGUAUGGUUGUAAAGAGUUAGAUGGAGAAAUAUAGUAUAUAAUUAAAUUUACUUUGUUCCUUAAAACGGGUAGGUUUUAUAAGAAUUUUCUAGAGGAGUGCCAAUAUUUCAACUUUUUUUCAAAUGAAGUGAUGUCUUGGAAUAAAAUCACUACUCUAUCAUUGCUAUUAGUUUGUCUUGUAUUUCAAUAAUUGCCGACAAGUAUUAAUUGUGAAUAUUAUUAUUUUAAAAAUAUUAUUAUUAUUAUCGUCGUUAUUCUUAACAGCAAUGACUAGAAUUAUAAUAAGAACAAUAACGUUAAUACAAUAAUAUAACAACAUAAUAAUAUUUUAAUUGAGAGGAUAAGAAUAAAAUUAUGAAAUUUAGGUUGGGUAAAAAUAGUAAGUAUGAGGAAAUUAAAUUACCAUUUUUUAAGCUAAACAAUUUAUAAAUUCCACAUAUUUCAUUCUUAUUUCUCUUAUAUUUUAACAAAUAAACAUUAUCAAUCGUUUUAAUAUUUUAAUUAAUAAACACGGCAUUAACUACGGAACUAAAAGAUCCCAAAAAAAAAAAAAAAAACAGAGACGCGUGUAUGUAUUGCUUGUGAAAAAUCUCACCCAUGGAAAACUUUGUGAAAGGCAUUUGAAUGUGUGGCCACAUUUAAUGAACGAAACGAUAACUUUAAAAGAAAGUAUCUACUGUGUUAAUUACUAGGCUUUAGCUUGAUGAUUGCAAUUAGUUUGUCUUUUAAUUAAAUUAUUGCGGACAAACACUACCGCGACCCACGUCCGCUACUUGUGUGAAUGUGUGUAUAAAUAUCCGCAGCAUAUUAUCAAACUUGAAGCGUGAUGAUCUUUAAGUUUUGGUUACGGUUCAUCAGACGUUAGAAGAUAUCUUUCCUAAUUUGAAGAAGAUGGAAACUCCUUAUCCAGGUUCUUAGGUUGAAUGUCAUUUAUAAUUUUUAUUUUAAUAUUAUGUAUUUAUGAAUACAAUUAUUGUUAUGAUUUGUUUAGGUAAAAAUAAAUGGUCUGAGGGUAACCCAAUAACUAUGUACAAUAUUAUUAAUGAUGAAAGUGUGAAUGACAAUUUAGAUUUUAUUCUCGUCCCUCAAUACGGAAAAAAUUUCGACUAUAAUGGUUAAGUGCUAUGUAACUCUUUUGUAUUAUAUUUAAUUAAAUAAAAUGAUGGGUUAUUAUUACUUAUCAAUUAUGUGAGUGUCUCUACUUGAUUUAGUUCAACUUAUAAAAUCUCUUGAGAUAUAUAAAAGAUUUUCUUUGUUCACUUUCAUGUACGGCGUCUUCUUGUAAAAAGAAAUUAAUAAAAAAAAUAUCAUUCUCUGCAAUGUAUUGACUAAGUUAGUGUAUUCAUGUUAGCUUAAUUGUGCUCUCUCUCCUUGGGUUUUUUUUUUUAAAAAAAAAAAAACUCGACGUAUUGUUGGUUAGCUAAUUCUUGCAGCAAGCAAGUGAUCGAUCCUUUUCUUUCCCCUACUGCUGUAGCAUCAAAUCCUUACAAUUACAUAUCAAGUGGUAUUCGACCCGUCAAAUGAUCCAUGGAAACACGCAACAAAUCAAAUGCUGAAUUUUGCGAAGAGAUUCACGAAAUCCUUGCUAGACAUGAGUCUAGUUUUGACCAAGUUCACGUCACCCAUCAGCUGCGGGUUUGAAUGGUACCUAGUGGAUAUUUUGUGAGUUCCCACUAAUAAAAUCACAAUUGCAACAAAACUUAAAAAUUUAAAUUAUGUAAUUCAAAUUAUAAAUUUAUAAUCAUAGCCUAAAAAACCACAUAAAAUACUUAAUUCUAUAUUUUAUCAUUGUAAAUGAGAAAGGAAAGUUUUAAUAUUAAAAUAAAUACACAAAAUGUAUCAAUUUAACACAAAUUCUCAAAGUUAAUUACCAAAUAUAUAAGUUUAUCGCAACUCAAAGUGCUUUCAAUUGAAAACGAAAAAAGAGAAAGAGAAAAAAAAUAAAGAACUACAAAUCAAAGUAGCAGCCAUGACCCAUUUUGCAGUCUCAUUCAAUACCACUAGCACCCAUCCAACACAAUUUUUCUAAACAAAGUAUAAAGUACAAAAUUACAAUAAGCAUAUCAUACUCCAUGCUUUAAGUUAAAGAUCCUUAUAUAUUUUUAUGAAUAAUUUUUUAAUGAAAUUUUAUGAUUAAAAUUAAAAAUACAAACAUUCAAAUAAGAAUGUCGGACACUUGCACAACUAUUUACCAAAUUUUUGCCCUAUAAAAAUCGACCUGCAACUUUCAAUAGGUUUAAAUUUAUAAUAUCAAACUUGAUUGCAACUCACAAAAAUUAUCCGUUGCGGCCAAGACUUUGGAUUUGCGAUGAUUUUGCCACCCUAAGUGUAGUUAGUAUUGUAUAUCAUGUGGCUCUUAUAAAAAGCCUAGAAGUUGUUUGAAUAACGGGGCAGACACAUAUCUCCCAAAUAUUUUCUCUUUUUUAAAUUAUUAUUUUUUCUCUAUUAUUGUAACUUCGAAUCCUUAUAAAUUAUAGAUUGGAGACAUGAACACAAUGUUUUGACAUAGUGGACUUUUGGCUUGUCCAGAGAAAUUUAGGAUAGAUUUUUACGCACUAAGGCUCUAUUUACUAUUGAGGUUUUAGAACUUUUAAGCCACACUAGAAAUUUGUAUUGUUUUGAUAGAGUUGUAGUCUUUGAUAUGUGAUUGGUAUUAAUCAAGUGUUAUGUUUACAAUAGUUAAAACGCAUAUUGAAUCAAAAUCCACUUCUAAGGGCUUGAUUGAGUGAUUGUAAAGUAGGUUUUUAAUUUGCUAGCCACUCAAGUUCAAAUAUUGGAACCAUAGAGCUUUAUAGCCAAGUGAGAGAACUGGUGCCUUAAAAAUUGAGGGGUGCAUAUCGAGUUUUACCACCAAUAAAAGUUGGUGUUAAAACUUUAAUUUCACUCCUAUUGUGGAUAGGGGUAAUUAGGAGUUUACAUCCCCUCCUAUUUAUGGACAAGGGUUCUUAGGAAUAUUAAAAAAAAGUUCAAAUAUUGAAAAUGUAGGUAUAGGUUAUAAAAUUCAUAAUAUAAAGACACAAAAUCAAGAUAAAGAUUUAAAAAUUUAGAACCAUGAGAGCGUGAUUUGUAAGUUUCAAAGAAGUAUGUGCAAAUAUAUGCAUUAUCGAUUCCCAAUUAAGGGUGGGCAUUAAGAUCGGGUUAACCCGAACCGAACCGAACCAAACUUUAAAUUUAUUUUGGAUUCAAUUUGGUUAUGAUUGAAGCUUUCAACUGAGUUCAAAACUUAAAAAUGAUUGGGUUGUAUUUCUAUUCGAAUUUAACCCCAAAAGACUAAUCAAUCCAAUCGAGUUAAGUAAGCAAAUUAAGAAAAAAAAAUCCCAAAAAAUUAAAACUAACCCUAACUAAAAUAUUCGACCGCGGCAUCCUCGUUUUCUUUUCCUCUUCCUCCUCUCGCUCACCCCUAAUGCCCUUCAUGGAAAUCCAACAGCUCCAAACGCGUUUCAGCCGGUCGCACGUGUGAGAAAUUUUCCUUCUCACAGGAUUAUUUGUUUCCUUCGCUUGCAUGCCAGCAGAAUAUUCAGGCCGAGGAUUUUUCCGGGCCUAGCCCAACUAUAAGCUCUCCCAAAACCCAAUCACAAGUUCAUAACGUUUAGCGUUUGCUAUUGCUAUAUUUUUUUUUAACCAAUUUUCACAUUCAUCAACAUAGGCUGACAUAUUUUGUAGAAAAUAAAAUUAAAUAAAAAUACAAGCUCACGAAAUUCACGUGCUUUCUUUUUCGGUGGUGGUGGGGGGAUUCACUUGCUUUUGUUUGCAUUGCCUGAUUGGAUAAAAGUUUGUAGAACAUCGUCUGUUUGGUUAAAGCCGAGCAUGAGUGAAUAAAAAUUAAAAAUAAAUAAUUUCCCAUUAAUUUGCAACAAGUAUUAAUAAAGUGCAUGAGAAAAGACACCAGGAUAUGCUUUUUUUUUUUUUUUAAAAAAAAUUAAAAUAAAUGUGUUAGUUAGUCAAUUUAAAUUGUAUGACAUUUUGAAAUGACAGAAGCGAUCUAAAGUUUAAAUUUCACUCACACUUAAUUUAGGGUUGGGGAUUAAUUGACGUAAUAUAUAAUAACGAAUUCAAAAGAUAAUUUAAAAAUUAAAAGAAAAUAAAAAAGUGCUUUCUUUUUUAUGAUGGUAAUUUGUUUAGAUGAUGAAAACUCUUAGAGCAUCUCCAAAAGACUCUUUAAAUAAAAUUCUACUUCUUACUUAAAGAGUCAUAUAUUUUAUUUAAAGAGUCAUAUCAAUAUUAAACACUCCAAAAGACACAUUAAUUUAGAUUAUUCAAAUAAGAUUUAUUUCUCUCUCUUCAAUAUUGACGAGUGAAUUUCUCUCUCUUCUAUUAAUAUUUUAUUAUUAUUUAUUGAAAAGAUAAGACUGCAAUAAUUAUUAUUUAUGUUUCCUUUCAAAAACAUAACAACAAUUCAAUUUAAUAGUAUAAAGAUUUGAUUAAAAUAAUAUUAAUUUAUUCUUAUUUGAUGAGUCUUUUAGAAUAAAUUGUAUUUUUCAAUCUACUUAUUUGCCACAUCAGUAAGCAAAUUGAUAUUUAAAGAGUAAAAUCUAAAAAGUCUUUUGGAGAUGCUCUUAGAGUGGUAUUAUCAAUACAUAGUUUUGAGCAUUGCCAACGUGAAUAAUAUUCAAUUUCCUUUAUAUAGUUAUAUCUCAACCAACAUUUAAACAGAAGUAAGUUGUAAAAAAAAUGAACCAUUGAGAUUUGAGAGAACGAAAAACUAAAAAAAAAAGUUAAAAAAUUAGAUCUCAAUAAAUUUACUUGAGAACUACUUUACUGAUUAGUGAAGAGAAAACACAAAGAAUAAUGAUGUAUCUCAAUUAAUAAGACAAUUUUUGUAUUUUUCGUUUAUUCAAGAAUCACGAAACUUCAUUUAAAUUUGUUAUUUCAUUGAUAAUAUAUUAAUAUUGAACAAUUAAUGUAGGAGACAUUCCUUUUCAAUUAUGCCCAUAUAUUAAUUAAAGACCACCAAAAAGUUCAGGGAUACUAUAGUAAUUUAAGUCAAUAAUUUCUGUGCUUGAAAUCAGCCAAUCAAACUCACUUUAGAAUAAACUGAGAAAUCAAAAUCACAUUCUCCGAUUCUAAGAUUUCAAUUCAUCUUAUUUCUUCAACUGAAAAAUUGGUUGUAUUUCGUUUUAUUUUAUUUUUAUUUUUAUAUAAAGAUAAAUAUAAAAUAUAAAUGAAGAGGAAACUGUUAAAGUAAAAUCAAAAGAAGGGCACGAGUUUUAUUGAAAAUUACUCUUUUCAUCAUUUUACCAGAGUGAAUGUAUCUAUAUAUAAACUAAAGAAGCACAUUUGUUUCCGACUCUACGCUUUAAAUUCGGGGUUUUUAAUUAAAUACCCUUUAAUAGUUUCAAAAUUAUUUAAAUACCCCCUCCCUUUUUGGUUUUCAUGGAUACCCUAACAAAUGUGAGCAAAGUCAGAAAUACCCUUAAUGAAUGCAUCAAACUCACUCAAUGAAUUGUCUUCAUAUUUCUUUCCUCAUUUCUUUCACCCAAAUCUAUUUUUGCUGCCGAUUCUUUCAAAAUCUCUUAGAAUCUCUCAAAAUCUCUCAUAACUUCUUACACAAAUACAAUUAUGUAUUCAUUUCUUUAACACCCACUCUUUCUUUAAAGGUGCAUUGCUUAUUAAACAACCCAAUAAGGUAUGUUAAUGUUGUUGGGUUUUAAAUUUUUUAAUUUUUAGGAAAAUUUAGAAAUUUUCCUCACAUUACAAUGUUUUAUUUUCACCAUUUUUUCUUAUACGUAGAAAUAUAUGCAAUGUAGGUUGUUUAAUUAUUUUUUUCAGCAAUAUAACUUAUUUAUGGCGAAAAUGUUUCGAGUCGUGCAUUCUUUUGAUACCGUGUACGUCAUAUAAUUAGUCAUGUAGGUCAUGUAAGUAAUAUAGUCGUGUAAGUCGUGUAGGUCAUGUAAGAAAUAUAGUCGUGUAGGUCGUGUAAGAAAUAUAGUCGUGUAAGUCGUGUAAGUAAUAUAGUUGUGUAGGUCAUGUAAGUCGUGUAGUUAAUUGUAUAUGAAAUUUAAUAUUAUUGUUUUUAUUGUAUCAUCAGAUAUGGUUUUGGUACGUGUGCCUAUUCUCUUCAAUGGUGAAUGGAUUGAGCAAAAUGACGAGUAUAAGUUCAAAGGUUCAAAGGUUCAAAGGCUAAAAGGAUAAUGAUACCACGAUAGACAACAUAUGCCGAAUUGGUGGAGAAGAUAACUGAAGUUAUUGAUAUAGAUACUUCGGAAUUCGAAAUCACAAUGAAGUUCAAACUUAAGACAUCUGAUCCUAUGCCACCCGUUACAAUUCAAACCAAUGAUAAUGUGGAAUUUUUUUAGAUUCCAAUUUAAUUUCACUUCUUUUUUUUAAUAAUUUUCGUUGACAUUUUCUGCAUAGCAGCAAAUAUAAAUUCUUAGCACAAAUUAAGUCUUUAAAGAACUAAAUUAAUCUAAUGAGUAAUAGAAAAAUUCGUGCAAUUUUAAAGUUGCAAUUAAACAUAUUACAGCCAUUUAAAAAGUUUUUUUUUUUUUUUAUCUUCAAAGUGCUUUCUUCCUCUGGCCAAGCAUACAAGCAUACAUGAGGAAUGUCUGCAUAUAAUUAAUCCAUGAAAUCAAUUAAGAAAAAAAAAUAUCAACCAUAGGAAAUUAAUGUAAUGUUAUACACAUAAGAACACCAUUCGCAGUGAUAAAAUAUUUCCACUCAUAACUAGACAUAUCAUGACUUACCAUGGCUUAUAAUUGGAAAUUAAGAAUCUCUCUAACUAAUGACAUUUCACAAGGUAAAGGUAUAUGCACCAUUCCAAUUUAUUGUGAGCCUAAUUAAACUAAAUGUAAUGUGUAGAUUCUAUUGACAAGAAACAAAAUGUGGAAUUGAAGGUCGUGUAAUUGUGUAAUACAAGAAGAUCGUGUAAUUGUAUAAUACAUGAAGGUCGUAUAAACAUGCAAUACAUUAAGGUCGUGUAAACGUGCAAUACAUGAAGGUCGUAUAAUCCUGCAAUACAUGAAGGUCGUGUAAUCGUGCAAUACAUGAAGGUCGUGUAAUCGUGCAAUACAUGAAGGUCGUGUAAUCGUGCAAUACAUGAAGGUCGUGUAAUACACAACCUUGAAUCUUACAUAACCUUACACGACCAAAUCUUAUGUUACAUAACAAAAUUAUAAUCAGCACAAUCCAUUAAUUUUUCACAAUUUGCAUGCAGCAAAACAACUAGAAAUUUGUUUUCGAACAUGUUAUGAGAGACCCACAACUAAUUAAUCUAUUUUUUCAAUAUAAAACCCUAACUUUUUGUUUUUUUCCCUUGAAUAUUAACAAGAAAACUAAUUACACGGAAUUACUUGUCUCAACUAGUUAUAUUCUGACAAUUUUACAGUAAAUGAUCAACUCUCUCCGGCGAUUAUGUAGUGACGAACUAUGCUUCACUUUCUCAGUUGUGGCAGCUUCCCCUUCUCAGGCUUAGUUUGCUCGUGUUAAAGUUCGAUUUACCAUGUAUGGAGAAUGAAUGUUUGUUUCGGUAGAGGUGAUGCCGGUGAGGGAAUUACAGAGGUGAUGUCGGUGAGGGAAUUGCAGUGUUUGUUUGUUUGAGUUUGAUAAUGGAGGGAAUUGCGGUAGAUGAGUGUUUGUUUGCUUCAGUAGAGAAGGGAGAUGUAUUGUCCGUUGAGUUGAAAUGUUUUAAAAUGAGGAUAGCUUAGUAAUUUCCUAUCAGUUUUUAAAGGGUAUCGAUGAAAAUUUUGGUAAAAACAGAUUUUAGGAUAUCGAGAUAAUUUUUAAAGUAUGAAGGUGUACCGGGCGCAAUUGGCUCUUUAAAUUCAGCUUCAUUUCUUCAACUGAAGAAUCGGUCGUCUCUCAUUUUUUAUUUAUUAUAUAAAGAUAAAUAUCUAAAUUUAAAUGGCGAGAAGAGCGGACAAGGAAUACGAUUACUUGUUCAAAGUGGUAUUAAUCGGCGAUUCGGGAGUCGGCUAAUCGAACUUACUCUCCCGAUUUACUCGUAACGAGUUCUGUUUGGAGUCCAAAUCCACCAUUGGCGUCGAAUUCGCCACCCGCACUCUUCAAGUAACUAACUUUUCCUCUUUCACUUCUCUUCAUUUUUAUUAGUUAAUUAAGAUCCAGUUAAUGUAAUUAAUUUUAUUUAAUCUUUCAAAUAAAGUUCUAGAUUAGGCUAACUUAGAUUCAUGUGAAGUUGAAGUGAUUUACUUUCGAUCUCUUUUUCGUCCUAUGUUUAUUUGUACUUACUAUUACUUUUUUUUGGGUUUAAAUUUUCGUUUUUGAAUUGUUUAUUCAAUAAAUUUCUGAGCUUUAUUUGUGUAUGCUGAUUGAUUUGUGAUUUUAAUUUUGUGACUUUUUUUUUGGAAUUUAAAUUUGAAUGCUUUUUAAGUUGAAUCUGAAUGUGUUGGGCUGCGAUUUAAUUAAGUCAUCUGUGAGCGCCAAAUUGUGAUAGCUAUAUAUUGGGGUGAAAAUUUGGGAUUUAAAGUUAUGUAUUUAAGAUGCAGUUAAUUCGCAAGUGAAAAUUAUGGGCCGGCAGAUUUUGUCAUUGGAAGACUGUUCUCCACAUGUUGAAGUUAGUGAUGCAAGUUGAAACCAAUCUGUUUAAGCUUGGGGUUUCAUGUCUUGAAUCAAGGCUGUGACUUGGGGUGGGUUGAAAGUAUUAUAGCUUUAGCUAUUCCUGAAGUGAUCUGUUUAGACUCACCGUGAUGAGACCGAGUGCUGUACAGUAAAAUGAAAGGAAGUUGGAAAAUAUUUACUUAGCAUUUCGCGUUACUAAUGUUGAACUAAUAAAACCUAGCCCCUAUCCUAGUGAAUUUAUGUUAAAAAGCUAUGCACGCAUUAAGUUAGUGCGAGAGUCUGCUGAAGCAUAUGCCAGCUGUGUGUUUGGAGCUGAGUAUUCUUCAUUCCACAUUUUGGGUUUUGGUUGACCUCCAGCAUGACUCAACCCACUUGAGUUAAAAGCCCUAGAGUUACAUUCUACCCAUGAUAUUUGAGUUUAUCAAGUCACCUUAUUUUAAUACUUCUCUGGAAAACAAAUAUAUAUGUUAAAUCAGGUAGGAAAAAUAAAAAGUUAAUUAUUGAGUUGUAAUGGUGCAACUAAGGUUUUGAAACAUUAAGAUCUUUAGCCAUUAUGUUACUAUCCCGUAGUUAUUUAAGUUACAAGAGAUAGUAAAAAAUAACAUCAUAUUUUAAUUACUUACACUAAUCCUACAAGUGCUGAUGGUCUAAAGUUGCUGCUGCUUGCACUGAAUCAGUGGUCAUGGGCCAGCCAAGGUUAGGUGAGGCCAACUCAUUAGCUUGUGAAACUUAAAGAAGUCUUAGGUUUGGAAAAGAUGGGGCACAGGUUACAAAAUUUUUUUUGAGUUUUGGAUUGAAGGAACAAAAUUGUUGAUGUCUAGUUCACAAUAUUUGAAGUCACUCUGUGCUUCAUCAUGUAAAAUGGAUUGAAUUGCUGUAUGAUCAGGUCAAAUUAAAAUGUUUAAACUCAUUUUUAAGAAACGAAUUCUCAAUUGGACCAGCCUUUCACAGAAGCUGAUAUCACAGAAGCUUUGAGUCAGAUGCAUCCAACCAAAGCCCCUGGCCCAGAUGGUCUCCCAGCAGUAUUUUUCCAAAAGCUUUAGAAUUCAGUAAGCGAAGGAGUUAUAGCCACUUGUCUGCAUAUCCUCAAUGAUGGAGGUAAUAUUGCUCCUUUGAAUCAUACAUACAUUGCUUUAAUCCCCAAGAUAGCAAAACCUAGGACUCUGAUGGAGUAUAGACCAAUCAGCAUAUGUAAUGUAAUUUAUAGGAUCAUUGCAAAGACUAUAGCGAAUAGGCUGAGGCUAAUCUUAGAUCAUGUUAUUUCGCCAACUCAGAGUGCUUUUAUGCCAAAUAGGCUCAUAACUGAUAAUAUAAUUAUUGGGCAUGAGUGUCUUCAUAAGUGGACAAAGCUAAGUUCCAGAGGUGAGAUAGGAAAUUCUCCCGCACGACACAGCAGAAACAAACUUUCCCUUUCAUUUUCUUUUCUCUUUCUCGCUCUCCAAACAGAGCAAAAGGACUGUCGCAAGAUUCUUCACUUCCAUCCAAAAUCAUGAGCAACGAAUGGUGAGCCUCCCUGUUUCCUUCCUUUUUUUGAUAUUAACCUUGUUAACAUAUACUCAUUUUAAUUUGACAAUACUUCAACUUUUUUUAAUUUUUUGCCUUUUCAUUUUUUUUGUUGAAGCAAUUAUCUGUUCAAGCUGUUGCUUAUCGGAGACUCGUCCGUCGGAAAGUCCUGCCUGCUGCUCCGAUUUGCUGUCUGUUGACUUUUCCUUUCCCUUCUUAUUUUCUUUUUUUAUAUUAAUUACUUUCUAUUUUAGCUUUUUGUUCUCUGAAUUUGUGUUAUUAAAAUGAUAAUUUAGAUAAUAAAUAAUUGUUAUUCUUGUAAAUUUCUGUUUUCAUUACGUUAAUUGUUAGCUUUUAGGUUUAUUAAUGUAAUUUUUUUUUUUUCAAUUUUUCAGGAUGAUUCUUAUGUCACAGCUACAUCAGUACCAUUGGAGUUGAUUUUGUGAGUCUCUCUUCUAUAUAUAUGUAUAUAUGUGUAUAAGUUAUAAUAUGAGUCUAUGUACGUGUAUGUAUGUAUGUGUAUGCAUAUGUGGAAAGAAAUGUUGGCAGACUUCAGCAUUUUACUCUUUUUUUUUUUUGGCAGAAAAUAAGAACUGUGGAGCUGGAUGGGAAGACGAUCAAACUGCAGAUUGUGAGUCAAAAUUUCCUUUUAUCUUGUAUUGAGAGAAAUUCGAUUUGUCUUAUUUUCUUUGUUUGAAGAGUGAUAUGUUGAAAUGAGUGUAUUUGUCUUAUAAACAUCAUUUAGGUAAUGUCUUCUGUUUGAUUGUUUUUCAUCUGUUUAGUGGGACACUGCUGGACAGGAGCGAUUCAGGACUAUAACUAGCAGUUAUUACCAAGGAGCCCAUGGAAUCAUAGUAAGGAGCCUUCCCGGUUCUUGGUUUAAAUCAGAAAGUUUGUGAUUUACAUGUGACAUCUUAACAGCAUUGUAUGUGUUUAUUAACUUAUUUUUCAUCUUUCAUUAAGCAGUACACUUUCUAUUAAAUCUGUAUACAAGAUGAUGUAGUCCAAGAAUGGGAGCCAUAAUAUGAUGCAAAUUGUCUAAUAAAUUCUUAUGACAUAUGAUGUUGUCGGAAGUAAAAGUCUUGCAAUGCUGUAUUCUCUUUUAAGAAAGAAUAAGUGGUAAUUUUGUUUUUCCAAUUUUUUAAUUGAGCAACUGUAUGAGAUUAAUUAAAUGUGUUGGGAUUUCAACAGAUUGUCUAUGAUGUAACUGGGAUGGAGAGCUUCAAUAAUGUCAAGCAGUGGUUGAAUGAGAUUGACAGAUACGCAAAUGACAGUGUAUGCAAGCUUCUAGUUGGGAACAAAUGCGAUUUAGUUGUGAACAAGGUUGUGGACACACAGACAGCCAUGGUAUAUUCAUGACUUUUGUCGCCUGAACUUUGAAUAUAAUUUUAAACUCUUCUCAAGUGCAUUUGCUUGGUAAGUUUCUGCAUACCCAGGACACUCAAACUUUGGACAGUCUGUAUCUCGAGUUGGAAUCUUUUCUGUCAAUACGACUUGUUAAAAUAAGGGUUGUUAUCGUUUGAAUCAUUCAAGAAUUGCAAUAAAUCUAAAGUCCAUAAAAAAUAUGAUUCCAUCAUUUUACUAUUAUAUCUAGACAAAACCCAUUAUUUUACUACAUUUCAUUGGCACCGAUAGUUGACCUGUUGGCUGACUGAUAAAAUAUCAAUUUUGCACUUUAUAUUAAUUCUUUUUUGGUUAAAAAAUAACACACAAAGUAUUACAAUAUUAUAAAUUCAAAAUAUAAAGUAGUUACAAAUAAUUCCUAUUAGCCUAUGAAUAUAAUAUUUGAUACCUCUAUUUGUGUAAUUUUUUUCCAAUGGUGAAAUUGUUAUUUUUUUUGUACUAACGGAAAUGUAGUAAAAUCAUAAGUUUUGUAAAGAUAUAGUAGUAAAAUGAUAGACUAAAAUACUUCUUGUAGUUGUUUGAUAUAUUGUAAUUCUUAAAGUAGUCAAUUGAUAAUAUCCCCUAAAAUAAAUGUUCGUAAUAUGUUCUCAUUUUAAUGCAACUGAUUGUUUAAUAAAAUUGUAUUUCUUUGUUAAUCUUUUAUCAUGUGCAUGCUCAGUGAGAAUUUGACUUGCUAGAACACAAGUUUGACUCUUCAUUUAAAUGUCUCUUGUAUCAUAUCCUUCAAUGUUGAGUGUGAUUCCAAUAAAAUUGAGUAGGGAGAUCCUUAAAUACCUUUUCCUUUUUUCCAAGGGCCUGCCAAAUUGCUCUAAGUGGUUCUACCCUUUAUCAAUGAAUAAUGAAAAUAAAAUUUUUAUUAAAGCAUUCUGUUCCUUAAAUGGUGACUAAUAGUACCCCCUUUUUUUUUGGAGAGGAAAGCCAAACGCCCAAAGAGGAUCAUUUACUUUCCUCUAAUGUAUUUUCUAAUUCGUUUUGAGCCUUGAAUGUCUGUUUUGGUGCGUAUUCUCAUUCCAUGUCGAAUCUUAUCCAUAUGGACAACCCCACUUACAAAAAGGUCUAAUGAAUCUAUUGAAGUUCAUAUGAGGUUUGUGCUUUAGAUUUAGACCUCUCUCUCUCUCUCUCUCCACUUACAUGUCUUUCACUUACCUGUUUGCAUGCAUGCCCAUGCACACACUUUCAAGAUAAUACACGGUCACUCGUACUUGUGUUUUGGUUGAAUUACUGGCUGCUAACCUCUGUAAUUCAGUUUGAAACUUGCCACCCUUAGUGCUUCACUCAAAUGGUUGGUUAGGGUGAGAUCUGUAUCGUUUUCCUGGUCUCUUUCCAAGGUUAUCUAAAGGGAUUUGGCAGUCUGAUUCUUUAGGGAAUAUCAUUGCAUAAGAUAUCUAUUGUUUGUUAAUGAAUAAUUUCUAUUUAACUAGUUAUCUAUAUAAAUUGGUAAAUUUUAACUGCAUAAUUUGCAUGCAAUAAGAUUUUAUAAGAAUCUUGUUUUCAACUCAUGACUUAGACUAAUGUGAUACGUUGAGCAUUAAGCUACAAGAUCUGCACAUCAAAGUGCUUCACAAUGUUAAGGAGAAAGCAUCGUUUUCUGCUUCUUCAUGUGAUUUAAAGUUUCCAAGGUACUUAUCCAAUAAAAUGUCUUUCAAGACUUUGGAAAUGCUUUUAUGUAUGACUGAGAGAAACUUGUUGGGUUGGUUUUUAGCAACAGACGGAGUUAUGGACUUUGUGUUGACUUGUUAUUGAUUAAGACAGUACAUCGGCUGAUCUAUUGGCAUCAAGCAGCAGAUGCAGAAAUUAUGGGUGGCAUACCAUUGUAUCCAAAUAACAUACUACAUUGAUUUUUCUGACUUUCUGUUGGUCUCCGAGUGAAAUGCAGGCAUUUGCAGAUGAACUGGGGAUUCCUUUCCUGGAGACGAGUGCCAAAGAUGCAAUCAAUGUGGAGCAGGCUUUCUUGACCAUGGCCGGCGAGAUUAAGAAAAAGUAAAAUCACUUAACUCUUUCCUUCUUGCCGACUGUUCUUAUUCAACAAUCACCAUUAUUGCUGGUUAUGUGCAUUGUGAUGAAAAUUCUGCAAUGAAUAACUUUUUACCUAAUGUUUUCUGUUGGAACAAAUUACUCUGGUAGAAAAGCCCUACAGGGUUUGAGAAAUCCCAUGAUGUGAUGAUUGUGAGCAUUUUAGACACCGUGUAUGGGUUUAUUUUGUGACUAUAAAAUGUUAAGAUAUUUCUAGUUUUGGUUUGUAGUGCAUAAAAGGAUUCAAAAUUUGACAUCUGUCUAAAUCAGAUUACUAACAUGACAAUGUACAUAUGCAAGAUGUGAGGAAUUGUUUUAUCUCACCCCUAAACUUUAAGAAAUUGAAACAUUAUUAUUCAAAAUAUUUAACAUUUCCAGAAUUGAUAGUUGUCUAUUUGAGCAGUGACUGGUGGUUAUCAUGAACUGAUGUGUGGUUGUGGUUUCAAAUCUUGGUGAAACCUGUUGUCAUAUGCUGAUUAACAUAGCUAGUCUCUGAAACAAUUUGUUGAUUCACUAAUUAUGAGUUCAAAUUUGAUGCAGAAUGGGCAACCAGCCUACUGCAAACAAAUCUUCUGGAACAGUUCAGAUGAAGGGAUAGCCAAUCCAGCAAAACAGCAACCGCUGUGGUUAGCCGAGCAUCUUAUUUUACUUCUACAUGUUAGCUGACUGAUUGUAGACAGUUUUAACUAUGUUGACUGCAUUAUCUUAUGAAUCUUUUAAUCUGUCAAAUAUUUAUUUCCUGCUUUAAGUUCUUUCCCGUUUAUAACAAAUUUAAUUUCUUGCUCUAUAGCAUUCCAAAUUCCUGUUAAUUUACGAGGGAAAAAGAAAAGAGACGAAAUGGGAGAAAAUGGUCAAAUUUGUUAGGGGGGGAGAGCUGUUGAAGUAGUUUUUGUUCUCGUUUAUCAUCGUGACCCUCUUGUUGCUUAUCUACGACCUGGAAGUCCGGUCAUAUCGGAUGGGUAAAGUUACCGAAACGGCAUCAUUUUGGGUGAAAUAUCAUGUUUAUGUAACACUUUUGAUAAUAUUUUUAUGCAACAAAAAAAUGUUUGCAGUACCCUUCUCACAUUGUGAAGCGCAUGAUCGGAUGAGAGCAGUCUGGAUUCUGGCAUCACAAGCUAAUGCUUUGAUUUGCUUAGUUUGUUUUUUGUUUCUGAUAUUUUCUCGGCAUAGUGUAAAUGUAUGAAGAUGAAAUUGCUGGGUUGGUUUUGUUAUGGAAUUUGGUUUAGUUCACUAACCAUUAAUGCGCAAAACCUCCUAAGACCCUCAAAAAUCCCGUACAUAAUUAAAGAAUUUCAAUUUUAUAUGUACAUAAAUAAAUAACUCUCAAAUAUAUUAUUUGAUAAUCCUAAAAACAACAAUUCAUUCUAAUAAAUCUCGUAGUCAAUACAUGGUCUAUAUUGCAAGUGUUUUCGAGACUAAUUCAAAAAGAAAAUACGAAGGAUAUAUAAUUGACUUUUACUUGUUAUAAAGAACUCUAAAUAAAUUUAUAUACGCAUCACAGCUAAUUACAGUCUUGGUACUUCAUUAGGUUUUUGUUAAUUUUCUAUACAGUUGUGUUGUGCAUUAAAGCUUUGUUAAAUGAAAUCGGUAGUGAGAAUUAAUUAAUUAAUUAAUUAAUUAAGAUCCAGUUAUUGUAAUUAAUUUUAUUUGAUUUUUUUAAUUCGAGUUCUAAAUUAAUCAAUUAAUUUAGAUUCAUGUGAAAUUGAAGUGAAUUAGUUUCGAACUGUUUUUCAUUCUAUGUUUGUCUGUGUUUACUCUUACUGUUUUUUUUGUUUAAACUUUUGUUUUCUUAUUGUUUACUGAAUAAAUUUCUGAGCUUUGUUUGAGUAUGAUGAUUGAUUUGUGAUUUUAAUCUAAUGUGUUGGGCUGCGAUUUAAUUGAGUGAUGUGUGAGCGCCAAAUUGUGAGCGCCAAGUAGUAAUUAUAAAAUAUUUCAGUCGUCCACUGUUCAGUCACCAAAAACCAAUUUCUAAUCUAUUUCAAAACAAUUUUUGCCAAAGUCCUCCUCGGCUAAUUAAUUCAUACAUUAAUACAGUCCUCCUCUGCUGAAUAAUGCAAACCCGUUACGUUAUUCUACCAUUUCUUAAAUUUAAAGCAUUCCACCAUUUAAUAAAAAAAUUCGAAAACCCAUUAUAUACAAUACAAAAAGCCCACCGACACCAAACCAUAUUAAUUUAAAAUAGUUUUCAAUUGAGAUUUGAAUUUUAAAAUUACAUACACAAACACACCCGAUUUAAAAAAUAAUAAUAAUCCUAACAAUAAAAUAUUUCAGCCGUCCUCUGUUCAGUCACCGAAAACGGAUUUCCAAUCUAUUAGAACAACCGGUAUAUGGGUUUCCAACCAAUAUUGUCCUCCAUCCUUUCUGCACUUCUCUUCUAUCAACGGACAGCCCACGAUGUAUAAUCGCAAAAGUGAGGAAGGCAGGCCCUUCUCCGGAAAGUAUUUGAGCUUGGGACAAUCCGCGAGAUACAAUUCAGUGAGGUUUUGAAGAUCAACAAUUGAAGAAGAUAGGCGUUCCAGAUUUGGAAAAUUAGAAAUCCCCAGAGAUGUUAGAGAGGCAGGAAGAGGAAGCGUGGUCCCUAAUCUUUUGUCCUCUAGUGGAAAUGACACCAUGUCGUCAUCGCAUCUGCUGAUUGUAAGACGUCGCAGAGAGGAGAAUCUGUGAAAUCCCCGUCCCCGCUCAAUCAUUGACUUCCAAAUCUCCAUAUUACCCCAAAUAUUAAGUGACUGAAGGUUGGUGGGAAGGUCAUCUUCUUCUUCAAGGCUUGGAAGCGCACCUCCUAUUCCUAUUGUUAAUUGUUGAAGAGAGGUCAGAUUGUGCAAUCCCUUGGGUAAGGCCUCUAGUCUCUUACAAUUAGAUAUCGCCAGCGUCCUGAGUUUCGCACAAGGCAAUCCCCCUUCGGGAAAGGACACCAGAUUUUUACAACUAUCUAUACUGAUUGUUUCAAGAGAUGUGUUGUUGUCCAACCUUUCUGCUAUUGACUCCAGCUUUGAACAUCCACCAACACGAAUGGACUUAAGAGACGGAGGUAGAUUGCCAACUUCAAGGGACUCAAGCGUGGCAGGUAACUCGUUUUUUGAAAAUAUACACGUCAGAGAAUCACAACAGUAAAUAUGCAAUUCCUCAAGAAAAGAUGAGGUGUACCUUCUGCCGCUGCUACACUGGAUGCCCUCUUCCACUGUCAAAGUCCUUAUAUUAUCGCAAUGCCAGAUCGUCAACAACUUAAGGCUCGAUGGUACCUGGACAGCAGCAAUAUAUGUCAACGAACGGCAACCAUAAAUAUACAAGAUCUCGAGAGACGAAUUGGUGUCGCACAUCCAUGCCUCUGGUAACGAUUUCAGUGCAUCACAAUACCUAAUCUCAAUUUUCCUCAACUUGGAAGGCAGAGCAACCUCAGGAAAGGAAACAAGGGAAUGACAAUCGCAGAUUUCUAUCUCUCUCAAGGAACUGAGGCUGAGCGAUGAUUGUGGCAGCUUCACAAGGCCUUUGCAUUCGCUCAAUCUUAGAUAUUCGAGUCUGCAUGACAACUCGCAGAGCUGCUGUUGUUGGUCUUUCUCUUCCUCCGCCACCAAGGAUUGAAUUUUGGGACACCGUCUAAUCGUCAGUCUUUUGAGAGAGCAAAUGUCUUGCAGUAAUUCGUUAUGACUCUUCCAUAUAUGUGUUUCAUUUUUCAUAUUAUUUAUCCCCAAUUCUUCCAGUUUUGGUAUUCGCGGCUUCAAUGGCUCUGUGAAAAACACUUGAUUUGAUGUAUCUCUACAAACCACUGAAUUCUGUGAGCGAUGAUCAGUUGCACUUCUCCACACAACCUUUUUACAUCCACCAAUUUCAAAUUUGCAAAGAGCUGGAAGACUUGCAACUGAAACUAGCAAUUCUUCACAUCCUUCAAUUGCAAGCAUCUCCAAUGCAGGAAGGUGUUCUGGAAAUGUUCCUUGCAGCUUAGAACACCUUAUAAUAUGAAGCUCUCUCAAUUUAGGAAACCAUUCAACUCCCUGACCAGUUCUAAGAGGAAUCCAGUCUUCCCAUUCUUGCAUGUUUUCAAAACGAAGAGUUUCCAAGCAUGGAAAAGGAAUCGGGGAAUCAUUCCCAUAGAACUCUGAACCCAAACUCUUUACUCUACUCAUUCCACGCACUGCAAGAUGCUUUAGAGAGGGUAGUUGCCCGACUGACGGCAAGGUAGUACACAUGCUGCAAUCUUCAAAAUUUAAGGUCGCUAAAUUUGAGAAUGAGGAAUCUCCCAACCAAGUUGGAAAUUGUUUACCUUCAUAGCCACUGAUACAAAAUUGUUCCAGAUUUUCAUGAGGUUUUAGCAUGUCGAGCACAUCCUUUUCGGUUUCUGCCUCCGUUGAAGACAAACCAUUGGCACUCCGUGUCCAUCGAAAGGUUAACACUUUAAGAUUCUUCUUUCCAUCCAAUUGAGCCUCCUUCGCAUCACCAAUGUCUUUUACGUUCUCCAAUUUUGAAAUGUUAAGUGUCCCAUGAAGAUGCGUCAACAAUUUUAGCUCUCGUAUCCUGGAACCACUGUCUUUUCCCACAACAAAAUUGCACAGCGUCUGAAGGCAAGUCAACUUACCAAUUCCUAGCGGCAUCUCCUCCAAUGAACUUGUAUUUGAAUUAUUGAGAUGAUGCAAUUUGAUGAGAUUUCCCAUGUCUGCACACAACUUCUUCAGUUUCCAACAGUCCUCCAACAGAAGGGUGUGCAAAUUGUAAAGCGAGUUGAUUGAUUCGGGCAGAGUUCUAAUCCAAGUUCCAGAUAGGUUAAGGUACCUUAAAUACCUCAAAUCACCAAUUGAAUCCGGUAGCUCAGAGAUGUGAUAUCCACGCAAAGAGAAGACCCUCAACCGUUGGAGUUUGAACAACUUAGGAAGAAUGCUAUGAGCCAAGUAUCCGGGCCGGCUACUUAACAACGUUACUGGUAAAAGAGUUCGCAAAUGUUGGAUAUCGUACAACUCCUCAAACCUUUUAACACCAUCGUAAUCUCCACGAAUGUACGACAGAUGACGAAGAUUUCUUGGAAAACUUUGUUGCUUGUCAACCUCUGAGAUAUACUCCAUUCUGAAGUACAUUUCCCCAGCAGCCCAUUGAGCAAGAUCAUUGACGAGGUCGUGCAUCACAAAUCGUGAUAUACUGUUGCUUGAUUGCUGGAAAAAAGAUCUUGAACGUAGCUCUUGAAAGAACUUUCGACCUAGAUCUUCACUGGGAUUCCCACUCUCUCCGUGAUCCAAGAAACCCGAAGCACACCAUAAUAAAAUUAUCUCCUCCUCUUCAAAUUCAUAAUCCUUUGGAAACAAUGAGCAGUAUGCAAAGCAUUGUUUCAAAGGUGCCGAAAGAUAAUAGUAGCUCACUCUAAGCGCCGGUAUAAUGUCACAUCUCUCUUCUGGUAAAUCCCAUAUCUUGCAACUGAGCACACCUUCCCAAUGACUCCGGUCAAGUUUACCACGCAAGAGACCACCAAGAGUUUUCGCAGCUAAGGGCAAGCCGUUGCAUUUGAUCACUAUCUUCUUGCCAAUUUCCUCCAAUGACUUGUUUGAACUGAUAUCUCUUGUCCCCAAAGAGUGUUGAGCGAACACAGACAGACAAUCAUCAUUUGACAGCUUUUUCAAAUGAUAAGCCCGAGCAGUCCCCAUGAUGGCUGCAACCUCUUGAUUACGAGCUGUGACAAUAAUCUUACUCCCCGGUGCGCCAGCUUCAAAUGGACGGCUCAUGUCAACCCAGUCAUUGUAAUUCUCAUUCCAAACAUCGUCUAAAACAAGCAAAAAUUUCUUUUGAGAUAACUUCUUCUUCAGCUCCUCUUGAAGCAAAUUUAAAUCACUGUCAUCAGUAGUCUGCUUAGUAAUGGAUCUUAGAAUUGUUUUUGUUAGCCUGAUAACAUCAAAAUCAUCAGAGACACAAGUCCAUACCUUGAGAUCAAAAUGACCCUGCACUCGAGCAUCAUUAUAGACAAGCUGAGCGAGAGUGGUUUUGCCCAGCCCGCCCAUACCUAUAAUAGGAAUAACAGAGAAUUCACCAUCAUUUCUCAAAUCAUCCCUCAACAGCAAUUCAACAAUUUCAUUCUUUUCUGUUUCCCUCCCAUAUACCUUGGCUUCAGUCACUAAAGAGGUUGUGGGUAGUCUUUGCCUGUCUUUUCUGGACCUCCCAGCUGAACUUACGUUCAAACCGAGCGAGUCUUUCUGUGUUACAAUAUCUUGAAAUCUGUCGUUGAUCUCUUUGAUUUUGGACAUUAUGGCGUAAUCGAACUGAAUCGAUUGUGCAGUAAAAGUGGUGCAGCAAGUAGGAAUGAGCUUCUGAAACUUACUUGUUCUUGUACGACUGCUACUGGGUUGAUCCUGAGCCGCAGCUGGAUCUCCAUUUCCAAGCAGCACCUUCCUCCGGAAAGCCUCAGUUUGAAACUCAUCCAACAAGUCUUCAACAUCAAAAGCCAAGUUCUGAAGCUCGCCAAGCCACAACUUCACAAUCUCAUCAGUCUUCUUCUCCUCAGCAUCAGCAAGCACCGCCUUGAUCUUCAAAAGCAUCGUCUUCCACGUCAUUAGAUCGGCCCGGAUUUGAUCUUGGCGUGGAAACAACCGAAUCCCCACUGAAGCUAACUUAUAGACCAACAACUCAACGGACGCCGUCAGGAUUGCCUCUCCGAUGAUUGACAUUUUUUUCUUUUUUUUGUUUUGCAAAGAAAGAAACAGAAUUUUGAGUUUUGAAAAGCAAAAUGAGAAAAUUGAACAGUAAGUGUGGAGGGUCAAGCAAAAUGCGCGUAUCAAGUCUUCCACUUGUUGUUUAUUCCAGUAAAGUGAAAAAAAAAAUAGAGACCACGACCCUUUAAUAAUUUAGCAAUUCACCGGUCACGAGUCACCACCACUCGUUACCAUGAAUAUAAUAAAUUGCACCUAGAUAUUUGCAGGGUCCAGCAACAUUGACCCAGUGUCCGGGUAAAUGCUGAAUAACGAGGAAAAUGGAAUGUAUCAACUACGAACCUUCGUUUUACAAGUCUUCAAACUCAUAAACCAAGUUAAAUCAAAACGUUUAUCUCUCUCACCCUUUUUGCCAUUAAUUACUUUAUUUAUUGAAUUAAUUUCCAUGCUAAAACGAAGACUUAAAAGUGCACUACAAUUUUUUAUAAUCACAAUGGUAAUUCCUACUAUCAUGUUAUCUUAAUGUCGUGUCAAAAUAAAUUAUAAUAAAAUUUUUUUAUAUGAAUACUUUUUUUAUUUAUGAAUUUCUUAAUUUUUAAUAUUUUUCUUAUUCUUUAGUCUUAAUAUUUAUAUUUCUCUCUUUAAACUUUCUUUAUUAUUUAAUUUUAAAAAAAAAUAUAAAAAAAAAGAAAAAUAUUAUACUUAAAAAAUAGUAAAUAUUUUAUGGGUCUAAUACAAGCCUGUAUUAUUUUUGACAAUGAAAGAGCACGCGAAAAAUCGCACUCAUAAAAAACUUUGUGAAAGGCAUUUGAAUGUGUGGCCACAUUUACCGAACGAAACGAUAAGGCUUUAGCCCUAUAAUUGCAAUUAGUUUGUCUUGUAACUAAAUUAUUGCCGACAAGCAGCCAUGCAUGUAAUUAGUCACAAGUUGCUUUGAAAUAAAUAGGUACUUGACAUUUGGCUCACUGAUUAUGUGUGCAAGAUUCCCGUAUUUCCCAUUACUUCCCGUACUUUAUGCAUUAUUGUUUUGUAUAUCUUUCGGUGUUUAUGGUGUAGUUAGGGAUGGUAGCGGGUAGGGUCUGGUACGGGUUUGACAUCACCAAACCCGCAUCUACAAAAAAUUUUAAUUAGGUAAUUCAAAUUAUAAAUUUAUAAAUAUUGCCUAAAAAAAUCACAUAAAAUACUUAAUUCUAGAUUUUAUCAAUGUAAAUAAGAAAUGAAAAUAUCAACAUUAAAAUAAAUACACAAAAUAUAUCAAUUUAACACGAAUUCUCAAAUUCAAUUAGCAAAUAAAUAAGUCUAUCACAACUCGAAGUGCUUUCAACUGAAAAAGAAAAAAAGAGAAAGAGAAAAAAACAAAGAACUACAAAUCAAAGUAGCACCCAUAACCUAUUUCAUAGGCUCAUUCAACACCAAGAUUUUAGAAUUAAGAUCUUCAAUUCAUUCAUUACCACUAGCACCCAUUCAACGUGGUUUUUCUAAACAAAAUAUAAAGUAUAAAAUUACAAUAAGCAUAUGAUACUCCAUGCUUUAAGUUAAAGAUCCUUAUAUAAUUUUAUGAAUAAAUUUUUAGUGAAAUUUUAUGAUUAAAAUUAAAAAUACAAAUAUUAAAAUAAGAAUGUUGGACACUUGCGCAACUAUUUGCUAAUUUUUUCUCUAUAAAAAUUCACCUGCAACUUACAGCAGAUUUAAAUUUAUAAUAUCAAACUUGAUUGUAGCUUGCAAAAUUUUUGGAUGUACGAUAAUUUUGCCACCCUAACUGUAGUUAGUGUGUUUCCAAUUGGCUCCUAUAAAAAGCCUAGAAGUUGUUUGAAUAAUGAGGGAGGCAAAUAUUUCCCAAAGAUAUUCUCUUUUUCAAAUUCUUUUCUUUUCUCUAUUAUUGUAGCUUCAGAUCCUUGAAAUUGCAUAUUUCAAAUCCUUGACAUGAACACAAUGUUUUGACAUAGUGGCUUUUGGCUUGUCCAGAGAAAUUUAGGAUAGAUUUUGAUGUAUUAAGGCUCAUUUUACUAUUGAGAUUUUGGAACUUUUGAGCCACACUUGAAAUUUGUAUUAUUCUAAUAGAGUUGUACCCUUCGAUAUGUGAAUGGUAUUAAUUAGGUGUUAUGUUUACAGCAGUUAAAGGCAUAUUGAAUCAAAGUCCACUUUUGAUUGAGAUUUUAAAGUAGGUUUUUAAUUUGAUAGCUACUCAAGUUCAAAUAUUGGAACCACAGUGCUUUAUAACCAAGUGGGAGAACUUCUGUCCUGAAAGUUGAGGGCUGCAUAUCGAGUUUUACUACCAACAAAAGUUGGUGUUAAGCUUUAGUUGCCCUCCUACUUAUGGAUAAGGGUAAUUAGGACUUUACAUCCCCUCCUGCUAAUAGAUAGGGGUUACUAAGAAUAUUAAAAAAAGGUUCAAAUAUUGAAAAAAUAGGUAUGGGUUAUAAAAUUCAUAAUACAAGAACAGUAAAUCAAGAUAAAAUUUAAAAAUUUAGAACCAUGAAAGCGUAACUUGUAAGUUUCAAAGAAGCAUGUGAAAACAUAUGCGUAUCGAUACCCAUUAAGGGUGGGCAUUAAGAUCGGGUUAACUCGAACCGAACCUUAAAUUUAUUUUGGGUUCAAUUUGAUUUUGGUUGAACCUUUCAACUGAGUUGAAAACUUAUAAACGAUUGGGGUGUAUUUCUAUUCGAAUUGAACAACAAACUAAGCAAUCUAAUCAACUUAAGUAAGCAAAUUUAAAAAAAAAAAUUCCCAAAAAAUUAAAUCUAACCCUAAUUAAAAAAAUUCAACCGCGGCCUCCUUCUCGUCUUCUUUUCUUCUUCUUCUUCUUGCUCACCCCUAAUGCCCCAUUAAUGGAAUUCCAACAGCUAGAAACGCGUUUCAGCCGCUUGCACGUGUGAGAAAUUUUCCGUCCCAUAGGAUUGUUCGUUUCCUUGGUUUGCAUUAAUAAAUUUGAAGAACAAUUAAAAAUUAAAAGAAAAUAAAAAGUGUUUUCUUUUUUAACGAUGAUAAUUUGUUCGGAUGAUGAAAAUUCUUAGAGUGGUAUAAUAAGUAUUUUCGAGUGUUGCCAUCGCGAAUAAUAUUUAAUUUCAUUUAUAUAGUUAUAUCUCAAGUGACAUUUAAACAGAAGCAAGUUGGAAAUUAAAAAAAAAAAAAAAAGAACCAUUGAGAGAAUGAAAAACUAAUAAAAAAAAAGUUAAAAAUUUGUAUCUCAAUAAAUUUACUUGAGAGCUACUCUACUAAUCCGUGAAGAGAAAACACAAAGAAUAAUGAUGUAUCUCAAUUAAUAGGACAAUUUUUGUAUUUUUCGUUUAUUCAAGAAUCAUGAAACUUCAUUUAAACUUGUUAUUUCAUUGAUAAUAUAUUAAUAUUGAACAAUUUAGGAGACAUUCCUUUCCAAUUAUGCCCAUGUAUUAAUUAAAAACCACAAAAACAUUCAGGGAUACUAUAGUAAUUUAAGUCAACAAUUUCUGUGCUUGAAAUCAUCCGAAUAGAUUCACUUCAGAAUAAACUGAGAUAUCAAAAUCACAUUCUCCAAUUCUACAAUUUCAAUUCAUCUUCAUAACUUCAACUGAAGAAUUGAUUGUAUCUCGUUUUAAUUUUUUUUAUGUAAAGAUAAAUAUAAAAUAUAAAUGGUGAGGAGACUGAAAAAGUAAAAUCAAAAGAAGAGCACGAGUUUUAUUGAAAAUUACUUUUUUUUCAUCAUUUUGCCAGAGUGAAUGUAUCUACAUUUAAACGAAAGAAGCACAUUUGUUUGUAUUAGCUUUUUUAUUGUAUUUUUAAUAAUAAGUAAUUUUCAAUUAACUUAUAUCAUUUUUUACGAAAAUAAUAGGUGUUAGUUAGUUGAUUCAAAUGGCAAGACCUCUUGGGAUAGAGUUUGUAAUUUAGUGGCUUAUCAAUUGUUUAAAUAGGGCAUUAUUAGAGCCAAAUUAUUGUAUUUGGUUAAAAAACUCCUACUUAGCUUACAACUUUAUUAUCCUAUUAUGUUUAUUAAUAAAUAACAAUUUUAUUGAAAAAAAAAAACAAGAUAUGUUGAAAUGAUACAAAAAAUUUGGGUUGUAAAUCUUACUCGAAUUUAGCUUGAGAUUGGCAUUGUUAGCAUAAUAUUUGAAGAUAUAUUUUUUAAAUUAAAAAAAAAAGAAAUUGGGUUCACACUAGUUAGUUUUAACUCAUAGUGAGAUUUAAACAAAAUCGGAAUAAUAAAUCUUGAUAUCCUAACUCAUGGAUAACAUCUACAUAAAAUAAUAAAAUCUAUUGUGUCGAAAAUAAGGGGUCUAAAGUUUGAAUUUCACUCACAUAGGUAGCAAGAGAAUCAAAUUAUUGUUAGAUUAAAUUAAUUAAAAAAAUUAUCUGAUAUACAAAACACAGCAUAUCAAAAAAAUUGAAAUAAAAGAAAAUUGAAAAGCAAAACGAUUGAGAGAACGAAAAACUAACACAAGAAAAUGCCGAUAAUUAAUUGCCUCAGCGGGCACCAACUUAAUUAUGCUUAUUAAAGCCUGGUUUAUUGUUAGAGUGCAAUUUAUGCACUAGUUUUGCAUUAUUUACUUCCCUUAAUAUCGAUGUUUUGCACUUAAUAAUAGUGAUUUACUUGUGUUUUACUUUUGUAGGUGCAAUUCUAUUAAUUGGUGAUAAAAUUAAGCUAAAAGAUGAUGUUUAAGGAGGAUUGUUCUCUUGGAGAAAUUAUGAGCGUUGAAGAACUUUGUUGAUAAGGCGUGGGCGCGUGCUGUCAACUGCGGACCUGCAGUUUUUAGUUUAAACGUGUUUUGUAUUUUUGGCUAUUUUUGUAAUUACGAAUUUAAUAUUUCAGAUAUUAGUGUUUUAUUUUAAAUAGAACUCUAAAAGAGAAGAGAGAGAGAGAGUAUUUAAGAGAGGAAUCUAUUGUGAAAAAAAUGGGGAUUUUAGAUUGGAGAAAAGAAAGAAACCCUAGAUCUAAUUUUUCUCUUCUCUCUAUGAAGAACUAAACUUAUUUUUCUGGUUGAAGGUUAAUGAAGCUUUGAUUUAUCACUACUGUGAGAUCUUUCUUAUGCUUUAAUUGUUUUAUUACUCUUUGGGUAUUUGUUUAUUCUCUGAAUUAGUUUCAUGAUUAUGUUUGUUAAUUAGGUAAUUGGCCACUAUUUAAUUAUCAACUUAAUCUAUUGUCAAUUAAAGGAUUCAUCGUAUGAAGAAUUUAAUGUUUGUGACAAAUAACAUAGCAGAGAGUUGUGUUGUGAGAAUAAACAAUCUAAUUUAAAUGAAUCAUCAUAUGUGUUGAUUAGAAUUUGGGUCUCUCUGGUUUUUCAGGCUGUCAAUUGAUUAAAUCCUAUGAUCGUAUCUAGGAUUGUCUAUUGAUUAGGAAAAUAACCAACGGUCAUACCUUGGUUAUCGACUAGUUAAGGAGAGAUUGGCUAUUAGAGGGUCUCAGUAGCUAUAACCGGUCUAUUCAUAAGUCAUAAUAAUCUAUAUUUGAAUCAAUGAUCAGUAGUCGAAUCAAGCUGAGUUAAUUCCUUCAACCAGAGCUUUCUCCAAUUUGAAUCACAACUUUAAUUUACAUUCUCGUUAUUUUAAUUUGAUUUUUAUUAUUGUCAACAAAACCCCCAUUUUAUGUUUUACGUUUUAAAAGGAUUUAAAUAAUUACCGAUCUCUGUGGACACGACCCUGCUCAAUCACUAUACACAAUUUAUUUAGAGUAGGAAUUUAUUUUUGUUGGCUUCGACACCCACUAAAUUUUGGCGCCGUUGCCGGGGAUUGGUGUCAUUUAUUUAAUCCUUUUUACGUUUUACUUGGUGUAUGGUUCGUUCUUCUCGUACAUGUACACUUUCGUUUGAUCCUGAAAUUGAGAAGACAGCUCGCCAGCUGAGACAGCAGACAAAGCGAGCUAAGCAACGAUCCUCGUCGCCUUUGCUUUCUGAAACAGAUACGGUGCCUGAUUUAGUUGAAUCAUCUAACGAUUCAGAAGAACAAGUGAUGGAUGGAGCUGCACCUGUAGAAAGAACUCUUAGAGAGUUAGCUGAACCAGACUUGAAUCAACAACCACUCUGCAUUCAAUAUGUAGACUUGGAGGUAAAUUUUGAAUUAAAGUCUGGUCUUAUUCAUUUAUUACCCAAGUUUCAUGGUUUUGCAGGUGAAGUUCCUCAUAAACAUCUUAAGGAGUUUCAUGUUGUGUGUUCAAGUAUGAGACCACAAGGCGUGACUGAAGAGCAGAUUAAGCUGCGUGCUUUUCCGUUCUCUUUAGAUGGGUUAGCUAAAGAUUGGUUGUACUACUUGCCUCCUGGAUCGAUUACAACAUGGAAUGGUUUGAAGAAGCAGUUCCUCGAGAAGUACUUUCCUGCUUCAAGAGCUGCCAACAUCAGAAAAGAUAUUUGUGGGAUCAGACAACUUCCUGGGGAGACUUUGUAUGAGUAUUGGGAGCGAUUCAAACAAUUAUGUGCCAGUUGUCCUCAACAUCAGAUUUAUGAUCAACUUCUUAUUCAAUAUUUUUACGAAGGACUAUCAUUGAUGGAUAUGAGUAUGAUAGAUGUUGCUAGUGGAGGCGUGUUGAUGAACAAGACCCCUACUCAAGCAAGGGAGCUGAUAUCAAAUAUGGCUGCCAAUGCACAACAAUUUGGCAGCAGGCAAGAUCUCACUUCAAGGAAGGUGAAUGAGGUAAAUAUUUCUUCUGUUGAAGAACGUUUAGAUAAACUUACUUCUCUUGUGGAAAAGUUUGUUGUAGGUAAUGUGCAACAGGUGAAGACUUGUGGCAUUUGUUACAAUAUGGGUCAUUCAACUGAUAUGUGUCCUACACUUCAAGAAGAACCCGUUGAACAAGCCAAUGCAGUUGGAGGAUUUCCAGGCAUGCCUCAGAGGAGGUAUGAUCCUUAUGCACAAACAUACAAUCCGGGAUGGAAGGAUCAUCCCAACUUCAGCUAUGGAGUUAGGCCGUCAGGAUUCCCACAACAAUAUCCACCAAGACAACCAGCACCUCCACAGUCAAUCUCCAAGUCAGGUAUAUCUCUUGAAGAAAUUGUUAAAUCACUUGCGACUAACACUCAACAAUUUCAGCAGGCAACUACAACAAGCAUUCAGAACUUGGAGAACUAAAUGAGUCAAUUGGCGACUACAGUGAGCCGUCUGGAGUCUCAAGUAUUAGGAAGAUUGCCUUCACAAUCUGAGGUGAAUCCAAAGCAAAACGUUAGUGCUGUCAUCCUUAGAAGUGGGAAGGAGUUGCAAGAGCCUAGUAAGAAAGUGACAGAGCAUGUAGAAGAUGAGCUUGAGAAGAAUGAAUUGAUGCCUCAAUCUCAAGAUGCGCAACCUACCAGAGCGAAACCCCUACCUAUUGUGAUACCUUCUCCUUUUCCAAGCCGGUUUGCAAAAUCCAAGAAGGAGGAACAAGAGAAAGACAUCCUUGAGACAUUUCGCAAGGUUGAGGUAAAUAUUCCCUUAUUAGAUGCUAUAAAACAAAUACCUCGAUAUGCUAAAUUUCUUAAAGAAUUGUGCACCUCCAAGAGAAAAUUAAGAGGAGAUGAAAGAGUUCAUAUGGGGGAGAAUGUUUCAGCAGUUCUCCAAAAGAAAUUACCUCACAAGUGCAAGGAUCCAGGUAUGUUUAUUAUCCCUUGCAAAAUUGGUAGUGUUAGAGUUGAGAAGGCUAUGUUAGAUCUAGGAGCUUCUAUUAAUGUCAUGCCUCGUUCUAUUUAUUCGUCUUUGAAUAUUUGUGCAUUAAAAGAAACUGGCGUGAUAAUUCAACUAGCUGAUAGGUCUAAUGCAUAUCCUGAUGGGGUAUUAGAAGAUGUCUUAGUACAAGUUAAUGAGUUGGUUUUUCCUGCUGAUUUUUAUGUACUUGAUAUGGAAGAUGAUAACUCCUCUAAUUCUGUCCCAAUUUUGCUAAGAAGACCUUUUCUUAAGACUGCUAGGAUUAAAAUGGAUGUACAUAAAGGGACUCUCAUUAUGGAGUUUGAUGGAGAUGUUAUAGAAUUCAAUAUGAAUGAUGCCAUGAAAUAUCCCAGUGAGGAACAUUCGGUAUUUUCUGUGGAUGUUAUUAACCCUAUAGUGCAGGAAGUUUUUUACAAGGAAAAAACGAAGACAUUUCAUGAUAGAAUGAUUUUGAGAAAGGAGUUCUUUGUUGGUCAAAAAAGUUCUUCUUUUUCAUUCUAAGCUUAAACUUUUUCCAGGUAAAUUACGUUCUUGCUGGGUUGGACCUUUUAUUGUUACUAAUGUUUUUCCUCAUGGUGCAGUUGAGAUUCAGAGUCCGACCUCUGACAAAGUUUUUAAGGUUAAUGUCCAUCGCUUAAAACCUUUUUAUGAAGGUUUUUUGGUGAAUAUUGUGGAGGAUGUGGCUCUCGAGAAUCCCAAUUAUGGAGAUUGAUGCAUAAAUGUGUCUAGCCAAAGACAUAAAACAAAGGCGCUUUUUGGGAGGCAACCCAAAUGAUUUAUUUAUUUCGGUUUUUGUUGUAUCUUCUUUUAACUUUGAUUCAGAUUUUUUUUUUAAAAAAUAAUGUGUUUGCUUAUUUUGGUCAGAAGAAAAUUUUUGAUAAGGCGUGCCCAUGUCUUAACUAAUAAGUACUUCUGUGAUUUUUAAAGCAACAUGAUUUUAAGGCGUGCCCACGUGCUUAUUAGUAAAGUACUUCUGAAAUUUUUAGUGUCUCAAGUGAUUCAUCACUAAAAAAAAAAAAAUUAUUUUUAUUUAUUUUUUUUUAUUUUUUUCUAUUUAUUUAUUUAAAAAAAUGAAAAAAAAAAAGAGAUUUUCUUUUGUUCUUUCUUUUAUAUAUUUAUUUAUUUAUUUAUAAAAAAAAUUCAAAAAAAAUCACUGUUAAAAAAAAUAUAUAUUGUUCACAAAAUUCCUAAUUUUCCAGAACUUAUUUUCUUCUCCAGCCGCUUGCAGCACACCAACAGCAAACCAGCCUGCCGGAAAUCAGCAGCAACGCCCCGCAACGCAGAUCCUCAGCUCCAGCCCGCGCGCGCAGCGCAAAUCAAUCCAGCCGUCACCCUCGCGCAGCAGCACCCGCGCAACGCAAGCCCGCAAUGCAGCAACGCAACCAGCCUACACCCUGUGUUCCAGCCGGGUAAAUCGAAAUCCGUGAGUGCAAUUAUUGUAACAAUGCCGAAAAGGAAAGCAUCUACUUCCAAGUCAUCGAAAAAGACACCCGUCGCAAAGAAAUUUAAGAUUGCCGCUCCCACUACGGUUCCAUGGAACACAAUUUCAGAUUCACGCCAAGCCGUGAGACAAAGAUCGAAGCAUGGAAAAGGCAUGAGUGUUUUGCCACUUGCGGAAUCCAAUUUCAGAGGGUGCCUCGCAUUCGCGACUCAACAAGAGAAAGAGAGGUGUGGUCGAAUUCAAAGAGGGGAGAUUUCAGUUUACUGAACCAGGACCCACUCAACCUCCAAAGAAGCUUUAUGCUAGGAGUGGUGCUACCUCUGAUGACGAGUUUGACGACGACACUGUUGCCCCACCGACUAUUCCUUCCACAUCCGCACCACCUUUGAGCAUUCAGUUAGAGAAAAUGGAGCACAAGCUGAACAAGAUGGAGCAGAAUGUGGCCGCAUACUUCGAGAGUGUGGGAUUUAUCCCACCAUUUCCGCCAAGCCCAUAGACGUUAUGAGGAUCAAAGCUCACAAUUCAGGGAAGUUUUUGCCUUUAAUAUUUUAUCCUUACGCUUUAAUUUUUAUGUGAGUUUUGAUUAUCUUACAUUAGGGACAAUGUAAGUUCUUGGUGUGGGGGAGGGAUUUUUGCAUUAUUGAUGUCUGGAAGUAUUAUUUUCACUCUACUCAUCUAUUUUCAUUCUACUCAUCCUUAAAUGAUUUUGGAGUUAGUAUGCUUCAUAUAUUAUUAAUUUUCUUUUCUUUUCUUUCUCACUACUCUUUUCCCAUCUAUUUUUUUUACUACAUACAUCUUUCUCGCUUAUUAUCCUUUUUACCUUUCCUUUUAUUUCUCACUCAUACCUUCUUCUCAUUCUAUACCACUAUUGAUGGUUGAUUCAUUUGAAGAGUGUACAUGAUUUGAUAGCAAAUUUACCAACUUUGUGAGGAUUUGAGCCUAUGAGCAACCACUUUGCUCUAAUAUUUUUGUUAUGUGAAUAUCAAUCUUAGUUUGUUUAUUCUAGAACUUGCUUUGUUAUGCAUGUUGAAGCCGCAUUACGGGAUUUUAUGCAUUAAAAUGAUAAGGGCAAACCCUUUUCCAUUUUUCUAUUCUCGCAUUUUUUUUCUCUACCCGAAGACCUUUAUUUGCUAUCUUUGUUUGAGCCUUAACCAUUACCCAUCUAAUCCUCUCCGUCUACUUAACCAUUUUUCUUCUUUUUGAGCCUCAAUUUAAGGAGAUUUUUGGACUCAUUGUGUGGAUAUAUUUUGUGUUUUUUUUACCUUGUAUUAAAGUUUCUCAAUUAGAUCAACAAGCAUUAUGCUUGAAUUAAAUUGUGCAAGGUUCGUUUCUUUUGUUUGAUUAAAAAAAACAAAAAACAAAAAAAAGGAAAAAGAAAAAAAAGAAAAAGAAAAAGAAAAAAAAUCGAAAAAAAAAAAAAUUAAAAGUUUACAUUCUUGGUGACUUGAGUAGAAAUAAGCAUUUUGAUAUCAUAAGUUCAUUCAAUGAGUUCAUUCUUCUCAUUUUGAUAUCUUUUUCUCUUUCAUGGACCUUUCUUUUUCAUUUAACCUAUUUAACCCCAUUGCAACCCUUUUAAGACCCUUAGAUUUUUGCAUUUUAUUCAUGUUGUGGAUUGAGAUGUGAUAUAUGAGCAAGCUUAUGGUAAUAGCAUUCUUUGAUUUGAUUUGAGUGAAUAAAUGACACCCUAAACACUUUGAGUGCAUGGAGUGAAGUCAUUGAGAGGGCUAUUAAAUCUUGUUGCACUUGAAUUUUGAAUGUAUCUUCUUGGUGGUUGAAUGUUCUUAUUCUAUCUUAUGAGAUUCUAUGCUUUAAAAUCCUUGUCUCUCGAAUGUUGAUCGACUUAAUUUCUUGAGGUAUGGUUGCUUAGAAUUAUUUAUGGAUGAGUUGAGAUGAGAAUUGAGUGGAGAUUUGGGAUUAGUCUUGAGUUAUAUGCUUGAGGACAAGCAUCAUCUUGGUGUGGGGGAAUUUGUUAGAGUGCAAUUUAUGCACUAGUUUUUAAUUAUUUACUUCCCUUAAUAUCGAUGUUUUGCACUUAAUAAUAGUGAUUUACUUGUGUUUUACUUUUGUAGGUGCAAUUCUAUUGAUUGGUGAUAAAAUUGAGCUAAAAGAUGAUGUUUAAGGAGGAUUGUUCUCUUGGAGAAAUUAUGAGCGUCAGAAGAACUUUGUUGAUAAGGCGUGGGCGCGUGCUGUCAACUGCGGACCUGCAGUUUUUAGUUUAAACGUGUUUUGUAUUUUUGGCUAUUUUUGUAAUUACGAAUUUAAUAUUUCAGAUAUUAGUAUUUUAUUUUAAAUAGAACUCUAAAAGAGAAGAGAGAGGGAGAGUAUUUAAGAGAGGAAUCUAUUGUGAAAAAAAUGGGGAUUUUAGAUUGGAGAAAAGAAAGAAACCCUAGAUCUAAUUUUUCUCUUCUCUCUAUGAAGAACUAAACUUAUUUUUCUGGUUGAAGGUUAAUGAAGCUUUGAUUCAUCACUACUGUGAGAUCUUUCUUAUGCUUUAAUUGUUUUAUUACUCUUUGGGUAUUUGUUUAUUCUCUGAAUUAGUUUCAUGAUUAUGUUUGUUAAUUAGGUAAUUGGCCACUAUUUAAUUAUCAACUUAAUCUAUUGUCAAUUAAAGGAUUCAUCGUAUGAAGAAUUUAAUGUUUGUGACAAAUAACAUAGCAGAGAGUUGUGUUGUGAGAAUAAACAAUCUAAUUUAAAUGAAUCAUCAUAUGUGUUGAUUAGGAUUUGGGUCUCUCUGGUUUUUCAGGCUGUCAAUUGAUUAAAUCCUAUGAUCGUAUCUAGGAUUGUCUAUUGAUUAGGGAAAUAACCAACGGUCGUACCUUGGUUAUCGACUAGUUAAGGAGAGAUUGGCUAUUAGAGGGUCUCAGUAGUUAUAACCGGUCUAUUCAUAAGUAAUAAUAAUCUAUAUUUGAAUCAAUGAUCAGUAGUCGAAUCAAGCUGAGUUAAUUCCUUCAACCAGAGCUUUCUCCAAUUUGAAUCACAACUUUAAUUUACAUUCUCGUUAUUUUAAUUUAAUUUUUAUUAUUGUCAACAAAACCCCCAUUUUAUGUUUUACGUUUUAAAAGGAUUUAAAUAAUUACCGAUCUCUGUGGACACGACCCUGCUCAAUCACUAUACACAAUUUAUUUAGAGUAGAAAUUUAUUUUUGUUGGCUUCGACACCCACCAGUUAUUUCAUUUUCAUUGAUAAUCAUUUUGACACCGGUCAAAUUUAAAAGUUUAAAUAAUGGGGGCCAUUUUUCUUUCCAGCUAUGCCCAUUAGCUAAUAAAAGAACCGCCGAAAGGGUUCGGGGAUAAUAUAGUAAUAUGAUUGAUAAUCAUUUUGGAGCUGAGUAUUCUUCGUUCCACAUUUUGGGUUUUGGUUGACCAUAUUUUAAUACUUUUUCUGGAAAACAAAUAUAUAUUUAGUGACUUGUAAUGGGUGCAACUCAUGUUUUUGAAACAUUUACAUCUUUACUUACUUACACUAAUGCGGCAACUGCUGCUUGCUUUUUUUUUUUUUCCUUUUGCUUUUGGUUAAUAAUAAUAAUAAUAAUAAUAAUAAUAAUAAUAAUAAUAAUAAUAAUAACAACUUUUUAAUUUAAUAUAUUAUUAAAUAAUAUUUUUAUUUUUAUUUUUACAUUAUAAUUUAUUAUAACUAAUAAUAAAUAUUUAAAUUUGAAUAAUAUUAAUUUAAAAUUAAUAAUAUUAUAAAUAAUAAUAUAAAAUAUUAAUACAAUUUAAAUAUAUCAAUAUAAUAUAAUAUUUAAUUUAAAUUAAUCACAAAAAAUUAAUACAAUAUAUUAUAAUACCAAAUAUUAUACAAUAUUACUAUAAUACAAUUAUGAUACAAUUUGAGGGAGAUUGUCAGCUUUUUCGGAUUAAAAAUAAUAUAUACCACUUACUCGAUUGUUUUUAUAAUGUUCAACAAUCCCCUUGAGAUAAAAAAAAAAACGAAAAGAAGGAAUAAAUAGAUGAUUUGCUUGAUAUUGUAUCUUAGAAAUAUAAAAUAUAUAUUUAUUAUUAAAAGUAUUUAAAAAUAAUAAAGAGUACAUAAAAAAUAUCUUAUCCUCAACAACAAGAUCAGACGACGUCAAUUCAGCAAAAUGACUUGUACAAUUUGAAAGUCCAGCAACGGUCACCUCUUAAUGUUAUUUUUACUAUAUUAUAUUGAUAUUUUGUUUUGUUAAUCAUAUAAGUCAAUCAAUAAUUAUUUAAUCAUUGGAAUUAAAACUAAUGUAUUAAUUAAAAUUCAAAAUCUAUUAUAAAAAUAGUAAAUAUUAAUACAAAGAGAUGGACAUAUUACAAAAUACAUUCACCAAAAGUUCUAUUAUACAUGUACAAAAAAAUAAUAAUAGUUGAAUACAUGUACAAAAAAAGGGGAUAAAUAAAAAAUAAUAAUAAUAAAUAAUAAAAGGAUAGUUUAUAUAAUAAAAAAUAAAUUUAUUGAAUAGGGAUGUUAAUAAUAAAGAAUAAUAGCCGAUCAAACUCACUUUACAAUAAACUGAGAAAUCAAAAUCACAUUCUCCGAUUCUACGAUUGACUCUUUUUCAUCAUUUUACUGGAGUGAAUGUAUCUAUAUGUAUUGGGGACCAUAAUGGAAACUGAUAGAACCUACAAGGGCUAAAAUUAGAACAACGAACGAUAUCUCAAAGUCGCCGAAACGUAAGUAAUUAAUCUUAUCUUUCAAUUGAUUUUUUGUGGAGACAGAGACAAACCCGAACAGCAAAUAGCCAUAAAUGAUAGGACAAUUAAAUUGGAACUCUCCGCGGACCCACGAUUUAAUAUCUUUAGAUUGUAACGGUUUAACCAAAAAAAAAAACAAUUUUAGUAAAAUAUUUCUUAAAAAAUGAAAAAAAAUGUUGAAAAGAAGAACAAAAUUGUGGUCCACGUGUCAUUUCAAAAUAGGUUGCUGGCAUAAACAACCGUCCCCAUCUCGGACAGAUGUUAUUUGAGUGGUUGGUGCGCGUUUCCACUUUUUUGUUUUAGAUGCAACGACUCAUGCACUAUAUAUAUAUAUAUAUAUAUAUACAUAAUUUCUAUCUUAUAUAUGUAUAAGAUACAUUCUUUAUCUUACAAUAUAUCUCCCUUAUAGAAUAAUAUAUGUGUGGAAUUUAUAUAUAUUGUUCAUAUGAAAAAAAUAUAUCUUAUAUGCAUGAUAGAAUAAUCCAUGAAUCUAAUGUUAUUAGUUUAAAUAAUGGGUGCAACUCAUGUUUUUGAAACAUUAAGAUCUUUAGUCAUUCUGUUACUAUCCCGUGGUUAUUUAAGUUACAAGAGACAGUAAAAAAACAACGUCAUAUUUUAAUUACUUACACUAAAUAAAUUACUCACACUGAUGCCGCGUCUGCCGCUUGCUUUUUUUCUUUUUUUUUAUCCUUUUGCUUUUGUUUUUAACUUUUACUUUUACUUUUUGACUUUUGCUUUUGGUUUAUUAUAAUAAUAAUAAUAAUAAUAACUAUUUUUUAAUUUAAUAUAAUAUUAAAUAAUAUUUUAUUUUUAAUUUUACAUUAUAAUUAUUAAUAUAUAAUUUAUUAUUCAAUAUUAUUAUAUUAUGUUUUUUAUUUUUAAUUAUAAUUUAUUAAUAAAUUUAUAAUUUAUUAUAACUAAUAAUAAAUAUUUAAAUUUAAAUAAUAUUAAUUUAAAAUUAAUAAUAAUAUAAAUAAUAAUAUAAAAUAUUAAUACAAUUUAAAUAUAAAUUAAUAUUUAAUUUAAAUUAAUCACAAAAAAUUAAUACAAUAUAGUAUAGCACCAAAUAUUAUAUAUUAUUAUUAUAAUACAGUACUAAUACAACAUAAUAUAAAAUAAUACAUUAAUAUUAAAAUAAUAUAAUACAGUGUGCGAAAUGAACCGAAAUGGUAUUACUUUGUUUGUCUUGUUAUUUACAAUUAUUUAAUCUGUAGACCCACUCAUGCUCCUUCUAUGCAACAUAGAUACAAUUUGAGGAAGAUUAUCAAUUUUUUCUGAGAAAAAAUAAUAUAUACCACUUACUCUUUAUUGUUUUUAUAAUGUUCAACAAUCCGUUUGAGAUAAAAAUAAAUAAAUAAAAAGAAGGAGUAAAUAGACGAUUUGCUUGAUGUUGUAUCUUAGAAAUAUAAAAUAUAUAUUUAUUAUUAAAAAUAUUUAAAAAUAAUAGAGAGUUCAUAAAAAAUAUCUUAUCCUCAACAACAAGAUCAGACGACGUCAAUUCAGCAAAAUGACUUGAACAAUUUGAAAGUCCAGCGACGGUCACCUCUUGGCACACAUACGGCAACGUGUGUAGCAUUGGCAAGAGGUCUCCCAGAAGGACGAUUAAGGAAAGAUUGCAAGACAAAAUCAUGAAAAUAGUAGUACAGAUAUGCAAUAUGCUAAAUUGUCCUCGAUUGAGUCAAUCGCAAUCAAGUCUUAGAAAUCGCACCCCUGUAUUAAUUUCCAGAAAUAUGUUUGUUCCAUAUUUAUCGUGCACGUAUACAUUGUAUGUAUUGGGAAUAGAAAGAGUGUAUGAAAAAAAAUUCUUCAUUCAUCGAUUAAAACUUAAAUUAUGUACGAGGGUUAAGCGCAGCGUUUUUAAAUUUAAAAAGCACAAGUGUCAAUCCACUAAGGUUUGGUCCAAUGGCUAGAGUCACUCCCUCACGAAAUAAUUAGAGUUCCCACAAAUGUAUUGUACAAGUUUAAUUUAAAUUUUCUUCCUCAAAACUUAAGUGAAGACAAUAUUUUUCAUAGAAGUAGAGUUUUUCUAGGAGUUUGACAUCCCUCAAAUAUUAAAAGAGUUAAAAUCUGAACGAUACUAUAUAAAAUAUAAUGUAAACUGAUCUUAAUAAUUAUAUAAUUAUAAAUAUAAUGAGCAACAGUCUCGUUAAAAAAACAGAUCAAGUGUCAUGAGCCCAUUUAAAUUAACUAAUAUUUGAGGGGGAAAUCUCUGUAUACCAUAGUAUAUAUUCUAUAUCCAGUCAUGGGACCCAUACAUGGAUGGUUCCACGUAAUUCGCAGAGUUGAACUGGAGACACUGAUUAGUUCGUUGUCUACUUACCAACUUAUGUACAACUAAGUAAUUGCAUGCACCAUUUGCGACUUAUCUAUCCACCCUGCUUGCAUUGCAUUAACUACGUCACCAAUCACCCACGUCCGCUACUUGUGUGAACGUGUAUAUAAAUACAUAUAUCCGCAGCAUAUUAUCAAACCAGAAUCAGAAGCAACUUAAGUUUUGUUCAUUAGGUUUAUGUUUAUCAACAUGAUAUAUUGUCAAUCAUAAUCGCAAUCAAGUUGUUAAUUAUUUUUUAAAUAAUGUGAAGGAACAAGAUUUUGGCCUUUGAGUGUCUGGUUAAAAAUAUCUCACCUCAAUGUACGGUGUUGUGCUCUCAUCAUCGUACUAUUAUUUGUUAAAAGUAUGUCAAAGAGGAAAGCAGAUUCAAACAUUACUUCAAUUUUAUUUAAGAGAAUAAAAAAAUCGUUAAUAGGCUACUGUUAUUUGUUAGUACGAUUUCACAAAAAAAAUCGGUUUCUUAAACAACUCCAACUACAAUUUUUUUUUUACAAAUUUUUGAAUUAUUAAAUCAUAUGUGUGUGUAUAAAUUGAAUAGAAUUAAAAGUGGACUCAAAUGGCUAUUAUGUAAUUUUUUUAUAAUUAAAGAAAAGUUUAGAAUGUAAAAGUGUGUGUGAGAAAACAAAAAAUAUAAAUCACCUUUGAUGUAGUUGUAUGGUUGUAAAGAGUUAGAUGGAGAAAUAUAGUAUAUAAUUAAAUUUAUUUUGUUCCUUAAAACGGGUAGGUUUUAUAAGAAUUUUCCAGAGGAGUGCUAAUAUUUCAACUUUUUUUCAAAUGAAGUGAUGUCCUGGAAUAAAAUCACUACUCUAUCAUUGCUAUUAGUUUGUCUUGUAUUUCAAUUAUUGUCGACAAGUAUUAAUUGUGAAUAUUAUUGUUUUAAAAAUUUUAUUAUUAUUAUCGUCGUUAUUCUUAACAGCAAUGACUAGAAUUAUAAUAAGAACAAUAACGUUAAUACAAUAAUAUAACAACAUAAUAAUAUUUUAAUUGAGAGGAUAAGAAUGAAAUUAUGAAAUUUAGGUUGGGUAAAAAUGAUGAGUAUGAGGAAAUUAAAUUACCAUUUUUUAAGCUAAACAAUUUAUAAAUUUCACGUAUUUCAUUCGUAUUUCUCUUAUAUUUUAACAAGUAAACAUUAUCAAUAGUUUUAAUAUUUUAAUUAAUAAACACGGCGUUAACUACGGAACUAAAAGAUCAAAAAAAAAAACAGAGACGCGUGUAUGUAUUGCUUGUGACAAAUCUCACCCGUGGAAAACUUUGUGAAAGGCAUUUGAAUGUGAGGCCACAUUUAAUGAACGAAACGAUAACUUUAAAAGAGAGUAUGUACUGUGUUAAUUAUUAGGCCUUAGCUUAAUGAUUGCAAUUAGUUUGUCUUGUAAUUAAAUUAUUGCCGACAAACACUAUCACGACCCACGUCCGCUACUUGUGUGAGUGCGUGUAUAAAUAUCCGCAGCGUAUUAUCAAACCUGAAGCGUACCAAUAAAGUGUUGGCUCCACUGGCAAUGGAGUCCCCUUAAGUGGCUUGACUGGGUUUGCUCCUCAGUUCGAGUCGCAGGGAAGUCGCCUUUGUUGGGAGAACAUGUGCCUCUCAGUUCGAGCGGGGAUUUUUAGUCUAGAUUGUGAUACGGGCUUAAAGGUGCCUCCCACAGUUGGGGCCCUCCCCAGAAUACCUCGUUGUCAAAAAAAAAAAAAAAAUCAAACCUGAAGCGUGAUCAUCUUUAAGUUUUGGUUAGGGUUGAUCAGACGUUGGAAGAUAUCUUUCCUAAUUUAAAGAAGAUGGAAACUCCUUAUCCAGGUUCUUAGGCCAUGUUCAGUUGAAUGUCAUUUAUAAUUUUUAUUUUAACAUUAUGUAUUUAUGAAUACAAUUAUUGUUUAUUUUAACAUUAUGUAUUUAUGAAUACAAUUAUUGUUAUGAUUUUUUCAGGUAAGAAUGGGUGGUCUGAGGGUAACCCAAUAACUAUGUACAAUAUUAUUAAUGAUGAGAGCGUGAAUGACAAUUUGGAUUUUAUUCUCGUCCCUCAAUACGGAAGAAAUCUUGACCAUAGCGGUUAAUUGCUAUGUAACUCUUUCGUAUUAUGUUUAAUUAAUAAUAAAAUGAUGGGUUAUUAUUACUUGUCAAUUAUGUGAGUGUCUCUGCUUGAUUUAGUUCACUUAUAAAAUAUCUUGAGAUAUACAAGAGAUUUUCUUUAUUUACUUUCAUGUACCGCGUCUUCUUGUAAAAAGAAACUAAUAAAAAAAUAUCAUUGUGUGCAAUGUAUUGACUAAGUUAGUGUAUUCAUGUUAGCUUAAUUGUGCUCUCUCUUCUUGAUUUUUUUGUUUUUUUUGGUUAAAACAAACUCCACAUGUUGUUGGUUAGCUAAUUCUUGCAGCUAGCAAGUGAUCCUUUUCUUUCCCCUACUGCCUGCCGUAGCAUCAAAUCCUGACAAUUAUAUAUCAAGUGGUAUUCGAGCCGUCAAAUGAUCCUUGGAAACACGCAACAAAUCAAAUGCUGAAUUUUGCCAAGAGAUUCACGAAAUCCUUGCUAGACAUGUCUUUUGUCCAGUUUAUUUCAAACUACGCGAGCAAUGUUCCCGUUAUUGUUUAGUAUGUCUUUUGUUGUUUGCAAUGUAGUUAGGGAUGUUAGCGGGUAGGGUUUGGUACGGAUUUGACAUUACCAAAAGCCGGAUCUGUAAAAAAAAUUUAAUUAUCAAAUUCAUUGUGGGUUUUAUUUAUUCAUUUUUUUCCUCUUAACAAAGCCCAUCAGCUGCGGGUUUGAAUGGUACCUAGUGUAUAUUUUUGUGAGUUCCCACGUAUAAAAUCACACUUGCAACAAAACCUAAAAAUUAAAAUUACGUAAUUCAAAUUAUAAAUUUAUAAUCGUAGCCUAAAAAACCACAGAAAAUACUUAAUUUUAGAUUUUAUUAAUGUAAAUGAGAAAUGAAAGUAAAACAUUAAAAUAAAUACACAAAAUAUAUCAAUUUAACAGAAAUUUUAAAUUUUAAUUACCAAAUACAUAAGUCUAUCGCAACUUAAAGUGCUUUCAAUUGAAAACGAAAAAAGAGAAAGAGAAAAAAAAAGAACUACAAAUCAAAGUAGCACCCGUGACCCAUUUCCCAGUCUCAUUCAAUACCACUAGCACCCAUCCAACGUGAUUUUUCUAAACAAAGUAUAAAGUACAAAAUUACAAUAAGCAUAUCAUACUCCAUGCUUUAAGUUAAAGAUCCUUAUAUAUUUUUACGAAUAAUUUUUUCAUGAAAUUUUAUGAUUAAAAUUAAAAAUACAAACAUUCAAAUAAGAAUGUCAGACACUUGCGCAACUAUUUACCAAAUUUUUUCUCUAUAAAAAUCGACCUGCAACUUUCAAUAGGUUUAAAUUUACAAUAUCAAACCUAAUUGCAGCUCGCAAAAAUUAUCUGUUGCGGCCAAGACUUUGGAUUUGCGAUGAUUUUGCCACCCUAAGUGUAGUUAGUAUUGUAUAUCAUGUGGCUCUUAUAAAAAGCCUAGAAGUUGUUUGAAUAAUGGGGGAGACACAUAUCUCCCAAAGAUUUUCUCUUUUUCAAAUUAUUAUGUCUUCUCUAUUAUUGUAACUUCGAAUCCUUAUAAAUUACAGAUUGGAGACAUGAAAACAAUGUUUUGACAUAGUAGACUUUUGACUUAUCCAGAGAAAUUUAGGAUAGAUUUUUAUACACUAAGGUUCUAUUUACUAUUGAGGUUUUAGAACUUUUAAGCCACACUAGAAAUUUGUAUUGUUUUGAUUGGUAUUAAUCAAGUGUUAUCAAUAGUUAAAGGCAUAUUGAAUCAAAAUCCACUUCUAAGGGUUUGAUUGAGUGAUUGUAAAGUAGGUUUUUAGUUUGCUAGCCACUCAAGUUCAAAUAUUGGAACCACAGAGCCUUAUAGCCAAGUGAGAGAACUUGUGCCCUAAAAAUUGAGGGGUGCAUAUCGAGUUUUACCACCAAUAAAAGUUGGUGUUAAAACGUUAAUUUCCCUCCUAUUGUGGAUAAGGGUAAUUAGGAGUUUACAUCCCCUCCUAUUAAUAGAUAGGGGUUAUUAGGAAUAUUAAAAAAAAGUUCAAAUAUUGAAAAUAUAGGUAUGGGUUAUAAAAUUCAUAAUAUAAAGACACAAAAUCAAGAUAAAGAUUUAAAAAUUUAGAACCAUGAGAGCGUGACUUGUAAGUUUCAAAAAAGUAUGUGCAAAUAUAUGCAUUAUUGAUGCCCCAAUUAAGGGUGGGCAUUAAGAAAAAAAAAUCCCAAAAAAUUAAAACUAACCCUAACUAAAAUAUUCGACCGCGGCCUCCUCGUUUUCUUUUCUUCUUCUUCCUCCUCUUGCUCACCCUCAAUGCCCAUUCAUGGAAAUCCAACAGCUCCAAACGCGUUUCAGCCGCUCGCACGUGUGAGAAAUUUUCCUUCUCAUGGGAUUAUUCGUUUCCUUCGCUUGCAUGCCAGCAGAAUAUUCAGGCCGAGGAUUUUUCCGGGCCUAGCCCAACUAUAAGCUCUCCCAAAACCCAAUCAUAAAGUUCAUAACGUUUAGCGUUUGCUAUUACUAUAACUUUUUUUAACCAAUUUUCACAUUCAUCAACAUAGGCUGACAGAUUUUGUAGAAAAUAAAAUUAAAUAAAAGUACAAGCUCACGAAAUUCCUUUUCCGAUGUGGGAAUCUAUCUACACCUUUCACGUGCCUUUUUUUUUUUGGUUUAUCACAUGUUGAAGUUAAACAGUUGAAGUUAGUGAUGCAAGUUGAAACCAAUCUGUUUAAGCUUGGGGUUUCAUGUCUUGAAUCAAGGCUGUGACUUGGGGUGGGUUGAAAGUAUUAUAGCUUUAGCUAUUCCUGAAGUGAUCUGUUUAGACUCACCGUGAUGAGACCGAGUGCUGUACAGUAAAAUGAAAGGAAGUUGGAAAAUAUUUACUUAGCAUUUCGCGUUACUAGUGUUGAACUAAUAAAACCUAUCCCCUAUCCUAGUGAAUUUAUGUUAAAAAGCUAUGCACGCAUUAAGUUAGUGCGAGAGUCUGCUGAAGUAUAUGUCAGCUGUGUGUUUGGAGCUGAGUAUUCUUCAUUCCACAUUUUGGGUUUUGGUUGACCUCCAGCAUGACUCAACCCACUUGAGUUAAAAGCCCUAGAGUUACAUUCUACCCAUGAUAUUUGAGUUUAUCAAGUCACCUUAUUUUAAUACUUCUCUGGAAAACGAAUAUAUACGUUAAAUCAGGUAGGAAAAAUAAAAAGUUAAUUAUUGAGUUGUAAUGGUGCAACUAAGGUUUUGAAACAUUAAGAUCUUUAGCCAUUAUGUUACUAUCCCGUAGUUAUUUAAGUUACAAGAGAUAGUAAAAAAUAACAUCAUAUUUUAAUUACUUACACUAAUCCUGCAAGUGCUGAUGGUCUAAAGUUGCUGCUGCUUGCACUGAAUCAGUGGUCAUAGGCCAGCCAAGGUUAGGUGAGGCCAACUCAUUAGCUUGUGAAACUUAAAGAAGUCUUAGGUUUGGAAAAGAUGGGGCACAGGUUACAAAAUUUUUUUGAGUUUUGGAUUGAAGGAACAAAAUUGUUGAUGUCUAGCUCACAAUAUUUGAAGUCACUCUGUGCUUCAUCAUGUAAAAUGGAUUGAAUUGCUGUAAGAUCAGGUCAAAUUAAAAUGUUUAAACUCAUUUUUAAGAAACGAAUUCUUAAUUGGACCAGCCUUUCACAGAAGCUGAUAUCACAGAAGCUUUGAGUCAGAUGCAUCCAACCAAAGCCCUUGGCCUAGAUGGUCUCCCAGCAGUAUUUUUCUAAAAGCUUUAGAAUUCAGUAAGCGAAGGAGUUAUAGCCACUUGUCUGCAUAUCCUCAAUGAUGGAGGUAAUAUUGCUCCUUUGAAUCAUACAUACAUUGCUUUAAUCCCCAAGAUAGCAAAACUUAGGACUCUGAUGGAGUAUAGACCAAUCAGCAUAUGUAAUGUAAUUUAUAGGAUCAUUGCAAAGACUAUAGCGAAUGGGCUGAAGCUAAUCUUAGAUCAUGUUAUUUCGCCAACUCAGAGUGCUUUUAUGCCAAAUAGGCUCAUAACUGAUAAUAUAAUUAUUGGGCAUGAGUGUCUUCAUAAGUGGACAAAGCUAAGUUCCAGAGGUGAGUAGGAAAUUCUCCCGCACGACACAGCACAAACAAACUUUCCCUUUCAUUUUCUUUUCUCUUUCUCGCUCUCCAAACAGAGCAAAAGGACCGUCGCAAGAUUCUUCACUUCCAUCCAAAAUCAUGAGCAACGAAUAGUGAGCCUCCCGUUUUCCUUUUUUUGAUAUUAACAUUGUUAACAUAUACUCAUUUUAAUUUGACAAUACUUCAACUUUUUUUAUUUUUUUGCCUUUUCAUUUUUUUUGUUGAAGCAAUUAUCUGUUCAAGCUGUUGCUUAUCGGAGACUCGUCCGUCGGAAAGUCCUGUACGACGAUCAAACUGUUUUAUUUAUUUUUAUUUUUUUCAAUUUUUCAGGAUGAUUCUUAUGUCACAGCUACAUCAGUACCAUUGGAGUUGAUUUUGUGAGUCUCUCUUCUAUAUAUAUGUAUAUAUGUGUAUAAGUUAUAAUAUGAGUCUAUGUACGUGUAUGUAUGUAUGUGUAUGUAUAUGUGGAAAGAAAUGUUGGCAGACUUCAGCAUUUUACUCUUUUUUUUUUUUGGCAGAAAAUAAGAACUGUGGAGCUGGAUGGGAAGACGAUCAAACUGCAGAUUGUGAGUCAAAAUUUCCUUUUAUCUUGUUUUGGGAGAAAUUCGAUUUGUCUUAUUUAGUGAAGGUUAUGUUCAAGAACCUUGUCUUAUUUUCUUUGUUUGAAGAGUGAUAUGUUGAAAUGAGUGUAUUUGUCUUAUAAACAUCAUUUAGGUAAUGUCUUAUGUUUGAUUGUUUUUAAUCUGUUUAGUGGGACACUGCUGGACAGGAGCGUUUCAGGACUAUAACUAGCAGUUAUUACCGAGGAGCCCAUGGAAUCAGAGUAAGGAGCCUUCCCAUUCUUGGUUUAAAUCAGAAAGUUUGUGAUUUACAUGUGACAUCUUAACAGCAUUGUAUGUGUUUAUUAACUUAUUUUUCAUCUUUCAUUAAGCAGUACAUUUUCCAAUAAAUCUGUAUACAAGAUGAUGUAGUCCAAGAAUGGGAGCGAUAAUAUGAUGCAAAUUGUCUAAUAAAUUCUUAUGACAUAUGAUGUUGUCGGAAGUAAAAGUCUUGCAAUGCUGUAUUCUCUUUUAAGAAAGAAUAAGUGGUAAUUUUGUUUUUCCAAUUUUUUAAUUGAGCAACUGUGUGAGAUUAAUUAAAUGUGUUGGGAUUUCAACAGAUUGUCUAUGAUGUAACUGAGAUGGAGAGCUUCAAUAAUGUCAAGCAGUGGUUGAAUGAGAUUGACAGAUACGCAAAUGACAGUGUAUGCAAACUUCUAGUUGGGAACAAAUGCGAUUUAAUUGAGAACAAGGUUGUGGACACAUAGACAGCCAAGGUAUAUUCGUGACUUCUUUCGCCUGAACUUUGAAUAUAAUUUUCAACUCUUCUCAAGUGCAUUUGCUUGAUAAGUUUCUGCAUACCCAGGACACUCAAACUUUGGACAGUUUGUAUCUUGAGCUGGAAUCUUUUUUGUCAAUACGACUUGUUAAAAUAAGGGUUGUUAUCGUUUGAAUCCUUCAAGAAUUGCAAUAAAUCUGAAGUCCAUAAAAAAUAAGAUUCCAUCAUUUUACUAUUAUAUCUAGACAAAAUCCAUUAUUUUACUACAUUUCAUUAGCACCGAUAGUUGACCUAUUGGCUGACUGAUAAAAUAUCAAUUUUGUAGUUUAUAUUAAUUCUUUUUUUGUUAGAAAAUAACACACAAAGUAUUACAAUAUUAUAAAUUCAAAAUAGAAAGUAGUUACAAAUAAUUGCUAUUAGCCUAUGAAUUUAAUAUUUGAUACCUCUAUUUGUGUAAUUUUUUUCCAAGAGUGAAAUUGGUAUUUUUUUUGUACUAACGGAAAUGUAGUAAAAUGAUAAGUUUUGUAAAGAUAUAGUAGUAAAAUGAUAGGCUAAAAUACUUCUUGUAGUUGUUUGAUAUAUUGUAAUUCUUAAAGUAGUCAAUUGAUAAUAUCCCCUAAAAUAAAUGUUCGUAAUAUGUUCUCAUUUUAAUGUAACUGAUUGUUUAAUAAAAUUGUAUUUCUUUGUUAAUCUUUUUUCAUGUGCAUGCUCAGUGAGAAUUUGACUUACUAGAACACAAGUUUGACUCUUCAUUUAAAUGUCUCUUGUAUCAUAUCCUUCAAUGUUGAGUGUGAUUCCAAUAAAAUUGAGUAGGGGGAUCCUUAAAUACCUUUUCCUUUUUUCCAAGGGCCUGCCAAAUUGCUCUAAGUGGUUCUACCCUUUAUCAAUGAAUUAUGACAAUAAAAUUUUUAUUAAAGCAUUUUGUUCCUUAAAUGGUGACUAAUAGUACCCCUUUUUUUGGAGAGGAAAGCCAAACAUGCCCAAAGAGAAUCAUUUACUUUCCUCUAAUGUAUUUUCUAAUUCGUUUUGAGCCUUGAAUGUCUGUUUUGGUGCGUAUUCUCAUUCCAUGUCGAAUCUUAUCCAUAUGGACAACCCCACUUACAAAAAAGUCUAAUGAAUCUAUUGAAGUUCAUAUGAGGUUUGUGCUUUAGAUUUAGACCUCUCUCUCUCUCUCUCUCUCUCUGUCCACUUACAUGUCUUUCACUUACCUGUUUGCAUGCAUGCCCAUUCACACACUUUCAAGAUAAUACACAGUCACUCGUACUUGUGUUUUGGUUGAAUUACUGGCUGCUAACCUCUGUAAUUCAGUUUGAAACUUGCCACCCUUAGUGCUUCACUCAAAUGGUUGGUUAGUGUGAGAUCUGUAUCGUUUUCCUGGUCUCUUUCCAAGGUUAUCUAAAGGGAUUUGCCAGUCUGAUUCUUUUGGGAAUAUCAUUGCAUAAGAUAUCUAUUGUUUGUUAAUGAAUAAUUUCUAUUUAACUAGUUAUCUAUAUAAAUUGGUCAAUUUUAACUGCAUAAUUUGCAUGCAAUAAGAUUUUAUAAGAAUCUUGUUUUCAACUCAUGACUUAGACUAAUGUGAUAUGUUGAGCAUUAAGCUACAAGAUCUGCACAUCAAAGUGCUUCACAAUGUUAAGGAGAAAGCAUCUUUUUCUGCUUCUUCAUCUGAUUUAAAGUUUCCAAGGUACUUAUCCAAUAAAAUAUCCUUCAAGACUUUGGAAAUGCUUUUAUGUAUGACUGAGAGAAACUUGUUGGGUUGGUUUUUAGCAACAGACGGAGUUAUGGACUUUGUGUUGACUUGUUAUUGAUUAAGACAGUACAUCGGCUGAUCUAUUGGCAUCAAGCAGCAGAUGCAGAAAUUAUGGGUGGCAUACCAUUGUAUCCAAAUAACAUACUACAUUGAUUUUUCUGACUUUCUGUUGGUCUCCGAGAAAUGCAGGCAUUUGCAGAUGAACUGGGGAUUCCUUUCCUGGAGACGAGUGCCAAAGAUGCAAUCAAUGUGGAGCAGGCUUUCUUGACCAUGGCUGGCGAGAUUAAGAAAAAGUAAAAUCACUUAACUCUUUCCUUCUUGCCGACUGUUCUUAUUUAACAAUCACCAUUAUUGCUGGUUAUAUGCAUUGUGAUGAAAAUUCUGCAAUGAGUAACUUUUUACCUAAUGUUUUCUGUUGGAACAAAUUACUCUGGUAGAAAAGCCCUACAGGGUUUGAGAAAUCCCAUGAUGUGAUGAUUGUGAGCAUUUUAGACACCGUGUAUGGGUUUAUUUUGUGACUAUAAAAUGUUAAGAUUGUUUCUAGUUUUGGUUUGUAGUGCAUAAAAGGAUUCAAAAUUUGACAUCUGUCUAAAUCAGAUUAAUAACAUGAUAAUGUACAUAUGCAAGAUGUGAGGAAUUGUUUUAUCUCACCCCUAAACUUUAAGAAAUUGAAACAUUAUUAUUCAAAAUAUUUAACAUUUCCAGAAUUGAUAGUUGUCUAUUUGAGCAGUGACUGGUGGUUAUCAUGAACUGAUGUGUGGUUGUGGUUUCAAAUCUUGGUGAAACCUGUUGUCAUAUGCUGAUUAACAUAGCUAGUCUCUGAAACAAUUUGUUGAUUCACUAAUUAUGAGUUCAAAUUUGAUGCAGAAUGGGCAACCAGCCUUCUGCAAACAAAUCUUCUGGAACAGUUCAGAUGAAGGGAUAGCCAAUCCAGCAAAACUGCAACCGCUGUGGUUAGCCGAGCAUCUUAUUUUACUUCUACAUGUUAGCUGACUGAUUGUAGACAGUUUUAACUAUGUUGACUGCAUUAUCUUAUGAAUCUUUUAAUCUGUCAAAUAUUUAUUUCCUGGUUUAAGUUCUUUCCCGUUUAUAACAAAUUUAAUUUCUUGCUCCAUUGCAUUCCAAAUUCCUGUCAAUUUACGAGGGAAAAGGAAAAGAGAGACAAAAUGGGAGAAAAUGGUCAAAUUUGUUAGGGGGAGAGAGCUGUUCAAGUAGUUUUUGUUCUCGUUUAUUGUCAUAUCGGAUGGGUAAAGUUACCGAAACAGCGUCAUUUUGGGUGAAUUAUCAUAUUUAUGUAACACUUUUGAUAAUAUUUUUAUGCAACAAAAAAAUGUUAGUACCCUUUUCACAUUGUGAAGCGCAUGAUCGGAUGAGAGCAGUCUGUAUUCUGGCAUCACAAGCUAAUGCUUUGAUUUGCUUAGUUUGUUUUUUUUUUUUUCAUGGAAUUUGGAGAUGUUGUACAUGUAUGAAGAUGACGUAAUAAAGUUGUUUUGAUAAAUUUCCCUGGUCGGUUUACUUCACUAACCAUUAAUGCGCAAAGCCUCCUAAUGACCCUAAAAAUCCCGUACAUAAUUAAAGAAUUUCAAUUUUAUAUGUACAAAAAUAAAUAACUCUCAAAUAUAUUAUUUGAUAAUUCCAAAAACAACAGUUCGCUCUAAUAAAUAUCGUAGGAAAUACAUAGUCUAUAUUGUAAGUCUUUUCGAGACUAAUUCAAAGAGAAAAUACAAAAGACAUAUAAUUGAUCUUUAUCUGUUAUAAAGAACUCUAAAUAAAUUCAUAUACGCAUUGUAACUAAUUACAGCCUUGAUACUUCAUUUGGUUUUUGUUAAUUUUCUAUACAGUUGUGCUGUGCAUUAAAGUUUUGUUAAAUGAAAUCGGUAGGUGAGGAUUAAUUAAUCAAUUAAUUAAGAUCCAGUUAAUGUAAUUAAUUUUAUUUGAUUUUUUUAAUUCGAGUUCCAAAUUAAUCAAUUAAUUUAGAUUCAUGUGAAAUUGAAGUGAAUUAGUUUCGAUCUGUUUUUCGUCCUAUGUUUGUCUGUGUUUACUCUUACUUUUUUUUUUGGUUUAAAUUUUCGUUUUCUUAUUGUUUACUUAAUAAAUUUCUGAGCUUUAUUUAAGUAUGAUGAUUGAUUUGUGAUUUUAAUCUAAAUGUGUUGGGCUGCGAUUUAAUUGAGUAAUGUGUGAGCGCCAAAUUGUGAGAGCCAAAUAUUCAAUAACUGAUAAAUUAUAUUUAUAAAUAUUAAUAGCGAUGGCACAUAAACAAUUAAUUCAAGAACUUGCCCAUAGUGAUUAAUUUAAAGAGUAUAAGUAACAUCGCAAUACAGUCUAGCCCUUACAUGUUUAAUUAGCAAUUGAAAACUACUGUUGCUGAUGAGGUAGAACAUUAUAACACUGUUGCUGAUGAGGCAGCUGGUAAUUCUUCUGGUGAAGAUAUUAAGACUAUUAAAGCUGAAAUGUAAUUAGAGAAAUAUAAUGCAUUCCCUUAGUUUGCUUUUUGUUUUUUAUAUUUGUUUGGCUAAUGCUUUGCUUAGAUUACUUUUUGUUUUUGAGAUUUUAUUGGCUUAGUCAUGGGGUAUUGUUUUCUCUUCUAAUUUCUAUUUUUGUUGUUAUGGGAUUUGAUUGUAGUGUACAUAUACGAAAAUUAUGUAAUCAAGUGCUUUUAAUAAAUCAUGAUCGAUUUACUAUUAAUUAAUUAAAUUUAAUUUACUAAAAUUACUUAUGUACACGAUUAAAAUAAUUUUAAUUCCAUGAUAUAUAUACACGCGCGCGCACACAAACAAAAUGCAAUUAACUUUGAAAUAUAAAAUAUUUAAAAUAAUCACCGUACUAACAAUAUUUGCCAGAGUCUGAUGAAGAGAAUAUACACACACAUAUAUAAGCGUACAGCGGAAGGAUAAAUAAAAGAAAAUAAAGUUUCUACAGCUGAAUAAUGCAAACUCAUUUUUUUUAAGUAUUUUAUUGAUUAAUUCAAAAACCCAUUAUAUACAUGAUAAAGACUCACCAACGCCGAACCAUAUUAAUUUAAAUUAAUUUUCAACUGAGAUUUGAAUUUUAAAAUUACAUACACAAACACGCCCAAUUUUUUUUAAAAAGUACUAACAAUAAAAUAUUUCAACCGUCCUCUGUUUAGCCGCCAAAAACUGAUUUACCAUUUAUUACAACGAAAGGUAUACAUAGACGGAUAAAUAAUGCUAAUCAACCAAGUCCAAUCAUAAUAAUUUGAUUAUCCAUAUAUUAACCAUGUCCAAUCAUAAUAUUUAAUAAUCACCAAACUUACAAUUCCCAAGUUAGAUUAUACGUAUGAGAAUCUAGCAAGUCCAAUGAUAAUAAUUUGAUUUUUAUUAUAUUAACUGUGUCCAAUCAUGCUAUUUUAAUAAAGAUCACUCGAAUAUUUAUUUGUCCAACGGGUAAAAUUUCAAAACAAUUUUUGCCAAAGUCCUCCUCAGCUGAAUAAUGCAAACCCGUUACGUUAUUCUACCAUUUCUUAAAUUUAAAGCAUUCCACCAUUUAAUUAAAAAAAUUCGAAAACCCAUUAUAUACAAUACAAAAAGCCCACCGACACCAAACCAUAUUAAUUUAAAAUAAUUUUCAAUUGAGAUUUGAAUUUUAAAAUUACAUACACAAACACACCCGAUUUAAAAUAAUAAUAAUAAUAAUAAUGCUAACAAUAAAAAAUUUCAGCCGUCCUAUGUGUUAUCGCCAAAAACGGAUUUCCAAUCUAUUACAACAUGAGGUAUAUGGGUUAACAAGUCCCAAUAUUGUCCUCCAUCCUUUCUGCACUUCUCUUCUAUCAACGGACAUUCCCAGAUAUUUAAUUGCAAAAGUGAGGAAGGCAGGCCCUUCUCCGGAAAGUAUUUGAGCUUGGGACAAUCAUAGAGAUACAAAUGAGUGAGGUUUUGAAGAUCAACAAUUGAAGAAGAUAGGCGUUCCAGAUUUGGAAAAUCUUGAAUCCACAGAGACGUUAGAGAGGCAGGAAGAGGAAGCGCGGUCCCUAAUCUUUUGUCCUCUAGUGGAAAUGACACCAUCACCGUGUCGUCAUCACAUCCUUGGAUUAUGAGUUCUCGCAAAGAGGAGAAUCUGUGAAAUCCCCGGCCCCGCUCAAUCAUUGACUUCCAAAUCUCCAUAUUACCCCAAAUACAAAGUGACUGAAGGUUGGUGGGAAGGCCAUCUUCUUCAAGGCUUGGAAGCUCACCUCCUCUUCUUAUUGUUAAUUUUUGAAGAGAGGUCAGAUUGUGCAAUCCCUUGGGUAAGGCCUCUAGUCUCUCACAAUCAGAUAUCGUCAGCCUCCUGAGUUUCGCACAAGGCAAUCCCCCUUCGGGAAAGGACACCAGGUUUCCACAACUCCGUAUAGUAAUCCCUCGAAGCUGCCGGAGAUUAUGUAAACCACUCGGUAAAUUUUUUAGAUUUUCACAAUCAUCUACACUAAUUGUUUCAAGAGAUGUGUUGUUGUCCAACCUUUCUGCUAUUGACUCCAGCUUUGAACAUCCAUAAACACGAAGGGACUUAAGAGACGGAGGUAGAUUGCCAACUUCAAGGGACUCAAGCGUGGCAGGUAACUCGUUUUUUGAAAAUAUACAUGUCAGUGAUGGACAAUCCCUAAUUUCUAACUUCUCAAGAAGAGAUGAGGUGUACCUUCUAUUGCUGCUGCUUCUGCUACUCUGGAUGCCCUCUUCCACUGUCAAAGUCCUUAUAUUAUCGCAACACCAGAUCAUCAACUUCUUAAGGCUUGAUGGUAGCUGGACAGCAGCAAUAUAUGUCAACGAAUGGCAAUACUCAAUAUACAAGAUCUCCAGAGACGAAUUGGUGUCGCACAUCCAUGCCUCUGGUAACGAUUUCAGUGCAUCACAUUCCCCAAUCAGAAUUUUCUUCAACUUGGAAGGCAGAGCAACCUCAGGAAAGGAAACAAGGGAACUGCAUUUGUAGAUGUCUAUCUCUCUCAAGGAACUGAGGCUGAACGAUGAUUGUGGCAACUUCACAAGGCCUUCGCAUUCUCUCAAUCUUAGACAUUCAAGUCUGCAUGACAACUCGCGGAGCUGCUGUUGUUGGUCUUUCUCUUCCUCCGCGACCAAGGAUUGAAGUUUGGGACAACUUGUAAUCAGCAGUCUUUUGAGAGAGCAAAUGUCUUGCAGUAAUUCGUUAUGACUCUUCCAUAUAUGUGUUUCAUUUUUAAUAUUUUUUAUCUCCAAUUCUUCCAGUUUUGGUAUUCGCGGCUUCAAUGGCCCUGCGAGAAACACUUGAUUUGAUGUAUCUCUACAAACCACUGAAUUCUGUGAGCCGAGAUGAUCAGUUGCACUUCUCCACACAACCUUUUUACAUCCACGAAUUACCAAUUUGCAAAGAGCUGGAAGACUCCUAAUUGAAAUUGACAAUUCUUCGCAUUGUUCAAUAACAAGCAUCUCCAAUGCAGGAAGGUGCUCUGGAAAUGUUCCUUGCAGUUUAGAACAUCUUAAAAUGUGAAGCUCUCUCAAUUUAGGAAACCGUUCAACUCCCUGACUGGAUCCAUGAGGAAUCCACUCUUCCCACUCUUGCAGGUUUUCAAAACGAAGAGUCUCCAAGCAUGUAAAUGGAAUUUGAGAGUCAUUCCCAUAGAACUCUGAACCCAAACUCUUUACUCUACUCAUUCCACGCACUGCAAGAUGCUUUAGAAAGGAUAGUUGCCCGACUGACGGCAAGGUAGUACACACGCCGCAAUCUUCAAAUUUAAGUGUCACUAAAUUUGAGAAUGAGGAAUCUCCUAACCAUGUUGGAAAUUUUGUACCUCCAUAGCCACUGAUACAAAAUUGUUCCAGAUUUUCAUGAGGUUUUAGCAUGUCGAGGACAUCCUUUUCAGUUUCUGCCUCCCUUGAAGACAAACCAUUGGUACUCCGUGUCCAUCGAAACUUUAACACUUUAAGAUUCUUCUUUCCAUCCAACCGAGCCUCCUUUGCAUCACCAAUGUCUUUUACAUUCCCUAAAUUUGAAAUUUUAAGUGUCCCCUGAAGAUGUAUCAAUGACUUUAGCUCUCGUAACCCAGAACCAUUGUCUUUUCCCACAGCAAAAUUACUCAACGUCUGAAGACAAGUCAGCUUACCAAUUCCUACUGGCAUUUCCUCCAACGAAUCUGUAUUUGAAUUAUUGAGAUGAUGCAAUUUGAUGAGGUUUCCCGUGGCUGCACACAACUUCUUCAGUCGCCGACAGUCUUCCAACAGAAGGGUGUGCAAAUUGUAAAGCUUGCUGACUGAUUCAGGCAGAGUUUUAAUCUCAGUUCCAGACAGGUUAAGGUGCCUUAAAUACCUCAAAUCACCAACUGAAUCCGGCAGCUCGGAGAUGUGAUAUCCACGCAAAGAGAAGACCCUCAACCGUUGGAGUUUGAACAACUUAGGAAGAAUGCUAUGAGCCAAGUAUCCACGCGAACUAUUUGUCAACAUUACUGGUAAAAAAGUUCGCAAAUGUUGGAUAUCGUACAAGCCCUCAAACCUUUUAACGCCAUCACAUGCUCCACCAAUGUACGAUAGAUGACGAAGAUUUUUGGAAAAACUUUGUUGCUUGUUAACCUCUGAGGUAUACUCCAUUGUGAAGUACAUCUCCCCUGCAGCCCAAUGAGCAAGGUCGUUGACAAGGUCGUGCAUCACAAAUCGUGAUUUAUUGUUGCUUGAUUGCUGAAAAAAAGAUCUUGAACGUAGCUCUUGAAAGAACUUUCGACCUAGAUCUUCAUUAGGAUUCCCGCUCUCUUUGUGAUCCAAGAAACCCGAAGCACACCAUAAUAAAAUUAUCUCCUCCUCUUCAAAUUCAUAAUCCUUUGGAAACAAUGAGCAGUAUGCAAAGCAUUGUUUCAAAGGUGCCGAAAGAUAAUAGUAGCUCACUCUAAGCGCCGGUAUAAUGUCACAUCUCUCUUCUGGUAAAUCCCAUAUCUUGCAACUGAGCACACCUUCCCAAUCACUCCGGUCAAGUUUACCACGCAAGAGACCACCAAGAGUUUUCGCAGCUAAGGGCAAGCCGUUGCAUUUGAUCACUAUCUUCUUGCCAAUUUCCUCCAAUGACUUGUUUGAACUGAAAUCUCUUGUCCCCAAAGAGUGUUGAGCGAACACAGACAGACAAUCAUCAUUUGACAGCUUUUUCAAAUGAUAAGCCCGAGCAGUCCCCAUGAUGGCUGCAACCUCUUGAUUACGAGCUGUGACAAUAAUCUUACUCCCCGGUGCGCCAGCUUCAAACGGACGGCUCAUGUCAACCCAGUCAUUGUAAUUCUCAUUCCAAACAUCGUCUAAAACAAGCAAAAAUUUCUUUUGAGAUAACUUCUUCUUCAGCUCCUCUUGAAGCAAAUUUAAAUCACUGUCAUCAGUAGUCUGCUUAGUAAUGGAUCUUAGAAUUGUUUUUGUUAGCCUGAUAACAUCAAAAUCAUCAGAGACACAAGUCCAUGCCUUGAGAUCAAAAUGACCCUGCACUCGAGCAUCAUUAUAGACAAGCUGAGCGAGAGUGGUUUUGCCCAGCCCGCCCAUGCCUAUAAUAGGAAUAACAGAGAAUUCACCAUCAUUUCUCAAAUCAUCCCUCAACAACAAUUCAACAAUUUCAUUCUUUUCUGUUUCCCUCCCAUAUACCUUGGCUUCAGUCACUAAAGAGGUUGUGGGUAGUCUUUGCCUGUCUUUUCUGGACCUCCCAGCUGAACUUACGUUCAAACCGAGCGAGUCUUUCUGUGUUACAAUAUCUUGAAAUCUGUCGUUGAUCUCUUUGAUUUUGGACAUUAUGGCGUAAUCGAACUGAAUCGAUUGUGGAGUAAAAGUGGUGCAGCAAGUAGGAAUGAGCUUCUGAAACUUACUUGUUCUUGUACGACUGCUACUGGGUUGAUCCUGAGCCGCAGCUGGAUCUCCAUUUCCAAGCAGCAACUUCCUCCGGAAAGCCUCAGUUUGAAACUCAUCCAGCAAGUCUUCAACAUCAAAAGCCAAGUUCUGAAGCUCAUCAAGCCACAACUUCACAGACUGAUCAGUCUUCUUCUCCUCAGCAUCAGCAAGCACCGCCUUGAUCAUCACCAACAUAUUCUUCCACUUCUUUAGGUCGGCUUGGAUUUGCUCUUGGCGUGCAAACAGCCGAAUCCCCUCUGAAGCUAACUUACUGACCAGCAAAUCAACGGACGCCGUAAGGAUUGCCUCUCCGAUGAAUGACAUUUUUUGUUCUUUUUCUUUUUUUUUGGUUUUGCAAAGAAAGAAAGGAGCAGAAUUAUGGGUUAUGGAAAGCAGAAUGAGAAAAUGGAACAGGUGAGAAAAUGGAUAAUUAAGCAGAAUGAGUUUGUGAUUGUGAAGGGUCUGGCCCAGCAAGCUUAGUAGAAAUCACGCGUUUAUACUUUAUUGACCAAUGACUAAUAAUUUGGCAAUUCACUCAUUAAUAUUUAGCAAUUCACCAAUCAUCACCACUUGUUACGAAACCAUCUCAUAAACCAAGUUCGUAGGUCGAGCAGUUAAUCCAGUGUCUAUUUCCUAGAACCUUCAUCUCAUAAACAAGUUCAAUCAAAACGUUCCUCUCUCUAUUUUUUUUUUUUUUCAAAACUCCUAAAACGUUUCUUUUUAGAAAUAUUUUACUUUAUUCAUCUAAUAUGUUAUCUAACAAAUAGACACAAUUGAAAUCACUCUAAAGUGAAGAUGAAAGGGGAAAAAAAUAACCUUCCAACCACCAGUAAUUUAGCAAGCUUCACUUUAUUCCACCACCAAAGUGUAAAUAAAGCCAGCCCCCACCACCAUCAAUAAUUUUGUUGUCUUCUCCUUGACGAACUGGACAUGAGUGCACCAAGAAUUAAUGACAGAAUUUUAAAAAUAAUAAUAAGAGAAAAACCUACACAUUUUGGACUUAGAGUAGAACCAUAAUUAAUGCUAAAAUCUACUCAGCUAACAUUUUCAAAAUAUUGUUCUUUAUGAUUUUCAAAACCGUGAUUAAGGUUCAUCUCAAAUGUUUGAAGAGAGUCUAUCAGUUCUUCUACGUUAAGAAUAUUAAAAUUCUUACUUUUUCUUCAAACAUUGAAUAAUGAAAAAAAAAAUUGAAUAUGGAGGAAAAUAGAAUGCAUCCAUCUUCGCUGUAGAAGUCUUCUACUUAUAAAAGCAAGUUAGAAUAAACGAUUUUAAUCUCUCUUUUUAUUCCUGUAAGUGUACUAUAUUUUUUUUUUAUCUCAAUGCGAAAUCGUAUCAUAAUGUUAUAUUUCUGUUGUAAAACGAAAUUUUAAAUAAAACAAAUUCGACUUAUUUUUUAAAGGUAUAUAUUUAGUAGGUUACUAACAUAACUAACAAAACGUGAUUAUUACACUAUUUGUUUUUGUUUUAACUUUAUUAAUCAAUAAGCAAACAUGUAAUGAUUUGUAUAUAUCACUAGCAUCACAUUAUUAGGAGGUAUUGCGCUUAGUAUUCACAAUUUUUGUAAGAUGAAUUUGUAAGACUAAUUAAUUUUGAUGAAAAUGUAUUUGUAUUAAGAUAUUAUUUAAUUCAUUAAGUUAACUUGAGGUAUUAAUAUUCACUAAUUGUGGUGCUGAUUAAUUUACUUAACUUGUCACUAUUUACAAUUAAGAAUGAGGUUCAAUCAAUUUAUUGGGAAAAAAAACAAAGAUUUGAUUUUAAUUCUUAGGAUUUGAUUUCGCUCUCUUUCGCUUUUUUACGUUGCUAAAGAGGCAGUAAAAAGCUUGCUGAAUGUCAUCAAAUGCUUGUAUCUCAUCUCACAAAUUGGUAAUAUUUGUUUGGUAUUUCAUCUCAACGGAUGCAGUAAGGAUUGCCUCUCCGAUGACUGACAUUUUUUUUUCUUUUUUCCGGCAAAGACUGGAACAGAAUUUUGAGUUUCGAAAAGCAAAAUGAGAAAAUUGAGCAAUUCACCAAUCGGUCAAGCAAAAUGCGCGUAACAAGUCUUCCGCUUGUUGUUUAUUCCACUCAAGUGAAAAUAAAAACAGAGCCCACCACCCAUUAAUAAUUGAGCAAUUCACCAAUCACCAGUCACCACCACCCGUUACCAUGAAUAUAAUAAAUUGCACCUUGAUAUUUGCAGGGUCCGGCAACAUUGACCCAGUGUCCGGGUAAAUGCUGAAUAAAGAGGAAAAUGAAGUGUAUCCACUACGAACCCUCGCUUUACAAGUCUUCAAACUCAUAAACCAAGUUAAAUCAAAACGUUUAUCUCUCUCUCGCUCUUUUUGCCAUAUAAUAACUUUAUUUAUUAAAUUAAUUUCCAUGCUAAAAGGAAGACUUAAAAGUGCACUACAAUUUUUUAUAAUCACAAUAGUAAUUUCUACUAUCAUGUUAUUUUAAUGUCGUGUUAAAAUAAAUUAUUACAAAAUUUUUUUUAUGAACACUCUUUUCAUUUAUAAUUUUUAAUUUUUUUCUUACUCUUUUAGUCUUAGAGCCAGUUUAGUAAUGCUGCAACUUUUAAAAUAAUUAAAUAAAGCUUAUAACAGUAGAGCUUAUAGCAGAAGAACUUAUACCAAUGAAGCUUUUGAACAAAAAGUCAUUGGGUAUUUGAUUAUCAAUAAAAAAAAAUAUUUUUAAAUUAUUAAACUAUAUGAUAUUUUUUAUAUUAAAUAUUUUUUAGAUAAGCUCUCUAACCUCUAUUCCCAAAAGCUUAAAUUUUGGGCUUUUGCUAGUAAAGGUAAAUUAACUUAUUUAAAUUAAAAAAACUUUAAUAAAAAAAUAACUAAACACUAUAAAAAUUUUUAAAAAGUGCUUAUACGAUUAAAUAAAUACUUAUAUCUCUUAAAUAAGGCAUACCAAACAGUCACUUAAUAUUUAUAUUUCUCUUCAAAAUUUUUUUAUUAUUUAAUUUUUAAAUAAAAAUAUAAAAAAAAGUAAGAAAAAUAUUAUACUUACAAAAUAAUAAAUAUUUUAUGAAUUAAUACAAACUGUAUUAUUUUUUACGAUGAAAGAACACGCGAAAAAUCUUACUCAUUAAAAAUUUUGUGAAAGGCAUUUGAAUGUGUGGCCACAUUUUCCGAACGAAACGAUAAGGCUUUAGUCUUAUAAUUGCAAUUAGUUUGUCUUGUAACUAAAUUAUUGCCGACAAACACCAUCAUGCCGACAAACCGUGCAUGCACGUCCUCAAAGACUUUGACAUUGGGGACAAAGUGGUUGUAAGGGGUGGGGAUUAGUCAUAAGGUGCUUUGAAAUAAAUAGGUACUUGACAUUUGGCUCACUGAUUAUGUGUGCAAUAUUCCCGUAUUUCCCAUUACUUCCCGUACUUUAUGCUUUAUUGUUUUGUAUGUCUUUUGGUGUUUACGGUGCAGUUAGGGAUGGCAGCGGGUAGGGUCUGGUACGGAUUUGACAUCACCAGACCCGCAUCUAAAAACAAAUUUAAUUACUAAAUUCGCUAUGGGUUAUAUUUAAUUUUAUUUUUUUAACAAAGCCCAUUCACCGUGGGUUUGAUUGGUGCCCGGUAGAUAUUUUGUGAGUUCCCACGUAUAAAAUCACACUUGCAACAAAAUAUAAAAAUUUAAAUUACGUAAUUUAAAUUAUAAAUUUAUAAUUGUUGCUAAAAAACCACAUAAAAUAUUUAGUUCUACAUUUUAUUAACGUAAAUGAGAAAUGAAAAUAUCAACAUUAAAACAAAUAUACAAAAUAUAUCAAUUUAACACGAAUUUUUAAAUUUAAUUACCAAAUAAAUAAGCCUAUCACAACUCGAUGUGCUUUCAAUUGAAAAAGAAAAAAGAGAAAGAGAAAAAAAUAAAGAACUACAAAUCAAAGUAGCACCCAUGACCUAUUUCAUAGGCUCAUUUGACACUAAGAUCUUAGAAUUAAGAUCUUCAAUUCACUCAUUACCACUAGCACCCAUUCAAUGUAGUUUUUCUAAACAAAAUAUAAAGUACAAAAUUACAAUAAGCAUAUGAUACUCCAUACUUUAUGUUAAAGAUCCUUAUAUAAUUUUAUGACUAUUUUUUAGCGAAAUUUUAUGAUUAAAGUUAAAAAUACAAAUAUUAAAAUAAGAAUUUUGGACACUUGCGCAACUAUUUGCCAAAUUUUUUUUCUAUGAAAAUCCACCUGCAACUUGCAGCAAGUUUAAGUUUAUAAUAUCAAACUUGAUUGUAGCUCGCAAAAUUUUUGGAUUUGAGAUAAUUUUACCACCCUAAGUGUAGUUAGUAUUAUAUGUCGUGUGCUUCCAAUUGGCUCUUAUAAAAAGCCUAGGAGUUGUUUGAAUAAUGAUGGAGACAAAUAUUUCCCAAAAAUAUUCUCUUUUAACAUUGUGGCUUUUGGCUUGUCCAGAGAAAUUUAGGAUAGAUUUUGAUGUAUUAAGGCUCGUUUUACUAUUGAGAUUUUGGAACUUUUGAGCCACACUUGAAAUUUGUAUUAUUCUAAUAUGUGAUUGGUAUUAAUCAGGUGUUAUGUUUACAGCAGUUAAAGGCAUAUUGAAUCAAAGUCCACUUUUGAUUGAGAUUUUAAAGUAGGUUUUUAAUUUGAUAGCCACUCAAGUUCAAAUAUUGGAACCACAGUGCUUUAUAACCAAGUGGGAGAACUUCUAUCCUGAAAGUUGAGAGCUGCAGAUCGAGUUUUACUACCAACAAAAGUUGGUGUUAAGACUUUAGUUGCCCUCCUACUUAUGGAUAAGGGUAAUUAGGACUUUACAUCCCCUCCUACUAAUAGAUAGGGGUUACUAGGAAUAUUAAAAAAAGGUUCAAAUAUUGAAAAAAAUAGGUAUGGGUUAUAAAAUUCAUAAUACAAGAACAGUAAAUCAAGAUAAAAAUUUAAAAAUUUAGAACCAUGAAAGCGUAACUUGUAAGUUUCAAAGAAGCAUGUGCAAACAUAUGUGUAUCGAUACCCAUUAAGGGUGGGCAUUAAGAUCGGGUUAACUCGAACUGAACCUUAAAUUUAUUUUGGGUUCAAUUUGAUUUUGGUUGAACCUUUCAACUGAGUUAAAAACUUAUAAACGAUUGGGUUGUAUUUCUAUUCGAAUUUAACAACAAACUAAGCAACCUAAUCAACUUAAGUAAGCAAAUUUUAAAAAAAAAAUCCCAAAAAAUUAAAUCUAACCCUAAUUAAAAAAAAUUCAACCCCGGCCUCCUUCUCGUCUUCUUUUCUUCUUCUUCCUCUUGCUCACCCCUAAUGCCCCAUUAAUGGAAUUCCAACAGCUAGAAACGCGUUUCAGCCGCUUGCGCGUGUGUGAAAUUUUCCUUCCCAUAGGAUUGUUCGUUUCCUUGGCUUGCAUUAACAAAUUUGAAGAACAAUUAAAAAUUAAAAGAAAAUAAAAAGUGCUUUCUUUUUUAACGAUGAUAAUUUGUUCGGAUGAUGAAAAUUCUUAGAGUGGUAUAAUAAGUAUUUUCGAGUGUUGCCAUCGCGAAUAAUAUUUAAUUUCAUUUAUAUAGUUAUAUCUCAAGUAACAUUUAAACAGAAGCAAGUUGGAAAUUAAAAAAAAAAAAGAACCAUUGAGAGUAUGAAAAACUAACCAAAAAAAAAAAGUUAAAAAUUUGUAUCUCAAUAAAUUUACUUGAGAGCUACUCUACUAAUCCGUGAAGAGAAAACACAAAGAAUAAUGAUGUAUCUCAAUUAAUAGGACAAUUUUUGUAUUUUUCGUUUAUUCAAGAAUCAUGAAACUUCAUUUAAACUUGUUAUUUCAUUAAUAAUAUAUUAAUAUUGAACAAUUUAGGAGACAUUCCUUUCCAAUUAUGCCCAUGUAUUAAUUAAAAACCACAAAAAUGUUCAGGGAUACUAUAGUAAUUUAAGUCAACAAUUUCUGUGCUUCAAAUCAUCCUAUUAGACUCACUUCAGAAUAAACUGAGAUAUCAAAAUCACAUUCUCCAAUUCUACAAUUUCAAUUCAUCUUCAUAACUUCAACUGAAGAAUUGAUUGUAUCUCGUUUUAAUUUUUUUUUAUGUAAAGAUAAAUAUAAAAUAUAAAUGGCGAGGAGACUGGAAAAGUAAAAUCAAAAGAAGAGCACGAGUUUUAUUGAAAAUUACUCUUUUUCAUCAUUUUGCCGGAGUGAAUGUAUCUACAUUUAAACGAAAGAAGCACAUUUGUUUGUAUUAGCUUUUUUAUUGUAUUUUUAAUAAUAAGUCAUUUUUCAAUUAACUUAUAUCAUUUUUUACGAAAAUAAUAGGUGUUAGUUAGUUGAUUCAAAUGGCAAGACCUCUUGGGAUAGAGUUUGUAAUUUAGUGGCUUAUCAAUUGUUUAAAUAGGCAUUAUUAGAGCCAAAUUAUUGUAUUUGGUUAAAAAAGCUCCUACUUAGCUUACAACUUUAUUAUCCAAUUAUGUUUAUUAAUAAAUAACAAUUUUAUUGAAAAAAAAACAAGAUAUGUUGAAAUGAUACAAAAAAUUUGGGAUGUAAAUCUUACUCGAAUUUAGCUUGAGGUUGGCAUUGUUAGCAUAAUAUUUGAAGAUAGAUUUUUUAAAUUAAAAAAAAAAUUGGGUUCACACUAGUUAGUUUUAACUCAUAGUGAGAUUUAAACAAAAACGGAAUAAUAAAUCUUGAUAUCCUAACUCAUGAAUAACAUCUACAUAAAAUAGGAAAAUCUAUUGUGUCGAAAAUAAGGGGUUUGGAGUUUGAAUUUCGCUCACAUAGGUAGCAAGAGAAUCAAAUUAUUGUUAGAUUAAAUUAAUUAAAAAAUUAUCUGAUAUCCAAAACACAGCAUAUCAAAAAAAAUUGAAAUAAAGGAAAAUUGAAAAGCAAAACGAUUGAGAGAACGAAGAACUAACACAAGAAAAUGCCGAUAAUUAAUUGCCUCAGCGGCCACCAACUUAAUUAUGCUUAUUAAAGCCUGGGUUAUUUCAUUUUCAUUGAUAAUCAUUUUGACACCGGUCAAAUUUAAAAGUUUAAAUAAUGGGGGCCAUUUUUCUUUCCAGCUAUGCCCAUUAGCUAAUAAAAGAACCGCCGAAAGGGUUCGGGGAUAAUAUAGUAAUAUGAUUGAUAAUCAUUUUGGAGCUGAGUAUUCUUCGUUCCACAUUUUGGGUUUUGGUUGACCAUAUUUUAAUACUUUUCUGGAAAAUAAGUUUAUAUUUAUUGACUUGUAAUGGGUGCAACUCAUGUUUUUGAAACAUUAAGAUCUGGAAAAUGCUUCUCAGCGAGAAUGCUGAGAGAAUGCCGAGAGAAACGGCAUACAGUAAUGCCGUUUCUCUCGGCCCCACCCCCCACCACGUGAACUUUUGCCCCUUUUGUUUUUUCUUGCUACUUUUGCUUUUUCCACAUUCUCUCGGCGUUCUCUCGGCAUUCUUGACGUCUAGCACUCCUCGAAAGCAACAUCAUAUUUUAAUUACUUACACUAAUGCGGCAACUGCUGCUUACUUACACUAGUUAGUUUUUUUUUGCAACAUCAUAUUUUAAAAAUAUUAUUAUUAUUAUCGUCGUUAUUCUUAACAGCAAUGACUAGAAUUAUAAUAAGAACAAUAACGUUAAUACAAUAAUAUAACAACAUAAUAAUAUUUUAAUUGAGAGGAUAAGAAUGAAAUUAUGAAAUUUAGGUUGGAUAAAAAUGGUGAGUAUGAAGAAAUUAAAUUAUCAUUUUUUAAGCUAAACAAUUCAUAAAUUCCACAUAUUUCAUUCUUAUUUCUCUUAUAUUUUAACAAGUAAACAUUAUCAAUCGUUUUAAUAUUUUAAUUAAUAAACACGGCAUUAACUCGGGACUAAAAGAUCCCAAAAAAAAAAAAAAACACAGAGACGCGUGUAUGUAUUGCUUGUGACAAAUCUCACCCAUGGAAAACUUUGUGAAAGUCAUUUGAAUGUGUGGCCACAUUUAAUGAACGAAACGAUAACUAUAACAGAAAGUAUGUACUGUGUUCAUUAUUAGGCUUUAGCUUAAUGAUUGCAAUUAGUUUGUCUUUUAAUUAAAUUAUUGCCGACAAACACUAUCACGACCCACGUCCGCUACUUGUGUGAAUGUGUGUAUAAAUAUCCGCAGCAUAUUAUCAAACCUGAUGCGUGAUCAUCUUUAACUUUUGGUUAGGGUUCAUCAGACGUUGGAAGAUAUCUUUCCUAAUUUGAAGAAGAUGGAAACUCCUUAUCCAGGUUCUUAGGCCAUGUUCAGUUGAAUGUCAUUUAUAAUUUUUAUUUUAACAUUAUGUAUUUAUGAAUACAAUUAUUGUUAUGAUUUUUUCAGGUAAGAAUGGAUGGUCUGAGGGUAACCCAAUAACUAUGUACAGUAUUAUUAAUGAUGAGAGCGUGAAUGACAAUUUGGAUUUUAUUCUCGUCCCUCAAUACGGAAGAAAUCUUGACCAUAGAGGUUAAGUGCUAUGUAACUCUUUCGUAUUAUGUUUAAUUAAUAAUAAAAUGAUGGGUUAUUAUUACUUGUCAAUUAUGUGAGUGUCUUUGUUUGGUUUAGUUCAACUUAUAAAAUCUCUUGAGAUAUACAAGAGAUUUUCUUUAUUUAAUUUUGUGUACCGUGUCUUCUUGUAAAAAGAAAUUAAUAAAAAAAAUAUCAUCGUGUGCAAUGUAUUAACUAAGUUAGUGUAUUCAUGUUAGGUUAAUUGUGCUCUCUCUUCUUGAUAUUUAAAAAAAAAAAACUCCACAUAUUGUUGGUUAGCUAAUUCUUGCAGCUAGCAAGUGAUCCUUUUCUUUCCCCUACUGCCGUAGCAUCAAAUCCUUACAAUUACAUAUCAAGCGGUAUUCGAGCCGUCAAAUGAUCCAUAGAAACACGCAACAAAUCAAAUGCUGAAUUUUGCGAAGAGAUUCACGAAAUCCUUGCUAUACAUGAGUCUAGUUUUGACCAAGUUCACGUCACCCAUCAGCUACGGGUUUGAAUGGUACCUAGUGGAUAUUUUGUGAGUUCCCACUAAUAAAAUCACACUUGCAACAAAACUUAAAAAUUUAAAUUACGUAAUUCAAAUUAUAAAUUUAUAAUCGUAGCCUAAAAAAUACAUAAAAUACUUAAUUAUAGAUUUUAUCAAUGUAAAUGAGAAAUGAAAGUUUUAACAUUAAAAUAAAUACACAAAAUAUAUCAAUUUAACACAAAUUCUCAAAUUUAAUUACCAAAUACAUAAGUCUAUCGCAACUCAAAGUGCAUUCAAUUGAAAACGAAAAAAGAGAAAGAGAAAAAAAACAAAGAACUACAAAUCAAAGUAGCAGCCAUGACCCAUUUUGCAGUCUCAUUCAAUACCACUAUGUUACGGACCGCCCAAUUCGCUAGCCCAAUUGCCCACAAUUUCGGGCUAGAGAGCCAACACAAGGCCAAGAGUGCUAGCUUGGCCCAAUUCCGGAAGGUUCUAGGCAACUCUAGCACAUGUGAACAUGUAAAUAUUCUAGAAUACCUAAUACAAUUCCAGCACAUGUAAAUAGCUAGGAAAUUGUAUAAUAUUCUAGAGUUUGACCAAGUUUGUCAAAGUUAGGCAAAGUUAGGCAAAAGUUAGGUAAAGCCUCCCCUAUAAAUAUGGGAUGGCAUUUGGCAUUUGUAUCCAACAAGCAUUGUAAUCUCUCUUUGUGCAAUACAAGUUUCUUUGGCUCAAUUGCUCUCUCUUCUCUUGUUCGAGAAUCUCUAGGCUUACUUAGCAACAUUCGGCAAAGUUGUCUAAGUGCCGCACGGGUUAGCUGCGCAAAACACUCAUCCCGUGACAAGUGGUAUCAGAGCUAAGGUUUGCACGCACGCAAAUUAGCUCACGAAGCAAUGGCCAACCCUUCGAACGUAGCACAAGAGGGUGUUGUUGGUGUGGAUGUUCCACCGGAACCAAGCCGCGGCCGAGAGGGAGAACGCGCCCAAGGCAAGACUCGCGGCAAGUCCAAGGCCCUAUCCGUGGAUGCGUUGGAGCCUCGUGUAGGCACUCUCGAAAUAGCAUUGUCCGCCACUCAAGAUAGCCUCGUGGGAUUGGAGGAAAGAGUGGAUGGUCUCGAGGGAGAAUACGCCGAGUUCACGGUGGCCACAAAAGCUCUCAUCCAUGAGCAAGCAAACAUUCUCCGAGGUGAGUUUCGUUCUUUCCAUGAUGAGUUGCUCAAACUUCGUAGUUUUGUUCAGGACGAACUACGUGCUGUCCGUGCGGAAGUGGAUGAAGUCCGCUCGGAUUGGGCAUGGCACAAGCGCACACUCUCCACAAGUCCAGCUUCCGCAAACUCGAGUAAUGCGCGCCGCAUUGACGUGCCAAAGCCCGACACCUACGAUGGCACACGCAAUGCCACCAUCGUGGACAAUUUCCUCUUUGGGCUGGAUCAAUACUUCGAUGCCAUGGGCGUCCGAGAUGAGGCAUCGAAAGUGGGCACUGCACCCACCUAUCUUAGAGGCGCUGCACAACUAUGGUGGCGUCGCAAGUAUGGAGAGAUGGGCAAGGGCAUUUGCACCAUCGACACUUGGGCCGACUUCAAGCAAGAACUCCGAAAGCAGUUCGCCCCAAGCAAUGCGGAGAAAGAAGCGCGAGUGCGCUUACGUCGCCUCAAGCAAUCGGGUAGCAUUCGGGACUACAUCAACGAAUUCACUACCCUCAUGUUGGAGAUAAGCGACAUGUCCGACAAGGAUUCACUCUUCUACUUCCAAGAUGGCCUCAAGGAUUGGGCCAAGACCGAGCUUGAUAGGCGUGGUGUUCAAACACUUGACGACGCCAUUGCCGUUGCGGAGUCGCUCACUGAAUACUCUACCCAAUCCAAGGACAAAAAGGCCAACCAAGGCAAAGGUGGGGGAGAGAGUCGCAAGGACAAGGGCAACAACCGCAAAGAUUGGGGGCAGAAAAAGCCACCUAGCAACAAGAGUUGGCAAGGAAAAUCGGAGGGCAAGAAGGAGGCGCCAAAGCCGCGAAACCCAUGCUUCAUAUGCAAUGGUCCUCAUUGGGUACGCGACUGUCCGGAGAAGAGGUCGCUUAACGCUCUUGCUGCCCAACUCAAGAGCAACCCCACAAUGUCCACGGAGGAACCCCAACUCAGCAUGGGUUCUCUCCAACGCCUCGGCGCACUCAACCGCCAACAGCCCGCACUAGUCAAGAAAGGGCUCAUGUAUGUUAGUGCAAAGGUAAACGGCCAGUCCGUUCGCGCACUGCUAGACACGGGAGCAACACACAACUUCGUGUCCGUAGAUGAGGCCAAGCGUUUAGGCCUCAAGGCCACCAAGGAAGGAGGCACAAUGAAGGCAGUAAACUCACCCGCCAAGCCAAUUGCGGGAAUUGCACAAGGCGUGCACAUCACACUUGGUACGUGGAGCGGAAAGCUUGACUUCUCUAUUGUGCCCAUGGAUGACUUCAAGAUGGUCCUCGGCAUGGAAUUCUUCGACCAAGUCCAUGCCUUCCCACUGCCCGCUACCAACUCCCUAAGUAUCCUCGACGGGAGUAAGGCAUGCAUGGUUCCCACGGAACGAGGCAAGUCCGAAGAGAAGACACUCUCCGCCAUGCAAUUCAAGAAGGCUUUCAAGAAGGACCCAAGCUUCUUAGUCUCCAUUCGGGAACUAAAUGAGGAAGGAAAUAGCGGAACUUCGCCAAGCCAAGUCCCUCCGCAAAUUCAAGCCGUCCUCAAUAAGUACAAGGACGUGAUGCCUCCAGAACUUCCGAAGAAGCUCCCACCUCUGCGAGAGGUGGAUCAUGCGAUCGAACUGGAACAAGGCGCGAAGCCACCAGCCUUGGCACCCUACCGCAUGGCGCCACCAGAAUUAGAGGAGUUGCGGAGACAACUCAAAGACUUGCUGGACGCAGGCUAUAUUCGCCCCUCAAAGGCCCCAUUCGGUGCACCGGUCCUCUUCCAAAAGAAAAAGGAUGGAUCGCUGCGGAUGUGCAUCGACUAUAGAGCGCUCAACAAGAUCACCAUCAAGAACAAGUAUCCGAUUCCCUUGAUUGCGGACUUGUUCGACCAGCUUGGUAAAGCACGGUACUUCACCAAACUUGACUUGCGCUCCGGGUACUACCAAGUGCGCAUCGCCAAGGGAGAUGAACAAAAGACAGCGUGCACAACAAGGUACGGGUCUUUCGAAUUCCUUGUGAUGCCUUUUGGCCUUACUAAUGCACCCGCCACAUUUUGCACACUCAUGAACAAGGUGCUCCAACCAUUCCUCGACCGCUUCGUGGUCGUGUACUUGGACGACAUAGUGGUGUAUAGCACCACGCUCGAGGAGCAUGCCCAACACUUGCAACAAGUCCUCCAAGUACUUCGAGACAAUGAGCUCUUCCUCAAACUAGAGAAGUGCUCAUUUGCCCAACAAGAGGUGGAGUUCCUUGGCCACAAGAUUGCGGGCGGGAAGAUCAUGAUGGAGAAUGACAAAGUAAAGGCCAUCCUCGAUUGGGAGCCUCCCUCGAAAGUACCCGAACUUCGCUCAUUCCUUGGACUGGUGAAUUACUACCGCCGCUUCAUCAAGGGCUAUUCAGCUAAGGCGGCACCCUUGACGGAUAUGCUCAAGAAAAACAGAACAUGGCAUUGGUCCGAAGAGUGCCAACGUGCCUUCGAGAAGUUGAAGAAGGCAAUUUCGGAGGAACCAGUCCUCGCUCUUCCGGACCACACCAAGCCCUUUGAAGUUCAAACGGAUGCCUCGGAUUUCGCCAUAGGUGGAGUCCUUAUGCAAGAAGGCCAUCCAAUAGCGUUCGAGAGUCGAAAGCUAAAUGACACGGAACGCCGCUACACGGUGCAAGAGAAGGAGAUGACCGCAAUCAUACAUUGCUUGCGGGUGUGGCGACAUUACUUGCUUGGCUCACACUUCACGAUCAUGACGGACAACGUGGCGACAAGCUACUUUCAAACUCAAAAGAAGUUGAGUCCGAAGCAAGCCCGGUGGCAAGAUUUCCUAGCGGAAUUCGACUAUCGGCUGGAGUACAAACCGGGGAAAGCCAAUGUCGUUGCGGACGCUCUAAGCCGCAAGGCCGAAUUGGCGACACUUAGCAUGAGCCAACCGAAGUCUGACCUUGUCUUACGCAUCAAGGAAGGCCUCCAACAAGAUCCGCUAGCAAAGGAUUUGCUGGAGAAGGUGCUCGAGGGAAAGACAAGACGGUUUUGGCAAGAGGAAGGCAUCCUCCUCACCAAGGGAGAUCGGCUGUUCGUGCCAAGGUGGGGAAAUUUACGGAAGGAAGUAAUCAAGGAGUGCCACGACUCUAAGUGGGCUGGUCACCCAGGAAUUGAGCGCACCACCGCACUAGUCCAAGCCUCGUAUUUCUGGCCGCACAUGAGGGACGACAUCGAGGCAUAUGUGCGAACUUGUCUUGUGUGCCAACAAGACAAGGUGGAUCAUCAACUUCCAGCGGGAUUGUUAGAGCCGCUACCACUAGCAACAAGGCCAUGGGAGAGUGUCUCCAUGGACUUCAUCACAUCGCUGCCCAAGUCCGAAGGUUGUGGUAGCAUCAUGGUCGUUGUCGACCGAUACAGCAAGUAUGCUACAUUCAUUGCCGCACCCGUCGAUUGCAAAGCGGAUGAGGCAGCCCGCCUAUUCGUCAAGCACAUUGUGAAGCUUUGGGGAGUUCCGAAGAGCAUUGUGAGCGACCGAGACCCUCGGUUCACUGGGCGUUUUUGGACGGAGCUCUUCAAGAUGUUGGGGACCGAUCUCAAGUUCUCGACAAGCUUCCACCCACAAACGGAUGGGCAGACCGAGCGCAUCAAUGGCAUUCUCGAGAUGUACUUGAGGCAUUAUGUGAGCGCUCACCAGCGGGAUUGGGCAAAGCUACUUGACAUUGCCCAAUUUUCUUAUAACUUGCAGCGAAGCGAGGCUACGGGCAAGAGUCCAUUCGAGAUCAUCAUGGGAUUCCAGCCCAUGACCCCCAAUGCCAUAGCCUCGACUUACGGAGGGAAAAGCCCCGCGGCACACAAGCUCGCCCGCGAAUGGCAUGAGGAAGCGGACAUCACGCGAGCCUACCUCGACAAAGCCGCGAGGAAAAUGAAGAAAUGGGCGGAUACAAGGAGACGGCAUGUUGAGUACAAGGAAGGUGAUCAAGUCAUGAUCAAGCUCCUACCCCAACAAUUCAAGACUUUGCGGAAAGUUCACAAGGGGUUAGUGAGGCGCUACGAGGGACCCUUCCGAGUUGUUCGACGUGUAGGCAAGGUCUCGUAUCAACUCCAACUUCCGCCAAGACUCAAGAUCCAUCCGGUCUUCCAUGUGAGCCUUCUCAAGCCAUAUCACGAAGACAUGGGAGAACCAAGUCGCGGAGAAUCGAGGCGCGCGCCAACUGCCGUUGUCACCGCAUUCGACAAAGAUGUGGACUACAUCAUUGCGGACCGAACGGUUUCGAGGAGGGGCGUGCCAGCACAUAGCGAGUACUUGGUGAAGUGGAAAAACCUCCCCGAGAGCGAAGCCACUUGGGAACGGGAAGAUGAUUUGUGGCAAUUCGCUGAGCACAUCCAGCACUUCAUGCACGAAAGCGCGACGAGGACGCCGCGAGCUUAAGUGGGGGAGGAUGUUACGGACCGCCCAAUUCGCUAGCCCAAUUGCCCACAAUUUCGGGCUAGAGAGCCAACACAAGGCCAAGAGUGCUAGCUUGGCCCAAUUCCGGAAGGUUCUAGGCAACUCUAGCACAUGUGAACAUGUAAAUAUUCUAGAAUACCUAAUACAAUUCCAGCACAUGUAAAUAGCUAGGAAAUUGUAUAAUAUUCUAGAGUUUGACCAAGUUUGUCAAAGUUAGGCAAAGUUAGGCAAAAGUUAGGUAAAGCCUCCCCUAUAAAUAUGGGAUGGCAUUUGGCAUUUGUAUCCAACAAGCAUUGUAAUCUCUCUUUGUGCAAUACAAGUUUCUUUGGCUCAAUUGCUCUCUCUUCUCUUGUUCGAGAAUCUCUAGGCUUACUUAGCAACAUUCGGCAAAGUUGUCUAAGUGCCGCACGGGUUAGCUGCGCAAAACACUCAUCCCGUGACAACUAGCACCCAUCCAACACGAUUUUUCUAAACAAAGUAUAAAGUACAAAAUUACAAUAAGCAUAUCAUACUCCAUGCUUUAAGUUAAAGAUCCUUAUAUAUUUUUAUGAAUAAUUUUUUAAUGAAAUUUUAUGAUUAAAAUUAAAAAUACAAACAUUCAAAUAAGAAUGUCGGACACUUGCGCAACUAUUUACCAAAUUUUUUCUCUAUAAAAAUCGACCUGCAACUUUCAAUAGGUUUAAAUUUAUAAUAUCAAACCCGAUUGCAGCUCGCAAAAAUUAUCCGUUGCGGCCAAGACUUUGGAUUUGCGAUGAUUUUUCCACCCUAAGUGUAGUUAGUAUUGUUUAUCAUGUGGCUCUUAUAAAAAGCCUAGAAGUUGUUUGAAUAACGAGUGAGACACAUAUCUCCCAAAGAUUUUUUCUUUUUCAAAUUAUUAUGUUUUCUCUAUUAUUGUAACUUCGAAUCCUUAUAAAUUACAGAUUGGAGACAUGAACACAAUGUUUUGACAUAGUGGACUUUUGACUUGUCCAGAGAAAUUUAGGAUAGAUUUUUACGCACUAAGGCUCUAUUUACUAUUGAGGUUUUAGAACUUUUAAGCCACACUAGAAAUUUGUAUUGUUUUGAUAGAGUUGUAGUCUUUGAUAUGUGAUUGUUAUUAAUCAAGUGUUAUGUUUACAAUAGUUAAAGGCAUAUUGAAUCAAAAUCCACUUCUAAGGGCUUGAUUGAGUGAUUGUAAAGUAGGUUUUUAGUUUGCUAGCCACUCAAGUUCAAAUAUUGGAACCACAGAGCUUUAUAGCCAAGUGAGAGAACUUGUGCCCUAAAAAUUGAGGGGUGCAUAUCGAGUUUUACCACCAAUAAAAGUUGGUGUUAAAACUUUAAUUUCCCUUUUAUUGAUGGAUAUGGGUAAUUAGGAGUUUACAUCCCCUCCUAUUAAUAGACAGGGGUUAUUAGGAAUAUUAAAAAAAAGUUUAAAUAUUGAAAAUAUAGGUAUGGGUUAUAAAAUUCAUAAUAUAAAGACACAAAAUCAAGAUAAAGAUUUAAAAAUUUAGAACCAUGAGAGCGUGAUUUGUAAGUUUCAAAGAAGUAUGUGCAAAUAUAUGCAUUAUCGAUGCCCAAUUAAGGGUGGGCAUUAAGAUUGGGUUAACCCGAACAGAAUCGAACUUAAAAUUUAUUUGCUCACAAAUGGGUGGUUUGUGGGGGGGAUUCACUUGCUUUUGUUUGCAUUGCCUGAUUGGAUAAAAGUUUGUAGAACAUCGUCUGUUUGGUUAAAGCCGAGCAUGAGUGAAUAAAAAUUAAAAAUAAAUAAUUUUCCAUUAAUUUGCAACAAGUAUUAAUAAAGUGCAUGAGAAAAGACACCAGGAUAUGCUUUUUUUUUAAAAAAAUUAAAAUAAAUGUGUUAAUUAGUCAAUUUAAAUGGUAUGACAUUUUGAAAUGACAGAAGCGAUCUAAAGUUUAAAUCUCACUCACACUUAAUUUAGGGUUGGGGAUUAAUUGACGUAAUAUAUAAUAACGAAUUCAAAAGACAAUUAAAAAUUAAAAGAAAAUAAAAAAGUGCUUUCUUUUUUAUGAUGGUAAUUUGUUUAGAUGAUGAAAACUCUUAGAGUGGUAUUAUCAAUACAUAGUUUCUAGCGUUGCCAAUGUGAAUAAUAUUUAAUUUCCUUUAUAUAGUUAUAUCUCAACUAACAUUUAAACAGAAGUAAGUUGUAAAAAAAAUGAACCAUUGAGAUUUGAGAGAACAAAAAACUAAAAAAAAAAAAAGUUAAAAAAUUAGAUCUCAAUAAAUUUACUUGAGAACUACUUUACUGAUUAGUGAAGAGAAAACACAAAAAAUAAUGAUGUAUCUCAAUUAAUAAGACAAUUUUUGUAUUUUUCAUUUAUUCAAGAAUCACGAAACUUCAUUUAAACUUGUUAUUUCAUUGAUAAUAUAUUAAUAUUGAACAAUUAAUGUGGGAGACAUUCCUUUCCAAUUAUGCCCAUAUAUUAAUUAAAGAUCACCAAAAAGUUCAGGGAUACUAUAAUAAUUUAAGUCAACAAUUUCUGAGCUUGAAAUCAGCCGAUCAAACUCACUUUAGAAUAAACUGAGAAAUCAAAAUCACAUUCUCCGAUUCUACUAUUUCAAUUCAUCUUAUUUCUUCAACUGAAAAAUUGGUUGUAUUUUGUUUUAUUUUAUUUUUAUUUUUAUAUAAAGAUAAAUAUAAAAUAUAAAUGACGAGGAGACUGUAAAAGUAAAAUCAAAAGAAGAGCACAAGUUUUAUUGAAAAUGACUCUUUUCAUCAUUUUGCCGGAGUUAAUGUAUCUACAUAUAAACUAAAGAAGCACAUUUGUUUGUAUUAGCUUUUUUAUUGUAUUUUUAAUAAUAAGUCACUUGCCAAUGAACUUAUAUCGAUUUUUACGAAAAUAAUAGGUGUUAGUUAGAUUAUUCAAAUGGCAAAACCUCUUGGGACAGAGCUUGUAAUUUAGUGGCUCAUGAAUUGUCUAAAUUGACACUACCGAAUUAUUGUAUUUGGUUAAAAAAGCUCCUACUCUGCUUCAACUUUAUUAUCCUAUGAUGUUUAUUAAUAAAUAACAAUUUUAUUGAAAAAAAGACCUCUUGAAAUGAUACAAAAGAUUUGGGACAUGAAUCUCACUCGAAUUUAGCUUGAGGUUGGCAUUGUUAGCAUAAUAUUGAAGAUAGAUUUUUUUUUAAUUAAAAAUCAAAAGAUUUUUUUUUUUGGGUUCAUACUAGUUAGUUUUAACUUAUAGUGAGAUUUAAACAAAAAAGGAAUAGUAAAUCUUGAUAUCCUGACUCAUGGAUAAUGUAUAAAUAAGAUAGUAAAAUUUAUUGUGUCAAAAAUAAGAGGUCUGAAGUUUGAAUUUCGCUCACAUAGGUAGUAAGAGAAUCAAAUUAUUGAUAGAUUAAAUUAAUUUAAAAAAUUUCUGAUAUCCAAAACAGCAUACCAACAAAAUUGAAAUAAAAGAAAAUUGAAGAGAAAAACCAUUGAGAGAACGAAAAAUUAACACAAGAAAAUUUCUAUAACUAAUUGUAUCAGUGUGCGCCAACUUCACUUAUUAAAACAUGGUUAUUUCAUUUUCAUGGAUAAUCAUUUUGACACCGGUCAAAUUUAAAAGUUUCAAAAAAUAUGGGCGAUUUUUCUUUCCAGCUAUGCCCAUUAACUAAUAAAAGAACCGCCGAAAGGGUUCGGGGAUAGUAUAGUAAUUUAAACUAACAGUUUCUGUGCUUCAUAUCGUCAGAUCAAACUCACACCUCACAAACGCAGAGAAAUCAAACGGUUUCCGACUCUACGCUUUAAAUUCAGCUUCAUUUCUUCAACUGAAGAAUCGGUCGUCUCUCAUUUUUUAUUUAUUAUAUAAAGAUAAAUAUCUAAAUUUAAAUGGCGAGAAGAGCGGACGAGGAAUACGAUUACUUGUUCAAAGUGGUAUUAAUCGGCGAUUCGGGAGUCGGCAAUUCGAACUUACUCUCCCGAUUUACUCGUAACGAGUUCUGUUUGGAGUCCAAAUCCACUAUUGGCGUCGAAUUCGCCACCCGCACUCUUCAAGUAACUAACUUUUCCUCUUUCCCUUCACUUCUUUUUUAUUAAUUAAUUAAUUAAUUAAGAUCCAGUUAAUGUAAUUAAUUUUAUUUAAUCUUUUAAAUAAAGUUCUAGAUUAGGCUAACUUAGAUUCAUGUGAAGUUGAAGUGAUUUACUUUCGAUCUCUUUUUCGUCCUAUGUUUAUUUGUACUUACUAUUACUUUUUUUUGGGUUUAAAUUUUCGUUUUUGAAGUGUUUACUGAAUAAAUUUCUGAGCUUUAUUUGUGUAUGCUGAUUGAUUUGUGAUUUUAAUUUUGUGACUUUUUUUUUGGAAUUUAAAUUUGAAUGCUUUUUAAGUUGAAUCUGAUUGUGUUGGGCUGCGAUUUAAUUAAGUCAUCUGUGAGCGCCAAAUUGUGAUAGCUAUAUAUUGGGGUGAAAAUUUGGGAUUUAAAGUUAUGUAUUUAAGAUGCAGUUAAUUCGCAAGUGAAAAUUAUGGGCCGGCAGAUUUUGUCAUUGGAAGACUGUUCUCCACAUGUUGAAGUUAGUGAUGCAAGUUGAAACCAAUCUGUUUAAGCUUGGGGUUUCAUGUCUUGAAUCAAGGCUGUGACUUGGGGUGGGUUGAAAGUAUUAUAGCUUUAGCUAUUCCUGAAGUGAUCUGUUUAGACUCACCGUGAUGAGACCGAGUGCUGUACAGUAAAAUGAAAGGAAGUUGGAAAAUAUUUACUUAGCAUUUCGCGUUACUAAUGUUGAACUAAUAAAACCUAGCCCCUAUCCUAGUGAAUUUAUCUUAAAAUAAUAGCAAUAAUAAGUGGACAAAGCUAAGUUCCAGAGGUGAGAUAGGAAAUUCUCCCGCACAACACAGCACAAACAAACUUUCCCUUUCAUUUUCUUUUCUUUUCUUUUUCUUGCUCUCCAAACAGAGCAAAAGUAACGUCGCAAGAUUCUUCACUUCCAUCCAAAAUCAUGAGCAACGAAUAGCGAGCCUCCCUGUUUCCUUCCUUUUUUUGAUAUUAACAUUGUUAACAUCUACUCAUUUUCAUUUGACAAUACUUCAAUUUUUUUAAUUUUUGGCUUUUCAUUUUUUUUUGUUGCUAAACCGAUUAUCUGUUCAAGCUGUUGCUUAUCGGAGACUCGUCCAUCGGAAAGUCCUGCCUGCUGCUCCGAUUUGCUGUCUGUUGACUUUUCCUUUUCCUCUUUAUUUUCUUUUUUUUUUUAUAUAAAUUACUUUCUAUUUUAGCUUUUUGUUCUUUGAAUUUGUGUUAUUAAAAUGAUAAUUUAGAUGGUAAAUAAUUGUUAUUCUUGGAAAUUUCAGUUUUCAUUACGUUAAUUACUAGUUUUUAGGUUUAUUAAUGUAAUUUUUUUUUUAAUUUUUCAGGAUGAUUCUUAUGUCGACAGCUACAUCAGUACCAUUGGAGUAGAUUUUGUGAGUCUCUCUUCUAUAUAUAUGUAUAUAUGUGUAUAAGUUAUAGUAUGAGUCUAUGUACGUGUAUGUAUGUAUGUGUAUGCAUAUGUGGAAAGAAAUGUUGGCAGACUUCAGCAUUUUACUUUUUUUUUUUUAAUUUUGGCAGAAAAUAAGAACUGUGGAGCUGGAUGGGAAGACGAUCAAACUGCAGAUUGUGAGUCAAAAUUUCCUUUUAUCCUGUAUUGAGAGAAAUUCGACUUGUCUUAUUUAGUGAAGGUUAUGUUCAAGAACCUUGUGUUAUUUUCUUUGUUUGAAGAGUUAUAUGUCUUUUAAACAUCAUUUAGGUAAUGUCUGAUGUUUGAUUGUUUUUCAUCUGUUUAGUGGGACACUGCUGGACAGGAGCGAUUCAGGACUAUAACUAGCAGUUAUUACCGAGCCCAUGGAAUCAUAGUAAGGAGCCUUCCCUGUUCUUGGUUUAAAUCAGAAAGUUUGUGAUUUACAUGUGACAUCUUAACAACAUUGUAUGUGUUUAUUAACUUAUUUUUCAUCUUUCAUUAAGCAGUACAUUUUCCAAUAAAUCUGUAUACAAGAUGAUGUAGUCCAAGAAUGGGAGCGAUAAUAUGAUGCAUAUUGUCUAAUAAAUUCUUAUGACAUAUGAUGUUGUCGGAAGUAAAAGUCUUGCAAUGCUGUAUUCUCUUUUAAGAAAGAAUAAGUGAUACUUUUGUUUUUCCAAUUUUUUAAUUGAGCAACUGUGUGAGAUUAAUUAAAUGUGUUUGGAUUUCAACAGAUUGUCUAUGAUGUAACUGAGAUGGAGAGCUUCAAUAAUGUCAAGCAGUGGUUGAAUGAGAUUGACAGAUACGCAAAUGACAGUGUAUGCAAGCUUCUAGUUGGGAACAAAUGCGAUUUAGCUGAGAACAAGGUUGUGGACACAUAGACAGCCAAGGUAUAUUCGUGACUUCUGUCGCCUGAACUUUGAACAUAAUUUUAAGCUCUUCUCAAGUGCAUUUGCUUGGUAAGUUUCUGCAUACCCAGGACGCUCAAACUUUGGACAUUUUGUAUCUCGAGUUGGAAUCUUUUCUGUCAAUACAACUUGUUAAAAUAAGGGUUAUUAUCGUUUGAAUCCUUCAAGAAUUGCAAUAAAUCUAAAGUCCAUAAAAAAUAUGAUUCCAUCAUUUUACUAUUAUAUCCAGACAAAACCCAUUAUUUUACUACAUUUCAUUAGCACCGAUAGUUGACCUGUUGGCUGACUGAUAAAAUAUCAAUUUUGCACUUUAUAUUAAUUCUUUUUUGGUUAAAAAAUAACACACAAAGUAUUACAAUAUUAUAAAUUCAAAAUAUAAAGUAGCUACAAAUAAUUGCUAUUAGCCUAUGAAUUUAAUAUUUGAUACCUCUAUUUGUGUAAUUUUUUUCCAAGAGUGAAAUUGGUAUUUUUUUUGUACUAACGGAAAUGUAGUAAAAUGAUAAGUUUUGUAAAGAUAUAGUAGUAAAAUGAUAGGCUAAAAUACUUCUUGUAGUUGUUUGAUAUAUUGUAAUUCUUAAAGUAGUCAAUUGAUAAUAUCCCCUAAAAUAAAUGUUCGUAAUAUGUUCUCAUUUUAAUGCAACUGAUUGUUUAAUAAAAUUGUAUUUCUUUGUUAAUCUUUUUUCAUGUGCAUGCUCAGUGAGAAUUUGACUUACUAGAACACAAGUUUGACUCUUCAUUUAAAUGUCUCUUGUAUCAUAUCCUUCAAUGUUGAGUGUGAUUCCAAUAAAAUUGAGUAGGGGGAUCCUUAAAUACCUUUUCCUAUUUUCCAAGGGCCUGCCAAAUUGCUCUAAGUGGUUCUACCCUUUAUCAAUGAAUAAUGAAAAUAAAAUUUUUAUUAAAGCAUUUUGUUCCUUAAAUGGUGACUAAUAGUACCCCUUUUUUUGGAGAGGAAAGCCAAACAUGCCCAAAGAGAAUCAUUUACUUUCCUCUAAUGUAUUUUCUAAUUCGUUUUGAGCCUUGAAUGUCUGUUUUGGUGCGUAUUCUCAUUCCAUGUCGAAUCUUAUCCAUAUGGACAACCCCACUUACAAAAAAGUCUAAUGAAUCUAUUGAAGUUCAUAUGAGGUUUGUGCUUUAGAUUUAGACCUCUCUCUCUCUCUCUCUCUCUCUCUCUCCACUUACAUGUCUUUCACUUACCUGUUUGCAUGCAUGCCCAUUCACACACUUUCAAGAUAAUACACAGUCACUCGUACUUGUGUUUUGGUUGAAUUACUGGCUGCUAACCUCUGUAAUUCAGUUUGAAACUUGCCACCCUUAGUGCUUCACUCAAAUGGUUGGUUAGGGUGAGAUCUGUAUCGUUUUCCUGGUCUCUUUCCAAGGUUAUCUAAAGGGAUUUGCCAGUCUGAUUCUUUUGGGAAUAUCAUUGCAUAAGAUAUCUAUUGUUUGUUAAUGAAUAAUUUCUAUUUAACUAGUUAUCUAUAUAAAUUGGUCAAUUUUAACUGCAUAAUUUGCAUGCAAUAAGAUUUUAUAAGAAUCUUGUUUUCAACUCAUGACUUAGACUAAUGUGAUAUGUUGAGCAUUAAGCUACAAGAUCUGCACAUCAAAGUGCUUCACAAUGUUAAGGAGAAAGCAUCUUUUUCUGCUUCUUCAUCUGAUUUAAAGUUUCCAAGGUACUUAUCCAAUAAAAUAUCCUUCAAGACUUUGGAAAUGCUUUUAUGUAUGACUGAGAGAAACUUGUUGGGUUGGUUUUUAGCAACAGACGGAGUUAUGGACUUUGUGUUGACUUGUUAUUGAUUAAGACAGUACAUCGGCUGAUCUAUUGGCAUCAAGCAGCAGAUGCAGAAAUUAUGGGUGGCAUACCAUUGUAUCCAAAUAACAUACUACAUUGAUUUUUCUGACUUUCUGUUGGUCUCCGAGAAAUGCAGGCAUUUGCAGAUGAACUGGGGAUUCCUUUCCUGGAGACGAGUGCCAAAGAUGCAAUCAAUGUGGAGCAGGCUUUCUUGACCAUGGCUGGCGAGAUUAAGAAAAAGUAAAAUCACUUAACUCUUUCCUUCUUGCCGACUGUUCUUAUUUAACAAUCACCAUUAUUGCUGGUUAUAUGCAUUGUGAUGAAAAUUCUGCAAUGAGUAACUUUUUACCUAAUGUUUUCUGUUGGAACAAAUUACUCUGGUAGAAAAGCCCUACAGGGUUUGAGAAAUCCCAUGAUGUGAUGAUUGUGAGCAUUUUAGACACCGUGUAUGGGUUUAUUUUGUGACUAUAAAAUGUUAAGAUUGUUUCUAGUUUUGGUUUGUAGUGCAUAAAAGGAUUCAAAAUUUGACAUCUGUCUAAAUCAGAUUAAUAACAUGAUAAUGUACCUAUGCAAGAUGUGAGGAAUUGUUUUAUCUCACCCCUAAACUUUAAGAAAUUGAAACAUUAUUAUUCAAAAUAUUUAACAUUUCCAGAAUUGAUAGUUGUCUAUUUGAGCAGUGACUGGUGGUUAUCAUGAACUGAUGUGUGGUUGUGGUUUCAAAUCUUGGUGAAACCUGUUGUCAUAUGCUGAUUAACAUAGCUAGUCUCUGAAACAAUUUGUUGAUUCACUAAUUAUGAGUUCAAAUUUGAUGCAGAAUGGGCAACCAGCCUUCUGCAAACAAAUCUUCUGGAACAGUUCAGAUGAAGGGAUAGCCAAUCCAGCAAAACUGCAACCGCUGUGGUUAGCCGAGCAUCUUAUUUUACUUCUACAUGUUAGCUGACUGAUUGUAGACAGUUUUAACUAUGUUGACUGCAUUAUCUUAUGAAUCUUUUAAUCUGUCAAAUAUUUAUUUCCUGGUUUAAGUUCUUUCCCGUUUAUAACAAAUUUAAUUUCUUGCUCCAUUGCAUUCCAAAUUCCUGUCAAUUUACGAGGGAAAAGGAAAAGAGAGACAAAAUGGGAGAAAAUGGUCAAAUUUGUUAGGGGGAGAGAGCUGUUCAAGUAGUUUUUGUUCUCGUUUAUUGUCAUAUCGGAUGGGUAAAGUUACCGAAACAGCGUCAUUUUGGGUGAAUUAUCAUAUUUAUGUAACACUUUUGAUAAUAUUUUUAUGCAACAAAAAAAUGUUAGUACCCUUUUCACAUUGUGAAGCGCAUGAUCGGAUGAGAGCAGUCUGUAUUCUGGCAUCACAAGCUAAUGCUUUGAUUUGCUUAGUUUGUUUUUUUUUUUUUCAUGGAAUUUGGAGAUGUUGUACAUGUAUGAAGAUGACGUAAUAAAGUUGCUUUGAUAAAUUUCCCUGGUCGGUUUACUUCACUAACCAUUAAUGCGCAAAGCCUCCUAAUGACCCUAAAAAAUCCCGUACAUAAUUAAAGAAUUUCAAUUUUAUACGUACAAAAAUAAAUAACUCUCAAAUAUAUUAUUUGAUAAUUCCAAAAACAGCAAUUCAUUCUAAUAAAUCUCGUAGGAAAUACAUGGUCUAUAUUGCAAGUUUUUUUUAGACUAAUUCAAAGAGAAAAUAUGAAGGACAUAUAAUUGUCCUUUAAUUGUCAUAAAGAACUCUAAAUAAAUUCUUAUACGCAUUGCAACUAAUUACAGCCUUGAUACUUCAUUUGGUUUUUGUUAAUUUUCUAUACAGUUGUGUUGUGCAUAAAAGUUUUGUUAAAUGAAAUCGGUAGGUGAGGGUUAAUUAAUCAAUUAAUUAAGAUCCAGUUAAUGUAAUUAAUUUUAUUUGAUUUUUUUAAUUCGAGUUCUAAAUUAAUCAAUGAAUUUAGAUUCAUGUGAAAUUGAAGUGAAUUAGUUUCGAUCUGUUUUUCGUCCUAUGUUUGUCUGUGUUUACUCUUACUUUGUUUUUUUUGUUUAAAUUUUGUUUUCUUAUUGUUUACUGAAUAAAUUUCUGAGCUUUAUUUGAGUAUGAUGAUUGAUUUGUGAUUUUAAUCUAAAUGUGUUGGGCUGCGAUUUAAUUGAGUGAUGUGUGAGCGCCAAAUAUUCAAUAACUGAUAAAUUAUAUUUAUAAAUAUUAAUAGCGAUGGCACAUAAACAAUUAAUUCAAGAACUUGCCCAUAGUGAUUAAUUUAAAGAGUAUAAGUAACAUCGCAAUACAGUCUAGCCCUUACAUGUUUAAUUAGCAAUUGAAAACUACUGUUGCUGAUGAGGUAGAACAUUAUAACACUGUUGCUGAUGAGGCAGCUGGUAAUUCUUCUGGUGAAGAUAUUAAGACUAUUAAAGCUGAAAUGUAAUUAGAGAAAUAUAAUGCAUUCCCUUAGUUUGCUUUUUGUUUUUUAUAUUUGUUUGGCUAAUGCUUUGCUUAGAUUGCUUUUUGUUUUUUGAGAUUUUAUUGGCUUAGUCGUGGGGUAUUGUUUUCUCUUCUAAUUUCUAUUUUUGUUGUUAUGGGAUUUGAUUGUGGUGUACAUAUACGAAAAUUAUGUAAUCAAAUGCUUUCAAUAAAUUAUUUAAAUUAGUUUUCAACUGAGAUUUGAAUUUUGAAAUUACAUACACAAACAAGCCCAUUUUUUUUAAAUACUAAUAAUAAAAUAUUUCAUUUUUCAUCUAUUACUACAAGAGGUAUAAUCGCAAAAGUGAGGAAGGCAGUCAUCCUCUGUUCAAUUAUCAAAAACUCCUUUUACCAUCCAUUUGAACAUACACAAACACGCCCAAUUUGAAAAAAAAAAAAGUAGUCAUUUUAAAAUAUUUCAAUCGUCCACUGUUCAGUCACCAAAAACUCCUUUUACCAUCCAUUUCAACGCCUAAUUUGAAAAAAGAAAAUACUAAUAAUAAUAAAAUAUUCUAGUCGUCCAUCCUUUUACAAAUCAAAAAUAUCACCAAAAACCAAUUUCCAAUCUAUUUCAAAACAAAUUUUGCCAAAGUCCUCCUCGGCUAAUUAAUUCAUACAUUAAUACAGUCCUCCUCUGCUGAAUAAUGCAAACCCGUUACGUUAUUCUACCAUUUCUUAAAUUUAAAGCAUUCCACCAUUUAAUAAAAAAAAUUCGAAAACCCAUUAUAUACAAUACAAAAAGCCCACCGACACCAAACCAUAUUAAUUUAAAAUAGUUUUCAAUUGAGAUUUGAAUUUUAAAAUUACAUACACAAACACACCCGAUUUAAAAUAAUAAUAAUAAUAAUGCUAACAAUAAAAUAUUUCAGCCGUCCUCUGUUCGGUCACUAUUCACUAAAAACCAAUUUACCAGCUAUUACAACAAGAGGUAUAUGGGUUAACAAGUCCCAAUAUUGUCCUCCAUCCUUUCUGCACUUCUCUUCCAUCAACGGACAUCUCCAGAAAGUAUUUGAGCUUGGGACAUCCCCUGAGAAACAAUGAAGUGAGGUUUUGAAGAUCAACAAUUGAAGAAGAUAGGCGUUCCAGAUUUGGAAAAUUGAAAAUCUUCAGAGACGUUAGAGAGGCAGGAAGAGGAAGCGCGGUCCCUAAUCUUUUGUCCUCUAGUGGAAAUGACACCAUGUCCUCAUCACAUCCACUGAUUAAAAGAUAUCGCAGAGAGGAGAAUCUGUGAAAUCCCCGUCCCCGCUCAAUCAUUGACUUCCAAAUCUCCAUAUUACCCCAAAUAUUAAGUGACUGAAGGUUGGUGGGAAGGCCAUCUUCUUCUUCAAGGCUUGGAAGCGCACCUCCUUUUCCUAUUGUUAAGUCUUGAAGAGAGCUCAGUUUGUGCAAUCCCUUGGGUAAGGCCUCUAGUCUCUUACAAUUAGAUAUCGCCAGCCUCCUGAGUUUCGCACAAGGCAAUCCCCCUUCGGGAAAGGACACCAGAUUUCCACAACUCUGUAUAUCAAUCUCUCGAAGCUGGUGGAGUUUAUGUAAACCACUCGGUAAAAUUUUCAGAUUUUCACAAUUAUAAAUACUGAUUGUUUCAAGAGAUGUGUUGUUGUCCAACCUUUCUGCUAUUGACUCCAGCUUUGAACAUCCAUAAACAAAAAGGGACUUAAGAGACGGAGGUAGAUUGCCAACUUCAAGGGACUCAAGCGUGGCAGGUGUUGAUGCGAGAUUCCGGUUCUCCUCGUUCCACGACCAGGAUCUCUGCUCGAUCAACUUCUCCACGACCAGGAGGUCUCCUAGUAAUACUUCUUCUCCAGAUGUCCCUGCACAAACAGACAAGUCAGAGUACGCCGGUUGUUCCCCCGGCGCAAACCCUCCGACGCUCAAGUCAGAUAUGAAGGUUCAGGGAACGCUUGCCACAGGUCUUAUGGCUUUUUCGUGGUUUUUCUCUAAUCUCAAAAAUGCCAACCCUUUUACCUUCGUUGGCUACCUUUUUAUAGGCUUCCUCUGAAUCUCAGUCUUCCGCUCUUUUCGAGACGGUAUGGGACUCCAACUGCUGCGUUAUGGGCAAACGUGGGAUCUAGCGUGUUACGCCACGGUUCAGGGGAAAGCGUGGCUGUCAUGGCUCUGUGAGACCUUGCGUGUUACGCCACGGUUCAGGGGAAAGCGUGGCUGUCAUGGUUCUGUGAGAUCUUGCGUGUUACGUCACGGUUCCGGGGAAAGCGUGGCUGUUGUGCCUAGAUUCUCGUGCUGGAGAGCACGUCUUGCCAACUGCCGUCGACCGGGUCUCCUCGCCUCUCGACCUCUAGCCGGGAUGGCCUUAUGCCUCUUAUAGGAAAUUGGCCUCGCGGAUGACAACAUCGUGGACGAGCAGGAUAUUUCUGCUCCUGUUCUUCCACGCACCAGGCUUUAACGGAACACACCGGUUCGCAGAACUCCGCCAUCAGAUAUCUGCUCGUCAUUCCUGGUCCCGUCGACGCAUUUAUCCCAAACAGUAUCUCUCCCAAACACCGGUCCCCCAGUUUCUGGUGUUGGGUAAUGUAGUGGACCAGCAGUAGAAACUCGAUAGUACUCGCUCGCGUGGGAUUGGAAAAGGCUGCCAAGAGUCAUGUCGCAUUUAAUUGCGGACGAGGUGACGUGGCAGAAAUCCCGCCCUCCAUUUGAAUUUCAAACCGACGGUUACCAGAUCCUCGGGAUUCGGCGCGGUUAUAUGCUGGCAACCCAAGAGUCUGUCCUCAUUUGGAAAGCCGAAUCCUCUCGAACGGCAUAUUCACAAUUCACUCCGUCUCUGUCUCUGUUUCUCCGGCGAAGAAGUUCCGGCACAAAGCCCCCAUCCUUGCCUUUCUCCGAUUGGAGCAGUACUUCAGGUAUUACUUCUCUCUCCUCGGUCUCGGAUAGUUUGUAGAUAACUUCUUUUUUCUUUCGUUUGGGUGGUAGUUGGUGGCGUUGUAGUUAGAGUUUAGGGAAUGCCGAAAGGCAAAGAGAAGGUCAUUGAGGUUGAUGACGACGAGUUGGACUUCCUACCUAGUCUGCUCGCUGAUCCCGCUUUUGACCCCGGGAUCCCCUUAGAGCCCAUUAGGUCUAGUGUUGGUACUAGCGCUAGGAGGAUGUCUCCCCAAACAACCUCCUCGAGCGACAGUAGCGAUGAAGAAGGAUCUUCUGGAUCGGAGAACACCUUGAGUGAGGGUCAAGGGGAUGAUUCUGGUGAGGCGUCCCCCUCAGGAGCGCCGCGACCAGAAAGGAGGAGUAGAAUAGGAGGUAGAGCCCUAUCGCGGGAUUACGCUAUUGAUUACAUGACGUGCACGACCACGUUUGAUGAGCUCGAGGACCUCCGGCUGAGGUAUAGCAUUCCUGGUGAAAUACAUCUCAAGGUCCCAGGAAAGAAGGAUGCUCCCAGCCGCCCUCCGAGGGGACAUGUUACCCUGUAUCUGGACAGCUUUAAGUACGGGCUGAGGUGUCCCUUGCAGCCUUACUUUGCCCGGAUACUCAACGGGCUAAAUCUGGCUCCUGGUCAGUUGAAUCCCAAUGGGUGGAGAGUGCUCUCUGGUCUGUUCAUUUUGUGGGACAGAUGUUGCCAAAGCGAGCCCACGGUUGAUGAGGUGAAGCACCUGUACCAGCUAAAGAGCAGCCCCAAAGAUGCCGGCUGGUACUACUUCCAAUCUAGCACCAAGAGCAGGAAACCUAUAACCGACCUCCCUACUGGUGGUGGCGGGAAUUGGAAGAGAAAGUUCUUUUUUGCUGGGGGUCCGUGGGGUCAGGUCGCGCAAACGGACGGGAAGGAUUAUCGGGUCCCACCCCGUUUCACGGUCCCAGGUUGCCUGCUCGCUUCAGAUGCCUUGUAUCCAUACUUGUUCUUGUUUUGUCGGCUUGUUUCUAACCAAGUGUCUUGUUUGUGUUGUAGUUUCUUGGGGUGUCCACUUCCCGCUCGGACCUGAACAGCUCAAACGGGUCGAAGCGGUGCUGGCCAAUUCUUGCUCGACCCGAGAACUGCUAAGUACAUACAACUUGCUCGAGUCUCGCUUGAUACUCCCUGGCCAUAAGAUGGAGGACGCUGUGAUUGGGGCUCUGACCCGAAAACGUUCUCGACCUUCAACCACGAAGAGGGAUGAGAGUAAGGAUGCCCCUACUGCAAAGCGGGCCAACAUCGUGCAGCAGGCUCCACCCUUGAAGAUUUUACCUCCUGCUCCUGAAAAAGUUGGGGAAGCUAGUGGAGCAGCCACAGAUCCCGCCACCUCUUCUCCUCCUGUCGGGCCUCGACCUCGCUUACCUGACAGCCGAGCAGAACCUCUGGUCCCUUACCUCAAUGAGUUAGCUAAACUCGUGAGCAAGGAGGAGCUGGAGGACUUUGAUGGCCGCACCUUGGGCGAGCUGGUGGGGGCCAUUCAGCAUAGCGCCUUCCACCUCAGCUGCAUGGCCACCUAUUAUAAGGCUAAAGUGGGCCGUUACGACCGGAAGAUGAAGGGGGACAUCCAGUCGGCGACGACCAGGGCCGACGUUGCCGAGAAGAAAGCAGGGGAGCUGAAUCUCGAGAACCUGAAGCUGGUAGAGCAAGAAUCGCUUGCUCAAGCAAAAGCCAUUACCCUUGAGGGGGAGCUCACCAAGGUCAAGGAGGAUCUGCAAAGGCAGAAGGCUAUGUAUGAGGCUCAGCUCGAAUCUCUCCGCGACUCCCACCGAGCUCAGGUCGAGAACCAUCGAGCUCAAGUCGAGAACUUGGAGAGGGAGGCCGACAACCAGUACGACCAGGGACUUCGGCAUUCCUAUCGUUGCAUCAUGGCCGUCCUUGCGAAGCAACACCCUGACCUGAAGAUGGAAGACCUUGCAGCUGGUGUUGCCCAGCAUAUGGAUGAGGAGGCGGCCAAGGAAGAUACCGAAGGGGUAGAGCCGAUCGUGAUCGAGGAGGAAAACUCUCCUCCUCGUGUAGUCCCUGCUGAUGUCGGCGAGGCGGGCACCCCCCGGACGCAACUGGUGAUACCCCCCCUGCACCCGAGGAGGUCCAGCCGACCGAUGCUACUCGGCUCACUGAUCCACCAUCUUUGUGAUAUAUUUCUUUUUGUAUUGUAAUGAACAACGUUUAUGAAAUUUCCUUUGUUAGCCAUUAACACAUUAAUAAAAAUGUUGUUGAUUACUUUCUCGUGUAUAUGAAUUAUUUUUCGUUCAAGAGUCUGCUUGUCUUUGUCUUACACGAGCAGGUUCCGACGAGCCUUUGCACGCCUUAGGAUUUUCUUCAAACGAUUUGGAUUCUGCUGCCUUCUCGUGGCCGAGCAGAUCCUGGCAUGCUUGGCUUCUGUCUCGCCAUAAGACAGGCUCUGAGACUUGGCGAGCCUUUGCAUGCCUUAGGUUUUUCUUCAAACGAUUUGGAUUCUGCUGCCUUCUCGUGGCCGAGCAUAUCCUGGCAUGCUUGGCUUCUGUCUCGCCAUAAGACAGGCUUUGAGACUUGGCGAGCCUUUGCAUGCCUUAGGUUUUUCUUCAAACGAUUUGGAUUCUGCUGCCUUCUCGUGGCCGAGCAGAUCCUGGCAUGCUUGGCUUCUGUCUCGCCAUAAGACAGGCUCUGAGACUUGGCGAGCCUUUGCAUGCCUUAGGAUUUUCUUCAAACGAUUUGGAUUCUGCUGCCUUCUCGUGGCCGAGCAGAUCCUGGCAUGCUUGGCUUCUGUCUCGCCAUAAGACAGGCUCUGAGACUUGGCGAGCCUUUGCAUGCCUUAGGAUUUUCUUCAAACGAUUUGGAUUCUGCUGCCUUCUCGUGGCCGAGCAGAUCCUGGCAUGCUUGGCUUCUGUCUCGCCAUAAGACAGGCUCUGAGACUUGGCGAGCCUUUGCAUGCCUUAGGAUUUUCUUCAAACGAUUUGGAUUCUGCUGCCUUCUCGUGGCCGAGCAGAUCCUGGCAUGCUUGGCUUCUGUCUCGCCAUAAGACAGGCUCUGAGACUUGGCGAGCCUUUGCAUGCCUUAGGAUUUUUUCGGUUUCAAGCGAAUGGAAUUCGUCGACGCUCCAUUAAUGGCAGGAUUUGACUUACAUGAAAUUGUUCGGACAUAAAACGUGAAAAAUAAACGAUAAUGAACAUGAGCAACAACGGUUUUUAAAUGUGAACAAGUCUUACUGGAAGUAUUUCCGGAGGUGUGCUGCGUUCCAUGGGCGUUUCACUUCGUGGCCGUCCUCGCGAACCAGCUUGUAAGCUCCGGGUCCCGCUAUCUGCUUGACUCUAUACGGCCCUUCCCAAUUCGGUCCCAGUACUCCUUGAGUCGAAUCUUUGGUGCUCUGAUUCACUCUUCUCAGUACCCAGUCUCCGACUCUGAAUUGCCGUAUGUUCACCUUCUGGUUAUAAUACCGAGCAACCCUCUGCUGGUAAGUGGCUGAUCGCUCGGCUGCUUGUUCCCUCCUCUCCGUUAGCAGAUCAAGAUUCAAACAUAUCUGCUCGUCGUUCUCGUGCUCAUUGAAGUGCUCUGUCCGGUGUGUGGUCGUUCCUAUCUCAGCCGGCACAACCGCUUCAUGUCCGAAAGCCAAAGCGAACGGUGUCUCCCCAGUUGCGGUCUUGUGGGUUGUUCUGUAUGCCCAUAGCACACCCGACAGCUCGUCAACCCACGCACCCUUUUUUGCUCCGAGCCUGGUUUUCAGAAGCCUCUUGACGGUCUUGUUGGCUGCUUCUACUUGUCCAUUCGAUUGAGGGUGAGCAGGCGAGCAGUACUUCAGUUCUAUCCCGAGGUUCUGGCAAAAAUCCCUGAAGCUGUGAUUAUCGAACUGCCUGCCAUUAUCCGUUACCAAGGCAUAUGGGAUCCCGUAUCGACAGACCAGGUUUCUCCACACGAAGUCUGUUGUUUUCUUCUCUGUGAUCCUGCUAAGGGCUUCUACCUCUAUCCACUUCGUGAAGUAAUCUAUAGCAACUAUUGCAUGUGUUGCUGCUCCUCGUCCCUUCGGCAAUGGGCCGAUCAGAUCAAUUCCCCAUUGAGCGAAUGGCCAAGGGGAGGCCAUGGAGGUGAGCUUCUCUGGUGGUUGGUUAGAGAAAUUUGCAAAACUCUGGCAGCUUGCACAGCUCCUGGUCUUCCUUUGUGCAUCCUGGUGCAUCGUCGGCCAGAAAUAUCCCUGCCUUAGAACCUUGUGGGCCAGGGACCUCCCGCCAGAAUGAUUUCCGCAAAUUCCUUCAUGUACUUCCCUCAGCACGUAAUCUGCGUCGUCAUCGUCCAAACACCGAAGGAACGGUAAUGUAUAUCCUCGCCGAUACAGUACCCCAUCGAUCAUCGUGUACCUCGAGGCCUGAGCCCUAGUCUUCCGAGCUCGCAGCUUGUCUGGUGGUAAGACCCCGUCUCUAAGGUAUGAAACUAUCGGGUCCCUCCACGAGCCUUUUUGUUCUAUCCGUAGCACGCCCACAUUUUGCUCGAUACUUGGGCGAGACUUCACCUCUAGGGGGACCGACUUCGGCAUUUUUGGGUCGGCUACGGCUGCCAUCCUAGCCAAAAUGUCUGCUCGACUAUUCUGCUCCCUGGGGAUUUGUAUCACCUCCACUGCUUUGAACUUCCCCAUCAUCUGCCUGACUAUCUUUAGGUACUGUUCCAUCUUCUCCUCUCUUGGUUGGAAUCUUUCACUAACAUGAUUCGCAACCAACUGGGAAUCGGUUCUGAUCUUAACUCUGUCUGCUUUCACGGCCCUAGCCAAUUCCAGACCCGCUAUCAAGGCCUCAUAUUCUGCCUGGUUAUUGGUGGCUGCAAAUCCCAACUUUAUAGCAUAAGAGAUCUCCUCCCCCUGUGGGCCUUCCAGGACAAUCCCUGCUCCUGAACCCCGCUCUCCUGAUGACCCAUCCACAGAUAUCUGCCAUACUUGAGUUUCGUCGCUGCCUAUAUCUGCAUCUUGUUGCUCUAAGCAUACUUCGGGCUCUGCGAACUCAGCUACGAAAUCGGCCAUUGCCUGGGCCUUUAUCGCCGCGCGGGGUUUAUAGUCUAUGUCGAAUUCGCUCAUCUCUACGGCCCACUUGACGAGCCGACCAGAGGCAUCUGGCUUGUGCAGAAUUUGACGCAAUGGCUGGUUGGUUAUUACCGAGACCGGGAAUGCUUGAAAGUAUGGCCUCAACUUCCGAGCAGCUACCACAAGGGCAAGUGCCCAUUUCUCCAACGGUGGGUAUCUGGUCUCAGCGUCGAGCAGGGCCUUACUGGUGUAGUAUAUCGGAUACUGAACUCCUUCUUCCUCUCUCACCAGAACGGAACUGGCGGCCCGAUCCGAUACCGCCAAAUACAGAUUCAACUUGUCCCCAUCCCUCGGUGUGGACAGUAGCGGAGCUUGCUGCAAGUAUUGCUUCAAGUUCCGGAAGGCUUCCUCGCAUUCCGGGGUCCAUUCCGUUUUCUUUCCCCUCCUUAUCACUCGAAAGAAUGGCUGACACUUAUCUGUAGCCUUGGAUAUGAAUCUGCUCAACGCCGCCAACCUCCCCGUGAGGCUCUGCAUCUCCUUCAGGUUUCGAGGAGACGUCAUUUGCACAAUCGCCUGGAUCUUCUCGGGAUUUGCUUCAAUCCCCCUAUGGCUCACCAUGAAUCCCAGGAAUUUCCCUGACUCGACCCCAAAAGCACACUUCUCCGGGUUGAGCUUCAUCUUAUACUUCCUCAAAAGUUCGAACGUCUCCUCGAGAUGUCUGACAUGUUCCUUCGGGAUUUUGGACUUGGUGAUCAUGUCGUCCACGUACACCUCCAUGGUUUUCCCGAUCAAGGGCUUAAAGACUUUAUUCACCAGCCUUUGAUAGGUGGCCCCAGCAUUCUUGAGACCGAAUGGCAUCACCCUGUAACAGAACAAACCUUGGUUAGUGAUGAAAGCUGUGCUCUCCUCAUCCGGCUCGUACAUGGGGAUCUGGUUGUAUCCCGAGAAUGCGUCCAUGAAGCUGAGCAGACCAUGUCCAGCCGUUGAAUCUACUAGCUGAUCGAUCUUUGGUAAAGGGAAACUGUCUUUUGGGCACGCCUUAUUGAGGUCUGUGAAAUCCACACACAUCCUCCACUUGCCGUUUGCCUUCUUUACCAACACCACAUUUGAUAUCCACUCUGGGUAAUUGACUUCCCGAAUGAACCCUGCUCUCAGAAGCUUCUCCACCUCAUCAUUUACAGCCUCAUACCUCUCCUGGUUGAAGCACCUCCUCUUCUGCCUUACUGCCCGAGCACCUUUCUUUAUUGCCAGCUUAUGACAUGCUACCUCUGGAUCAAUCCCUGGCAUGUCUUCAUGUGUCCAGGCGAACACGUCAGCGUGAGCCUGUAAGCAUUUCACCAACUCCUGCUUUUGCUCUCCCUUAAGUCUCGACCCGAUUCUGAUCGUCUUUCCCGAGUUCUCUGGUCCCAUGCUUACUGUCUCCAGAUCCUCUACGGGUUCUUGUCUGCCAGUCUUGUUUUCCACUCGGGUAUCGAGGGAUGUUAUCUGCAUCGCCUCCCUUGCUGCCGAGGAGUAGCAGCUUCUCGCGAUCCUCUGGUCUCCUCGUACCACUCCGACUACCCCAUUCACCCGGUACUUCAGAGCCAGAUAAUGGUUGGACAACACCGCUUUGCUCAUCCUUAAAAAUGGCCGACCUAGGAUCAUCUGGUAAGGACCUUCCUCAUCCACUACGACGAAGUCCAGUAUCAUUGUUCUUUCUGUCGGGGGGCUCCCAAUUGUGAUAGGUAGUUCGACCACGCCCAGGGGGACCAGCUUCCCUCCUCCGAACCCCUUCAAGGAGGUGUUGGUGUAUUCCAACUUCCGGUCGGCUAUUCCCAUCUCUUCCAGAGUUGACUUAAAUAACACAUCGACCGAGCUCCCCGUAUCAACCAGUAUCCGGUCAAGCUUCUUGCUAGCGACCGUAGCCUUGAUGACUAAAGCAUCCUCGUGGGGGUAUAGAAUCCCUUCCUCAUCCUCAUCCGUCCACAUGAUUGGCACUUGCCUGACCCUUGCUCGUUUGGCUGCCGGGGUGUUGAAGAGUAUCUCUUUGCUGGUCAUGGCAUAUCUGGCGUAAUUUUUUCUCGAUCUGUUCGAAUCUCCGGCCAACGUUGGGCCCCCAGCUAUCACCCUUACUGCGGGCUGCUCGCGUCUCAAGAUUCCAUCACUCUGCUCCCCUUCAUCUGUUGUGGCCAUCAUCGGAAAAGUCCCAUCCAUAAACUCGUCCAGGUACCGAUUUCUCACCAAAUCUUCAACCUGGGUCUUGAGAUCUCUACACUCUGCUGUGGUAUGGCCAUGGGUGCCAUGGAACUUACAAUAACGUCCUCUAUCCCUCCUGUUGGGUAGCUUUGUUAUUGGUGUAGGGAGGUGCAGCAGCCCUCGAUCCUUUAUGGCCUCGUACACCUCAUCCAGGGGCAUCUUCAAGGGAGUGUACCGCCCAUAGUCCUGGUUCUGGUCGACCAGAUGUACUGCUCUUUCUCUGUUCGCCCCACUGUGAGUUGGGGGCGGUGGAAGUGCUUCUGGUCUGCUCGUCCUGCUACCGUGGGAAUGUUGAUGAAGACCACCGGGUGCCGAAUCAUGCCUUCUCCAAGGCUCCCUAGCUGGGGAACGAGGAGGUGGCACCCUGCUGCGCUGAUACUGUGGCGGCCUCUGAUGAGGCUGGUAAGCAAUCACCCUACCUCCUGCUCCACUACCGGAGACCUGGUGGUCCCUCCUCCUGAUCGGCCCAUUCCCUGGUGAUGCUUUCUUCUCUUUCCUCCCUAACCCUUCCAACUGGUCUGUCUUGAUUCGUGCAGCCUUCUCCUCCUCAAUCUCGAUGUCUCUUUUAGCCUGUUCGUAUGCGGCCGCAUACGUUUGAAUAGCUGGGCUUCUCAAAUUGUACCACAGCCUUCCUAUCUUCACCCCUUCUUUCAAUCCCCUUAACGCCUGAGGGUGGUUGAAGGCUCCCAAGUCGAGGACAGCCCGAUGAAACCUCUUGAUGAAUUCCCGAAGGGUUUCUUGCUCCCCCUGUUUCAUGCUCUUCAGCUCCAUCAUGUCAUCUUCCGGAGACAUUGCCCCACUAAACUGCUCUGCGAAUUCCUGGCACAUCUGCUCGAAGGUUUUAAUGCUGCCCCGAGGAAGUUUCCUGUACCAUUCUCGUGCACGUCCCUCAAGGGAUAGUGGGAAUACCCUGCACCUUUGGGAUGGAGAUAAUCCCUGUACCCCCGUUAUGUCGUUGAAGCGCUCUAUGUGCAUCAGCGGAUCAGUUCUUCCCGAGUAUCUGAGGUCGGGGAGGCGGAAAUCUCUCGGAAUAACUGCCCUCAUGAUCUCUGCUGCGAGCGGUGAUUCUCCGUCCAGCAUUAUCCUCCAACCAGGGGCUCUGUUCCUCCCUUGCAUGUCGUCAAUUAUUUGCGCUAGCCUUCGCACUUCCUCCUCCAGCUGCCCUGCACGACCAGGGUCACGUGCCGCAACUUGAUCCCGCUCUUGCUCUACAUCAUGCAAGUGUUGCCUCAGCUCUGUUUCCUCUGCAUUCACCACCCCGUCGCCCUCGUCGCAAGUCUGUCUCGCCGGGGACUGCUCUCUUUCUCUAUGAAAUUCUCCCCGCAGAGGUACGUUACCUCUCUCACCACCAAAUCUCCCAGCGGUUAGACUUCUCCCCGCACUAUCGGGACCUGGUGCCGCUCCACCGCCUCUCACCCUUCCCUCUUGGGUUGCCCUCCGCUCGUUCCGCAGCUCAUGCAGGAUGGUUGUCAAGGUCUCCAUCUGCUUUUCCAUUCGUUCCAUCCGGUCGAACAUGACUUGUUCCCGUGCUUCGCUGAUUACCUCCCUCAGCGUCACGGAAUCGUUAAGCCUCAUGUCACCCCCUUGUGCGCUACUUCCUCCUCUCUCCAUUGCUUCUCGCUUACUCCACCCCUCUUCUUGCUAUCGACAGAAGCUUUUCGCUCUGGAUCCCCACAGACGGCGCCAAAAUGUUGAUGCGAGAUUCCGGUUCUCCUCGUUCCACGACCAGGAUCUCUGCUCGAUCAACUUCUCCACGACCAGGAGGUCUCCUAGUAAUACUUCUUCUCCAGAUGUCCCUGCACAAACAGACAAGUCAGAGUACGCCGGUUGUUCCCCCGGCGCAAACCCUCCGACGCUCAAGUCAGAUAUGAAGGUUCAGGGAACGCUUGCCACAGGUCUUAUGGCUUUUUCGUGGUUUUUCUCUAAUCUCAAAAAUGCCAACCCUUUUACCUUCGUUGGCUACCUUUUUAUAGGCUUCCUCUGAAUCUCAGUCUUCCGCUCUUUUCGAGACGGUAUGGGACUCCAACUGCUGCGUUAUGGGCAAACGUGGGAUCUAGCGUGUUACGCCACGGUUCAGGGGAAAGCGUGGCUGUCAUGGCUCUGUGAGACCUUGCGUGUUACGCCACGGUUCAGGGGAAAGCGUGGCUGUCAUGGUUCUGUGAGAUCUUGCGUGUUACGUCACGGUUCCGGGGAAAGCGUGGCUGUUGUGCCUAGAUUCUCGUGCUGGAGAGCACGUCUUGCCAACUGCCGUCGACCGGGUCUCCUCGCCUCUCGACCUCUAGCCGGGAUGGCCUUAUGCCUCUUAUAGGAAAUUGGCCUCGCGGAUGACAACAUCGUGGACGAGCAGGAUAUUUCUGCUCCUGUUCUUCCACGCACCAGGCUUUAACGGAACACACCGGUUCGCAGAACUCCGCCAUCAGAUAUCUGCUCGUCAUUCCUGGUCCCGUCGACGCAUUUAUCCCAAACAGUAUCUCUCCCAAACAGCAGGUAACUCGUUUUUUGAAAAUAUACAUGUCAGUGAUGGACAGCGGUCAAUUGAUAAGUGCUCAAGAAUAGAUGAGGUGUACCUUCUGCCGCUGCUACACUGGAUGCCCUCUUCCACUGUCAAAGUCCUUAUAUUAUCACAAUGCCAGAUCGUCAACUUCUUAAGGCUCGAUGGUAGCUGGACAGCAGCAAUAUAUGUCAACGAACGGCAACCAUGAAUACUCAAGAUCUCGAGAGACGAAUUGGUGUCGCACAUCCAUGCCUCUGGUAACGAUUUCAGUGCAUCACAAUACCUAAUCUCAAUUUUCCUCAACUUGGAAGGCAGAGCAACCUCAGGAAAGGAAACAAGGGAACUGCACUCGUAGAUUUCUAUCUCUCUCAAGGAACUGAGGCUGAACGAUGAUUGUGGCAGCUUCACAAGGCCUUCGCAAUUACUCAAUCUUAGAUAUUCAAGUCUGCAUGACAACUCGCAGAGCUGCUGUUGUUGGUCUUUCUUUUCCUCCGCCACCAAGGAUUGAAGUUUGGGACAGCUGUCAAUCGUCAGUCUUUUGAGAGAGUAAAUGUCUUGCAGUAAUUCGUUAUGACUCUUCCAUAUAUGUGUUUCAUUUUUAAUAUUUUUUAUCUCCAAUUCUUCCAGUUUUGGUAUUCGCGGCUUCAAUGGCCCUGCGAGAAACACUUGAUUUGAUGUAUCUCUACAAACCACUGAAUUCUGUGAGCCGAGAUGAUCAAUUACACUUCUCCACACAACCUUUUUACAUCCACGAAUUACCAAUUUGCAAAGAGCUGGAAGACUCCUAAUUGAAAUUGACAAUUCUUCGCAUUGUUCAAUAACAAGCAUCUCCAAUGCAGGAAGGUGCUCUGGAAAUGUUCCUUGCAGUUUAGAACAUCUUAAAAUGUGAAGCUCUCUCAAUUUAGGAAACCGUUCAACUCCCUGACUGGAUCCAUGAGGAAUCCACUCUUCCCACUCUUGCAGGUCUUCAAAACGAAGAGUCUCCAAGCAUGUAAAUGGAAUUUGAGAGUCAUCCCCAUAGAACUCUGAACCCAAUCUCUUUACUCUACUCAUUCCACGCACUGUAAGAUGCUUCAGAGAGGGCAGUUGGCCGACUGACGGCAGGGCAGUACACAUGCCGCAAUCUUCAAAUUUAAGUGUUACUAAAUUUAAGAAUGAGGAAUCUCCUAACCAUGUUGGAAAUUUUGUACCUCCAUAGCCACAGAUACCAAAUUGUUCCAGAUUUUUAUGGGGUUUGAGCAUGUCAAGCACACCCAUUUCAGUUUCUGCCUCCCUUGAAGAUGAACCAUCGGUGCUGCAAGUCCAAUUAAGCGAUAAUUCUCUAAGAUUCUUCUUUCCAUCCAACCGAGCCUCCUUUGCAUCACCAAUGUCUUUUACAUUCUCUAAUUUUGAAAUUUUAAGUGUCCCCUGAAGAUGUAUCAAUGACUUUAGCUCUCGUAACCCAGAACCAUUGUCUUUUCCCACAGCAAAAUUACCCAGCGUUUGAAGACAAGUCAGCUUACCAAUUCCUAGUGGCAUUUCCUCCAAGGAAUCUGUAUUUGAAUUAUUGAGAUGAUGCAAUUUGAUGAGAUUUCCCAUGUCUGCACACAACUUCUUCAGUCGUCGACAGCCCUCCAAAAGAAGGGUGUGCAAGUUGUAAAGCUUGCUAACUGAUUCAGGCAGAGUUUUAAUCUCAGUUCCAGACAGGUUAAGGUGCCUUAAAUACCUCAAAUCACCAACUGAAUCCGGCAGCUCGGCGAUGCAAUAUCCACGCAGAGAGAAGACCCUUAAGCUUUGGAGUUUGAACAACUUAGGAAGAAUGCUAUGAGCCAAGUAUCCAUGCUGACUAUUUAACAUCACUGGUAAAAAAGUUCUCAAAUGUUGGAUAUCAUACAAUUUCUCAAACCUUUGAACGCCACCAUAAUCUCCACGAAUGUACGACAGAUGACGAAGAUUUCUAGAAAAACAUUGUUGCUUGUUAACCUCCGAGGUAUACUCCAGUGUGAAGUAUGUCUCCCCUGCAGCCCAACGGGCAAGGUCGUUGAUAAGAUCGUGCAUAACAAAUCGUGAUAUACUGUUGCUCGAUUGCUGGAAAAAAGAUCUUCCACGUAGCUCUUGAAAGAACUUUCGACCGAGAUCUUCACUAGGAUUCCCACUCUCUCCGUGAUUCGAGAAACCCACAGCACUCCAUAAUAAAAUUAUCUCCCCCUCUUCAAAUUCAUAAUCCUUUGGAAACAAUGAGCAAUACGCAAAGCAUUGUUUCAAAGGUGCCGAAAGAUAAUAGUAGCUCACUCUAAGCGCCGGCAUAAUGUCACAUCUCUCUUCUUGCAAUUCCCAUAUCUUGGUACUGAGCACUCUCUCCCAAUCACAUCUGUCAUCUUUUCCUCGCAAAAGUCCUCCAAGUGUUUGCGCUGCCAAGGGCAAGCCAUCGCAUUUGGCCACUAUCUUCUUGCCAAUUUCCUCCAAUAACUUAUCUGACCCCAAAGAGUGUUGAGCGAACACAGACAGACAAUCAUCAUUUGACAACUUUUUCAAUUGAUAAGCCCGAACAGUCCCCAUGAUGGCUGCAACCCCUUGAUUACGAGCUGUGACAAUAAUCUUACUUCCCGGUGCGCCAGCUUCAAAAGGACGCCUGAGUCGAUCCCAAUCAUUGUAAUUCUCAUUCCAAACGUCAUCUAAAACAAGCAAAAAUUUAUUUUGAGAUAACUUCUUCUUCAGCUCCUCUUGAAGCUUAUUCAAGUCGUGAUUAUCCACAUUCUGGUCACUAGCAAUUGAAAGUAGGAUUGAUUUUGUAAGCCUGAUAACAUCAAAAUCAUCAGAGACACAAGUCCAUGCCUUGAGAUCAAAAUGACCCUGCACUCGAGCAUCAUUAUAGACAAGCUGAGCGAGAGUGGUUUUGCCCAGCCCGCCCAUGCCUAUAAUAGGAAUAACAGAGAAUUCACCAUCAUUUCUCAAAUCAUCCCUCAACAACAAUUCAACAAUUUUAUUCUUUUCUGUUUCCCUCCCAUAUACCUUGGCUUCAGUCACUAAAGAGGUUGUGGGUAGUCUUUGCCUGUCUUUUCUGGACCUCCCAGCUGAACUUACGUUCAAACCGAGCGAGUCUUUCUGUGUUACAAUAUCUUGAAAUCUGUCGUUGAUCUCUUUGAUUUUGGACAUUAUGGCGUAAUCGAACUGAAUCGAUUGUGGAGUAAAAGUGGUGCAGCAAGUAGGAAUGAGCUUCCGAAACUUAUUUGUUCUUGUACGACUGCUACUGGGUUGAUCAAGAGCAGCAGCUGGAUCUCCAUUUCCAAGCAGCAACUUCCUCCGGAAAACCUCAGUUUGAAACUCAUCCAGCAAGUCUUCAACAUCAAAAGCCAAGUUCUGAAGCUCGGCAAGCCACAACUUCACAGACUGAUCAGUCUUCUUCUCCUCAGCAUCAGCAAGCACCGCCUUGAUCAUCACCAACAUAUUCUUCCACUUCUUUAGGUCGGCUUCGAUUUGCUCUUGGCGUGCAAACAGCCGAAUCCCCUCUGAAGCUAACUUAUUGACCAGCAAAUCAACGGACGCCGUAAGGAUUGCCUCUCCGAUGAAUGACAUUUUUUUCUUCUUUUUCUUUUUUUUGGUUUUGCAAAGAAAGAAAGGAGCAGAAUUAUGGGUUAUGGAAAGCAGAAUGAGAAAAUGGAUAAUUAAGCAGAAUGAGUUUGUGAUUGUGAAGGGUCUGGCCCAGCAAGCUUAGUAGAAAUCACGCGUUUAUACUUUAUUGACCAAUGACUAAUAAUUUGGCAAUUCACUCAUCACCACCACUUGGUAAGCAAAAUGAAAAUGCUUAGUAAUUAAGUGUCAAGGGUCAAGCAAAAUACGACGUAAAAUGUGUCAAGGGUCUCUCCACUACUUGUUCCUUGCAGCUUAGAAAAGAAAAACAGAGCCCACCACCCAUUAAUAAUUUAGCAAUUCACCAAUCAUCACCACUUGUUACGAAACCAUCUCAUAAACCAAGUUCGUAGGUCGAGCAGUUAAUCCAGUGUCUAUUUCCUAGAACCUUCAUCUCAUAAACCAAGUUCAAUCAAAACGUUCCUCUCUCGCUAUUUUUUUUUUUUUUUUCAAAACUCCUAAAACGCUUCUUUUUAGAAAUAUUUUACUUUAUUCAUCUAAUAUGUUAUCUAACAAAUAGACACAAUUGAAAUCACUCUAAAGUGAAGAUGAAAGGGGAAAAAAAUAACCUUCCAACCACCAGUAAUUUAGCAAGCUUCACUUUAUUCCACCAAAGUGUAAAUAAAGCCAGCCCCCACCACCAUCAAUAAUUUUGCAAGCUUCACACGCUUGUCGUCUUCUCCUUGACGAACUGGACAUGAGUGCACCAAGAAUCAAUGACAGAAUUUUAAAAAUAAUAAUAAGAGAAAAACCUACACAUUUUCGACUUAGAGUAGAACCGUAACUAAUGCUAAAAUCUACUCAGCUAACAUUUUCAAAAUAUUGUUCUUUAUGAUUUUCAAAACCGUGAUUAAGGUUCAUCUCAAAUGUUUGAAGAGAGUCUAUCAGUUCUUCUACGCUAAGAAUAUCAAAAUUCUUGCUUUUUCUUCAAACGUUGAAUAAUGAAAAAAAAAAGUUGAAUAUGGAGGAAAAUAGAAUGCAUCCAUCUUCGCUGUAGAAGUCUUCUACUUAUAAAAGCAAGUUAGAAUAAAUGAUUUUAAUCUCUCUUUUUAUUCCUGUAAGUGCACUACAUUUUUUUUUUUUUAUCUCAAUGCGAAGUCGUAUCAUAAUGUUAUAUACCUGUUGUAAAACAAAAUUUUAGAUAAAACAAAUUCGACUCAUGUUUUAAAGGUAUAUAUUUAGUAGGUUACUAACAUAACUAACAAAACGUGAUUAUUACACUAAAUGAAAUAAAAGACAGUACUAUCACCAAUAAUUUAGCAAGUUUCGCAUGCACGAGUUUCUAAAAACAUUAUAUGGAAUCAAUCAACAGUGAUACAAAGAGAAAAGUGGAAAUCCUCUUAUUGUAUUUUUUUUUUCUUUUUCAAAAGAAAUGGUGGGGUUGGUUUGUUUGCAAAGUUAUUAGCGUGUGUCUAUUUGUUUUUGUUUUAACUUUAUUUUUUUUUAAACUAUUCAAUUUCUGGCGACCGUAUUAAGUCGCGACUAAUCCGAAUUUGAAGUAUAAUCAUAAUUAAGGCAUCUUACCCCUCCUAAAUGGUGUAUUUAGUGGGGAUCGAACCCGAGAACUCUUUGCACAAUCCAACCAGUGUUGCCAACUGAGCCAUAACCAUUUGGUUUGUUUUAACUUUAUUAAUCGAUAAGCAAUCGUGUAAUGAUUUGUAAAUAUCACUAGCAUCACAUUAUUGGGAGGUAUUGGGCUUAGUAUUCACAAUUUUUGUAAGAUGAAUUUGUAAGACAAAUUAAUUUUGAUGAAAAUGUAUCGAUAUUAAGAUAUUAUUUAAUUAUAUUAUUUAAUUCAUUAAGUUAACUUGAGGUAUUAAUAUUCACUAAUUGUGGUGCUGAUUAAUUUACUUAACUUGUCACUAUUUGCAAUUAAGAAUGAGGUUCAAUCAAUUUAUUGGGAAAAAAAAACAAAGAUUUGAUUUUAAUUCUUAGGAUUUGAUUUCGCUCUCUUUCGCUAUUUUACGUUGCUAAAGAGGCAGUAAAAAGCUUGCUGAGUGUCAUCAAAUGCUUGUAUCUCAUCUCACAAAUUGGCAAUAUUUGUUUGGUAUUUCAUCUCAACGGAUGCAGUAAGGAUUGCCUCUCCGAUGACUGACAUUUUUUUUCUUUUUUCCAGCAAAGAACGAAACAGAAUUUUGAGUUUCGAAAAGCAAAAUGAGAAAAUUGAGCAAUUCACCAAUCGGUCAAGCAAAAUGCGCGUAACAAGUCUUCCGCUUCUUGUUUAUUCCAGGAAAGUGCAAAUAAAAAUAGAGCCCACCACCCAGUAAUAAUUGAGCAAUUCACCAAUUACGAGUCACCACCACUCGUUACCAUGAAUAUAAUAAAUUGCAUCUUGAUAUUUGCAGGGUCCAGCAACAUUGACCCAGUGUCCGGGUAAAUGCUGAAUAACGAGGAAAAUGGAAUGUAUCCGCUACGAACCUUCGCUUUGCAAGUCUUCAAACUCAUAAACCAAGUUAAAUCAAAACGUUUAUCUCUCUCUCUCUCUUUUUGCCAUAUAAUUACUUUAUUUAUUGAAUUAAUUUCCAUGCUAAAAGGAAGACUUAAAAGUGCACUACAAUUUUUUUAUAAUCACAAUGGUAAUUUCUACUAUCAUGUUAUUUUAAUGUCGUGUUAAAAUAAAUUAUUACAAAAUUUUUUUUAUGAACACUCUUUUCAUUUAUAAAUUUUUUAAUUUUUAAUAUUUUCUCACUAUUUUUAGUCUUAAUAUUUAUAUUUCUCUCUUCAAACUUUCUUUAUUAUUUAAUUUUUUAAAAAAAUAUGAAAAAAAGUAAAAAAAAUAUUAUAUUUAAAAAAUAGUGAAUAUUUUAUGGAUCUAUUACAAGUCUGUAUUGUUUUUGACAAUGAAAGAGCACGCGAAAAAUCUCACUCAUAGAAAACUUUGUGAAAGGCAUUUGAAUGUGUGGCCACAUUUUCCGAACGAAACGAUAAGGCUUUAGCCUUAUAAUUGCAAUUAGUUUGUCUUGUAACUAAAUUAUUGCCGACAAACACCAUCAUGCUGACAAACCGUGCAUGCACGUCCUCAAUCACCCACCCUUCAAACAAUCCUUACUGAACUUCAAUCCUUGCAUCUCCACUCUCCAAUGUACUUCCCCAGAGGGAAAACCAUUAGCGAUUCUCAAAGACUUUGACAUUGUGGACAAAGUGGUUGUAAGGGGUGGGGAUUAACAUGUCUCCAAACGACAAGCAGCCAUGCAUGUAAUUAGUCACAAGUUGCUUUGAAAUAAAAUAAAUAGUUACUUGACAUUUGGCUCACUGAUUAGUUUCCCGUAUUUCCCAUUACUUCCCGUACUUUAUGCUUUAUUGUUUUGUAUGUCUUUUGGUGUUUACGGUGUAGUUAGGGAUGGUAGCGGGUAGGGUCUGGUACGGGUUUGACAUCACCAAACCCGCAGCUACAAAAAAAAUUAAUUACUAAAUUCGCUGUGGGUUAUAUUUAAUUUUAUUUUUUUAACAAAGCCCAUUCACUGUGUGUUUGAUUGGUGCCUAGUGGAUACUCAUUAGCGGUGGGCAUUAAGAUCGGAUUAACUCGAACCGAAUCUUAAAUUUAUUUUGAGUUCAAUUUGAUUUUGGUUGAACCUUUCAACUGAGUUGAAAACUUAUAAACGAUUGCGUUGUAUUUCUGUUCGAAUUUAACAACAAACUAAGCUACCUAAUCAACUUAAGUAAGCAAAUUUUAAAAAAAAUCCCAAAAAAUUAAAUCUAACCCUAAUUAAAAAAAUUCAACCGAGGCCUCCUUCUCGUCUUCUUUUCUUCUUCUUCCUCUUGCUCACCCCUAAUGCCCCAUUAAUGGAAUUCCAACAGCUAGAAACGCGUUUCAGCCGCUUGCGCGUGUAAGAAAUUUUCCUUCCCAUAGGAUUGUUCGUUUCCUUGGCUUGCAUUAAUAAAUUUGAAGAACAAUUAAAAAUUAAAAGAAAAUAAAAAGUGCUUUCUUUUUUAACGAUGAUAAUUUGUUCGGAUGAUGAAAAUUCUUAGAGUGGUAUAAUAAGUAUUUUCGAGUGUUGCCAUCGCGAAUAAUAUUUAAUUUCAUUUAUAUAGUUAUAUCUCAAGUAACAUUUAAACAGAAGCAAGUUGGAAAUUAAAAAAAAAAAAAAAAGAACCAUUGAGAGAAUGAAAAACUAACCAAAAAAAAAAGUUAAAAAUUUGUAUCUCAAUAAAUUUACUUGAGAGCUACUCUACUAAUCCGUGAAGAGAAAACACAAAGAAUAAUGAUGUAUCUUAAUUAAUAGGACAAUUUUUGUAUUUUUCGUUUAUUUAAGAAUCAUGAAACUUCAUUUAAACUUGUUAUUUCAUUGAUAAUAUAUUAAUAUUGAACAAUUUAGGAGACAUUCCUUUCCAAUUAUGCCCAUGUAUUAAUUAAAAACCACAAAAACGUUCAGGGAUACUAUAGUAAUUUAAGUCAACAAUUUAUGUGCUUGAAAUCAUCCGAUUAGACUCACUUCAGAAUAAACUAAGAUAUCAAAAUCACAUUCUUCAAUUCUACAAUUUCAAUUCAUCUUCAUAACUUCAACUGAAGAAUUGAUUUUAUCUCGUUUUAAUUUUUUUUAUGUAAAGAUAAAUAUAAAAUAUAAAUGGCGAGGAGACUGGAAAAGUAAAAUCAAAAGAAGAGCACGAGUUUUAUUGAAAAUUACUCUUUUUCAUCAUUUUGCCGGAGUGAAUGUAUCUACAUUUAAACAAAAGAAGCACAUUUGUUUGUAUUAACUUUUUUAUUGUAUUUUUAAUAAUAAGUCAUUUUUCAAUUAACUUAUAUCAUUUUUUACGAAAAUAAUAGGUGUUAGUUAGUUGAUUCAAAUGGCAAGACCUCUUGGGAUAGAGUUUGUAAUUUAGUGGCUUAUCAAUUGUUUAAAUAGGCAUUAUUAGAGCCAAAUUAUUGUAUUUGGUUAAAAAAGCUCCUACUUAGCUUACAACUUUAUUAUCCUAUUAUGUUUAUUAAUAAAUAACAAUUUUAUUGAAAAAAAAAAGAUAUGUUGAAAAGAUACAAAAAAUUUGGGAUGUAAAUCUUACUCGAAUUUAGCUUGAGGUUGGCAUUGUUAGCAUAAUAUUUGAAGAUAUAUUUUUUAAAUUAAAAAAAAAAAUUGGGUUCACACUAGUUAGUUUUAACUCAUAGUGAGAUUUAAACAAAAACGGAAUAAUAAAUCUUGAUAUCUUAACUCAUGGAUAACAUCUACAUAAAAUAAUAAAAUCUAUUGUGUCGAAAAUAAGGGGUCUAAAGUUUGAAUUUCGCUCACAUAGGUAGCAAGAGAAUUAAAUUAUUGUUAGAUUAAAUUAAUUAAAAAAAUUAUCUGAUAUCCAAAACACAGCAUAUCAAAAAAAUUGAAAUAAAAGAAAAUUGAAAAGCAAAACGAUUGAGAGAACGAAAAACUCACACAAGAAACUGCCGAUAAUUAAUUGCCUCAGCGGGCACCAACUUAAUUAUGCUUAUUAAAGCAUGGGUUAUUUCAUUUUCAUUGAUAAUCAUUUUGACACCGGUCAAAUUUAAAAGUUUAAAUAAUGGGGGCCAUUUUUCUUUCCAGCUAUGCCCAUUAGCUAAUAAAAGAACCGCCGAAAGGGUUCGGGGAUAAUAUAGUAAUAUGAUUGAUAAUCAUUUUGGAGCUGAGUAUUCUUCGUUCCACAUUUUGGGUUUUGGUUGACCAUAUUUUAAUACUUUUCUGGAAAACAAAUAUAUAUUUAUUGACUUGUAAUGGGUGCAACUCAUGUUUUUGAAACAUUAAGAUCUUUACUUACUUACACUAAUACGGCAACUGCUGCUUGCUUUUUUUUUUUUUCCUUUUGACUUUUAUUUUUACUUUUUGACUUUUGCUUUUGGUUAAUAAUAAUAAUAAUAAUAAUAACAACUUUUUAAUUUAAUAUAAUAUUAAAUAAUAUUUUUAUUUUUACAUUAUAAUUUAUUAUAACUAAUAAUAAAUAUUUAAAUUUGAAUAAUAUUAAUUUAAAAUUAAUAAUAAUAUAAAUAAUAAUAUAAAAUAUUAAUACAAUUUAAAUAUAGUAAUAUAAUAUAAUAUUUAAUUUAAAUUAAUCACAAAAAUUAAUACAAUACAUUGUAGCACCAAAUAUUAUACAGUAUUACUAUAAUACAGUACUGAUACAAUUUGAGGGAGAUUGUCAGCUUUUUUGGAUUAAAAAUAAUAUAUACCACUUACUCUUUAUUGUUUUUAUAAUGUUCAACAAUGAUAAAAAAAAAACGAAAAGAAGAAAUAAAUAGAUGAUUUGCUUGAAAUUGUAUCUUAGAAAUAUAAAAUAUAUAUUUAUUAUUAAAAAUAAUAAAGAGUACAUAAAAAAAUAUCUUAUCCUCAACAACAAGAUCAGACGACGUCAAUUCAGCAAAAUGACUUGUACAAUUUGAAAGUCCAGCGACGGUCACCUCUUGGCACACAUACGGCAACGUGUGUAGCUUUGGCAAGAGGUCUCCCAAAAGGACGAUUAAGGAAAGAUUGCAAGACAAAAUCAUGAAAAUAGUAGUACAGAUAUCCAAUCGCAAACAAGUCUUAGAAAUCGCACCCCUGUAUUAAUUUCCAGAAAUAUGUUUGUUCCAUAUUUAUCGUGCACGUAUACAUUGUAUGUAUUGGGAAUAGAAAGAGUGUAUGAAAAAAAUUCUUCAUUCAUCAAUUAAAACUUAACUUAUGUACGAGGGUUAAGUGUAGAGUUUUUAAAUUUGAAACGGAUAAGUAUUAUAGUCCAUUUCAAUUUAGAUACAAGUACUUCGAACUUAUAUUUGAGGCAAAAAUCUGUAUACCAUAGUACAUAUUAUAUAUCCAGUCAUGGGAUCCAUGCAUGGUUCCAUGUCAUUCGCAGAGUUGAACUGGAGACACUGAUUAUGUACAAGUAAUUGCAUGCACCAUUUGCGCCUUAUCUAUCACCCUGCUUGCAUUGCAUUAACUACGUCCCCAAUCACCCACGUCCGCUACUUGUGUGAACGUGUAUAUAAAUAUAUAUAUCCGCAGCAUAUUAUCAAACCAGAAUCAGAAGCAACUUAAGUUUUGAUUACGGUUCACCAGAAGUCACAGCUAGCAAGUGAUCCUUGCAUCAUUUUGCAUCAAAGUAAGAAACAGAGCUAACGAGAGAUGGACAAGUAUUAACCAUCGUUACCAGAAAUUAAAUAUGUCCGCAUUUUGUCAGUUCUGGCCAUAUUUUGAAAGAUUGGAACUAUUAGCACCCUAAUUUUCUUUUGAAGCUCCUUUUCUGUGGAAACCUAUUUUAAUUUCCAAAAUAUCUUUUUCCAUUCUUUUAGUUUCUUUCUGAUUCAAAAAAAAUAAAUCAGUUUCUUAAAUAACUCCAACUACAAAUAUUUUUUUACAAAUUUUUGAAUUGUUAAAUCAUAUGUGUGUGUAUAAAUUGAAUAGAAUUAAAAGUGAACUCAAAUGGUUAUUAUGUAAUUUUUUAUAAUUAAAGAAAAGUUUAGAAUGCAAAAGUGUGUGUGAGAAAACAAAAAAUAUAAAUCGCCUUUGAUGUAGUUGUAUGAUUGUAAAGAGUUAAAUGGAGAAAUAUAGUAUAUAGUUAAAUUUAUUUUGUUCUUUAAAACGGGUAGGUUUUAUAAGAAAUUUUUAGAGGAGUGCCAAUAUUUCAACUCUUUUUCAAAUGAAGUGAUGUCCAAGAAUAAAAUCACUACUCUAUCAUUGCUAUUAGUUUGUCUUGUAUUUCAAUCACUGCCGACAAGUAUUAAUUAUGAAUAUUAUUAUUUUAAAAAUAUUAUUAUUAUUAUCGUCGUUAUUCUUAACAGCAAUGACUAGAAUUAUAAUAAGAACAAUAACGUUAAUACAAUAAUAUAACAACAUAAUAAUAUUUUAAUUGAGAGGAUAAGAAUGAAAUUAUGAAAUUUAAGUUGGGUAAAAUGGUGAGUAUGAGGAAAUUAAAUUAUCAUUCUUUAAGCUAAAUAGUUCGUAAAUCCCACAUAUUUCAUUCUUAUUUCUCUUAUAUUUUAAUAAGUAAAUAUUAUUAAUUAUUUUAAUAUUUUAAUUAAUAAACACGACAUUAACUACGGAACUAAAAGAUCCCCAAAAAAAAAAAAAAGGGGAGACGCGUCUAUGUAUUGCUUGUGACAAGUCUCACCCAUGGAAAACUUUGUGAAAGGCAUUUGAAUGUGUGGCCGCAUUUAAUGAACGAAACGAUAACUUUAAAAGAAAGUAUGUACUGUGUUAAUUAUUAGGCUUUAGCUUAAUGAUUGCAAUUAGUUUGUCUUGUAAUUAAAUUAUUGCCGACAAACACUAUCACGACUCACGUCCGCUACUUGUGUGAAUGUGUGUAUAAAUAUACGCAGCAUAUUAUCAUCUUUUCUAAUUCGAAGAAGAUGGAAACUCCUUAUCCAGGUUAUUAGGCCAUGUUUAGUUGAAUGUCAUUUAUAAUUUUUAUUUUAAUAUUAUGUAUUUAUGAAUACAAUUAUUGUUAUGAUUUGUUUAGGUAAGAAUAGAUGAUCUGAGGGUAACCCAAUAACUAUGUACAAUAUUAUUAAUGGUGAGAGCGUGAAUAACAAUUUAGAUUUUAUUCUCGUCCCUUAAUACGGAAGAAAUAUUGAUCAUAGCGGUUAAAUGCUAUGCAACUCUUUCAUAUUAUGUUUAAUUAAUAAUAAAAUGAUGGGUUAUUAUUACCUGUCAAUUAUGUGAGGAGUGUCUUUGUUUGGUUUAGUUACACUUAUAAAAUCUCUUGAGAUAUACAAGAGAUUUUCUUUAUUUAAUUUUGUGUACCCUGUCUUCUUGUAAAAAGAAAUUAAUAAAAAGAAAAUCAUUGUGUGCAAUGUAUUAACUAAGUUAGUGUAUUCAUGUUAGCUUAAUUGUGCUCUCUCUUCUUGAUAUUUAAAAAAAAAAAAAAAAACUCCACAUAUUAUUGGUUAGCUAAUUCUUGCAGCUAGCAAGUGAUCAUUUUCUUUCCCCUACUGCCGUAGCAUCAAAUCCUUACAAUUACAUAUCAAGUGGUAGUCGAGCCGUCAAAUGAUCCAUGGAAACGCGCAACAAAUCAAAUGCUGAAUUUUGCGAAGAGAUUCACGAAAUCCUUGCUAUACAUGAGUCUAGUUUUGACCAAGUUCACGUCACUCAUCAGCUGCGGGGUUUUUUUUUUUUUAUUACAUGAGACUAUUGCUCAGAUUACAACUCAUAUACAUGAGAUUAUUACUGAUAUUUACAAAUCAGACUAUUACUGGGACCAACUUACAUCAAUGCUAAUGGAGCUCUGCCCAGAUUUUAACCUUCACAAAUAUUUGAGGGAUGUCUACUCCUCACUCAUGGGUAAGGGAGAAGACUAUUUUCACUCAAAUUAAUUGAGGAAGGAAAUACCCCCACAAUGCUUUUGUGGGGGAGAAGACUACCAUCAGCUGCGGGUUUGAAUGGUACCUAGUGGAUAUUUUGUGAGUUCCCACUAAUAAAAUCACACUUGCAACAAAACUUAAAAAUUUAAAUUACGUAAUUUAAAUUAUAAAUUUAUAAUCGUAGCCUAAAAAAUCACAUAAAAUACUUAAUUCUAGAUUUUAUCAAUGUAAAUGAGAAAUAAAAGUUUUAACAUUAAAAUAAAUACACAAAAUAUAUCAAUUUAACCUAAAUUCUCAAAUUUAAUUACCAAAUACAUAAGUCUAUCGCAACUCAAAGAGCUUUCAAUUGAAAAUGAAAAAAGAGAAAGAGAAAAAAAAAACACUACAAAUCAAAGUAGCACCCAUGACCCAUUUCGCGGUCUCAUUCAAUACCACUAGCACCCAUCCAACAUGAUUUUUCUAAACAAAGUAUAAAGUACAAAAUUACAAUAAGCAUAUCAUACUUCAUGCUUUAAGUUAAAGAUCCUUAUAUAUUUUUAUGAAUAAAUUUUUAAUGAAAUUUUAUGAUUAAAAUUAAAAAUACAAACAUUCAAAUAAGAAUGUCGGACACUUGCACAACUAUUUAUCAAAGUUUUUCUCUAUAAAAAUCGACCUGCAACUUUCAAUAGGUUUAAAUUUAUAAUAUCAAACCUAAUUGCAGCUUGCAAAAAUUAUCCGUUGCGGCCAAGACUUUGGAUUUGCGAUGAUUUUGCCACCCUAAGUGUAGUUAGUAUUGUAUAUCAUGUGGCUCUUAUAAAAAGCCUAGAAGUUGUUUGAAUAACGGGGGAGACACAUAUCGCCCAAAGAUUUUCUCUUUUUCAAAUUAUUAUUUUUUCUCUAUUAUUGUAACUUCGAAUCCUUAUAAAUUACAGAUUGGAGACAUGAACACAAUGUUUUGACAUAGUGGACUUUUGGCUUUGUCCUGAGAAAUUUAGGAUAGAUUUUUACGCACUAAGGCUCUAUUUACUAUUGAGGUUUUAGAACUUUUAAGCCACACUAGAAAUUUGUAUUGUUUUGAUAGAGUUCUAGUUCUUGAUAUGUGAUUGGUAUUAAUCAAGUGUUAUGUUUACAAUAGUUAAAUGCAUAUUGAAUCAAAAUCCACUUCUAAGGGCUUGAUUGAGUGAUUGUAAAGUAGGUUUUUAGUUUGCUAGCCACUCAAGUUCAAAUAUUGGAACCACAAAGCUUAUAGCCAGGUGAGAGAACUUGUGCCCUAAAAAUUGAGGGGUGCAUAUCGAGUUUUACCACCAAUAAAAGUUGGUGUUAAAACUUUAAUUUCUCAUCUAUUGAUGGAUAGGGGUGAUUAGGAGUUUACAUCUCCUCCUAUUAAUAGACAAGGGUUAUUAGGAAUAUUAAAAAAAAAGUUCAAAUAAUGAAAAUGUAGGUAUGGGUUAUAAAAUUCAUAAUAUAAAGACACAAAAUCAAGAUAAAGAUUUAAAAAUUUAGAACUAUGAGAGUGUGACUUGUAAGUUUCAAAGAAGCGUGUGCAAAUAUAUGCAUUAUCGAUGCCCAAUUAAGGGUGGGCAUUAAGAUCAGGUUAACCCGAAUCGAACCGAACCGAACUUAAAAUUUAUUUUGGAUUCAAUUUGGUUAUGGUUGAAGUUUUCAACUAAGUUCAAAACUUAAAAAUGAUUGGGUUGUUGUUCUGUUCGAAUUUAACCCCAAAAGACUAAUCAAUCCAAUCGAGUUAAGUAAGCAAAUUAAGAAAAAAAAUCCCAAAAAAUUAAAACUAACCCUAACUAAAAUAUUCGACCGCGGCCUCCUCGUUUUCUUUUCUUCUUCCUCCUCUCGCUCACCCCUAAUGCCCUUCAUGGAAAUCCAACAGCUCCAAACGCGUUUCGGCCGCUCGCACGUGUGAGAAAUUUUCCUUCUCAUAGGAUUAUUCGUUUCCUUCGCUUGCAUGCCAGCAAAACCCAAUCAUAAGUUCAUAACGUUUAGCGUUUGCUAUUACUAUAAUUUUUUUUAACCAAUUUUCACAUUCAUCAACAUCGGCUGACAGAUUUUGUAGAAAAUUAAAUUAAAUAAAAAUACAAGCUCACGAAAUUCCUUUUACACCUUUCACGUGCUUUUCUUUUUUUGGUGGGGGGGUGAAUUCACUUGCUUUUGUUUGCAUUGCCUUAUUGGAUAAAAGUUUGUAGAACAUCGUCUGUUUGGUUAAAGCCGAGCAUGAGUGAAGAAAAAUUAAAAAUAAAUAAUUUCCCAUUAAUUUGCAACAAGUAUUAAUAAAGUGCAUGAGAAAAGACACCAAGAUAUGCCUUUUUUUAAAUGAAAAUAAAUGUGUUAAUUAGUCAAUUUAAAUGGUAUGAUAUUUUGAAAUGAUAGAAGCGAUCUAAAGUUUAAAUCUUACUCACACUUAAUUUAGGGUUGGGGAUUAAUUGACGUAAUAUAUAAUAACGAAUUCGAAAGACAAUUAAAAAUUAAAAGAAAAUAAAAAAGUGCUUUCUUUUUUAUGAUGGUAAUUUGUUUAGAUGAUGAAAACUCUUAGAGUGGUAUUAUCAAUACAUAGUUUCGAGCGUUGCCAACGUGAAUAAUAUUUAAUUUCCUUUAUAUAGUUAUAUCUCAACUAACAUUUAAACAGAAGUAAGUUGUAAAAAAAAUGAACCAUUGAGAUUUGAGAGAACGAAAAACUAAAAAAAAAAGUUAAAAAAUCAGAUCUCAAUAAAUUUACUUGAGAACUACUUUACUGAUUAGUGAAGAGAAAACGCAAAGAAUAAUGAUGUAUCUCAAUUAAUAGGACAAUUUUUGUAUUUUUCGUUUAUUCAAGAAUCAUGAAACUUCAUUUAAACUUGUUAUUUCAUUGAUAAUAUAUUAAUAUUGAACAAUUAAUGUAGGAGACAUUCCUUUCCAAUUAUGCCCAUAUAUUAAUUAAAGACCACCAAAAAGUUCAGGGAUACUAUAGUAAUUUAAGUCAACAAUUUAUGUGCUUGAAAUCAGCCGAUCAAACUCACUUUAGAAUAAACUGAGAAAUCAAAAUCGCAUUCUCCGAUUCCACGAUUUCAAUUCAUCUUAUUUCUUCAACUGAAAAAUUGGUUGUAUAUCGUUUUAUUUUAUUUUUAUUUUUAUAUAAAAAUAAAUAUAAAAUAUAAAUGACGAGGAGACUGUAAAAGUAAAAUUAAAAGAACACAAGUUUUAUUGAAAAUGACUCUUUUCAUCAUUUUGCCGGAGUGAAUGUAUCUACAUAUAAACUAAAGAAGCACAUUUAUUUGUAUUAGCUUUUUUAUUGUAUUUUUAAUAAUAAGUCAUUUGUCAAUAAACUUAUAUCAAUUUUUACGAAAAUAAUAGGUGUUAGUUAGAUUAUUCAAAUGGCAAAACCUCUUGGGAUAGAGCUUGUAAUUUAGUGGCUCAUGAAUUGUCUAAAUUGACACUACCGAAUUAUUGUAUUUGGUUAAAAAAGCUCCUACUCUGCUUCAACUUUAUUAUCCUAUGAUGUUUAUUAAUAAAUAGCAAUUUUAUUGAAAAAAAAAAAGACCUCUUGAAAUGAUACAAAAGAUUUGGGAUAUGAAUCUCACUCGAAUUUAGCUUGAGGUUGGCAUGGUUAGCAUAAUAUUUGAAGAUAGAUUUUUUUUUAAUUAAAAAUCAAAAGAUUUUUUUUUGGGGUUCAUACUAGUUAGUUUUAACUCAUAGUGAGAUUUAAACAAAAACGGAAUAAUAAAUCUUGAUAUCCUGACUCAUGGAUAAUGUAUAGAUAAGAUAGUAAAAUUUAUUGUGUCUGAAAAUAAGAGGUCUAAAGUUUGAAUUUCGCUCACAUAGGUAGUAAGAGAAUCAAAUUAUUGAUAGAUUAAAUUAAUUAAAAAAAUUUCUGAUAUCCGAAACAACAUAUCAACAAAAUUGAAAUAAAAGAAAAUUGAAGAGAAAAACCAUUGAGAGAACGAAAAAUUAACACCAGAAAAUUUCUAUAACUAAUUGUAUCAGUGUGCGCCAACUUCACUUAUUAAAACAUGCUUAUUUCAUUUUCAUGGAUAAUCAUUUAAAAAAAUAUGGGCUUUUUCUGUGCUUCAAAUCAUCAAAUCAAACUCACACCUCACAAAAGCAGAGAAAUCAAACGGUUUCCGACUCUACGCUUUAAAUUCAACUGAAGAAUCGGUCGUCUCUCAUUUUUUAUUUAUUAUAUAAAGAUAAAUAUCUAAAUUUAAAUGGCGAGAAGAGCGGACGAGGAAUACGAUUACUUGUUCAAAGUGGUAUUAAUCGGCGAUUCGGGAGUCGGCAAUUCGAACUUACUCUCCCGAUUUACUCGUAACGAGUUCUGUUUGGAGUCCAAAUCCACUAUUGGCGUCGAAUUCGCCACCCGCACUCUUCAAGUAACUAACUUUUCCUCUUUCCCUUCACUUCUUUUUUAUUAAUUAAUUAAUUAAUUAAGAUCCAGUUAAUGUAAUUAAUUUUAUUUAAUCUUUUAAAUAAAGUUCUAGAUUAGGCUAACUUAGAUUCAUGUGAAGUUGAAGUGAUUUACUUUCGAUCUCUUUUUCGUCCUAUGUUUAUUUGUACUUACUAUUACUUUUUUUUGGGUUUAAAUUUUCGUUUUUGAAGUGUUUACUGAAUAAAUUUCUGAGCUUUAUUUGUGUAUGCUGAUUGAUUUGUGAUUUUAAUUUUGUGACUUUUUUUUUGGAAUUUAAAUUUGAAUGCUUUUUAAGUUGAAUCUGAAUGUGUUGGGCUGCAAUUUAAUUAAGUCAUCUGUGAGCGCCAAAUUGUGAUAGCUAUAUAUUGGGGUGAAAAUUUGGGAUUUAAAGUUAUGUAUUUAAGAUGCAGUUAAUUCGCAAGUGAAAAUUAUGGGCCGGCAGAUUUUGUCAUUGGAAGACUGUUCUCCACAUGUUGAAGUUAGUGAUGCAAGUUGAAACCAAUCUGUUUAAGCUUGGGGUUUCAUGUCUUGAAUCAAGGCUGUGACUUGGGGUGGGUUGAAAGUAUUAUAGCUUUAGCUAUUCCUGAAGUGAUCUGUUUAGACUCACCGUGAUGAGACCGAGUGCUGUACAGUAAAAUGAAAGGAAGUUGGAAAAUAUUUACUUAGCAUUUCGCGUUACUAAUGUUGAACUAAUAAAACCUAGCCCCUAUCCUAGUGAAUUUAUCUUAAAAUAAUAGCAAUAAUAAGUGGACAAAGCUAAGUUCCAGAGGUGAGAUAGGAAAUUCUCCCACACGACACAGCACAAACAAACUUUCCCUUUCAUUUUCUUUUCUUUUCUUUUUCUUGCUCUCCAAACAGAGCAAAAGUAACGUCGCAAGAUUCUUCACUUCCAUCCAAAAUCAUGAGCAACGAAUAGCGAGCCUCCCUGUUUCCUUCCUUUUUUUGAUAUUAACAUUGUUAACAUCUACUCAUUUUCAUUUGACAAUACUUCAAUUUUUUUAAUUUUUGGCUUUUCAUUUUUUUUUGUUGCCAAACCGAUUAUCUGUUCAAGCUGUUGCUUAUCGGAGACUCGUCCAUCGGAAAGUCCUGCCUGCUGCUCCGAUUUGCUGUCUGUUGACUCUUCCUUUUCCUCUUUAUUUUCUUUUUUUUUUUAUAUAAAUUACUUUCUAUUUUAGCUUUUUGUUCUUUGAAUUUGUGUUAUUAAAAUGAUAAUUUAGAUGGUAAAUAAUUGUUAUUCUUGGAAAUUUCAGUUUUCAUUACGUUAAUUACUAGUUUUUAGGUUUAUUAAUGUAAUUUUUUUUUUAAUUUUUCAGGAUGAUUCUUAUGUCGACAGCUACAUCAGUACCAUUGGAGUAGAUUUUGUGAGUCUCUCUUCUAUAUAUAUGUAUAUAUGUGUAUAAGUUAUAGUAUGAGUCUAUGUACGUGUAUGUAUGUAUGUGUAUGCAUAUGUGGAAAGAAAUGUUGGCAGACUUCAGCAUUUUACUUUUUUUUUUUUUAAUUUUGGCAGAAAAUAAGAACUGUGGAGCUGGAUGGGAAGACGAUCAAACUGCAGAUUGUGAGUCAAAAUUUCCUUUUAUCCUGUAUUGAGAGAAAUUCGACUUGUCUUAUUUAGUGAAGGUUAUGUUCAAGAACCUUGUGUUAUUUUCUUUGUUUGAAGAGUUAUAUGUCUUUUAAACAUCAUUUAGGUAAUGUCUGAUGUUUGAUUGUUUUUCAUCUGUUUAGUGGGACACUGCUGGACAGGAGCGAUUCAGGACUAUAACUAGCAGUUAUUACCGAGCCCAUGGAAUCAUAGUAAGGAGCCUUCCCUGUUCUUGGUUUAAAUCAGAAAGUUUGUGAUUUACAUGUGACAUCUUAACAACAUUGUAUGUGUUUAUUAACUUAUUUUUCAUCUUUCAUUAAGCAGUACAUUUUCCAAUAAAUCUGUAUACAAGAUGAUGUAGUCCAAGAAUGGGAGCGAUAAUAUGAUGCAUAUUGUCUAAUAAAUUCUUAUGACAUAUGAUGUUGUCGGAAGUAAAAGUCUUGCAAUGCUGUAUUCUCUUUUAAGAAAGAAUAAGUGAUACUUUUGUUUUUCCAAUUUUUUAAUUGAGCAACUGUGUGAGAUUAAUUAAAUGUGUUUGGAUUUCAACAGAUUGUCUAUGAUGUAACUGAGAUGGAGAGCUUCAAUAAUGUCAAGCAGUGGUUGAAUGAGAUUGACAGAUACGCAAAUGACAGUGUAUGCAAGCUUCUAGUUGGGAACAAAUGCGAUUUAGCUGAGAACAAGGUUGUGGACACAUAGACAGCCAAGGUAUAUUCGUGACUUCUGUCGCCUGAACUUUGAACAUAAUUUUAAGCUCUUCUCAAGUGCAUUUGCUUGGUAAGUUUCUGCAUACCCAGGACGCUCAAACUUUGGACAUUUUGUAUCUCGAGUUGGAAUCUUUUCUGUCAAUACAACUUUUUAAAAUAAGGGUUAUUAUCGUUUGAAUCCUUCAAGAAUUGCAAUAAAUCUAAAGUCCAUAAAAAAUAUGAUUCCAUCAUUUUACUAUUAUAUCCAGACAAAACCCAUUAUUUUACUACAUUUCAUUAGCACCGAUAGUUGACCUGUUGGCUGACUGAUAAAAUAUCAAUUUUGCACUUUAUAUUAAUUCUUUUUUGGUUAAAAAAUAACACACAAAGUAUUACAAUAUUAUAAAUUCAAAAUAUAAAGUAGCUACAAAUAAUUGCUAUUAGCCUAUGAAUUUAAUAUUUGAUACCUCUAUUUGUGUAAUUUUUUUCCAAGAGUGAAAUUGGUAUUUUUUUUGUACUAACGGAAAUGUAGUAAAAUGAUAAGUUUUGUAAAGAUAUAGUAGUAAAAUGAUAGGCUAAAAUACUUCUUGUAGUUGUUUGAUAUAUUGUAAUUCUUAAAGUAGUCAAUUGAUAAUAUCCCCUAAAAUAAAUGUUCGUAAUAUGUUCUCAUUUUAAUGCAACUGAUUGUUUAAUAAAAUUGUAUUUCUUUGUUAAUCUUUUUUCAUGUGCAUGCUCAGUGAGAAUUUGACUUACUAGAACACAAGUUUGACUCUUCAUUUAAAUGUCUCUUGUAUCAUAUCCUUCAAUGUUGAGUGUGAUUCCAAUAAAAUUGAGUAGGGGGAUCCUUAAAUACCUUUUCCUUUUUUCCAAGGGCCUGCCAAAUUGCUCUAAGUGGUUCUACCCUUUAUCAAUGAAUUAUGACAAUAAAAUUUUUAUUAAAGCAUUUUGUUCCUUAAAUGGUGACUAAUAGUACCCCUUUUUUUGGAGAGGAAAGCCAAACAUGCCCAAAGAGAAUCAUUUACUUUCCUCUAAUGUAUUUUCUAAUUCGUUUUGAGCCUUGAAUGUCUGUUUUGGUGCGUAUUCUCAUUCCAUGUCGAAUCUUAUCCAUAUGGACAACCCCACUUACAAAAAAGUCUAAUGAAUCUAUUGAAGUUCAUAUGAGGUUUGUGCUUUAGAUUUAGACCUCUCUCUCUCUCUCUCUCUCUCUCUCCACUUACAUGUCUUUCACUUACCUGUUUGCAUGCAUGCCCAUUCACACACUUUCAAGAUAAUACACGGUCACUCGUACUUGUGUUUUGGUUGAAUUACUGGCUGCUAACCUCUGUAAUUCAGUUUGAAACUUGCCACCCUUAGUGCUUCACUCAAAUGGUUGGUUAGGGUGAGAUCUGUAUCGUUUUCCUGGUCUCUUUCCAAGGUUAUCUAAAGGGUUUUGGCAGUCUGAUUCUUUAGGGAAUAUCAUUGCAUAAGAUAUCUAUUGUUUGUUAAUGAAUAAUUUCUAUUUAACUAGUUAUCUAUAUAAAUUGGUCAAUUUUAACUGCAUAAUUUGCAUGCAAUAAGAUUUUAUAAGAAUCUUGUUUUCAACUCAUGACUUAGACUAAUGUGAUACGUUGAGCAUUAAGCUACAAGAUCUGCACAUCAAAGUGCUUCACAAUGUUAAGGAGAAAGCAUCGUUUUCUGCUUCUUCAUGUGAUUUAAAGUUUCCAAGGUACUUAUCCAAUAAAAUGUCUUUCAAGACUUUGGAAAUGCUUUUAUGUAUGACUGAGAGAAACUUGUUGGGUUGGUUUUUAGCAACAGAUGGAGUUAUGGACUUUGUGUUGACUUGUUAUUGAUUAAGACAGUACAUCGGCUGAUCUAUUGGCAUCAAGCAGCAGAUGCAGAAAUUAUGGGUGGCAUACCAUUGUAUCCAAAUAACAUACUACAUUGAUUUUUCUGACUUUCUGUUGGUCUCCGAGUGAAAUGCAGGCAUUUGCAGAUGAACUGGGGAUUCCUUUCCUGGAGACGAGUGCCAAAGAUGCAAUCAAUGUGGAGCAGGCUUUCUUGACCAUGGCCGGCGAGAUUAAGAAAAAGUAAAAUCACUUAACUCUUUCCUUCUUGCCGACUGUUCUUAUUUAACAAUCACCAUUAUUGCUGGUUAUAUGCAUUGUGAUGAAAAUUCUGCAAUGAGUAACUUUUUACCUAAUGUUUUCUGUUGGAACAAAUUACUCUGGUAGAAAAGCCCUACAGGGUUUGAGAAAUCCCAUGAUGUGAUGAUUGUGAGCAUUUUAGACACCGUGUAUGGGUUUAUUUUGUGACUAUAAAAUGUUAAGAUUGUUUCUAGUUUUGGUUUGUAGUGCAUAAAAGGAUUCAAAAUUUGACAUCUGUCUAAAUCAGAUUAAUAACAUGAUAAUGUACCUAUGCAAGAUGUGAGGAAUUGUUUUAUCUCACCCCUAAACUUUAAGAAAUUGAAACAUUAUUAUUCAAAAUAUUUAACAUUUCCAGAAUUGAUAGUUGUCUAUUUGAGCAGUGACUGGUGGUUAUCAUGAACUGAUGUGUGGUUGUGGUUUCAAAUCUUGGUGAAACCUGUUGUCAUAUGCUGAUUAACAUAGCUAGUCUCUGAAACAAUUUGUUGAUUCACUAAUUAUGAGUUCAAAUUUGAUGCAGAAUGGGCAACCAGCCUUCUGCAAACAAAUCUUCUGGAACAGUUCAGAUGAAGGGAUAGCCAAUCCAGCAAAACUGCAACCGCUGUGGUUAGCCGAGCAUCUUAUUUUACUUCUACAUGUUAGCUGACUGAUUGUAGACAGUUUUAACUAUGUUGACUGCAUUAUCUUAUGAAUCUUUUAAUCUGUCAAAUAUUUAUUUCCUGGUUUAAGUUCUUUCCCGUUUAUAACAAAUUUAAUUUCUUGCUCCAUUGCAUUCCAAAUUCCUGUCAAUUUACGAGGGAAAAGGAAAAGAGAGACAAAAUGGGAGAAAAUGGUCAAAUUUGUUAGGGGGAGAGAGCUGUUCAAGUAGUUUUUGUUCUCGUUUAUUGUCAUAUCGGAUGGGUAAAGUUACCGAAACAGCGUCAUUUUGGGUGAAUUAUCAUAUUUAUGUAACACUUUUGAUAAUAUUUUUAUGCAACAAAAAAAUGUUAGUACCCUUUUCACAUUGUGAAGCGCAUGAUCGGAUGAGAGCAGUCUGUAUUCUGGCAUCACAAGCUAAUGCUUUGAUUUGCUUAGUUUGUUUUUUUUUUUUUCAUGGAAUUUGGAGAUGUUGUACAUGUAUGAAGAUGACGUAAUAAAGUUGUUUUGAUAAAUUUCCCUGGUCGGUUUACUUCACUAACCAUUAAUGCGCAAAGCCUCCUAAUGACCCUAAAAAAUCCCGUACAUAAUUAAAGAAUUUCAAUUUUAUACGUACAAAAAUAAAUAACUCUCAAAUAUAUUAUUUGAUAAUUCCAAAAACAGCAAUUCAUUCUAAUAAAUCUCGUAGGAAAUACAUGGUCUAUAUUGCAAGUUUUUUUUAGACUAAUUCAAAGAGAAAAUAUGAAGGACAUAUUAUUGUCCUUUAAUUGUCAUAAAGAACUCUAAAUAAAUUCUUAUACGCAUUGCAACUAAUUACAGCCUUGAUACUUCAUUUGGUUUUUGUUAAUUUUCUAUACAGUUGUGCUGUGCAUUAAAGUUUUGUUAAAUGAAAUCGGUAGGUGAGGAUUAAUUAAUCAAUUAAUUAAGAUCCAGUUAAUGUAAUUAAUUUUAUUUGAUUUUUUUAAUUCGAGUUCUAAAUUAAUCAAUUAAUUUAGAUUCAUGUGAAAUUGAAGUGAAUUAGUUUCGAUCUGUUUUUCGUCCUAUGUUUGUCUGUGUUUACUCUUACUUUGUUUUUUUUGUUUAAAUUUUGUUUUCUUAUUGUUUACUGAAUAAAUUUCUGAGCUUUAUUUGAGUAUGAUGAUUGAUUUGUGAUUUUAAUCUAAAUGUGUUGGGCUGCGAUUUAAUUGAGUGAUGUGUGAGCGCCAAAUAUUCAAUAACUGAUAAAUUAUAUUUAUAAAUAUUAAUAGCGAUGGCACAUAAACAAUUAAUUCAAGAACUUGCCCAUAGUGAUUAAUUUAAAGAGUAUAAGUAACAUCGCAAUACAGUCUAGCCCUUACAUGUUUAAUUAGCAAUUGAAAACUACUGUUGCUGAUGAGGUAGAACAUUAUAACACUGUUGCUGAUGAGGCAGCUGGUAAUUCUUCUGGUGAAGAUAUUAAGACUAUUAAAGCUGAAAUGUAAUUAGAGAAAUAUAAUGCAUUCCCUUAGUUUGCUUUUUGUUUUUUAUAUUUGUUUGGCUAAUGCUUUGCUUAGAUUGCUUUUUGUUUUUUGAGAUUUUAUUGGCUUAGUCGUGGGGUAUUGUUUUCUCUUCUAAUUUCUAUUUUUGUUGUUAUGGGAUUUGAUUGUGGUGUACAUAUACGAAAAUUAUGUAAUCAAAUGCUUUCAAUAAAUUAUUUAAAUUAGUUUUCAACUGAGAUUUGAAUUUUGAAAUUACAUACACAAACAAGCCCUUUUUUUAAAAUACUAAUAAUAAAAUAUUUCAUUUUUCAUCUAUUACUACAAGAGGUAUAAUCGCAAAAGUGAGGAAGGCAGUCAUCCUCUGUUCAAUUAUCAAAAACUCCUUUUACCAUCCAUUUGAACAUACAUAAUCACGCCCAAUUUGAAAAAAAAAAAGUAGUAAUUUUAAAAUAUUUCAAUCGUCCACUGUUCAGUCACCAAAAACCAAUUUACCAUCCAUUUCAACGCCUAAUUUGAAAAAAGAAAAUACUAAUAAUAAAAUAUUCCAGUCGUCCAUCCUUUCACAAACCAAAAAUAUCACCAAAAACCAAUUUCCAAUCUAUUUCAAAACAAUUUUUGCCAAAGUCCUCCUCGGCUAAUUAAUUCAUACAUUAAUACAGUCCUCCUCUGCUGAAUAAUGCAAACCCGUUACGUUAUUCUACCAUUUCUUUUUAAAGCAUUCCACCAUUUAAUAAAAAAAUUCGAAAACCCAUUAUAUACAAUACAAAAAGCCCACCGACACCAAACCAUAUUAAUUUAAAAUAGUUUUCAAUUGAGUUUUGAAUUUUAAAAUUACAUACACAAACACACCCGAUUUAAAAAAAAUAAUAAUAACACUAACAAUAAAAUAUUUCAGCCGUCCUAUGUGUUAUCGCCAAAAACGGAUUUCCAAUCUAUUUCAACGCGCGGUAUAUGAGUUAACAAGUCCCAAUACUGUCCUCCAUCCUUUCUGCACUUCUCUGCUAUCAACGGACAUCUCGAGAUCCGUAAUUCCAAAAGUGAGGAAGGCAGGCCCUUCUCCGGAAAGUAUUUGAGCUUGGGACAAUCAAAGAGAUACAAUUCAGUGAGGUUUUGAAGAUCAACAAUUGAAGAAGAUAGGCGUUCCAGAUUUGGAAAAGCUUCAAUCCACAGAGAUGUUAGAGAGGCAGGAAGAGGAAGCGCGGUCCCUAAUCUUUUGUCCUCUAGUGGAAAUGAAACCAUGUCCUCAUCGCAUCUGCUGAUUGUAAGACGUCGCAGAGAGGAGAAUCUGUGAAAUCCCCGUCCCCGCUCAAUCAUUGACUUCCAAAUCUCCAUAUUACCCCAAAUAUCAAGUGACUGAAGGUUGGUGGGAAGGCCAUCUUCUUCUUCAAGGCUUGGAAGCGCACCUCCUUUUCCUAUUCUUAAGUAUUGAAGAGAGGUCAGAUUGUGCAUUCCCUUGGGUAAGGCCUCUAGUCUCUUACAAUCAAGUAUCGUCAGCCUCGUGAGUUUCGCACAAGGCAAUCCCCCUUCGGGAAAGGACACCAGAUUUCCACAACUAUCUAUACUGAUUGUUUCAAGAGAUGUGUUGUUGUCCAACCUUUCUGCUAUUGACCCCAGAGGUAGAUUGCCAACUUCAAGGGACUCAAGCGUGGCAGGUAACUCGUUUUUUGAAAAUAUACAUGUCAGAGAUGGACAACUAAUAAUUUCUAAGUGCUCGAGAAGAGAUGAGGUGUACCUUCUGCUGCUGCUGCUACACUGGAUGCCCUCUUCCACUGUCAAAGUCCUUAUAUUAUAGCAAUCGCAGAUCUGCAACUUCUUAAGGCUCGAUGGUAGCUGGACCGCAGCAAUAUAUGUCAAGGAAUGGCACUUCUCAAUAUCCAAGAUCUCGAGAGACGAAUUGGUGUCGCACAUCCAUGCCUCUGGUAACGAUUUCAGUGCAUCACAAUGCCUAAUCUGAAUUUUCUUCAACUUGGAAGGCAGAGCAACCUCAGGAAAGGAAACAAGGGAACUGCACUUGCAGAUUUCUAUCUCUCUCAAGGAACUGAGGCUGAACGAUGAUUGUGGCAGCUUCACAAGGCCUUCGCAAUUACUCAAUCUUAGAUAUUCAAGUCUGCAUGACAACUCGCAGAGCUGCUGUUGUUGGUCUUUCUUUUCCUCCGCCACCAAGGAUUGAAGUUUGGGACAGCUGUCAAUCGUCAGUCUUUUGAGAGAGCAAAUGUCUUGCAGUAAUUCGUUAUGACUCUUCCAUAUAUGUGUUUCAUUUUUAAUAUUUUUUAUCUCCAAUUCUUCCAGUUUUGGUAUUCGCGGCUUCAAUGGCCCUGCGAGAAACACUUGAUUUGAUGUAUCUCUACAAACCACUGAAUUCUGUGAGCCGAGAUGAUCAGUUGCACUUCUCCACACAACCUUUUUACAUCCACCAAUUUCCAUUUUGCAAAGAGCUGGAAGACUCGCAAUUGAAAUUGAUAAUUCUUCGCAUUCUCCAAUAACAAGCAUCUCCAAUGCAGGAAGGUGCUCUGGAAAUGUUCCUUGCAGUUUAGAACAUCUUAAAAUGUGAAGCUCUCUCAAUUUAGGAAACCGUUCAACUCCUUGACUGGAUCCAUGAGGAAUCCACUCUUCCCACUCUUGCAGGUCUUCAAAACGAAGAGUCUCCAAGCAUGUAAAUGGAAUUUGAGAGUCAUCCCCAUAGAACUCUGAACCCAAUCUCUUUACUCUACUCAUUCCACGCACUGUAAGAUGCUUUAGAGAGGGCAGUUGGCCGACUGACGGCAGGGCAGUACACAUGCCGCAAUCUUCAAAUUUAAGUGUUACUAAAUUUAAGAAUGAGGAAUCUCCUAACCAUGUUGGAAAUUUUGUACCUCCAUAGCCACAGAUACCAAAUUGUUCCAGAUUUUUAUGGGGUUUGAGCACGUCAAGCACACCCAUUUCAGUUUCUGCCUCCCUUGAAGAUGAACCAUCGGUGCUGCAAGUCCAAUUAAGCGAUAAUUCUCUAAGAUUCUUCUUUCCAUCCAACCGAGCCUCCUUUGCAUCACCAAUGUCUUUUACAUUCUCUAAUUUUGAAAUUUUAAGUGUCCCCUGAAGAUGUAUCAAUGACUUUAGCUCUCGUAACCCAGAACCAUUGUCUUUUCCCACAGCGAAAUUACCCAGCAUUUGAAGACAAGUCAGCUUACCAAUUCCUAGUGGCAUUUCCUCCAAGGAAUCUGUAUUUGAAUUAUUGAGAUGAUGCAAUUUGAUGAGAUUUCCCAUGUCUGCACACAACUUCUUCAGUCGUCGACAGCCCUCCAAAAGAAGGGUGUGCAAGUUGUAAAGCUUGCUGACUGAUUCAGGCAGAGUUUUAAUUUCAGUUCCAGACAGGUUAAGGUGCCUUAAAUACCUCAAAUCACCAACUGAAUCCGGCAGCUCGGCUAUGCAAUAUCCACGCAGAGAGAAGACCCUUAAGCUUUGGAGUUUGAACAACUUAGGAAGAAUGCUAUGAGCCAAGUAUCCAUGCCGACUAUUUAACAUCACUGGUAAAAAAUUUCUCAAAUGUUGGAUAUCAUACAAUUUCUCAAACCUUUGAACGCCAUCAUAAUCUCCACGAAUGUACGACAGAUGACGAAGAUUUCUAGAAAAACUUUGUUGCUUGUUAACCUCCGAGGUAUACUCCAGUGUGAAGUAUGUCUCCCCUGCAGCCCAACGGGCAAGGUCGUUGAUAAGAUCGUGCAUAACAAAUCGUGACAUACUGUUGCUCGAUUGCUGGAAAAAAGAUCUUCCACGUAGCUCUUGAAAGAACUUUCGACCAAGAUCUUCACUAGGAUUCCCACUCUCUCCGUGAUUCAAGAAACCCACAGCACUCCAUAAUAAAAUUAUCUCCCCCUCUUCAAAUUCAUAAUCCUUUGGAAACAAUGAGCAAUACGCAAAGCAUUGUUUCAAAGGUGCCGAAAGAUAAUAGUAGCUCACUCUAAGCGCCGGCAUAAUGUCACAUCUCUCUUCUUGCAAUUCCCAUAUCUUGGUACUGAGCACUCUCUCCCAAUCACAUCUGUCAUCUUUUCCUCGCAAAAGUCCUCCAAGUGUUUGCGCUGCCAAGGGCAAGCCAUCGCAUUUGGCCACUAUCUUCUUGCCAAUUUCCUCCAAUAACUUAUCUGACCCCAAAGAGUGUUGAGCGAACACAGACAGACAAUCAUCGUUUGACAACUUUUUCAAUUCAUAAGCCGGAGCAGUCCCCAUGAUGGCUGCAACCCCUUGAUUACGAGCUGUGACAAUAAUCUUACUUCCCGGUGCGCCAGCUUCAAAUGGACGCCUGAGUCGAUCCCAAUCAUUGUAAUUCUCAUUCCAAACGUCAUCUAAAACAAGCAAAAAUUUAUUUUGAGAUAAUUUCUUCUUCAGCUCCUCUUGAAGCUUAUUCAAGUCGUGAUUAUCCACAUUCUGGUCACUAGCAAUUGAAAGUAGGAUUGAUUUUGUAAGCCUGAUAACAUCAAAAUCAUCAGAGACGCAAGUCCAUGCCUUGAGAUCAAAAUGAUCCUGCACUUGCUUAUCAUUGUAGACAAGCUGAGCGAGAGUGGUUUUGCCCAGCCCGCCCAUACCAAUGAUAGGAAUAACGGAGAAUUCACCAUCAUUUCUCAAAUCAUCCCUCAACAACAAUACAACAAUUUCCUUCUUUUCUGUUUCCCUCCCAUAUACCUUGGCUUCAUUCACCAAAGAGGUUGUGGGUAGUCUUUGCCUAUCUUUUUUGGACCUUCCAACUGAACUUACGUUCAAACCCAGCGAGUCUUUCUGUGUUACAAUAUCUUGAAAUCUGUCGUUGAUCUCUUUGAUUUUGGACAUUAUGGCGUAAUCGAACUGAAUCGAUUGUGGAGUAAAAGUGGUGCAGCAAGUAGGAAUGAGCUUCCGAAACUUACUUGUUCUUGUACGACUGCUACUGGGUUGAUCAAGAGCAGCAGCUGGAUCUCGAUUUCCAAGCAGCAACUUCCUCCGGAAAGCCUCAGUUUGAAACUCAUCCAGCAAGUCUUCAACAUCAAAAGCCAAGUUCUGAAGCUCGCCAAGCCACAACUUCACAGACUGAUCAGUCUUCUUCUCCUCAGCAUCAGCAAGCACCGCCUUGAUCAUCACCAACAUAUUCUUCCACUUCUUUAGGUCGGCUUGGAUUUGCUCUUGGCGUGCAAACAGCCGAAUCCCCUCUGAAGCUAACUUAUUGACCAGCAAAUCAAUGGACGCCGUAAGGAUUGCCUCUCCGAUGAAUGACAUUUUUUGUUCUUUUGCUUUUUUUUUUUUUGGUUUUGCAAAGAAAGAAAGGAGCAGAAUUAUGGGUUAUGGAAAGCAGAAUGAGAAAAUGGAACAGGUGAGAAAAUGGAUAAUUAAGCAGAAUGAGUGUGUGAUUGUGAAGGGUCUGGCCCAGCAAGCUUAGUAGAAAUCACGCGUUGAUACUUUAUUGACCAAUGACUAAUAAUUUGGCAAUUCACUCAUCACCACCACUUGGUAAGCAAAAUGAAAAUGCUUAGUAAUUAAGUGUCAAGGGUCAAGCAAAUACGGCGUUAAUCCAGUGUCUAUUUCCUAGAACCUUCAUCUCAUAAACCAAGUUCAAUCAAAACGUUCCUCUCUCGCUAUUUUUUUUUUAAAAAAAAAAAACUCCUAAAACGUUUCUUUUUAGAAAUAUUUUACUUUAUUCAUCUAAUAUGUUAUCUAACAAAUACACACAAUUGAAAUCACUCUAAAGUGAAGAUGAAAGGGGAAAAAAAUUACCUUCCAACCACCAGUAAUCUAGCAAGCUUCACUUUAUUCCACCAAAGUGUAAAUAAAGCCAGCCCCCACCGGCAUCAAUAAUUUUGCAAGCUUCACAGGCUUGUUGUCUUCUCCUUGACGAACUGGACAUGAGUGCACCAAGAAUCAAUGACAGAAUUUUAAAAAUAAUAAUAAGAGAAAAACCUACAUAUUUUCGACUUAGAGUAGAACCUUAAUUAAUGCUAAAAUCUACUCAGCUAAUUUUCAAAACCGUGAUUAGGGUUCAUCUCAAAUGUUUGAAGAGAGUCUAUCAGUUCUUCUACGUUAAGAAUAUCAAAAUUCUUGCUUUUUCUUCAAACAUUGAAGAAUGAAAACAAAAAGUUGAAUAUGGAAGAAAAGAGAAUGCAUCCAUCUUCGCUGUAGAAGUCUUCUACUUAUAAAAGCAAGUUAGAAUAAACUAUUUUAAUCUCUCUUUUUAUUCUUGUAAGUGCACUACAUUUUUUUUUUUAAUCUCAAUGCGAAAUCAUAUCAUAAUGUUAUAUUCAUGUUGUAAAACGAAAUUUUAGAUAAAACAAAUUCGACUCAUUUUUUAAAGGUAUAUAUUUAAUAGGUUACUAACAUAACUAACAAAACGUGAUUAUUACACUAAGGACAUGUUUGGUUACUGUAUUAUAACCCCUCAUUGCAUUAGUUUUAUACAAGCCUAUGUUUGGUGAAUUAAAAACUACAGAAACACUGCAUUAUGGGCCUAGCUAAUGCGGCAAACUGCCGCUUGCUGUUUCCUUUUUUUUUUUUUGCCUUUUCAUUUCCAACUUUUCAGUUUUUGCUAACUUUUGUUUUUACUUUAAUUUUUUUUUUCUUUUCGUUUCCAACUUUUCAGAUUUUACUAACUUUUGCUUUUACUUUAAUUUUAUUAUAAUAAUAAUAAUAAUAAUAAUAAUAAUAAUAAAUAUUUUUAAUUUAAUAUUAUAUUAUUUAAUAUUUUUAUUUUUACAUUUUAAUUUAUUAAUAAAUUUACAAUUUAUUAUGACUAAUAAUAAAUAUUUAAAUAUGAAUAAUAUUAAUUUAAAAUUAAUAAUAAUAUAAAAUAUUAAUAUAAUUUAAAUAUAUUAAUAUAAUAUAAUAUAAUAUUUAAUUUAAAUUAAUCAAAAAAAUUAUUACAGUACAGUGUAGUACCAAACAUUGUACAGUAUUAUUAUAAUAUAAUACUAAUAUAAUACAGCAUAAUAUAAUACAACAACAUUAAAGUAAUGCAAUACAACAUAAUACAAUACGUGUACCAAACACACCCUAAAUGAAAUAAAAGACAGUACUAUCACCAAUAAUUUAGCCAGUUUCGCAUGCACGUGUUUCUAAAAACAUUAUAUGGAAUCAAACAACAGUGAUACAAAGAGAAAAGUGGAAAUCCUCUGAUUGUAUUUUUUUUUUUUUUUCAAAAGAAAUGGUGGGGUUGGUUUGUUUGCAAAGUUAUUAGCGUGGGUCUAUUUGUUUUUGUUUUAACUUUUUUUUUUAAACCAUUCAGUUUCUGGCGACCGCAUUGAAUCCUGACUAAUUCGAAUUCGAAGUGUAAUCACAGUUAAGACUCAUUACCCCUCCCAAAUGGUGUGUUUAAUGGGGAUCGAAACCGAGAGCCCUUCUCACAAAUCCAACCAGCGUUGCCAACGGAGCCACAACCAUUUGGUUUGUUUUAACUUUAUUAUUCGAUAAGCAAACGUGUAAUGAUUUGUAAAUAUCACUAGCAUCACAUUAUUGGGAGGUAUUGGGCUUAGUAUUCACAAUUUUUGUAAGAUGAAUUUGUAAGACUAAUUAAUUUUGAUGAAAAUGUAUCGUUAUUAAGAUAUUAUUUAAUUCAUUAAGUUAACUUGAGGUAUUAAUAUUCACUAAUUGUGGUGCUGAUUAAUUUACUUAACUUGUCACUAUUUGCAAUUAUGAAUGAAGUUCAAUCAAUUUAUUGAGAAAAAAAAAAAACAAAGAUACCUUUUUUCUUUUGAUUUUAAUUCUUAGGAUUUGAUUUCACACUCUUUCGUUUUUUUACGUUGCUAAAGAGGCAGUAAAAAGCUUGCUGAAUGUCAUCAAAUUGGCAAUAUUUGUUUGGUAUUUCAUCUCAACGGAUGCAGUAAGAAUUGCCUCUCUGAUGACUGAAAUUUUUUUUUCUUUUUUUGGGCAAAGAAAGAAACAGAAUUUUGAGUUUUGAAAAGCAAAAGGAGAAAAUUGAACAGUAAGUGUGGAGGGUCAAGCAAAAUGCGCGUAACAAGCCUUCCGCUUGUUGUUUAUUCCAGUAAAGCGAUAAUAAAAUCAGAGCCCGCCACCCAUUAAUAAUUUAGCAAUUCACCAGUCACCAGUCACCAGUCACCAGUCACCAUGAAUAUAUUAAAUUGCACCUUGUAUUUGCGGGAUCCAGCAACAUUGACCCAGUGUCCGGGUAAAUACUGAAUAAAGAGGAAAAUGGAAUGUAUCCACUACGAACCUUCGCUUUGCAAGUCUUCAAACUCAUAAACCAAGAUAAAUCAAAACGUUUAUCUCUUCUAUCUCUUUUUGCCAUAUAAUUACUUUAUUUAUUGAAUUAAUUUCCAUGCUAAAAGGAAGACUUAAAACUGCACUACAAUUUUUUAUAAUCACAAUGAUAAUUCCUACUACCAUGUUAUUUUAAUAUCGUGUCAAAAUAAAUUAUAACAAAAUUUUUUUUAUAUGAACACUCUUUUUAUUUAUAAAUUUCUCGAUUUUUAAUAUUUUUUUCACUCUUUUAGUCUUAAUAUUUGUAUUUCUCUCUUCAAACUUUCUUUAUUAUUUAAUUUUUAAAUAAAAAUAUGAAAAAAAUAAAAAAAAUAUUAUAUUUAAAAAAUAAUAAAUAUUUUAUCGGUCUAAUCCAUUGACAAUGAAAGAGCACGCGAAAAAUCUCACGCAUAGAAAACUUUGUGAAAGGCAUUUGAAUGUGUUGCCACAUUUUCCAAACGAAACGAUAAGGCUUUAGCCUUAUAAUUGCAAUUAGUUUGUCUUGUAACGAAAUUAUUGCCGACAAACACCAUCAUGCUGACAAGCCGUGCAUGCACGUCCUCAAUCACCCAUGUCCUCUACUUGUCUUUUGGUGUUUACGGUGUAGUUAGGGAUGGUAGCGGGUAGGGUCUGGUACGGGUUUGACAUCACCAAACCCGCAUCUACAAAAAAUUUUAAUUACGUAAUUCAAAUUAUAAAUUUAUAACCGUUGCCUAAAAAAGCCACAUAAAAUACUUAAUUCUACAUUUUAUCAAUAUAAAUGAGAAAUGAAAAUAUCAACAUUAAAACAAAUACACAAAAUAUAUCAAUUUAACACCAAUUCUAAAAUUCAAUUACCAAAUAAAUAAGUCUAUCACAACUCGAAGUGCUUUUAAUUUAAAAUGAAAAAAGAGAAAGAGAAAAAACAAAGAGCUACAAAUCAAAGUAGCACCCAGACCUAUUUCAUAGGCUCAUUCGACACUAAGAUCUUAGAAUUAAGAUCUUCAAUUCAUUCAUUACCACUAGCACCCAUUCAACGUGGUUUUUCUAAGCAAAAUAUAAAGUACAAAAUUACAAUAAGCAUAUGAUACUCCAUGCUUUAAGUUAAAGGUCCUUAUAUAAUUUUAUGAAUAAUGAUUUAGUGAAAUUUUAUGAUUAAAGUUAAAAAUACACAAAUAUUAAAAUAAGAAUGUUGGACACUUGCACAACUAUUUGCCAAAUUUUUUCUCUAUAAAAAUUCACUUGCAACUUGCAGCAGGUUUAAAUUUAUAAUAUCAAACUUGAUUGUAGCUCGCAAAAUUUUUAGAUUUGCGAUAAUUUUGCCACCCUAAGUUUAGUUAGUAUUGUAUAUCGUGUGUUUCCAAUUGGCUCUUAUAAAAAGCCUAGAAGUUGUAUGAAUAAUGAGGGAGACAAAUAUUUCCCAAAGAUAUUAUCUUUUUCAAAUUUUUUUCUUUUCUCUAUUAUUGUAACUUCAAAUCCUUAAAAAAUUACAUAUUACAGACAUGAACACAAUGUUUUGACAUAGUGGCUUUUGGCUUGUCUAGAGAAAUUUAGGAUAGAUUUUGAUGUACUAAGGCUCUGUUUACUAUUAAGAUUUUGGAACUUUUGAGCCACACUUGAAAUUUGUUUAAUUCUAAUAGAGUUGUAGCCUUCGAUAUGUGAUUGGUAUUAAUCAAGUGUUAUGUUUACAACAGUUAAAGGCAUAUUGAAUCAAAGUCCACUUUUGAUUGAGAUUUUAAAGUAGGUUUUUAACUUGAUAGCCACUCAAGUUCAAAUAUUGGAACCACAGUGCACCUUUCACUUACUAGGCUUUAACCAAACAGACGACGUUAUACAAACUUCUAUCCAAUAAGGCAAUGCAAACAAAAGCAAGUGAAUUAAAAAUAAAUAAUUUCUCAUUAAUUUGCAACAAGUAUUAAUAAAGUGCAUGAGAAAAUAUGUCUUUUUUUAAAUGAAAAUAAAUGUGUUAAUUAGUCAAUUUAAAUGGUACGAUAUUUUGAAAUGAUAGAAGCGAUCUGGAGUUUAAAUCUUACUCUUGACGUAAUAUUUAAUAACGAAUUUGAAGAACAAUUAAAAAUUAAAAGAAAAGAAAAAAACACUUUCUUUCUUAAUGAUGGUAAUUUGUUCAGAUGAUGAAAAUUCUUAGAGUGGUAUAAUAAGUAUUUUUGAGUGUUGCCAUCGCCAAUAAUAUUUAAUUUCCUUUAUAUAGUUAUAUCUCAAGUAACAUUUAAAUAGAAGCAAGUUGGAAAUUAAAAAAAAAUGAACCAUUGAGAGAAUGAAAAACAAACAAAAAAAAAGUUAAAAAAUUGUAUCUCAAUAAAUUUACUUGAGGGCUACUCUACUGAUCUGUGAAGAGAAAACACAAAGAAUAAUGAUGUAUCUCAAUUAAUAGGACAAUUUUUGUAUUUUUCGUUUAUUCAAGAAUCACGAAACUUCAUUUAAACUUGUUAUUUCAUUGAUAAUAUAUUAACAUUGAACAAUGUAGGGGACAUUCCUUUCCAAUUAUGCCCAUAUAUUAACUAAAGGCCACCAAAAAGUUCAGGGAUACUAUAGUAAUUUAAGUCAACAAUUACUAUGCUUGAAAUCAGCCAAUCAAACUCACUUUAGAAUAAACUGAGAAAUCAAAAUCACAUUCUCCAAUUCUACGAUUUCAAUUCAUCUUCUUUCUUCAACUGAAGAAUUGGUUGUAUCUCGUUUAGAUAAAUAUAAAAUAUAAAUGAUGAGGAGACUAGAAAAGUAAAAUCAAAAGAAGAGCACGAGUUUUGUUGAAAAUGACUCUUUUUCAUCAUUGUGCCGGAGUGAAUGUAUCUACAUAUAAACUAAAGAAGCACAUUUGUUUGUAUUAGCUUUUUUAUUGUAUUUUUAAUAAUAAGUCAUUUUUCAAUGAACUUAUAUCAAUUUUUAUGAAAAUAAUAUGUGUUAGUUAGUUGAUUCAAAUGGCAAAACCUCUUGGGAUAGAGCUUGUAAUUUAUUGGCUCAUGAAUUGUCUAAAUUGACACUACCGAAGCCAAAUUAUUGUAUUUGGUUAAAAAAGCUCCUGCUCAGCUUCAACUUUAUUAUUCUAUGAUGUUUGUUAAUAAAUAACAAUUUUAUUGAAAAAAAAAGACCCCUUGAACUUAUACAAAAGAUUUGGGAUCUGAAUCUGACUUGAAUUUAGCUUGAGGUUGACAUUGUUAGCAUAAUAAUUGAAGAUAGAUUUUUUUAAAUUAAAAAUCAAAAGAUAUAUAUAUUUUUUUGGUUCACACUAGUUAGUUUUAACUCAUAGUGAGAUUUAAACAGAAGCAAAAUAAUAAAUCUUAACAUCCUGACUCAUGGAUAACAUUUACAUAAGAUAGUAAAAUCUAUUAUGUCCAAAAUAAGAGGUGUGAAGUUUGAAUUUUGCUCACAUAGGUAGUAAGAGAAUCAAAUUAUUGUUAGAUUAAAUUAAUUAAAAAAAUUAUCUGAUAUCCAAAACAGCGUAUCAACAAAAUUGAAAUAAAAGAAAAUUGAAGAGAAAAACCAUUGAGAGAACGAAAAAUUAACACAAGAUAAAUUCGAUAACUAAUUGUAUCAGUGUGCGCUAACUUCACUUAUUAAAACUUGGUUAUUUCAUUUUCAUUGAUAAUCAUUUUGACAACGAUUUUUCUUUCCAAGUAUGCCCAUGAACUAAUAAGAGAACUGCCGAAAGGGUUCGGGGAUAAUAUGGUAAUUUAAAUUAACAUUUCCUGUGCUUCAAAUCAUCAAAUCAAACUCACACUUCACAACAACAGAGAAAUCAAACUCACGGUUUCUCUCAUUUUUAAUUUAUUAUAUAAAGAUAAAUAUAUAAAAUUAAAUGGCGAGAAGACCGGACGAGGAAUACGAUUACUUGUUCAAAGUGGUAUUAAUCUAAAAACAAUAAUAUUAAAUAAAACACCUGGGAGUCGUAAUGGAAAGAAGAAUACAAUAUAUGAAACUUAUAAUGUUAUUUUUACUAUAUUAUAUUGAUACUUUGUUUUGUUAAUCAUAUAAGUCAAUCAGUAAUUAUUUAAUCAUUGGAAUUAAAACUAAUGUAUUAAUUAAAAUUCAAAAUCUAUUAUAAAAAUAGUAAAUAUUAAUAUAAAGAGAUGGACCUAUUACAAAAUACAUUCACCAAAAGUUCUAUUAUACUUAAAAUUCUCAUUCACAAAAAAAAAAAAAAAAAUAGUUGAAUACAUGUACAAAAAAAGGGGAUAAAUAAAAAAUAAUAAUAAUAAAUAAUAAAAGGAUAGUUUAUAUAAUAAAAAAUAAAUUUAUUGAAUAGAGAUGUUAAUAAUAAAGAAUAAUAGCCUAAUCAAACUCACUUUAGAAUAAACUGAGAAAUCAAAAUCACAUUCUUCGAUUCUACAAUUGAAUCUUUUUCAUCAUUUUGUUGGAGUGAAUGUAUCUACAUAUAUUGGGGACCAUAAUGGAAACCGGUAGAACCUACAAGGGCUAAAAUCAAAACAACGAACGAUAUCUCAAGGUCGCCGAAACGUAAAUAAUUAAUCUUAUCUUUCAAUUGAUUUUUGUGGAGCCAGAGACAAUUAAACCCGAACAGCAAAUAGCCAUAAAUGAUAGGACAAUUAAAUUGGAACUCUUCACAGACCCACGAUUUAAUAUCUUUAGAUUGUAACGGUUUAACCCAAAAAAAAAAUAGUAAAAUAUUUCUUAAAAAAAUGAAAAAAAAAUGUUGAAAAGAAGAACAAAAUUCUGGUCCACGUGUCAUUUCAAAAUAGGUUGCUGGCAUAAACAACCGGCCCCAUCCCGGACAGAUGUUAUUUGAGUGGUUGGUACGCAUUUCCACUUUUUUGUUUUAGAUGCAACGACUCAUGCACUAAAUAUAUAUAUAUAUAGGGAAUCCCUAUCUUACAUGCAUGUAAAAUAUAUUUUUCUCAUAUAAAUAAUAUAUGUGUAGAAUUCACGUACUGUUUAUGUAAGAGAGAUGUAUCUUACAUACAUGUAAGAUAUGAGGAUUCAUGAAUAUAAUGUUAUUAGUUUAAAUAAUGGGUGCAACUCAUGUUUUUGAAACAUUAAGAUCUUUAGCCAUUCUCUUACUAUCCCGUGGUUAUUUAAGUUACAAGAGACAGUAAAACAACAACGUCAUAUUUUAAUUACUUACACUAAAUAAAUUACUCACACUGAUGCCGCGACUGCCGCUUGCUUUUUUUCUUUUUUUUGCCCUUUUAAUUUUGACUUUUGCUUUUACUUUUUGAUUUUUGCUUUUGGUUUAUAAUAAUAAUAACUACUUUUUAAUUUAAUAUAAUAUUAAAUAAUAUUUUUAUUUUUAAUUUUACAUUAUAAUUAUUAAUAUAUAAUUUAUUAUUUAAUAUUAUUAUAUUAUGUUUUUUAUUUUUACAUUAUAAUUUAUAAAUAAAUUUAUAAUUUAUUAUAACUAAUAAUAAAUAUUUAAAUUUGAAUAAAUUUGAAUAAUAUUAAUUUAAAAUUAAUAAUAAUAUAAAAUAUUAAUACAAUUUAAAUAUAAUAUAAUAUUUAAUUUGAAUUAAUCACAAAAAAUUAAUAUAAUACAGUGUAGCACCAAACAUUGUACAUUAUUAUUAUAAUACAGUACUAAUACAACGCAACAUAAUACAAUACACCAACAUUAAAAUAAUACAAUCUAAUAUAAUACAAUACAGUGUGCGAAAUGCACCGACAUGGUAUUACUUUGUUUGUCUUGUUACUUACAGUUAUUUAAUCUGUAGACCCACUCAUGCUCCUUCUAUGUAACAUAGAUACAAUUUGAGGAAGAUUAUCAAUUUUUUUAUUAAAAAUAAUAUAUACCACUUAUUUUUUAUUAUUUUUAUAAUGUUCAACAAUUCGCUUGAGAUCAAAAAAUUAAAUGAAAAGAAGGAGUAAAUAGAUGAUUUACUUGAUGUUGUAUCUUAGAAAUAUAAAAUAUAUUUAUUUAUUAUUAAAAAUAUUUAAAAAUAAUAAAGAGUAUAUAAAAAGUAUCUUAUCCUCAACAACAAGAUCAGACGACGUCAAUUCAGCAAAAUGACUUGAAUAACUUGAACGUCCAGCAACGGUCACCUCUUGGCGCACACAUGGCAACGUGCGUAGCUUUGGCAAGAGGUCUCCCAAAAGGACGAUUAAGAAAAGAUUGCAGGACAAAUCAUGAAAAUAGUAGUACAGAUAUGCAAUGGCUAAAUUUCCUCGAUUAAGUCCAUCGCAAUCAAGUCUUAGAAAUCACACCCCUGUAUUAAUUUCCAGAAAUAUGUUUGUUCCAUAUUUAUCGUGCACGUAUAUAUUGUAUGUAUUGGGAAUAGAAAGAGUGUAUGUAAAAAAUUCUUCAUUCAUCGAUUAAAACUUAAUUUAUGUACGAGGGUUAAGUGUAGUGUUUUUAAAUUUAAAAAGGACAAGUGUCAAUCCACUGAGGCUUGACUCAAUGGCUAGAGCCACACUCCCUCACAAAGUGGUUCGAUCUCCCACAGAUGUAUUAUAGAAGUUUAAUUUAAAUUUUUUUUCUCAAAUUUUGAGUGAAGACAGUCUUUCUCCCCUAAAUAGAGUUUUUCUAAAAAUUUAAUGUUCUUCGAAUAUUUGAGAUGAUUAAAAUUUGAGCGGUGCUAUAUAAAAUAUAAUGUAAACUAAUCUAAAUAAUUAUAUAAUUAUAAAUAUAAUGAACAAUAGUCUCAUACAAAAAAAUGACAAGUGUAGUAAGCCCAUUUAAAUUAACUUAUAUUUGAGGGGAAAAUCUCUGUAUAUCAUAGUAUAUAUUAUAUAUCCAGUCGUGGGACCCAUACAUGGUUCCAUGUAAUUCGCACAGUUGAACUGGAGACACUGAUUAGUUCGUUGUCUAUUUGCCAACUUAUGUACAACUAAGUAAUUUCAUGCACCAUUUGCGCCUUAUCUAUCCAUCCUGCUUGCAUUGCAUUUUACUAAACAUACAAUGAAAUUAACCCUUGUAAUUUCGGCCUUUGCCAUAGUCGUUUUGUUUAUUAGGUUUAUGUUUAUCAACAUGAUAUGUUGUCAACCAUAAUCACAAUCAAGUUGUUAAUUAUUUUUUAAAUAAUGUGAAGGAACAAGAUUUUGGUCUUUGACUGUGGAGUUAAAAAUAUCUCACCUCAACAUACGGUGUUGUGCUCUCAUCAUCUUAACAUUAUUUGUUAAAAAUUAUGUCAAAGAGGAAAGCAGAUUCAAACAUUACUUCAAUUUUCUUUAAGAGCAUAAAAAAAUCGUUAAUAGGCUACUGUUAUUUGUUAGUACGAUUUCACAGAAGGAGGCUAGAGGAAGAUGAAGCUUUCACGUCAUGUGUGCAUCAAAGUAAGAAACAGAGCUAACGAGAGAUGGACAAGUAUUAACCACUGUUAUCAGAAAUUAAAUAUAUCAGCAUUUUGUUAGUUCUGGCCAUAUUGGAACUAUUAGCACCCUAAUUUUCUUUUGAAGCUCCUUUUCUGUCGAAACCUAUUUUAAUUUCCAAAAUAUUUUUUUUUCAUUUUUUUAGUUUCUUUCUGAUAAAAAAAAAAUCAGUUUCUUAAACAACUCCAACUACAAAUAUUGUUUUACAAAUUUUUGAAUUAUUAAAUCAUAUGUGUGUGUAUAAAUUGAAUAGAAUUAAAAAAGUGGACUCAAAUGGGUAUUGUGUAAUUUUUUUUAUAAUUAAAGAAAAGUUUAGAAUGCAAAAGAGUGUGAGAAAACAAAAAAUAUAAAUCACCUUUGAUGUAGUUGUAUGGUUGUAAAGAGUUAGAUGGAGAAAUAUAGUAUAUAAUUAAAUUUAUUUUGUUCUUUAAAACGGAUAGGUUUUAUACGAAUUUUUCAGAGGAGUGCCAAUAUUUCAACUCUAUCAUUGCUAUUAGUUUGUCUUGUAAUUCAAUCAUUGCCGACAAGUAUUAAUUGUGACUAUUAUUAUUAUUAUCGUCGUUAUUCUUAACAGCAAUGACUAGAAUUAUAAUAAUAACAAUAACAAUAACAAUAACAAUAACAAUAACGUCAAUACAAUAAUAUGGGUCCGCCUAUGUUGCCACUUAUGUAUGUUGCUACAGCUUUUGUCUUUUGUGAUCAGUUAUUGUAACAUCUCAUUGAGUCCCUUACACUCUAUUUUAUUUACAAUUUAUUUAUAAGUAUUAUGAUUUUUUUAUUUACCUACACUUUUAAAAUUUAAAUUUUCACUUCACACUAUUUUUUAUUUACCAUUUUUUAUAAGUAUUAAAGGAGUUUUCGUUUUCAACCACAAAACAAUAAUCAUCAUAACACAUUAUUAUCAAUAAAAAAAAUAAAAUACCCUUAAAUUAGUACUAAAAGAAACUCUUUUCUCUCUUGGAGGAAUCACAAUAGCUCAUCUUCCAUCACUUAUCAUCAAUAAAAUUUUCAAGGAUAUAAUCAAUCAUCUUCUUUACUAUAUCAUCUCAUAAUAAUUAAGACUUUAAUGAUAAAAGAAUUAACAAAAUAAAAAAAAAUUUCCCGUGAAUCCAUCCCUCUCCACUAUCAAUUUCUCUUCAUCAGCAACUUUUAUCAACAAUUGAAGCCACUAUUAGAACUCACCACAAAGAGAGAGUAUGGGAGGGGAAGAAGAAACGGGUAAAAAUAUAUGAAAUGUUUUCAAUUUUAUGAUACGUUUACUAAAUAAGAAUCAUAAUUAGAUAGAAUCAUAGUAAGUUGAAAUUAAAAUGAGCAGGAAUCAAAAUAAGAAAUUGUAAUUAGAAUAAAUUAUUUAUUUGAACUAUAGAAAUAGUAAUUGGAAUAAGCUAUAUUACAAUUAAUGUAUUUACUUUGUUUUAAAAUCAUAAUCGAAAUAAGUUAAGUUGUAACAAACUACCAUAAAGUACUUAAUUAAUUAUUAUCAUAAUUAUUACUUUGUAUUUUAAUUAUUGUGAUUAUUAUUAUUAAAAAAUUUAAUAAUUAUUGCUAACUAUUAUUAUUAACAAUAUAACUCAAAAAUUAUUAGUUAUUGUUAAUAUAUUAAUUAAUUAUAAAACUUUUAUCAUUAAUAAUAAUAAUAAUAAUCCAUUUAAAUAAUAAUAUUAAUUAUUAAUUAUUGUUAAUAUAUUAAUUAAUUAUAAAACUUUCAUCGUUAAUAAUAAUAAUCUAUUUAAAUAAUAAUAAUUAUUAAUUAUUGUUAAUAUAUUAAUUAAUUAUAAGCUUUUAUCGUUAAUAGUAAUAAUAAUAAUAAUCCAUUUAAGAAAAUAACAAUAAUAAUAAAAAAAUUGUCAUCAUCAUCAACGGCAACAAAAAAUGGGAAUCGGUGGCGGCAUCAUCAUCCACAACGUCGGCAUCAUCAUCAUCAUCUUGAAGACGGUCGGUAAAGACGAAGACGACGACGAGAAGGAGAGGUGGAGAUUUGCUCUUUGAAGAUGGUGAUGAGGUCGUUACCUGCAGGGGACUAAAUCAUGGACGGUGAAGACCAAUGACAACCAGCGAGCUAGAACCGAUCCUAGUGCUGUGCUUCUUCUUGGAUGCAACUAAAAAAUUCUUCCUCUUGGCUGCGAUGGAGGGUCGAAACGUUGGAUGUGUUUGUUAUUUUUUUAAUUUUGCUGGCUGUGUUUUCUAAUUAACUGUGGCGUAUUUUGAGAAUUUAAAAAGCUUGAAGGAGUAAAUUUGGUACUUUUAGGGGCUCAAUCAAAUAAAAUAGAGUGCAAAGGGUUCCAUGAAAUUUUAGAAUAAUUAAGUCACAAAAGACAAAAGCUGUUGUAACGUACAACAGUGGCAACAUAGGCGGACCCCAAUAAUAUAACAACAUAAUAAUAUUUUAAUUGGGGUCUUCCACCUGGGUAUGCAUGAUUCCUUGUGACAUGUGCCAAUUAAAUUCUGACAUACGUGCAAUAAAGACUGUAAAGUGACCGGUUAUUCCGAUUGAAUUCACAAGAGCUCUUGUUUGUGUGUUUGUGUUCCAAGUUGUGUACUCUGUGUUACGAGUUCUCUAAUUAAUCUGAUAUUAUCGCAACUGUUGCUCAAUAAUGUUACAUGCAUUAUAAUAUAUGUCACUGGUACGGUCGCUGUCUCAAGUGGUAAACAUUAAGGCACAAAUUUAGAAUGAAAAGUUUCCCAGUAAAAUAAGUUAUUUAAUUAAUUAAAUAAGAAUAAAAUGAAUUUGUGAAAGAAAUUUAAAUUUAAUUUUGAAUUAUUUUGACCAAAAUUUAAGUUUCUUUUUAAUUUGUUUAAGAAAGUGCGUUGUAAUUAUCUUGUUUUAAUUGGAAAAUCAAUGAAAAAAUUAUGUAACAGGAAACAAAAAAAAAAAAAACAAAACAAAACGGUUUGUUUUGGAUGGAGGCCAUAGAUUCCAAUAUUUCCUUCACGAAAACUACAAAAAAUUAUCAAAGGCAUCAAUUUCUACACUCUCACCGAGCAAAUACUCUCAACCCAGAAGAAAGUGUAUAAACCAACCCCAAUUAGUCCAUCAAUGUCGUCAACCUCAUACAACACAAAAAAAUAUGUGUCCAUUAAACCGCCAUCUUGCCAUCUCGUUGUAGUAUUUUGCUGUUCAAAUCUAGUUAUUAAUUGGGGAAAAUGGGGACCAAUCUGCAAGUCUUUAAAAUAGAAAGAAACUUUAAUUGAGCACUAUGUUCACAGUGGUGGACCCAGCGGCAGUAAUCUUUAAGGUGGAGCUAUUUAUACUUUAAAAAUUAUUUUAAACACUCUAAUUUUAAUAAGAAUAUGUAUUGCAAAAAUACUUAUCAUAUAAGUUACUGUUAAGGACAAUAUAUUAUAAGUCAACAUUAUAUAAUUACUUUGAACACUUAUAUAGCACAAUCCUUAUUCAAUUUAUUAUUCUCAUGACUUAAAUAUAAAAAAUUUUAUUUUCAACAUCUUAAUUAAUAUGUAGGUGAAUAAUAAGGAAAUUAACUUUGAGAAAAAAAAUUAAAUACAAAAUAUGUGUAAUACUUUUAAAAAAUAAAAUAAAACAACAGUAUUGCACAAGAUUUUUUUUUGGGGGGGGGGGGGGGGGCUUUGGCCAUUCUUCUUCUUCUCCUUCUCUCUCUCUCUUUUUUUUGGGUAGUAUUUAUGGAACAUUUUCUAUAGUUAUGUUCUCAUCGCAAGUUAUUUUGGGUGCAAAAUUCAAUAUUGAAAAUAAAUUAAAUAAAAAAUUAGUAACUAAAAUUAUGUUAAAUUAUUUUUUUACAACUUAAUUUUUAAUUAUAUUAUUGUGAGUAUAUGCUAAAUCUCUUAAAAAUAGAGUGUUGAAUAAUUUUAUUAGUUUUUUAAAUAAAUAAAGCUAAGUAACUUAAAAAGUUUAAGUAAGGAUAUUUUUGAAUUUUAAACAGUGUACAAAGUAAAAUUUAAUUUUUUUUAUAAUUAAGCUACGAGCGUGUAAAUUAAUAGAGUGCUCAAAAUAAUAUUUAGAGUGCUAAUAGUCAUAUCCUAAUAUUUAUCAUCACAUUAUUUUCCAUAAAAAGUUUACAACUACCUCUUUAUUGGAUAAUUUUGUUCCCUCUCUUACCUUAUGUUCCCCUACAUUCUCAUUUCUGCAUCACUAUUUAAAUUGUAAUCAUAACGUUAAUCUUUCGUGUCCUUUCGUUUUUUUCGAGUUUACUUUUGCUUUUUUUUUUUUUUACGUUUCUCCGGAAUUCACUUCAACAUCACUGGCGCGUUUUCUUCUUUCUCACUGCAACAUCAACUGGGCCACCACCUCUUGCCUCAAUAUACGUUGUGAUCUCAUCAUCUUGACAUUAUUUGUUAAAAAUUAUGUCAAAGAGGGAAAGCAUAUUCAAACAUUACUUCAAUUUUCUUUAAGAGCAUAAAAAAAUCGUUAAUAGGCUACUGUUAUUUGUUAGUACGAUUUCACAAAAGGAAGCUAGAGGAAGAUGAAGCUUUCAAGUCAUGUGUGCAUCAAAGUAAGAAACAGAGCUAAUGGGAAAUUUUCAUAAGAGUGCCAAUAUUUCAACUCUUUUUCAAAUGAAGUGAUGUCCUGGAAUAAAGGACUUGACUAGCUUACAGAUUCUGUAAGCUACAGACUGCAGCAUCAGCCGUUGGAUGUGGAGUGAGAAACUAAACAAUAGAAAAUCGGAUGGUGGGAUGACGGGAGAUGUUUGUUACAGAAUCUGUACCAUAGACAGGUCCUGGAAUAAAAUCACUACUCUAUCAUUGCUAUUAGUUUGUCUUGUAAUUCAAUCAUUGCCGACAAGUAUUAAUUGUGAAUAUUAUUAUUUUAAAAAUAUUAUUAUUAUUAUCGUCGUUAUUCUUAACAGCAAUGACUAGAAUUAUAAUAAUAACAAUAACGUUAAUACAAUAAUAUUACAACAUAAUAAUAUUUUAAUUGAGAGGAUAAGAAUGAAAUUAUGAAAUUUAGGUUGGGUAAAAAUGGUGAGUAUGAGGAAAUUAAUUUACCAUUUUUUAAGCUAAACAAUUUAUAAAUUCCACAUAUUUCAUUUUUAUUUCUCUUAUAUUUUAACAAAUAAACACUAUCAAUCGUUUUAAUAUUUUAAUUAAUAAACACGGCAUUAACUACGGAACUAAAAGAUCCCCCCAAAAAAAAAAAAACAGAGACGCGUGUAUGUAUUGCUUGUGACAAAUCUCACCCAUGGAAAACUUUGUGAAAGGCAUUUGAAUGUGUGGCCACAUUUAAUGAACGAAACGUUAACUUUAAAAGAAAGUAUGUACUGUGUUAAUUAUUAGGAUUACCCAAUAACCCGCUUAAUAUCUAUAUAUUAAACAAAAGUUACAUUAAAUAUUUAUACUUUGUCAUACAUAUGUAUGCACAUACAUACAUACAUACAUACAUACAUCCAAACAUACAUACAUAAUUUAUCAAUAUUAUAAAAUAUACAUAUCUACUAAAAUAUUACACACACUAUUGAGGUUUUAAUUAUAUGUAUGUAAAUAAUAUUAUAUAUCAAUAUUAUAAAAUAUACAUGUCUACCAAUAUUUUAUACAUUUACGCUAUUAAAGCUCUAAAUGUAUUUAAAAUUUUAUAAAUAAAAUAUUGUGUCUAUAUUCAUCUUUUUAAAGAAUUAAAAAAAUCAUCUCUAAUAUUUGAGUUUUGAUGACAAGAAUCUGUAAAUUAUUUUAAAAUAGAAAAUAUAAUCGGGUCAUUGAUCGGGUAAAUGGGUCAAGAAUUUUAACCCUAAUCCGACACGAAAAAAAAUCGUGUUGACCCGGACCCGACCCAUUUAAUAAUCGUGUUAAAUUCGAUGACCCAUACUUAUUUAUUGGUGUCAUGUUCGUAUCGAGUAAUCGGAUCGUGUCAAAUUUUACCAGCUCUAACUAUAGUGAUUCCACUUAAAAAUGAAAGGGGAGGCGACGAAAAGGUGAUAAAAAGCGGUAUUGUGUUCUUUUUUUUUUUAAUAUAAAUUUACUGGAAUGAUGAAAUAUUUAAUUGAAUAAUAUUAAAAAAGAGAAAAGGAGAGAGAAUUUUGAGCUCUCUCUACCGAGCCCACUCCCUCUCUUCUUUUUCAACGCAUUUUCUCUCGUCUUUAUCUCUCUUUAGCAUUUUUCUAUUUAAUUACGUGAAAUUGACUCUAAGAUAGACCGACGUUUGCUUUCAUAAUGGAAAGUAGAAAGUCGAAAAGAAACCACCCAUGCCAUGCGUGUGGACCAUUACUCUCAUUUGGAGGCUAUCAUAAGUGAGCAAGUACAAAUUAUGUUACUGUGGGGUCUCACUUAAAUGAACUCAUCCAUCGUGCGCUGGUCCAAUCCUUGGCAACAUCCCAUGUGACUUUUUCGGUUUUCCCCCCACUUUUCUUCACAAGGGUAGUUCCGAAUUUUCACUUCCCCUCAAUUCCAAUUCAGUGGCGAAAUUAGAUUUUCAUUUCAAGUUUUCAACCCAGGGCCAAGCUAUAAUAAUAUACUUCAAUAAUUUGUAUUCGUCGGAAGUUCGGAACCAAUGCUAAACUUUUUUAGUUAUAUAUAUAUAUAUAUAUAUAUUGUAAGAGGCUAAUAUGAACAUUACUAUUGUUAUAAGAGUAUAGAAAACGACGAAUAUUACUUAUUUUUUUUGUAGUUAAUAAGAAUUAUUUAAAAUUAUCCAAGCUCAAAAUUUAGAAUCAUGAGAGUGUGACUUGUAAGUUUCAAAGAAGCAUGUGUAAAUAUAUGCAUUAUCGAUGCCCAAUUAAGGGUGGGCAUUAAGAUCGGGUUAACCCGAACCGAACUUAAAAUUUAUUUUGGAUUCAAUUUGGUUAUGGUUGAAGCUUUCAACUGAGUUCAAAACUUAAAAAUGAUUGGGUUGUAUUUCUGUUCGAAUUUAACCCCAAAAGACUAAUCAAUCCAAUCGAGUUAAGUAAGCAAAUUAAGAAAAAAAAUCCCAAAAAUUAAAACUAACCCUAACUAAAAUAUUCGACGGCGGCCUCCUCGUUUUCUUUUCUUCUUCCUCCUCUCGCUCACCCCUAAUGCCCUUCAUGGAAAUCCAACAGCUCCAAACGCGUUUCAGCCGCUCGCACGUGUGAGAAAUUUUCCUUCUCAUAGGGUUAUUCGUUUCCUUCGUUUGCAUGCUAGCAGAAAAUUCAGGCCGAGGAUUUUUCCGGGCCUAGCCCAACUAUAAGCUCUCCCAAAACCCAAUCAUAAGUUCAAAACGUUUAGCGUUUGCUAUUACUAUAAUUUUUUUAACCAAUUUUCACAUUCAUCAACAUAGGCUGACAGAUUUUGUAGAAAAUAAAAUUAAAUAAAAAUACAAGCUCGCGAAAUUCCUUUGCCGAGCAUGAGUGAAGAAAAAUUAAAAAUAAAUAAUUUCCCAUUAAUUUGCAACAAGUAGUAAUAAAGUAAAUAACUCUUUUCAUCAUUUUGCCAGAGCGAAUGUAUCUACAUAUAAACUAAAGAAGCACAUUUGUUUGUAUUAGCUUUUUUAUUGUAUUUUUAAUAAUAAGUCAUUUGUCAAUGGACUUAUAUCAAUUUUUACGAAAAUAAUAGGUGUUAGUUAGAUUAUUCAAAUGGCAAAACCUCUUGGGAUAGAGCUUGUAAUGUAGUGGCUCAUGAAUUGUCUAAAUUGACACUACCGAAUUAUUGUAUUUGGUUAAAAAAGCUCCUACUCUGCUUCAACUUUAGUAUCCUAUGAUGUUUAUUAAUAAAUAACAAUUUUAUUGAAAAAAAGACCUCUUGAAAUGAUACAAAAGAUUUGGGAUAUGAAUCUCACUCGAAUUUAGCUUGAGGUUGGCAUUGUUAGCAUAAUAUUUGAAGAUAGAUUUUUUUUAAAUUAAAAAUCAAAAGAUUUUUUUUUUUUUGGGGUUCAUACUAGUUAGUUUUAACUCAUAGUGAGAUUUAAACAAAAACGGAAUAAUAAAUCUUGAUAUCCUGACUCAUGGAUAACGUAUAGAUAAGAUAGUAAAAUUUAUUGUGUCGAAAAUAAGAGGUCUGAAGUUUGAAUUUCGCUCACAUAGGUAGUAAGAGAAUCAAAUUAUUGAUAGAUUAAAUUAAUUAAAAAAAUUUCUGAUAUCCAAAACAACAUAUCAACAAAAUUGAAAUAAAAGAAAAUUGAAGAGAAAAACCAUUGAGAGAACGAAAAAUUAACACAAGAAAAUUUCUGUAACUAAUUGUAUCAGUGUGCGCCAACUUCACUUAUUAAAACAUGGUUAUUUCAUUUUCAUGGAUAAUCAUUUUGACACCGGUCAAAUUUAAAAGUUUUAAAAAAUAUGGGCGAUUUUUCUUUCCAGCUAUUCCCAUUAACUAAUAAAAGAACCGUCGAAAGGGUUCGGGGAUAAUAUAGUAAUUUAAACUAACAGUUUCUGUGCUUCAAAUUUAUAUAUAUAUAUAAAGUUGUGAUUACAAGAGGUGAUGUGGCAUCACUAUUUCUCAUCUUCUCAUAUUCUCUAUUAUCUAAUAAAUUGGUUGAAAUUAAAAAAUAAUUACAUUACAAAAUAUUAAAAAUAGAAAAUAAUUAUUAGAUUAUAAAUGAUUACAUGUCUUUUCAUCUUUCUAUUUAAAUUCAACAAUAUGUAACCAUUAAUAAUAAUUAAUUAUAAGUCUUAAAACAUUCAUUUAUUUUAUUAUGCCAACAAUUAAAUUUUAGUGGCUUAAAAUACAUCAAUUAAUUAAUAUAGGAAGGAAGAGAGGUUCUUUCAUCUUCCCUCAAUAAUGCCACUAGGGUCUAAGUUUAAUUUUAAUAAUUUUAAUGUCUCUUCCUCUUUCUAUUUAAAUCCAACAAUGUGUAACCAUUAAUAAUAAUUAAUUAUAAGUCUUUUGAAACAUUCAUUUAUUUUAUUAUGCUAGCAAUUAAACUUUAGUGGCUUAAAAUACAUCAAUUAAUUAACAUAGGAAAAGAGGUUCUUUCAUCUUCCUUCAACAAUCCUAAUUUUAAUGCCAUAAUCCCAUAUUUAAUUAUGCAAUCUUUUAUUUAGUGCUUUUUGACUUCUUCAAAUUUUAUUAUGCUAGCAAUUAAACUUUAGUGGCUUAAAAUACAUUAAUUAAUUAACAUAGGAAGAUAAGUUCUUUUAUCUUCCCUCAACAAUGCCACUAGGGCCUAAUUCUUCUUAUUCUAAAUUUAAAUUUCAUUUGCUUGCUAUCAUCAGCAACACAAGUCAAUUAUGAUGCAACUGCCAUUAUAAUUAAUGGAGAACGACGAGUUAUCUUCUCUGGUGCAGUUCACUAUAUCCUCGCAGCACUCCACAAGUACUACAUGCAAAUAAUUAAUUUACAAUUUCUGAAAUCACUUGCACUUUCACAUUUUCUUCUUCUUUUAACCAAAAAAAAAAAAGGCUACUUUGCUGCGAAAAUAUUAUCUUAAUUUUUUUUCCUAACAAGCCAAACAUGAUCCCACAUUCAAAACGGUGCGCUUUCAUGUUUAGGAAAAAUCAUGGGCAAUAUUUUUGGAUCAAAUAGCAUUGUUAUUUUUUAAAUAUGCAAAUUUUGAUAUGAUUUAUUUCUAUAUGCGUUGUAUUUGUGCAGAUGUGGCCAGAUCUUAUACAGAAGGCAAAGGGUGGACGGCUCGAUGCAAUUGAAACUUAUAUUUUGUGGAAUGCUCAUGAGUCUCAGCGUCGCCAGGUGUCAACUAUUAUUAUUAUUAUUAUGUGCGAUAUUUAUUAUUAUUGAAAUAGACAUACAAAAUUAAUUUAUUUAAUCUUUCUUUUAAGAAGAGAUCAGUACGAUUUCUCAAGAAAUUUAAAUUUUAUCAAAUUUUUAAUUUUUAAUUUGAUAUUUUCAAAGCCGCGCUAAGCGCGGUUAUAUUUUCUAAUCAUCAAAUCAAACUCACACCUCACAAAAGCAGAGAAAUCAAACGGUUUCCGACUUUACGCUUUAAAUUCAGCUUCAUUUCUUCAACUGAAGAAUCGGUCGUCUCUCAUUUUUUAUUUAUUAUAUAAAGAGAAAUAUAUAAAUUUAAAUGGCGAGAAGAGCGGACGAGGAAUACGAUUACUUGUUCAAAGUGGUAUUAAUCGGCGAUUCGGGAGUCGGCAAAUCGAACUUACUCUCCCGAUUUUCUGGUAACGAGUUCUGUUUGGAGUCCAAAUCCACUAUUGGCGUCGAAUUCACCACCCGCACUCUUCAAGUAACUAACUUUUCCUCUUUCACUUCUCUUCAUUUUUAUUAGUUAAUUAAGAUCCAGUUAAUGUAAUUAAUUUUAUUUAAUCUUUUAAUUAAAGUUCUAGAUUAGGCUAACUUAGAUUCAUGUCAAGUUGAAGUGCUUUACUUUCGAUCUCUUUUUCGUCCUAUGUUUAUUUGUACUUACUAUUACUUUGUUUUUGGGUUUAAAUUUUCGUUUUUGAAGUGUUUACUGAAUAAAUUUCUGAGCUUUAUUUGUGUAUGAUAAUUGAUUUGUGAUUUUAAUUUUGUGACUUUUUUUUUUUUGGAAUUUAAAUUUGAAUGCUUUUUAAGUUGAAUCUGAAUGUGUUGGGCUGCAAUUUAAUUAAGUCAUCUGUGAGCGCCAAAUUGUGAUAGCUAUAUAUUGGGGUGAAAAUUUGGGAUUUAAAGUUAUGUAUUUAAGAUGCAGUUAAUUCGCAAGUGAAAAUUAUGGGCCGGCAGAUUUUGUCAUUGGAAGACUGUUCUCCACAUGUUGAAGUUGGAAGACUGUUCUCAUUGAAUUUAUGUUAAAAAGCUAUGCGCGCAUUAAGUUAGUGCGAGAAACUGCUGAAGCAUAUGUCAGCUGUGUGUUUGGAGCUGAGUAUUCUUCAUUCCAAAUUUUUGGUUUUGGUUGACCUCCACCAUGACUCAACCCACUUGAGUUAAAAUCCCUAGAGUUACAUUCUACCCAUGAUAUUUGAGAUCAGGUCACCGUAUUUUAAUACUUCUCUGGAAAACAAAUAAAUAUGUUAAAUCAGGUAGGAAAAAGAAAAAGUUAAUUAUUGAGUUGUAAUGGUGCAACUAAUGUUUUGAAAAGAUGGGGCACAGGUUACAAAAUUUUUUUGAGUUUUGGAUUAAAGGAACAAAAUUAUUGAUGUCUAGCUCACAAUACUUGAAGUCACUCUGUGCUUCAUCAUGUAAAAUGGAUUGAAUUGCUGUAAGAUCAGGUCAAAUUAAAAUGUUUAAACUCAUUUAUAAGAAAUGAAUUCUCAAUUGGACUAGUCUUUCACAGAAACUGAUAUCACAGAAGUUUUGAGUCAGAUGCAUCCAACCAAAGCCCCUGGCCCAAAUGGUCUCCCAGCAGUAUUUUUCCAAAAGCUUUGGAAUUCAGCAAGCAAAGGAGUUAUAGCCACUUGUCUGCAUAUCCUCAAUGAUGGAGGUAAUAUUGCUCCUUUGGAUCAUACAUACAUUGCUUUAAUUCCCAAAAUAGCAAAGCCUAGGACUGUGAUGGAGUAUAGACUAAUCAGCUUAUGUAAUGUAAUUUAUAAGAUCAUUGCAAAGACUAUAGUGAAUAGGGUGAAGCUAAUCUUAGAUCAUGUUAUUUCACCAACUCAAAGUGCUUUCAUGCCAAAUAGGCUCAUAACUAAUAAUAUAAUUAUUGGGUAUGUGUGUCUUUAUAAGAUUCAGCAUUGCAAAAACAAAAAGCAUGGUCUAGUGGCUUUGAAAUUAGACAUUAGCAAAGCAUAUGACAUAGUAGAGUGGGAGUUUGUAAGAUGCACUAUGGAAAGGUUGGGUUUUUCUCACAAAUGGGUGGAACUGGUCAUGAGAUGCAUAUCUGCACCAUCUUUUUCUAUGCUGAUCAAUGGGGUAGCAAAAGGCCUUAUCCAGCCUCAAAGAGGCUUAAGACAAGGCUGCCCACUCUCUCUAUAUUUGUUCAUUAUUUGUGCUGAGGUUUUCACAAAUAUUUUGAAGCAAGUUGAAUUGAACCAGCUGAUUCAUGGAUUAAAAUUCAAUAGGGACCUGCCUAUUACUCAUCUUCUGUUUGCAGAUGAUAGUUUGGUUUUCACAAGAGCCACUAAAGAAGAUUGUACGAACCUGAAGUAACUCUUUGAUUGUUAUGCUGCUGCCUCAGGCCAGAUUUUUAAUUUUGAAAAGUCCUCCAUGUUCUUCAGCGAUAAUCCCAAGCAAGAGCAGAUAGCUACAAUUAAGGAUAUAUUUCAACUUCAAGUGGUUUCAAGACAUGAAAGGUAUCUUGGACUACCUUCAAUGGUGGGAAGAAAUAAGACCAGCUUCUUAAACGAUAUCAAGCUUAGAAUUAUAAACAAAAUCUCCAAUUGGCAAGCAAAAUUUUUCUCAUGUGGAGGGAAGGAGAUACUCAUAAAGGUAGUAGCUCAAGCAGUGCCUGCUUACGCCAUGAGUAUUUUUAAACUUCCUUUAGGGCUAUGUGAGGAUAUACAGAAGGCCAUUGCUGGGUUUUGGUGGAGAAGUUCAAGGAAGCAUAUGUCUAUUCACUGGUCCAAGUGGGAAAGAAUGUGUCAAGCUAAGAAGAGGGUUGGCUUGGGUUUCUGAGACUUGUCUAGUUUCAACCAAGUGCUUGUGGCAAAACAGAGUUGGAGGAUCAUUCAAGCGCCAAAAUCUCUCAUAGCUAAGGUGAUGGAGGCAAGAUAUUUCAAACAUUCGGAUUUUAUGGAGGCACAAAUUGGCUCAAACCCUUCUUAUAUGUGGAGGAGCAUCCUGUGGGGGUGAGAUGUUAUUCAUAAGGGUCUUAGAUGAAGAAUCAGAGAUGGAAAGUAGGUGAAAGUGUAUCAAAGUGACUGGUUACCAAGACCUGUAACGUUCAAACCAAUAUCUCCUACAAGUCUCCCUUUGGAGACUAUGGUUUCAGAGUUGAUUGAUCAAGACCACUACUGGAAAGAUCUUGUAAUAAGACAACAUUUUCAUCAAGAAGAUGCUGCCCAGAUACUUAAGAUCCCUCUGCCAAGACAACCAAGACCAGACCAAGUUUUGUGGCAUUGCGACAAAAAGGGUUACUACUCAGUCAAGAGUGGGUAUCAACUAGCUCUACAAAUGAAGUUUCCAACCAAGCCUAGCAGUUCAUAGGAAGGCAAAAGUGCAUGGAACUCAAUUUGGUAUUUGUCAAUUCCAGAGAAAGUAAAGAUAUUUAUGUGGCUGGCUGCAUAUGACAUGCUGCCCACAGCAGAGAAUUUAUGGAAGAAAAUAAUAUUACAAGCCCCCUGGUGUCAGAGAUGCAGGAGUUAUGGAGAGUCUAUCUUCCACACAUUGUUUGAAAGUAAAGCCUUGCGGAAAAUUUGGAAGCUCACAUCUUUUAAAGAUAAAGUGAAAGCCCCAAAAUGUAAAGAUGUCCUAAGCUUGCUGUUGGCUUUGGCUGAUCGACGAAGCAAGACUGAAAUGGAGCUGAUAGUUGUUUUGUGCUGGAGCAUAUGGCACUCAAGGAAUCUUUUUAUUUUCAAAAGCAGAAAUGAAGAUUCCCAAUUAUCAGUAGUUGGAGCUGAGGCAAUUGUUAAGUCUUAUAAAAGAAUUCAAAUGCCACAGAUGCAAGCAAUAUCAGAUCAAAGUUCUGCAUCCCAGAAGUAUUGGAAGUGUCCCCCUGCAAGUUGGUUCAAGGUGAAUGUUGAUGCAGCUAUAAAGAUAGACCAACAAAGAGUAAGUCUGGGCAUUGUAAUCAAAAAUUCAGAAGGUAAACUUAUAGCAGCAACCUUAAAGCCAACGAAAUGGCUUGAUAAAGUGGAUCUGAAGCAACUAAGUUUGGGCUGGAAGUAGCUGAAAACGCUGGAUGGUUACCUUUGAUUGUUGAGAUUGAUUCACAGGUAGUAGUAGAUUUAGUCUUAGGUAGAAAAAUCACAAAGGCUGAGAUUUUUGGGUUUGUAUCCAAGGUCCAAGAGAUGAUGAAGAGAUUAAAACAUGUCAAGUUACAACACACACCAAGAACUUGUAAUGGUUUUACUCACACACUUGCUAAGUUAGUUUUAGACUAUUUUGAUUAUCUGAUUUUGUACUAUGGGUGAAUAACAUACCAGCCCAUCUUUUGUAUCUAUUCACAAAAUUGAAUGAUUGAAAAUGAUACUUUGAUUUCAAAAAAAAUAAAAUACAAAGAGCUAAUUAUAAAUACAUAAUCCAAGAAAACAGUAAUAAUAAUUUAUCUCGUAAACAAAAUUAAAUAAUAGCAAUAAUAAGUGGAUAAAGCUAAGUUCGAGAGGUGAGAUAGGAAAUUCUCCCGCACGACACAGCACAAACAAACUUUCCCUUUCAUUUUCUUUUCUCUUUCUCGCUAUCCAAACAGAGCAAAAGGACCGUCGCAAGAUUCUUCACUUCCAUCCAAAAUCACGAGCAACGAAUAGCGAGCCUCCCUGUUUCCUUCCUUUUUUUGAUAUUAACAUUGUUAACAUCUGCUCAUUUUCAUUUGACAAUACUUCAAUUUUUUUUUUUUUUGCCUUUUCAUAUUUUUUUGGUUGAAGCGAUUAUCUGUUCAAGCUGUUGCUUAUCGGAGACUCGUCAGUCGGAAAGUCCUGCCUGCUGCUCCGAUUUGCUGUCUGUUGACUUUUCCUUUCCAUUUUUAUUUUCUUUUUUUUUUAUAUUAAUUACUUUCUAUUUUAGCUUUUUGUUCUCUGAAUUUGUGUUAUUAAAAUGAUAAUUUAGAUGAUAAAUAAUUAUUAUUCUUGUAAAUUUCAGUUUUCAUUACAUUAAAUAAUGUAAUUUUUUUUUCAAUUUUUCAGGAUGAUUCUUAUGUCACAGCUACAUCAGUACCAUUGGAGUUGAUUUUGUAAGUCUCUCUUCUAUAUAUAUGUAAUUAUGUGUAUAAGUUAUAAUAUGAGUCUCUGUACGUGUAUGUAUGUAUGUGUAUGCAUAUGUGGAAAGAAAUGUUGGCAGACUUCGGCAUUUUACUUUUUUUUUUUUAAAGGGAAAUUAUCACCGGUAUACCCUUAAAUGUCACCGGUAUCAAACGUACUACAACACUUUUCGCUUAUAUCACUCGUAUACCCUAAGUUGACAAAAGAGUUCUGGCGUCCACCUUUCCGUUUACUACCGUUAAGAACUUAACAGAAUUUGAGCAAAAUGACUAUUUUACCCUUUAAACUAAAAUGAGGUAAAAAAACAAUUUUGCCUUGAAAAUUAAUGUAAAUUUUCAAUACACAAAAUUUUUUUAUUUUGUUAUUAACAAUACAUUUUUUUAUUAAAAAAAUAUGAAUUAUUAAUGGUAUAUAUUAUUAACAAUUAUCCAUAAAAAACUUCAUCUUAUACCAUAAAACAUUAUUAACAACAUAUUAUUUAUAAUUAUACAUAUUAUAACAUAAAAAAUUCAAGUUGGAUCUUGGAGGAGUAGAUCUUUAAUAAUUUAGGUUAAAUUUUGGAGGAGUAGAUUUGGUUGUAAAGUAGUUUUUUUUUUUUAGCAAUUAUUAACAAUUAUCUGAUAAAUGGGAUGACAUGUCAUUUUUAUCAAAAUAUAUCAUAUGACAUGUCGUUUUUUACUAUAUAAAUGGGAUGACAUGUCGUUUUUAAAAAAAGACUAGAUUACCCUUAUGAUGUCAGCGCUCGCAAACGGCAGUUAACGGAUCGGUGGACGGCAGAAGUGUUUUGUCAACUUAGGGUAUACGAGUGACACACUUGAAAAGUGUUGUAGCACGUUUGAUACUGGUGUCAUUUAAGGGUAUAUGACUGAUAAUUUCCCUUUUUUAAAUUUUGGCAGAAAAUAAGAACUGUGGAGCUGGAUGGGAAGACGAUCAAACUGCUGAUUGUGAGUCAAAAUUUCCUUUUAUCUUGUAUUGGGAGAAAUUCAAUUUGUCUUAUUUAGUGAAGGUUAUGUUCAAGAACCUUGCCUUAUUUUCUUUAUUUGAAGAGUGAUAAGUUGAAAUGAGUGUAUUUUUCUUAUAAACAUCAUUUAGGUAAUGUCUGAUGUUUGAUUGUUUUUCAUCUGUUUAGUGGGACGCUGCUGGACAGGAGCGAUUCAGGACUAUAACUAGCAGUUAUUACCGAGGAGCCCAUGGAAUCAUAGUAAGAAGCCUUCCUGCUUCUUGGUUUAAAUCAGAAAGUUUGUGAUUUACAUGUGACAUCUUAACAACGUUGUAUGUGUUUAUUAACUUAUUUUUCAUCUUUCAUUACGCAGUACAUUUUCCAAUAAAUCUGUAUACAAGAUGAUGUAGUCCAAGAAUGGGAGUGAUAAUAUGAUGCAAAUUGUCUAAUAAAUUCUUAUGACAUAUGAUGUUGUCGGAAGUAAAAGUCUUGCAAUGCUGUAUUCUCUUUUAAGAAAGAAUAAGUGGUAAUUUUGUUUUUCCAAUUUUUUAAUUGAGCAACUGUGUGAGAUUAAUUAAAUGUGUUGGGAUUUCAACAGAUUGUCUAUGAUGUAACGGAGAUGGAGAGCUUCAAUAAUGUCGAGCAGUGGUUGAAUAAGAUUGACAGAUACGCUAAUGACAGUGUAUGCAAGCUUCUAGUUGGGAACAAAUGCGAUUUAGUUGAGAACAAGGUUGUGGACACAUAGACAGCCAAGGUAUGUUCGUGAGUUCUGUCGCCUGAACUUUGAAUAUAAUUUUAAACUCUUCUCAAGUGCAUUUGCUUGAUAAGUUUCUGCAUACCCAGGACACUUAAACUUUGGACAGUCUGUAUCUCGAGCUGGAAUCUUUUUUGUCAAUACGACUUGUUAAAAUAAGGGUUAUUAUCGUUUGAAUCCUUCAAGAAUUGCAAUAAAUCUAAAGUCAAUUAAAAAUAUGAUUUCAUCAUUUUACUGUUAUAUCUAGACAAAAUCCAUUAUUUUACUACAUUUUAUUAGCACCGAUAGUUGACCUAUUGGCUGACUGAUAAAAUAUCAAUUUUGUACUUUAUAUUAAUUCUUUUUUGGUUAGAAAAUAACACACAAAGUAUUACAAUAUUAUAAAUUCAAAAUAGAAAGUAGUUACAAAUAAUUCCUAUUAGCCUAUGAAUAUAAUAUUUGAUACCUCUAUUUGUGUAAUUUUUUUUAAAGGGUGAAAUUGGUAUUUUCUUUGUACUAACGGAAAUGUAGUAAAAUGAUAAGUUUUGUAAAGAUAUAGUAGUAAAAUGAUAGACUAAAAUACUUCUGUAGUUGUUUGAUAUAUUGUAAUUCUUAAAGUAGUCAAUUGAUAAUAUCUCCUAAAAUAAGUGUUUGUAAUAUUUUCUCAUUUUAAUGCAACUGAUUGUUUAAUAAAAUUGUAUUUCUUUGUUAAUCUUUUAUCAUGUGCAUGCUCAGUGAGAAUUUGACUUACUAGCACACAAGUUUGACUCUUCAUGUAAAUGUCCCUUGUAUCAUAUCCUUCAGUGUUGAGUGUGUUUCCAAUAAAACUGAGUAGGGGAAUCCUUAAAUACCUUUUCCCUUUUUCCAAGGGCCGUGCCAAAUUGCUCUAAGUGAUUAUCAAUGGAUAAUGAAAAUAAAAUUUUUAUUAAAGCAAUUUUUUCCUUAAAUGGUGGCUAAUAGUACCCCUUUUUUGGAAAAGAAAGUCAAAACAUGCCCAAAGAGAAUCAUUUACUUUCCUCUAAUGUAUUUUCUAAUUUGUUUCGAGCCUUGAAUGUUAACCUCUGUAAUUCAAUUUGAAACUUGCCACCCUUAGUGCUUCACUCAAAUGGUUGGUUAGGGUGAGAUCUUUAUCAUUUUCCUGGUCUCUUUCCAAGGUUAUCUAAAGGGAUUUGGCAGUCUGAUUCUUUAGGGAAUAUCAUUGCAUAAGAUAUUGUUUGUCAAUGAAUAAUUUCUAUUAAUUAGUUAUCUAUAUAAAUUGGUAAAUUUUAACUGCAUAAUUUGCAUGCAAUAAGAUUUUAUAAGAAUCUUGUUUUCAACUCAUGACUUAGACUAAUGUGAUAUGUUGAGCAUUAAGCUACAAGAUCUGCACAUCAAAGUGCUUCACGAUGUUAAGGAGAAAGCAUCUUUUUCUGCUUCUUCAUGUGAUUUAAAGUUUCCAAGGUACUUAUCCUAUAAAAUAUCUUUCAAGACUUUGGAAAUGCUUUUAUGUAUGACUGAGAGAAACUUGUUGGGUUGGUUUUUAGCAACGGACGGAGUUAUGGACUUUGUGCUGACUUGUUAUUGAUUAAGACAGUACAUCGGCUGAUCUAUUGGCAUCAAGCAGCAGAUGCAGAAAUUAUGGGUGGCAUAUCAUUGUAU